RNAcentral lists this long non-coding RNA (276150 nucleotides) under Vitis vinifera (wine grape). RNAcentral describes it as "long non-coding RNA (VVIN_LNC001392)". The stretch from base 20723 to 20794 matches the Rfam family "tRNA". The record is from RNAcentral. Lineage: Eukaryota; Viridiplantae; Streptophyta; Magnoliopsida; Vitales; Vitaceae.
AGGUGAUGCUUUUCACUAAGAAGAGACUCUAAGAUUAGAUUCCCAAUGUAUAGAGUGUUUGCGCAGUAAACAAAUCAAUCACUUAUCAUUUAUAUAACAGUAGAAGUGUAUGGAGAGUGGGACUAACCUUGGAAGCAAAGGUCCCCUGAGGCCAGUUGAGCAACCCGGCAACCAUUUGCCCUGUUUGAUUGCAAUCGUCAUCAAUGGCCUAGAAAACCCAUGCCCACAUCAGAAAACAACAAUCCACCAUAAAAAGAGUCUAGGAUUUUCACGGAAUCCGCAAAUUUAUUUUUAAAUCGUUACCAAAAACCCUAAUCUCUGGGCACGAAUUCACAGACCUGUUUGCCCAGAAUAAGGAGGCCAGGCUUCUCCACAUCGACGAGAGCUUUGAGAAGCUUAGCAACUGAAAGUGGGUACAGAGUGGCGGAAGCUUCGACGUGGAUGGCCCUAUCGGCGCCCAUGGCGAGACCCGUUCUGAGCGUGUCGACGCACUGGCUGGGACCCACACUGACAGCGAUAACCUCCGACGCCAGACCCGAUUCCUUGAUCCUCAGAGCCUCUUCCAAACCUAUCUCACAAAAGGGGUUCAUCGACAUCUUGACGUUGCUGGUCUCCACGCCGCUCUGAUCGUGGGUUGGCGAUUGUUAUUGGAUGAUGAUGAAAUUACAGAUACUGAAUAACUUGAGAGUUUGGAUUUGGGUUACCUUGUCGGAUUUGACUCUGAUCUUGACAGCGUAGUCCACAACACGCUUUAUCGCCACCAUUAUCUUCAUCUCGUAUAUGGGUGGUUAUCUUCUCCGGCACAAGGGUAUUGGCAAAUGACUGAUGAUGAAGGACGAGGAUAUUCGCCCGAGCCCUACUGCACGACACCACAUCCGCUUAUAAAAUCUUUUGAUACGGAUAAGUACAAGGGAAGUGGAAAAAAAGGAUUAUUAAGAAAAAUAAAUAUAUUACCAAAAAAAUUAUUUAAAAUUUUGUUCAUGUAGAAAGAACCCGUGAAUCAGAUCGAAAAAAUUAUAUUAAAACUGCUGUAUAGCCGAAAAUUGUGUACAGAAUUUAUUUUAACAUUGUAUUAUUGAAUUUUUUAUUCAAAAAUUGCUUAACGUGAGAUAGAAAUUAAAAAAUCAUUAGUAAUUUUGUCCGAAAGUUGUUAUAUUUCAUGUGUUUUAAAAAUAGAUGUAAUUUAUUCCUAUUUGCAUUUUUAACGUACAUUUAAUUAAAUAACCCAAAAAGUUAUUGAGUUCACAUCAUCUAUGGAGUCUACCUCUCUUUGCUUUUGUUGCUUCCAAAAAUACCAUACUCCCAUAUUUUUUUGGUUCUACUCAUUUUACUUUAUUUUUUUCAUUCCAUUCAUUCCACGUGAAGUCUUCAAUCCUAAUAACAUUUACUAUAUUACAAUUAAGUUUAAUUUUUAAAAAACUUAAUUAGGGUUAAAUUUCCUUUGAGAGAACUUCAUUACAAUUAUUUGAGUUGUACGUUAAGUUUCAUUUAAAAAUAACUUAUUUAAAAAGAUGUUAAGCUUCCCCUAUUUUAUUUAUAAAGUUUAAUAUCUAUUUGAUUUUAUAUUUGAAAUCCAACUAAAACCUAAUAACGAAUUGUUGUAAAAAAACUCCAAUCAAAAUACUAACAAAAAUUAAAACAUAAAACUCUGAUAAAAAAUUGUUAAAAAAUCCAACAAAAAAACAAUCAUAAAAAACCCUAAUCAAAAACAUCAUGGAAGUUUAAAUGAAAUUGCCAAAAAAUAAAAAGUAUAGAAAACCCUAACAAAAAAACAACACCAAAACACCUGACAAAAAACAAUUACAAAUUCUAGCACAAAAACCCCCAAUUAAAAAUAUCUAUAAAGAAAAACCUAAAAAAAACCAAUUAUAAAACCUCCAACAAAAAAUAAAGAGAAAGAUGAAGAAUAUGAAAAAUUUUGAAGAAGAAAGAAACAUGAGAGAACUAUCAUUGAUCUUUAUUUGUUAAUCUUUGUUAUAUGUUUGAACUUCACUAGAAAAUGAGAGAGAGAGCAUAAACCUAAAGAGAGAAAGAGCUGAAAAUGAGAGGAGAAAUGAAUCACAAUGAGGGGAAUGACAAUUUGAGGAAAUAUAGAAGGGUUAAAUCAUUUGAACUAGGUUAACGUUUUUAUUAAAAAAAAAGAGUAAUGAAGGUCCUUGUUCUAAUUUCAAGAGUAUGUCUGUUAAUUACCAAAUGUGGCAACUCUAAAUAAAAUCCUUUGUUAUCAACUAAAACUAAAAGUCCCAUUACAUCAUAUCCAACUUUCAUUUGUUAUCAACAAAGUAAAACUAUAUACAACUAUUAUCACCAUCUCUCCUAUUUUGAUGUUAUUUUCUUAGAUGAAUUUGUAAAUCAAAAUUUACACCACCCAUAAAUUUUUUGAGCUUCCUAUUUAACACAACUUCAAUUUGUUAUACUUUGAACAUCACAAAGAUAAAGUAAUCAACAUUUUGCUUGGACAAGUUUUUCUUCUCUAAAGUUUAGAGUCCUAUUUCACUUCCCGUUUAUGGGUUGUUAGUUCAUCUAAUAUCUCACCAUCAUCCAUUCCAUGUACUGUGUUUCCGAAAUGAGUUGAUUCCACAUCCUAAAUGUCUGUGCAAAUUAAUAAGGAAUGUCGAGUUACCAAUUUUCUUAAAAGCUUAAUCUUGCAAGAUUUGGAUUCAAAAUGCAUAUCAUGCUCUCUUUAACACCCCUCCCCCCUCUCACAUGUAGCCCUAUACCCACACGUAGAGAAAUAGACUUAUAGGAAAAUUGGUAGUUUAAUAUAGUAUCAGCACUUGGUUUGGUGGGAGGUCUCCUGUUUGAGUCACCUCUCCACAAUUUACAUUUCUCCUAUUUGUUUAAUUUACAGUUCUUCCCUUAAUCUGUAAUUCUUUGGAUAUAAAUUUUCCCCCUAAUUUGUAGUUUUGUGGAUAUGAAUCUCUCUUCCAUGUUCAGGUAUGGGGCCACACAUAAGAGAGGGUGUUAAAGAGCAUGAUAUGCAUAUUAAACCCAAAUCCUAUAAGUUAAAACUUUUAGGAAAAUUGGUAGUUUAACGCUUUUAGGAAAAUUGGUAGUUCAACAUGUGUACACCCCAUUUUGGGGACUGCUAUUGCUCCCACUUCUUUUUGUCAAAUGGUGGAGCUUUUUAGGAGCACAUGUUGUAUUUGGAAAGGCUAUUAGAAAAUGGCAACAUGACUGUUAAUGGAAGUAAUGAUUUUCUAAAAAGGCAACCAUGGGAAGACACAUAACAAAGAUGUUUGGGGAGGAGGGAGAGUGUGCAUCAAGACUACUCAUGAGGGGUAAGAAACAAAAAAAAAAAAGUGUCGAAGAUAACUAAAAAAUUGGAGAAACAUAAAGGAAUAAGGAUUUUAGGGCUAUGGAUGGUGAACAAGAGUGAAUUAUGGGUGUCUAGGACAGCUAGGAAUGGUGAGAGGAGUAGGGAGCUGUAGAAGGUGAUGAGCUAGGUAAGAUGUAUUUUCGAGAAAGAAAAGAACCAAAGAAAGAAGGUGGUGAAUUAAGUGAGACACGUCUCAGAGAAGCAGAGAAAGUUGGCUUGAAGCCAAGCAAACUUUUGCUUGAGAUGAGCAUUGCCUAGUAAGAUUGUUUCGAUUCAUCGAUUAUUACUGAUCAUCAUACUUCUCUUGUCUUAUAUUCAUGUGAUUAUUUUACAUUGAUUGUGGGGUUGCUUUGGUUUGGUUAUUAUGGCUUCAUCCUCUAUUUCUUUAGUUUUAUUCAAGGAUAAAUCUAAUUGUGCUUUGAUUAGUUAUUCCAUAUUUGAAAAUCUUUGUGUAUUUUGGGUUUUUUCUCUUUAGAUAUUUUCUAGAUUAAUCCACUGACCUUUAAACCCACAAAUAAAGAAAAAUGAAAUGAGUUUUUUCAUAUUUGUUGGGUGUUUGGCCCUUGUUUAUCUUUUUUUAAAGCUUUAUUCCUUUAUAUUCUCUAUUUCUCCCCAUUUUGUACAUGGGUGUUUCAAUCAGAGUCUCUAUUUUGGCUUCCACAUUUGAGAUUUCUUUUAUGAGCGAAGACCCAAAAAUGGAGACUGGCUUCUUGUAAUUGAUAAAAUAGUUAGUCACCCAUUAGCUUAGAUGAAGCAUAGAUGUUAACCGGAUUGUGAACAUGGAUACUCUAUUUUGGGCCUAUUAGGCCUUCCAAUCCUCUCUUAGUUUCAUUAUUCUUGAGGAUAGUGUUUGGUUGUGUCUGCUACUUAUUCUGUGGCUUCGGUGGUCUGUUUGUUUAUUCUUGGCUAUUAUCAAUGCUAACAAUGGGAAAGAGACUGGUUUUGGUUAUGCUCUUACGGAUUUGAAGGUGAUCAAAGGGUCCAGUGAAGAGAAGAUUAGUAGGUCAUAUUAGGUUAAUUAAUUAAUUAGGACAUGUUUUGAGUUAUAUUAAGUAAUACAAGCUCUUAGUGGGCUUAAGUAACUUAAGCCUAGUGGGGAAUGCCAUAAAUACCCCUUAGGGGUUAGCAUUUCCAUAGGUUUUUCUAGAGAGUCAUCUUUCACCUCCAAAGAAGGAGAGUCAUAGCCUUUACCAUUUUUUCCAUCAUUAUCGAAGUGUGUCAAGAUUAAGGUUUAAGUCAUUGAGCGGAAGACUCCAGGUUUAUGAGACUUCAUACAACUUCGUUUUUCAUUUUCAUCAAAUGGAAUUAAUUUGAAAACAUUUGAAUCUGAAGUAUGGUUUUUGUUAGCAUAUUUCGAAUCCCUUUAAAGUUUAAAAAUGCAAAUUUUCCACUAUGUAUAGGAUUUAAAAUCGCUUAAGAUAGUUAAACAUGUUCCCCACUUGAUCUGAAUUGGGAAACGGAGAAAUCUGAUAUUUUCCCAUCACAAGGUAGGAUAAGAACUUGUGAUUGAUCUUUAUGGAUUGGACUAAUUAAUUAAUUGGAACCUAAUUAGGCUAAUUAAUUAAUUAAGACCUAAGCAAACUAGUUUAAGUUACACAAGCCUAGGAUGGACUUAAGUGACUUAAGCCCAUGGGAAGCUUAUAUAAACUCCUUUAGGGGUUAGGGUUUCAAACUUUUAUCAUCUAGUCUUCAAUUCCUUAAAGAGAAUAGAACUCGAGCCAACAACUCUCCUAAAGGAUUCUAUUGCUCCGUGUCAAGAUUCGAAAAAAAACUAUUUGAUGGAAGGUUGUUAUGUUUAUGAGAUUCGUUAUGUUUUUUUACACCUUUUCACUAAAUGGAAUUGAUAUAGGAAUGUUCAUAUCUCAAGUGCAACACACUUAUUCUCUUUAGAUUUAUAUUGCUUAUGGUUUUUUUUUUUUUUGUCAUGGUUUUCCGUUAAGAUUAGAUUAAGAGAGCCCUAUGUCAUAGAAUGCUUCAAAUGAGCCUCCCCGGGGGUUUGUAUAGAGCCCAUGAAGCUUCUAGAGACUCCUAUACUUAGCCAUUGGUGGGAAGAGUGUGAAAGGUUCUACAGAUGUCUAGAGAUAUUUACACAUCUCUACACUAUGGUGGAAGGCAUGAGAGGAGUCUAAGGCAUUCUAAAGAAUUAUAAAGAUCUCUUAUAUAUUCUUGUACAUAGGCUUGUACAUAGAAUUGUGUAGGAAGUUAUAGAUUAUUCUUGAGCUGUAAGGAACCCUCCAAGGUUCCAGAGAGUUCCAUUGGUGCCUAUAAAUAGGUGAAUGCCUCAUUUGGCCAAGACACUAAGCAAGUGAAUUCCAAAACACUUGUAAAGCUUCCUUUGAAUAAUAAAAGUUUCAAUUCUUCAAGAGUUGCCUAUUAUGCCUUCUAAAACUUCUAAGUCAUGAGCAUCUUAACCUAACAAGUUAAGCAUUGGGAGUAAUGCUAACUUAGCAAGAUCAAGGAUCUUGACUUGUCUAAGUGUUGCACGAUCUUAGGAAAAGAUUAAGUUUGUGACAGUUGGUUUCAAAGUGUGACUACGAAGUGAGCAUAGUAAAGGAAACAUGUCGAGCUUCAACAUGGAGGAAACUAGUGAGCAAACCCGUGGGAAAGAAACCGAGCCUACUGCAUAGGACAGGGACAUGAAGGAUAAAUCUCGUAAUGCCAUAGCCAACGUGGAGGCAAGGCUAGCCAAGGUGGAGCUAGCCAUGGCAGACACCCGGGAAGGGGUGGACUUAAUCGAGCAAGGCAUGGAAAAUGGCUUAGAGGAUCUAAAUGAGCAUAUCCAAGACCUUCAUGAGAGAGUGCUAGGCUUACAAGUUCGGCCGAUGUCAUAUGAGGAGUUCAUGUCCUUCCAAAACGAGGUCAUGAGCAUGUUUGCUAGCAUGGAGUCGAAGGUGGAGGCCUUGGCUGCACGCAUAGAGGCCCAAGACCAAGAGGUUCAACAAGAGCUAGCUAUCUACAAGACUGUCUUAUCAGCACGAGUCAUGGCCACUCAUGAGGCACUAAGGGUGGAAGUGCCCAAACCACACACGUUCAAUGGCAAGAGGGAUGCCAAGGAGUUGGACAAUUUCUUGUGGCACAUGGAGCUCUACUUUGAGGUUAUAACACUAAUAGAUGAAGCCACUAAGGUAUGUACCACAACCCUCUACCUCACCAAUAAAGCUACUCUAUGGUGGCGUCAGAGGUUUGCCAAUAUAGAAAAAGAAAUGUGCACCAUAGACACAUGGGAUGCCUUUAAGCAAAAGAUCAAAAAACAAUUAUACCUUAAUGAUGUGGCUUACCUAGCAAGGAAAAACACAAAAUGUCUUAAGCACACAGACUCGAUCCGUGAGUAUGUCAAAGAAUUCUCUACACUUAUGCUUGAGAUACCCAACAUGUCUGAGGAAAAGCUACUAUUCAACUUCAUGGACAACUUGCAAAGCUGGGCCGAGCAAGAGUUAAGGAGAAGUGGUGUCCAAGACCUAGCCACGGCCAUGGCGGUAGCGAAGUCCUUGGUGGAAUACAAAAAGGGAGACUCUUUUAAGCCCAAGCCACAGUCUAAGGGUAAUCAUGCUAAAGGUGGGGAAACAAGGGAUCAAGGAGGUACACUCCUAAGGAAUGAUCAAGCAAGACCUCUGGUGGCAAGGAUGGUAAGGGUAAGGAUAAACGGAAAUAGUUCACGCCUAAGAUCAAUUGCUUCCUAUGUGAUGGUCCACAUUGGGCGCGAGACUACCUCAAAAGAAAAGCCCUAAAUGCCAUGAUCGAGGAAAAGUAGAAGGAAGACAAUGCUCAUGUGGGAUCAUUACAACUCUUAAAUGAUAUCAAGGCUAAGUCAGUGCUUAAGACACCUCAAAGUAAAAGUCUAAUGUACAUAGAAGCCCUUGUAAAUAGGAAGGCUACCAAGGCUUUGGUGGACACUAGUGUCACUCAUAACUUUGUCUCGAAGGAUAAGACAAAGAACUUAGAGCUCCAAGCAUCUAAGGAAGGAGGUUGGCUCAAGGCAAUUAAUUAAGUUUCCAAGCCAUCACACGAAGUAGCACGCAGGGUGGCAAUGCACAUUGGCUCAUGGGAAGGAAUGGUCGACUUCACAGUGGCACCCAUGGACUACUUCAAGAUGGUACUGGGAAUGAACUUCCUAUAGAAAGACAAGGUCAUGCCACUACACUUCCUACAUUUAAUGGUUAUCCUAGAGGAUGAAAAGUCAUGCAUAGUCCUUACGGUCACCGAAGGUUCACCCAAGACCCCUAUGAUAUCGGUUAUGCAAGUAAAGAAGGGAUCAAAGAGGAAAGAGGUGACCUACCUCACCACUCUUAAGGAGGAAAAUGAUGAUGAGUUGGGGGAGCCCAUGCCUAAGGAAAUCAAGAGAGUCUUUGAUGAGUUCAAGGACGUGAUGUUGCCUAAGUUGCCUAAAAGACUCCUUCCUAGAAGAGAGAAAGAUCAUAAGAUCGAGUUAGAUGCAGGAACUAAGCCCCUUGCUAUGGGGCCAUAUAGGAUGGCACAACCCAAGCUGAAAGAGCUAAGGAAACAACUUAAGGAGUUGUUGGAUGCAGGGUUUAUCCAACCAUCCAAGACUCCCUAUGGCGCACCGAUUUUAUUUCAAAAGAACCAUGAUGGGUCCCUACAGAUGUGCAUCGAUUACCAAGCACUCAAUAAGGUAACAAUAUAGAAUAAGUACCCCAUUCCACUCAUUGUUGAUCUAUUUGAUCAACUUGGUAAAGCAAGGUAUUUCACUAAGUUGGACUUGAGAUCAGGCUACUACCAAGUGAGGAUUGUGGAAGGAGACAAACUGAAGACUACAUGUGUGACCCGAUAUGGCUCAUAUGAGUUCUUAGUGAUGCUCUUCGAUCUCACCAAUGUACCAACAAUGUUUUGGACACUCAUGAAUAAGAUCUUCCAUCCCUAUUUAGACUAGUUUGUGGUGGUAUACUAAGAUGACAUAGUCAUCUACAAUAGCAUCUUAGAGGAGCACGUGGAGCAUUUAAGGAAGGUCUUCAAGAUCUUAAGGUAAAACGAGUUAUAUGUAAAGAAGAAGAAAUGCUCAUUUGUUAAAGAGGAUGUGAGCUUCCUAGGGCAUCGCAUCAAAGAUGGCAAGCUGAUGAUGGAUGACAACAAGAUGAAGGUCAUCUAGGAAUGGGAUCCACCUACUAAGGUACCUCAACUAAAGUCUUUCCUUGGCUUGGCUAACUAUUACCAGUGGUUCAUCAAGGGUUACUCUACAAAGACAGCUUCACUCACUAAUCUUCUUAAGAAGAACAAGGCAUGGGUGUGAGACAAAAGGUGGCAACAAGCCUUUGAAGAUCUAAAAAGUGUUGUGAUUGAGGAGCCAAUGUUGGCAUUACCCAACCACAUGAAGGUUUUUAAGAUACACACAGAUGCCUCAAACUUUGCUAUUAGGGAAGUUCUGAUAAGAUAGACAUCUAAUCGCCUUCAAGAGUUGCAAGCUAAAUGACAUAGAGAGACGCUACAUGGUACAAGAAAAUGAUAUGACUGUCAUUGUCUAUUACUUGCACACCUGAAGACACUAUCUUCUAGGGUCUCACUUCAUAGUGAAAACCGACAAUGUUGUCAUUAGUUACUUCUAAACACAGAAAAGUCCUAAGUAAGCUAGGUGGCAAGACUUUCUGGUUGAGUUUGACGAUGCGCUGGAGUAUAAGACAAAAAGUACUAAUCAUGUGAAUGACGCCCUAAGCCGUAAUGUAGAGCUAGCAUUCAUGACGAGCCAGCCCCAAUGAGACAUAAUAGAUCUUCUAAGAGAGGGGUUGCAACAUGAUCUAGUGGCUAAGAGCCUUAUUACCUUGGCCCAUGAGGGAAAAACUAAGUGUUUUUAGGUAGAGGACGACCUACUCUACACUAAGGGGAGACUACUCUACGUGCUUAAGUGGGGGAACAUAAGGUAGAACUUGAUUAAGGAGUGCCAUGACACCAAGUGGGUUGGGCACCUUGGGCAACGACGCAUAAAGAGCACUACUCGAGUCAGCUUACUACUGAUCUUAGAUACAAGAUGAAGUUGAGGCAUAUGUGAGGACUUGUCUUGUGUGCUAACAAGACAAGGUAAAACAACAACAACCUAGAGGCUUGUUGGAGCCACUACCUAUAGCAGAGCGUCCAUGGGAGAGCAUCACCAUGGACUUCAUCAUCGGGCUACCUAAGUUGGAGGGCUAUGGCUCGAUCAUAGUGGUAGUGGAUAUGUUCUCUAAGUAUGUGACCUUCAUAGUAGCCUCUACUGACUGUACUGCAAAGGAGACAGCAAGGCUAUUCUUGAAACACAUGGUCAAAUACUGGGGGUCGCCUAAUUACAUCAUCAGUGAUCGCGAUUUGCAUUUCACUAGGAAGUUUUGGACAAAGCUCUUUAAGCUUAUGGGUUUGAAGCUUCACUUCUUCACAAGCUUUUCACCCGUAAACAGAUAGGCAGAUUGAGAGGGUGAACGCCUUAUUAGAGUUAUACUUAUCCUUCAUGAGUGUCAACCAAAAGGAAUGGACUAAGUUGCUAGAUGUAAUCCAAUUUUCAUACAACUUGCAAAGAAGUGAGACAACCAACAAGAGCCCGUUCAAGCUAGCCAUAGGGCAGCAACCAUUGACUCCUCACACACUACCAAUAGGCUAUACGAAGAGAAGUUCAGCGGCUUUGAAGUUCACUAAGGGGUGACACGAGCCAACUGACAUAAUAGCUCAUACUUGGAUAGGGCCGCUAGAAAGAUGAAGAAGUGGGCUGACAAAAAGCGACAUCACACUGAGUACAAGGUCGGAGACAUGGUCUUUGUCAAGCUCCUUCCUAAAAAAUUCAAGUCACUAAGGCCGGUACAUAAAGGCCUUAUGAUGAGGUAUAAAGGACAUUUCCCCAUACUUGGAAAGGUCGGCAAGGUGUCCUAUAGAGUUGAGUUACCACCGAGGUUGAAGAUUCAUAUCGUCUUCCACGUAAGUUACAUAAAAUCAUAUCACGAAGACAAGAAUUAUCCAAGCCAAGGGAUGUCCUAGAUGACACCUACAUCGAUUAUGACCUUCUAUGACAAGGAAGUAGAACACAUCAUUGCAGGCUGAGUCAUCAAGAGAUGAGGCGUGCCUCCUGCUACGGAGUACUUGGUGAAAUGGAAGGGACUACCAGAGAACGAGACUAGCUGGGAGCCAAUAGAUGCACUAUGGCAAUUUCAGGAGCACAUUAAGUGGUUCUAGGUGGAAGGUGCGACAAGGACGUUUACGGUUUAGGUAGGGGAGAGUGUCAUAGAAUGCUUCAAAUGAGCCUCCCCAGGGGUUUAUAUAGAGCCUAAGAAGCUUUUGGAGACUCCUACACUUAGUCAUUGGUGGGAAAAUGGUGGAAGGUUCUAAAGAUGUCUAAAGAUAUCCACACAUCUCUACACUAUGGUGGAAGGUAUGAGAGAAGUCCAAGGCUUUCUAGAAAAUUCUAGAGAUCUCUUGUAUAUUCUUGUACAUAGGCUUGUACAUAGAAUUGUGUAGGAAGUUUUAGAUUAUUCUUGAGUUGUAAGGAACCCUCCAAGAUUCCAAAGAGUUUCAUUGGUGCCUAUAAAUAGGUGAAGGCCUCAUUUGGCCAAGGCACCAAGCAAGUGAGUUCCAAAGCACUUGUAAAGCUUCUUUUAAGUAAUAAAAGCUUCCAUCCUUCAAGAUUUAUCUACUACGCCUUAUAAAGCUUUCAAGUUGUGAGCAUCUUAACCUAGCAAGCUGAGCAUUGGGAGCAAAACUGACUUAGCAAGAUCAAGGGUCUUGACUUGUCUAAGUGUCGCACGAGCUUAGGAAAAGACUAAGUUCAUGACACCUAGGACUAGUAGCAUGCACCCUAAGUAAUCCAAGGCUAGAAAUGAAAUGAUACAAGGAUUCCCAACACUUGACUUAAUUCCUUAGAAAUUGAAACUCAAUAAAAAACAUUAGUGUCAUUAACCUCAUUUUUUUUAUUACCAAUACUUAAUUAGGGGAAACCUUGAGCUAACAACCUCCUCAUUUUUUAUGAUGAUAAAACUGUACCAUCUAAAGAAAGCUUUCCUUAAUGUAUGCAUAUUAUAAGCAAUUUAAACAUUCAUCAUAAAAGAUGGAAAACAUAAACUCAAAUGGAGACAUGGAUAUAUAGAUAUAAGAGACAUCAUAAAGGUUGCAACAUGAUCGUAUAUCCGAAAUAGCAUCCAAAAGCAUGUCAUCCAAAAAAAAAUCAACCAUAAUAACCAUGUUCAAAUUGUCCCAAAAAGGAAAAAAAUAUAUAUAUGAAACAAAAAGUAUUAAAUAGUUUACUAAAUGUUAUGCCCUAGAUACCUAAAGAUAUCUCCCCCUUAGGCAACAUCGAAACAAUGAGGGAACUAUAUGGCUCAAGGUUGAGGUGGUGGAAACAAGGAACAUAGGACAGCUAUUGAAGAAGCUAAAAUUCUUCAUAAAUGAUUGAAUUUUAUUUCACCAUGAGAAACAAUACAAAGAGGGAUUUUUUUUUUUUUUUUUUUUUUUUUAUCAAGGGGAAGACCCCUUUCUCUUUACUACUUAUCCCUUUUAAUAAAAAUUCUUCCACAUUUUUCCACUUUAUUUUGCCAACAUUCUUUCAACCCCUUUUGCACAAAAAUGCCAAAGAUAGUAUUAGGAUAACCUUUUACAACCAUUGCUAACUUUUGACACAAGUUGCUAAAAAUUGUUGAAGAUUUGCUUUUAAUGUCAGGUAGGAUAGCAGAUUGGUUCUAAUUGAAGGUCAUUUCUUGUGGAGGACCUUACUUAUAAGUGAGAUGAUUGUUCCUAUCUUCAUGGUUUUAUGUUGUAUAGUUAUAGAGACUUUUUAGAGGCUAUCAGCUUUAGAGCAAAUUUAUGUUGUUUGUUAGGGAUUAAGUAUUUUAUUCAAAUUGGGUGAAUGGUACUACCUCUUUACUUGAGAUGGCUUUGAGAUUGGGUGGUUGAAUAGUAGUACUUUGGAAUGGUCUAGUUUUUGUUCGCUUUAGCUAUCAUUUUCUUAUGCUGUGUCUAUAGACGAGUGGAGACGUCAUUUGGAAAUUGGUCAAAUUGCCCGUGAAAUUGAUCAAAUUGUCAAGUUGUCAUCCUAAAAUUGACUAAACCUAGUUUGUAAAAAUGAGAAACGACCGUCACUAGCGACUAACAUCUUCUCAAGCUAAGUAUUAAUAGAUCCAAUCUGAGCAUAAAGGGCAUCUUAAUGUUGCAGGUUCAAUGCUCAUGAAGCAUAAUAUUUUGGAUACUUGGUGUGAGACACCUCAGCAUAAGUCUAAUCCAUAAGGAUAGUCUCCUCAGGAGGUUGAGAUGUGGGCAAUUGAAUGGUGGCAUCCAUGCCCUUGGUUUGCAUCUCCUGUUGAACAUCCUCACCCCCUAAUCCUUUAUGGUCACCCUCAGUCUCUAUCUAUAGAAUCUCUGCCUCUUACUCAACCCGGUCUUCAUUCAUAGCAGGACCCUUUCUUUUUCUUUCCAAUGAUCCAUUAGGCAAUUUCUCAAACAGCAUUCGGUCUGGAUUUUACGUUAUAGGUAUCAUAGGAUGAGGCCUGAAUGUUUUUUUCUCUUCUUAUGUCCACAUUGAAUGCUUUCAGGAUUUUUGUGAUCAGUCUUCUUCCGUUGGCCACUACUUUAGAAUUGCUUUUACAACAGUUUUUCAUGUGUUGAAAGAUGAUAAGGAAACCUUAGAAUGGAUCGGAGUCAAUAGAAAAUGCUACAUAAUAGGACACCUUGUCUCUAUGUCCACCCUUAGGUAGAAAAAUAUGUUUGAUCAUGUGGUGGUGCACCCUAGAGAUAAUGCUCAAGGCAUGGGCAUGGAGCUUUGAAGUCACUGUGUCGAUGGGUAAGUUACAUAUCCUCUAGAAAGCCCUACCUAGGUUAAAACUAGACACUAUAGGCCAUCCCUUCGUCUCAAAUAAACAAAGUCCCCCACAAAGGAUCUCCAAAAUAUCACAAAGCAUAUCAAUAUUUAGUUUAAUUCAACUCCUCUAACAAAUGUGCUAAUUGGCCUUCAUAUAUUUUAGGUUCAAGUAAAAUACCUGAACAAGGUUGGGGUAUGUAGGCUCUCUUGAUGAGAUGGUAUUGGUGAGUAUUUUUUUUUCUUCAAUACAAAACUAUUACAACACUUGGUUUUUUUUUUUUCUAAAAAAAAAAGAAAAAUAAAAAUAGUUUUAUAUUAUACUUAGUUUCAAGAAAAAUAAUAAUCAAAGCAAAAUGAAAAAAAAAUUCUCAUAUUGGUUUCUCGUGAAAAAUAUAAAAGCAAAUAAAAUACAAUUAAAAUUAAUUAAAAUCUUAUGUAUUUUUAAAUUAUUAAUUUUUAUAUAAAAAAUGAAAAAUAGUAUAAUGAAUUUAGAAGAAUAUAUAAAAAUAAUGUAUUAACUUUAAAUCUUUUUUUCUUUAUAUAUAUAUUUUCCCUUCAAUUUUCUAAUACCAACACAUAAUAAGGUUAAUGUCUUCUAGCCAACCAAUUGUAAGUCAAUUUUCAUAGAGCUUUUUUUUUUUUUUUUUUUUACAUGCCACCAAGUAGUUAUAUAAGCAUUUUUGCAUGUUAUUGUUAUCCAACAUACAAUAACUAUAACAUCCAAUUAUUAUGAACAUGAACAAUAAAAUUAGAUGCAACUAACUAUUUAGUGUAUAACAAGAAGUUGGUGAAGUAAUUCAUCCUAACAUGAUUCAACAAUUUUUGUUUAUUUUUCAAGAUUAAUUAUAACAUACCCAUUCUAUUAAAGUUGUUGAGAUAUUUGAGCAAAACUAAAAAUCAACAUUAAUUCAUUUUAUACCCACAAGAGAAAUAAGAUUUGUUUUUUUGUUUGAUAAUAAAGUAGUUGUAGUUAUUAAUGAUAAUUUUGAUCCUAAUUUAAUAGGUAUCCAAAAAAAAAGGAAAAAUGCAAGUAAACCAAUUCUUAUCUAACACAAUUAUUACCACCUUAAAAUCCUGAGGGGUAGCUCAGUUGAUCAGUUCGAGUCCCUUUAGGACCAUGAAAAGCUUACCCGAUGGUUCACCUUAAGAAAAGCAAAGCAUUUAUAUAAUUCAACUGGUAGUUGAUAAGUCUUAGAAAGGGUUUUGCCAUCAUUGGCUUCUCAGUAAAGGGCAAAUUUGGGUUGUGGCUGACAAUUAUUGAAUUUGUGAAGAAAUAUGUGAAGAAAGGAAACAAAAAGAGUUGAGGACAGAAUUCUUCAAUUAAAAAAUGGUUAGCCCAUGAACCCAUUCUUCAAACAGUAAGCCAAUGAGCCAAUGAGCCAAAAAGAAAGAAGAACAGCUGGUUUCAUCUUUUUAUCUUAAUGACUUUGACAACCCAUCUUUCUUUUAAAUACUUGUGACUUUGGAAUAUAAUUAAAAUGAAACUUUGGAAUGCCCACAUCUGAUUCACGGCCUUUUUACCUGUUUUCUUGUUUAACAUUUUUUUAAAUAUUAUAACAGAUGGAAAAACAUGAUUCUAACAGGCUGGAAAAUAGUGGAAGUUGGAACACCAACCAUAACCAAACUAUACCUUCCAUCUUUCUCCAACACUCGGAAUUAUUGAUACAAGUUGGUGGUUUUAUGAUUGUUUCUAUUGAGGGGACCCCUCUCCAUUUCCAAUUUCAAUGGAAAGGUUCUUCUUUCCCUACUUUUUUUUUUUGUUUUUCAAAUUCUUGUAGUUUUGUCUGUCUCUCUCAACAAAGCAAACUGCAAUCACUAAUUCAAAGAAAAGGAAUCCUAAAUGAAAAGAAAAGAAAGGAAAGGAAUGGUAAUUUAGGCUAUGAUGAUGCUCCUAUAUAAUGGCUGUAAGUCAAUAACAACACACUGGACCCGCCUCCUAUCUCAAAAGAUCACAAACCCAAAUAUCAUAUACUUCCAAAUUUCAAUUUGGUUCCCUGUUUAUAUCACAAUCUGUCCUAUAUCCUCUUAAUACAUCUAAAAUCUCUCUAUAUCAUAAAAAUAAUGAUGGAAAAAAAAAUUAAAAAGAAAGAAGGAAAAAAUGACAAAAAAAAAAAAACCUUGGUGCUGCUAUGGGUCCAUAGGAAUUGGCAGGACUGCACUUCUGGAUCCCCUUCCAUGGCCAAAAGAAAAGAAUGAUCUUCGGAAUCUGCUGCUGCAACCUUCACUAGGGCUGAAGUCACUGACAGGCCUGUUCUGUUGCAAAAUCUCUUGAAUUGCUAAAUACAGCUGCCUGUCGUUGGAUGAGUCCAUUGAAAAAGACCUCCUGAUGGGUUGGAUUGAGAACUGAUCAUCUUUGCCUCUAGUGUCAAUGCACUCAUCACCCAUGCUUGCAACAUGAUGAAACUUCCUUGCCUUUUUAGGCACAAUUCUCUGCUCUAGCUUCCUAGGUGAUGGACUAAUUGAUGGCGCAGAUAACUCUCUGGAAUUCAGUCUUUCUGGUGGCCUAAGCAGUGAUGAAUCAGCAGAACUAUCAUUUCCCAAUUCAAUUACUACAAAAUCUUCAUCCCCUCCUAUGUAAUUAUUGGCGUAGGGGCUUGGAUCUUGGGGGGAAGAGCUAGGAGCAAUGAUUUGGUGAACAGGAAACCGGGGUGUGGUUGAAAUGCUUGUUCUGCAAAGUGGGCAAUUAGCAUUGCUUUGAAGCCACACGUCUAUGCAAUCUAUAUGAAAUAUGUGACUGCAGUUUGGUAUGAUUCUUAGCUUCUCUUCUUCUUGAAACUCAUUCAAGCAAACCGCACACUCGCAAUGGCUUCUUUCUCCAAACUCUCUGCCACCUCCUUUCCUGAACUGGAAUAUUGGGAUUGAUCUGAUGACUGACUCGUCCAGGCCUCGACUCUCGAUUGCUGGGGAGUACACCAUUAAAGGGUCUUCCGGGUGCCGACUCCUUGAGAAAGAAAAUCGUCUCAGCAGAUCAAUCCGGUGCCAAUUGAGGCAGCAUUUGAUUACAAAGAUGUAGUAGCUCACCAGCAAGAAAGCAGUGGCCAGGAUUCCUAUUACGGCAAUGGCUAUAAUGGGGAAACUGGUGUCCGAGGAAUGAGAGGGAGAAGGAAGCACUGAGCUCGCCUGGCUUUUGAUGGGAGAAAAGGCUUGUGAUCCAUGGAUGGAGGAGUCUGUGCUCACAAGAUCCAUGAGAGAGGCUAUGAAAAACAUUUAGAAAUGAGUCUAUUCGGAUCUUCAAUUCACAGAAACAUGCAAAUGCUAGAAUAAAAUCGACAGACACUCAGAUAUAGACCCUACAGUUGUAAUGCAGCAUACCAUAAAUGUGAUUGAGUGAGUGAGGCUGAAACAGCAAAUGGGUCACUUCAAGAUCUCAACAAGACAGAAAACCCAUGUUGAAUUCACCAGGAGAGUAUUGAAAAGGGAAAAAUUAAGGACAUAUAGCUGUAUUGAAAGUUGAAACAAAUGCAGAAACAUAGAGAAGAGAGAGAGAGGGAGAAAACCCAGGAGGGUUGAAUGAGAGCGCUGCUGGGGAAGACAUCAAAACGCUUCAAAUUCAAUGAGAAUCUGUUGGGGACCUCUUUAAGAGGACUGCACAAAGCCUGAGCGUAGGGUACGUGGUUGGUUGGUGAAUUUCUCGGCUUCCAAAAGAGAAAUUUGGUGAGAAAAUUUUCAAGUCUCUUGAUUAUAGUAACGUAGCGUUUAUUUUAAUUUUAUGUAACCGAAACUAAUGGGCUGGUUCAAAAAAAUAAAAAAUAAAAAAAGGAACUUUCUAGGAUAGGCCAGCAGUCCACCGUUGGUCAUGUGGUUUCUUUUGCAUGUCCACAUCUUCCAACUAGUGGAGGUCCCUGUCACAACAGUAAGAAAACACCCAAUUGAAUAAAAGUAUGAACUUUUGGCUCCCAAUAUUACUUAUGCCCUCAUUCAAUACCUCAAAUAAAGCAGAGAUUUUGUGUCCCAACUUUUAUGAUUUCAUUUCAUCUUACUUCAAAUGCUAAUGACAAAAGUCCAAGUAUAUUCUGUAAUCACCCACACCCCAAUAGUUUUGAAUCACACUUGAAAUAGUUCCCAUGCUUUCUUAAUAAUUUAGAUAAUUAUUUACAGAAAAAAAAAUUCAGAACAGGAUGAUAAUCAUUUUGUGAUAGCAUGGAAGAAACUUUACUAGCCACUUUGGCCCCAUGAAGUUGAGUACUUGAUGCCAAUUAAUGGCAGGGUGGAAAAUAGAGAAAAGGGAUCAUAGUCAAAUCUAGAGUACAAGGCAUUGAAUCUUUGUUAAUAAUUAACAAAUGGGUAAAGCAUGGGUCACAGGGUCUACAGUUUGGAUUGCAAAAACCUCAGGCUUCUAUAAAAAGCUCAUCCAUUAUCAAUCAUCAAUCUGAAAGCCAGAAAGUCCAAGGCACAUGCAACCCACGACAGGGGUAAGAUUUCUGCAUCAUGUCCCUGAGUUGCAUUCACAUCAUAUGUUUCCCUCCGGGCCGUUCCAAUUUGAAAUCUCAUGGAAAUCUUCAAGAGCAAGGCUACAGAGUUUAAGAUAAUACUAGGGGUGGGUCCUGAUGGGAAAAGAGGUAGUGUAGGAUAGUCAAUAAAGGGCAUGUGUCUCUGGUGUGAAGUCAAAUCCAGUGUACCAUCCUCAAUGGAAAAUUUAGAAAUAGAACCGACACUCUACAGACUGCCGUGUUGACAGAUUAGAGAAAGACAAACCCACUUACACUUGCCUCAAAACCCAGUCCUGCCAUUUCAAAGGCAAAAAAAAAGGGUUUCUUUUUAUAGUCAAAGGUUGAGGCCUGGCCUGGCCUAGCAAAGAAACUUCACCUACUCUUUUCUUAUUUUUCAAAUUAAGGCCAUUCAACUUUUCCUGUUUGCAGGCUUGCUGCCAUAUCUUACUCCAAAAAAGGUGAAAACCCAAAAGAAAAAGAGUGUUUGCUUCAAUGGAAAACUCAUGUUUAAUAAAUUCACCGCACGAGUUUUGUUCCAGCUUUUCCUAUGAAAGCUGUGAUGCGUUUGGUAUGAAGUUGAUUUUGUUCCUAAAAAUUUUGAUCUUGGCGUGGAAGGCAACUUUUUCCUUUUCCCCCUUUUUCUUUUUGAAAAGUUCGGCAUUAGUUACCAAAUGUCCUUUUACUUGCAUGUAGGACAGCGGAAGCAUUACACAUCGCAGCAAAAUCCCAUUUACCCGAAUUUUCCACUAACUCUUUUUAUUUUUUACCAUCAUUUUUUAAUAGAAGUGAUGCACUCUUCAAAUUACAUGAAGCUUUUAAGAAGGUAAUAACCCGUUUCAAAGCGAACUUAACCUACAGAGUAUGUUUUAAAAAUAUUUAGGUAUUUGAUAAAAUUUAAAAAAUAUUUUUUAAAAUCUUUAAAAUGAUUUGUAAUAUUGAAAAUUUAUUUAUACUUUUUUUAAUAAAAAAACAUUUUAUAGGUAAUUUUUCUAAAAUACUUUUAGAGAAAAUGUCUUCCCUUCACUAUAAAUAUUAUAUACUAUCAAAUACACUUUAAAAAUCUGUUUAACAAUAAUUUUAUAAAGUGUUUUUAAUUUUAAAAAUAUUUUUAAAAACAAAUUAAAUUUUUGAUAAAAUUUAAAAAAUCUUUUUAAAAAUUUUGAAAAAUAUCUCGUAAUAUUAAAAAAUAUAUAUAUUUAUAAUGUUUUUUAUAUAAAUACUCAAAAUUCAUUUAAUAGUGAUUUUAGGAAAUGUUUUUAAUAUUUCUAAUACUUGAAAAUUUUUUAUCAUUUAAGUAUUAAAAAUAUUAAAAACACUUUAUAAAAUCACUUUCAAAUGGACUCUUAAUGAUUUUACUAAAAACACUUUUCAUAGAAAACAUUUAUAAAAAAUAAUUAUGAAAUACACUCUAAAUUAAGUAAAAGUUGUUUUUAACAUUACCACUAUUUAUUAAUAGUGCAUUUGUUUAAAAUAUUUAUAUGAAAAAUUCAUUAGGGUGGGAUAUAAAUAUAGAAGUGUUUUUCUUUAUAUAUUUUUUAUAAUAAAAAAUGAUUUUUGAAAUUAUAAAAUUUGAAUUUAAGAAUCAUUUGAUAAUAAUUUUUGUUAAAGCACCUUUAAUACGUGGUGCUUCUAUUGAUAGCGCUUUCAUUUCUAUGAAUGGCUAUAAAUUAUAUUUGAAUAAAUUUUUUAUAAUGUAUUAUAUAAUAAAAAAAAAGUCAUUUUUAAAAAAAUUAUACAUUAAAUGAUUAUUCAAAUAGUAUUUCCUAAAUUUUAUUAAACAUUUUUUUCAAAAAAAAAAAAAAAGUUUUCAAAUACUAGAAAACGUUUUUAAUCUCUCACACGAUCACAUCCAAACAAGUCCUAAUGCUACUCCUAGAAACACUCCAAAACAAAAGUCUUCCUCUAUUAAUGUUCAUAAAAUCCACAUAUAUUCUUCCAUCGUUUUUUCAAAAUUCAAAAUCAUUUCUAAAACAUCAAAUCAUGUUCUUUGGAUUGGCUGACUUGUUUUUUGAAAAUAGAAGGCUCAUUAUUGACGUCCGUUGACUUCAUAACCCAGUCUUGAUCUCUUGAUGGAGGGCAUAAAUGUAAAUUGGACGAAACCCUAGGGUGCGCUAGAGUGUAGAGGAUGAAAGGUUGGAAAAAGGAUGAGGUGGGGGUGUAAUAAAGAGGAGGGUUGGGAGAAUGGGACAUGUGUAGGUGAAGCAUUAAAUUCAAGACUAUGCUUACCAACAACAUAUAAAUAAAUAAAUAAAUAAAUAUAGGAACAGCACAUGGGGUGAGUAGGAGACAUCAGAAGAUGUGAACAACCCCUUGUCAGUCCAAUUUGCGUCUUUUAUCUACUCUAUUAUCUAUAUCGAUUUUCGUAUUUAUUUAUUUAUUUAUUUAUUUUUACCAUUUGAUUUUGCAUGGAUGUCGAAGGGUUUAUUGGCUGCCACGUGUAGGGUUAUGGUCAAGAUCACGUGGGGUGCCUACAUGGGAGUCACGUGAGUGCAUGAGGCAGGCUUGAAUUGCAGGAGGAGCAGGAGCAGAGCAGUGGCUGUUGUCUUAAGACUUUGCUCUCUUGGUGGAACUGCAGCUUAAGCAGCAUCCACGUGUUGUCACGUGCAAUGCGAGCCAUCCACACCACCAGUUUCUUUUUAGUGAUUUUCUAAAGUCAGUUAAGGUUGCAGUCAAUACCUUCAAAUGUUGACAGAGUUAGGGAUCUUUGUUAAAUGGAUUUUAUUAAGAUAUUAGUAAGUUAAUUAAUUGAGGGUCAACAUAACAGAUGGGUCGGGUUGGGUUGAAUCUGAAUUUAAAACGAUUUAAUUUAUGUUUAAUCAAAUUUAACAUUUAACUCGAAGCACUCAACUUAAGUUUAAUUGAAUCUUAGUUUUCAAAACAUUAUUUAAAUUUGGGUCAUUUGGAUUAAAGUCAAAUGGGUUAGAUUAAUCGGGUUAUAUGGUUCAAAAUCCACUUACCUUAUUUUUUAUACAUUAAUAUUAAAAUUUAAAUAAAAAAUAUUAGAAGAAAUUUCAAACUUGGGAUUAGUUGAUUGUAGCCAUGCAUUUGGAUGUUGGUAUUCUUGUUUCUUGUCUUGUUUCCAAAUACCCUUUCAAAUCGCUUUGUUAUUCAAUAGCAUCCUCCCGAUCAUUUAAAAAUUUAAAGAGCAUUGGUAUGAUGGAGGAAUUCAGAAAUUUUAGUUGAAUAAGUAAAAUUUUUCUCUCAUAAAACCAAAUAGCCUCUAUAGCUCAGUGGUAGAGCGUCAGUCUUGUAAACUGAAGGUCUGUAGUUCGAUCCUGCAUGGAGGCAACUUUUUAUAUUUCAUGAUCCAUUAUGCUCUAGUGAUUUAGUUUUCAUUAUAAUUUUAGAUUAAAAAAUUACAUCAACAUUUGAUAAGUUGGUUAUGACUUUGAUAUAAGGAUGAAACUAUCAAUAAUAUAUAUAAAUAUUUUGACACAAAAUAUCUAAUAUAUUAAAAAAUUAAAAAAAAACUCUAAAAAACAUUAUAAAAUUAUAUAUAUAAUUUAUCAUAUUUAAUAAUAAUAUCUUCUACCCUAAUAAAAAAUAUAAAUUUUAUAAGCAUACAUUUAUUAUUACAUUGUAUUAUAUAUUAUUUUACAAGAAUAUUAUGAUAACAUGUCUAAUUUUAAAAUAUAUUUAAUAUUAAAAUUAUCAUCAAUUUUAAUUUAAAUGUAUUUAAUGAUAUCAAAUAAUAUAUAUAUAUAUAAUUUUUUAAUAUUUAUAUAUUUUUAUAUUUAAUAAAUAUAUAAAUUAUGUAAAAAAAAAAGACCUAUUAAGAAGAUUAUGUUUUUAUAUUUGGAUCAAAAUUAAGUUUUUCCGAUAAAAUAUAUGAAACUAUUGAUAAAUUAUUGAUUGAAACGUGAAAAAAAAAAUUCAAAAAAUAGAUGAGAUAUUAGUAAAAUAUCCGAAAAUAUUGAUUGAUGAAUAUAUCAUUUCAAAUUUUGCAUCAACAUCCACAUAUGUUGGAUAUAUUGGCCAAAUAUAUUUAAACCUUGUUUCCAUGAGAAGUCUUUCCUUCAACAAUUUCAAAAGGUUAAUGAGGUGGUUUCCAAGAGAUGUGUGUAGGGGUCUCCAACGGGCGGGCCGGGCCAGCGGGCUUUUUGAAAUAAGCCAAAAUGGCUUUCAAAAAAGGGAAGGGAGAGGAUUUAAACCCCUUCCUUCAUGCUUAAAUUUCAAGGUUCUAACCAAUUGAACUACAUUCCUUUAAUGUUUAUUAAUUGAGUUAGUUAUAUAUAUAUAUAAAAAUAAAGUAUAUUAUUUUUUAAAGGGGCGGGCCUACGGGCUGGGCCGGGCCGAAAGCGGGCCACGGGCCACGGGCUUUUUGGAGACCCUUGGAUGUGUGCAAUCACAUUUGGUAUUAUAGGUGACAAAGUUUGAUAAAUGAGUAAUUAUUAGGUUAACUUAUAAAAUCCGAAUUUGAUUUAAAUUGAUUCAUUUAAUAAUCCCAUUUAUUUACCCAAUUAAAACUUUAAAUUAUUUAACUUAUAUUUAAUUUAAUUAAAAUUUGUUUUUAAAUAAAUAGAUCAAUUAAAACAUAAACAUAUUUGAUUGAAACAUUAAUAAUAUAGAUUUAAAUAAGACCUAAUUCAACCUAACGAUCAAAUAGAAAUAUCUAAUUAUUAAAUAAAUUAAACAUGUUACUUGCUUAAUAAUUAUGUGACAUUUGAAUUUAUGCUUUUGAUAUAAUUAUUAUUUAUAUCAGGUUUAUAUAAUGAAAUAUCUAGACUUUGACACCAGUCAACAUUGUCCACCAAUACAGAUUGCAACUCUUAUAUGCUACAUCACAUCAUGUUGAAGGAAGAGGAUGACGUUCAUUGGCAGCAGAGCCUCCAAUCAUAAGGAGCUUGAGCAAAUUCAAUCUCAACACUGAAAUUCACUAGAAAAAAAGUUUAUUAUUGAUACUUCAUUUGUGUAAAAGCAUUAUAUUUCUUGCAUCAAUCGUAAAGCAUGACAUUCCAGUAGGUACGGAAGAGAAAAUUUGUUAUGAAUUGAAAAAUCUGUCAAGCUUAAUUUGGAGGGCCCAAAAUUGACACGUUUAAGAGCUCUAUCAUUAGCCCAAUGAUAAGAGUCCAUUUCUUGAGUUUCAAGGAAGGCCCAAGUUUAACUUAGAGGGCCCAAUCUUGGUACCUUCUAAAAGGUGCAAACUUUGGCCCAAUUAUAAAAGCUUAUCCUUGCUUCCUAAGCAUCAAUGAUAUAUUUGAUCGAAGUAUUCACAUAACUAUCACGAAAUGAAAUGAAAUGAAAAUGUAUAAGUAAAUGAUGAUUUUGAGUUAUUUACUGACAAUAAAGAAUUAGGUGGUGUUUGUUUUUUUUUUUUUGGCUUUUUACUAAAAGCAAUUUGUUUUCAGAAUUUAGGUUAUUUAUUUUUCUAUUUUUUCAUGACUUAUUAUAAACUUUUUACUAAAUAAGAAAAUCCAAAAUAUAUAGUUUUUUCUAAAUAGAAAAAAUAACAUAUUGGUUUUCUUUUUUUUUUACUUUUUAAUAUUUAAUAGAAAUAAAAUAUUAUAAAAACAAACAACCUAAUAUUUAACACUAUUAAGUAUUAAGGUUUUAUUUAGAAUUAAGUAAAAAAACAAACACUACCUUAAAAUGAAAAGUAUGUAUAAUGACCUUAUACAAAAAAAGUCUCAUUAUUUUCUUCCAAAGAACUCAUACUUUUGUUUUUCAACUAUUACUUUGUUUUUAUUUUUUAAAUAAUAUUUCAAGUUUUUUUUAAUAAUACCUUUCUCUUUAUUAGAUAAUUUUAAUGACUUUAAAAGUAUUUUAAUAUAUUAAUUUAUUAUAUAAUUUUAAUGAUUUAAAAAUAUUUAAAUGUUGAAAUAUUUAUUUUCAAGUCUAAUUUUAAUUAUUUAUUUUUUGAAGUAUUUAAAUAUAUAAUAAAUGUGGGAUUAUGUAAAUCUAGUUGUAAUUAUUUAUUUCAUUCUAUUCAUGUUUUUAGUUGAAUUUGCUCAAAAUUUACACCUCUUUAUUUAAAGAUCAUGGAUUAGUUAGGUGUCUUGAGAUUUUUUUUCUCUCAAGACACUACUUGUUACACUAGAAAAUAAUUUGUGGCUAUAUUUUUUAGGCAAAAAGAAUUAUAUGUUAAAACUUCCUUUAUUGACUAGUUUAUCAUAGGGUGUAGAGGAAAGUUUGUGAUGUCUUUUUAUGUCAACUUUGGGAGAAAAAUAUCACUUUAGCAUUUUCCUUAGAAAAUUUUCAUACAUAAUUGAUUUUGGAACUAUGGAGGAGCAUAAGUAGGGAUAGAUAAUUCGAUUUUGGAAAAAUUAUAAUAGCUUUUCAACUUGGUGUUAAUGAUAUAUUGUUUAUUUCUUAUUUUUUUUCCAUUUUAAUAUAUAAUUGGGGAUUUUAAACUUGUAGAACAAGGCUUUUUCAAUUGAAUUGACACGUACAUAUGAAAGUUCUCUUUGGUUGCUAAUCACAUUUUUUUUUCUUUUGCUUUUUGUUUUUAUCAUAAUGAAUAUUGAACUCGAAAUUCAGUUUUUAAAAUCUUAUGAUGUUUUAAAGUUUAUAAAUAUUAUUGAUUUUUAUAAAUGAUGUUAUUCAUAUCUUGGUAAAGACAAUAUUUUCAUAUCGGUCAAGAUGAUUAAUAACAUAUAAGUUCAUAAAGAAAAACCUAUUGAUUAAUGGAUAUUUAAUGAUUUUUAUUAGGAAUGUUUUUUAAUUAGUUUCAAUACUCAUCUUUUAGAGCAUACAUAUAGGGUUUUAGAUGCUACAUUGGUUUUCAGCUUGUGAUUUAAAUUAUUGAAGCAAAAAAUGAGGGUUUUGCUUUAUGGAACUAUCUAAAGGGAGGUGAAUUAGGCGGUCUUCCUUUUUAAAAUCCAAAAAUUAGAUUUUUAAUACUUAUAUUAGUUAUACAUGUGUUCAAUAAUUAAAACAAAGAACAAGUCCAUAAUUUACAUGUGAUGUGCAUGGAAAAACACCUACAAAUUCUCUCAAAUACUUUACAAAUGAAAAAAAAAUCAAGGAUCGAUCAAUCACAGAGCAACUUCACUAAAUAUGAAAACAUGACUAUACAAUUUUACUUGGAUGAGGUGCUACCUUCUCUUAAGGGUUUUUACACUAGCCAACAAUUACACUCACCUUCACUCUCACCAUGCACCUCUAUUGUGCUCCAUAGUAAACACUUUAAUGACUGUAGCAAGAUUGCGAUAAAUUACUGCGAUUAAUUUGAGAGUGUUGAUAAUGAACAAAAAAUAAUGAUAAUUAACUAGAGAGCAUAUGAUUUUGUAAAAACACCAAAAAGAGGCAUAGUUAUAAGUGAAAACUUUAAUGGAUUGGAUUGAAUAUAUAAUUGAAGUAUGAAUGAAAAAUUACCAAAACAAUGUUCAAAACCGUGCUAAUCAAAGCACAAUCACUUGAGUACUCUCAUGGGGCACUUGAAUGCUCCUUUUAAUCACCGUAAUGCUGAAAUUAAUAAUUUGUCUCAAAUUGUUUUUCCAAAACAUAAAGCAAAAUAUUAUAAAUUUAUAUAAUCAAACCCAAUUUCAUCUUAAAGCUAGCCUACUUAGUCUUAAUUCAUGUCCAAAAAUACUCAUACUUGUCAAAGAAUGAAUAUGGUAUAAACAAAUUCUUUAUUUUCAAUUAUAUUCAAUUAUUGAAAGAAUAAAUCGGUUUACAUACAUUUUGAACAAAGGUAUAUACACAUAGACUAAAUCAAGGAAAUGAGGAAAUCAAUCACAAUCAAAUCAAAAUCAAAUGAUAGGUUGAUAUCUAGGAGAAGGUUAAGUUAGAACCAACUCAUGUAUUCAAUAUUCCCCCUUAAGAUGGCAUAUGGAGAUCAUGAAUAUCAAACCUAGAAAGUAAGGGAUAUGAAAUAUCUAUACCAAGGGAUUUUAUGAAAUAUCAACCAAUUGUUGUUGUGAUUAAACAAAUUGAAUAAGAAUAAUUUCAUUUCGAAUCUUUUCAUAGAUCAAGUGACAAUCAAUUUCAACGUGUUUAUUCUGUUCAUGGAAAAUUAGAUUAAUAGCAAUGUAUAGAGUUGUAUUAUUGUCACAAUAUAGAUGCAUUGACCAAGGAUGAUGAACUCCAAAAUCUAUAAGUAAAUAUUGCAACCAAUGCAAGUAGUAAUCAUUAAAUAAUAUUUCACUUUUCUUCAUGAGUGUUAUAUCAUUGAUUGCUUUUUAGAUCUUCAAGAGAUUGAUAGGCCACCAAGUAAAAUACAAUACCCUAUAAUUGAACAUCAAGAUUAUGCACAAUAGGCAUGGAGGAAGGCAAAAGAAUUCCUUGACCUAGACGAUUUUUUAAAUAGUAUAACACUCAUGUACUUGUGAGAUAAUUGAGACUACAUUGGCUUGUCAAGAAUUUGAACAUAAUUAGCAAUAUUAAGCCCUAUCAUUAUGAGUCAAAGUAACUUCCCAAUCAAAUGCCUAUAAUAAGAAGCAUCCAACAAAGGUUCUCUAUCUAAUUUACUCAAUUCCAAAUUUUGUUUCCUAGGAGUUUUUAAAGUUACAUGUUCCAAGAAAACCAAAAUCUUUUAGUACUUCUAGAGCAUGUUUUCAAUAACUUAAAUAAAUCUCAUUCUUAAAAUAUGUCAUUUCAAUGAUGAUGAAGUACUUUAAUUUUCCAAUCUCUUAGUUAGUUUGAAAAUGCUAUAUAGGUUUUCCUUGACCACCUUAAUUCCUUUAAGAUCAUUCAUUGUAAUAAUUAUAUCAUAAAUGUAAACAAGAAUGAUUGUGAAAUAGUUAUUUGAGGCUUGAGCAAAUAAGAAGUAAUAUGUACGUCUUGGCUUGCUUGUAAACCAUAAACAUCAAUGUGAUAGAUAAUUUGGCAAACCAUCAACGUGAAGCUUGCUCAAGGCCAUAAAGGGAUUUUUUAACUUUGCAAAUCAUAUUUUUGGUUCUAGAUUUCCUACAAACUUGGUGGAAGCUGCAUGUAUACCUCUUUAUCUAAGUCUUCAUAAAGAAAAACAUCGUUGAUGUCAAGUUGGUGAAGAUGUCAAAUUCUAAUUAUACAAUAAUUAGGGGUGACAAUGUGUCUUAUCGUGUUGAGGUGAGAAAUAGUGAAAAUUUACUUAAUCCGACUAUGACCCGUUUGAUAAUCGUGUCAAAAUAACCUAACAUGAAUACAAUUAGUUUAUUUCAUGUAACAUGACCCUUUUAACAUGUUUAAUAAAUAUAUUAACUUGGAUUAUGUAUUAAUUGACAUGAAUAACUCAUUAACUUGAUUUCAACCCCUUAAACUCAUUAACACAAUUCCAACCCAAUAAACUCGUUAAUAUGAUUUAACUCAUUAAACUUGUUAAUAGGAUUAUAACCUCUUUAACCUAUUUAAAAUUUUAAAUUUAUAAAUAAUAAAAUACUUCUAGAAAGUUUAAUUUUUAAAAUUUGAACUAUAAUACAUGUAUGCACCAAUUUCAUGAAGUCCUGAAAAAUUAGCAAAAUUAUAGAAAAAUAAUAUAAACAAAAAUUUGUAUUAAAAUUAAUAAGUAUGGGCUACAAUAUUAGUCAUAGUACUGCUUAUUUCUGAAUGACUUUAUUAAAAAGCGAAGAAUACAUGUGUAGUUCUUAUGUGAUUUCUUAAACUUGUAAGGCGAUUUUAUAAAGUUUUUUUUUUCUUUGUGAAACCUCUUUUUCUAUGUGAAAUUGUUUUGCCGAUUUGAAAUCUUCAUUAAAGGAAGUUACUAUUAUUUAUAAUUGAAAUUAGAGAAUGAAAUGUGGAAUCCCCAUGAUUUAGUUGCUUAAUUCAAGGAAUUUGAUUAAUUGAUUUUGGUAACUUGUCUCAUAAAAUUUUCUAACAAGAAUAUUUAUUUUUAAUCUCUUUUAUUUCAAUUGGAAUAUUUGUUUCCUUUGUAAAUUUGUCAAUAGAAUAUUUAUUUAUUUAUUUAAUUCUCUUUUGACUACAAUGAGAAGAUUUGAUUUUGUUUGUAAGACUAAAUUUUAUAACCUUUCAAAUUUGGCCAAGUGACACCUUUUGAAUAUAUGUCACAUGUCAAAUGUGUGUGACUCAUUAGUUGUUGAACCUAAAUUUUCUUGAAUUAGAAAGCUAUACUUUUGAAGACUAAUUUAGUGAUAAUUUAAUUCAUUAAAUUUUUUUGGUGUCUACAGUAUAUUUAUAAUAUGAAAAGUAAAUUAAAAUUUUAAUUUUUUUACUUGUUUAUUAUUUUAUUUAUUAUUUAAUGAUAAAUAUUUUUAUUCUUUAUUGAAAUAUAUAAAAUUUUAAUUAAUAUUUUAAUUUUUUUAAUUUCUAUAUAUAAAAUAUAUAGAUUUAUAUGGUCUAAUUGAGUCAUUAAAAUAAAUAGGGUAAAUAACUCACACAUAAGUGAUGGAUCAUUCUAACAUGAUUAAAUUAACAAGUUAGAUGAAUUGAGUAGUCAAAUACAAACAUGAUUUGUUUAUUAAAUAAGUUAUAUGAAUUGAUACGAUUAUGACAUCAACUCAAUUAAACUUAACUCAAAUAAGCUUUGUCUUUUAUUUUAAGUUGUCUAGUUGUUCACACAAAUUUUCUCAAAAUAAAGAAAUUAUAUAUAAAAUUGUAAAUUUGAUUAUUUGAGGGGACCAUUUUCAAUACUCUUUUUUAAGUAAUCUGGUGUUUAAUUUUGAAUCAAAGGGGCUUUCAUUAACAAAUAAUAGACUGUAGUUUUCAUAUAAGAAGAAAUCUCAAGCCUUUUUUUCUUGAAGGAAUCUUUAAAUUUUCUUUGAUACUUUAAAAAAUCAAUCUUCUUUGAUUUUUUAAGAAAUCUUUGAAUUUUCUUAAAGUCUUCAAAAAAAAAAAAAAAAAAAAAACUGAGUUUAAGGAAUUUUUUUAAUAACUCUCCAAAUUUCUUUGAUAUUCCAAAGUGUCCUUUAGAAGGGGACAAAUCCUCUAUUUACAGGAUUGAGAGUUUUAUUUUAAUAUUAUCUCUUAAUUUUUAAGAAAUAACUCUCUUAUUUAUGAUAAUUACUAUUUAUUUUAUUUAUCAUAAUUAGUUGCCUAUGAUAAUUAUCAUAAUUAAUUUUUCUAGAGAUAAAUAAUUAUAUAUAUUUAAUUAAUCAUGAUAACUAUAAUAUUUAUUUAAUUUUUUAUUAAAUUAUUUUACAUAACAUAUCAAUAUAUAUUAUUAGUCAAUUAUUAACACCGAAAAUUAAUGAGUUGGCAUAAAAUUUAUCUCUCUAUAAUAGUAUCAAAGCGAGCCUUAAUAAUAACAUUGCUUAUAGUCAAUUUCACAUGCCAACUUUUUACUGGGCAUUGGCGAUUUCAAUUUUGAUAGUCCGGUUAGAAAAAGUAGGUAAAGAUUAUUUGAUGUGGUAGGUCAUUUCUUUCAUAAAGACGAUGGCGGUGAAUUCAUGAGACAGGUGAUAAAGGAGAGAUUCUUUCUUUUGGCUUUGGAAUUUUAAUGAGGUCCUCGAUCCUCAUCCAAAAUACACCUCUCCAAUUAUAAAAAUCUUAUUAAAAAAAAAAAGAUUUGACAUGUGCCUUUCGAACUGCUGGUUUUCUGUUCCAAAAAUGAGAAUGGUUUCAAGUGGAUGAAGGAAGGUGAAGAACCCUUGGUUUUGUUAAGCGAAAAGCCACAUGAUUAAAUAAACAUAAGGCGGCAAAGGCUGAAAAUUUAAAAUUAUACUAAGGAACCCACCCCACAGGGCGACUACACUUUUGGUGAAGCCACGAGAAUGAAAGAUAUCGAAGGUGACACCAAGACAUUAAGCAGCACCAAGGUUUCGAUAUAUUAUAAGAUGGGAUCUUAUGAAAGACGAUCUCUAAUCUCUCUCCAAUCUCUUCUUUAACCUUUUCUUACUUAAAUCCAUUUCCAUGGUAGGGCACAUGUCCAGCUGACCCUACCCCCUCACCUACCUAUACUGCUAUACCCUUUUGUAUAAUUUGAUAUGGAUUGGAAGCCACCCCAACAUCUUUCUAAUUGCUCGUAAAUGUUGAGGUGCCUUUCCAUUUUGAGGCUGCCCUAAUGUGUGGCUGAAGUACGUAGGAAAAAAAAAUUGUGAUACAUGCACUGACGAAUCAAAUCCCAAUGUCAAAUUAUUAGACUCACCUGGUUCUUAAAUUAUUGUGAAUGCCGCUGGCCAUGGAUAAAUGGAAUUAGUGCGUGGCUUAAUGAAAAUUUAUUUUGAAAGGGAUAUUAAUUUGAGAGAAUUUUGGCUGAUACUUGGAGUUGAACGUAAGCAUAUAUGACCUCAUUUCGGGUGUGAUAUUGUGCUUAUAACGAACCUUUCGUUCUUUCCAAUUCCAGUGGGUAUUAAAUAAUUAAAGAAUUCAUGGUUCGAAGGCGAAAGGUAGAAGACCAAAAAGGGAUUACAAAGCCAUCGGCUUGACCAUCCAGAUGCAAUGGAUACAAACUUUGGACUCUAUCGAAAGUUCUUUGGGCACGUGCCCAAGUGUCCUACCCAUAUGAUAAGUUACACGUGGCUAAUUGCGGACCGGUUGCUCGUGCUAAACAGGGUACUUUUUCUACGCAUAUAAGAUGUUUCACUAGUGGGGCUUCACCAUGCAAACUCAUGGAUGAAGACCCUGAGGCCAAGAUGAAGGAACAGAAAGAAGGCGGAGGAGAGGUUCGGUAUCGAGGCGUUCGGAGGCGGCCAUGGGGGAAGUUUGCUGCGGAGAUACGUGACUCGACUAGGCAUGGAGCGCGCGUCUGGCUCGGGACUUUCAAUUCUGCGGAGGAGGCUGCAAGAGCAUAUGACCGAGCUGCUUAUGCCAUGAGGGGUUCCUUGGCGAUUCUCAACUUCCCUAAUGAGUAUCAUACACCCGGCACGGCUAGCUCUUCAGCUUCAUCCUCAAUGCCCGAAGGUGAUCAGCAGGGAAAACAAGUCAUUGAAUUGGAGUACUUGGAUGAUAAGCUGCUAGAGGAUCUUCUCGACUCUGAAGACAAAAAGAACAAGAAAACCUGAAGUUUCUGCUGCCUCGAAUCCCCUGAAAUCUAGUGCUUCAUCGAAAAAAAAUCCCCUCGCUCCUGAUUAACAACAUUUUUAUUUUAGUCAAUGAAUGUGUUCUCGGAUCAUUAUAAGUAUUUCUGCCGAAGUCCAUUGAUUUUUGGAGACUGAAAAAUGUCAGAAAAAUUGGUGCGAACAGGUUUACUCCUUUCUAAAUUAUGCAAUUGAAGUAUUUGGAUUAGUGCGCAGUGUAAACAUCAAGGAAAGCAUGAUCCACUAUUUUAAGGAGCCUAAGUGCUUUCCCCUUUACUCUUUUAGGAUGUCUUUUCAGUGAAGAAAGUUGGGAGACCACCACUUACCCUUUUGAUUGGUAUAUAACUGCCAACUAAUAACUGGACUAACAUUUGGCCCGUCUGGCCCUACUUCUUUGACUUUGUUGUUAAUUUAUAACUUUAUGUGAAGUGGGGGCUGUUUGGGAAUGUGUGAAGCAAGGAUUUGAGCCGACUUCGCCUAAUCUGAUUCUCCAUAAGUGACUUCAUUUUAUCAUAUUGGUGUUUUUUUUCUUCUUCUUUUUAAAUGGCUGGGGAGGAGGGGAUUUGGGAGGGAUGCAAUGCCAUGGUUGCAUGCUGGAUUAUCCUUCCAAAUGAAACAUCCAUUUGGUUUCUAGUAACUAAUUGCAAACAAUUAAAGAGAAUAAAAUUUUAAGAUGAUUAAACAAUAAGUACCUAUGUCCAUGAAAAGGAGAGAAGUUCACUCAUGGGUGUUCAUGAAAGACAUCACAAAGAACCAUCAAUAUGAGAAGAAUCCUGAUACAAUUAACUUUCAUGCAUAAGAAAAGACGCUCAAAAAAGAAUAAUGCUUACAAGGAAAGAAUCUCACUACGAUCAACUGAAAAAAUAUUCCAAUUUAAUUGGAAAUCCUUACAUGGGAAGAAUAUCAAUAAAAUCAACUAAAAAAAUAUUUUAAUUUUAUAUCAAAAUAUUUGUGAUUUAACCCGUAUCAUUUCAUCAUGACUUCUUAUAAAUUUUGUUCCUUUUUAUCAACACCACCCCUUGAGUUGGAGCAUAAAUAUUUAUUAAGCUAACUUGAACAAGAUCUUGAGAAAUUUUGUCGCAGGAUUUGUUUGCACUUUUUUUUUUCAAAUAAAGUCAUAAUUAACUUUAAUAUGUUUAAUCAUUUCAUGAAAUACUAGAUUUUAAGCAAUGUUGAUAGCAUACUUAUGCCUGAAAGCUUUAUCCCAAAUCACAUGAGUACAUGAAGUGAUUGCAUCAUUAAUGGUAGUAUUAUUACUUUAUAUUCAACUUCUCCACUUGAUAGGAUGCAUGAAAGCAUUGUGCUUUCUUCUGUUUCAAGUAAUAAAGAUUAUCACCAAGAAAGGUGCAAUUAAUACCUAGUAACAGAGUACCUAGUGGUAGCAUGCACCUAUCCACUGAACUUGUACUCGACUCUAUGAGUGUACGUUACAUAGUCCUUUUUUCGAAGUCUAAAUGUCCCUUGAUAAAACCUUCUAAUAUUUGAGGUUUUGGUAACAUUCAUGUAUCAAUGAACAAAUUAAUUUACUAGCUAAACUUUAAAAUUAGGCAAUGUUUUUCAAUGGGUGAUCAAGAUCUUGGAAUUUUCAAUGUUGUUUGAAUAGCUUCCACACACAAGCAUAUUUUCUCCUAUUUAGGAAUAAUCCCUUUUUUGAAGGUGUGAUCUUUAUGCUCAAAAAAUAAAGAUACUCAAAAAUUUAAUAUUGACCUUCUCGUGAAGGAAAAGCUUUAUAACUAAUUUUUUUUGUGCAUUAUAUAUAUCCUCAAUAUAGACUUUAAAAAAAAAAGAAGUAACUCCCUCUACAAAGAGUGAAGAGUCAAUUAAACUUUUUUUUUUUUAAAAAAAAGGAACCAAUUACUCGUAAAAGUAAUGAUUAUUUUUACAUACCAAACUUGAGGAGAUUACUUAAGAUCACAAAAGUUUUUAUUAAAUUGCAAGCUAGAUGCAUUUGAAACGAUCGUUGAUGUCUUAGCAACACCUUAUGUAACUCAUCAAUCUUUAUGUAAAAAUGCAUUUUUAACACCCAUAUAAAAUAAUGAUCAAUCCUAAUUUAAUAGAAACAAAUGGUAAUACAUGAAUAUCAUUCAUAUUAAUGAGAAAAGUAAAUAUUGAUUUAUAAUCAACUUCUUAAGUUUGUGUCAAUGCCUUAAUCAUUAGUUUAACUUUGUCAUUCAAUGAUACCAUCAUUACGACAUUUAAUUAACUUAGAUUUGCGUAAAUCCCUUAAUCACUAGUCUAGCUUUAUGUCAUUCAAUGGUACCAUCAUUAUGGUAUUUAAUUGAUCUUAUACCCCCAAUUUGUAUACCCCAUGUUUUUCUUAAUUUACCAUACAUCACUUAACAAUGUUCCAUGCAUGGAUUUUGUUAAGUGCCUUAAGUUCCUUUUGCAUAGCCUUUCUCCAAAUUGGAUGAGGAUUGGCUUCAUUAAUGUCAUUAGACUCAUGAUAUAUGGAACUCAAACAAUUGUUAAGUGAUUUUGUAUAUAUAUAAAAAAAAAAUUGUAAUUAAUGUGGUAGGCAUAAAAAUCUCACAAAUGAGGAUUGAUUAAUUGUUAUAAUUGAGCAACAUGCUUGAGGCUUAGUCACAAUACUAGAACUUGAAGUCAGACAUUCUCUUCAAAUAAGGACGUAUAUACAUUAUAUUGGAUCUCCAUUAAACAAGUAAAGAACUAUUUAGUAGACAAUGAAACCUCAUUGAUCAAUGGUGGUAGAGAGACACAUGAUGACCAGACUAUUCCCCUGGAAAUGAGAAUAAAAAAUAUCAUUAGCCGCAAAAAUCUCAAAAAAAUUUAGAUAAUGGGAUAUAAAGAGUUUAUGAAUUUUACAAUCAUAACUCUUAUACUGGUUUAAGUGGUAGAGUAAUCAAGAACACAAAACGAGUUUGAUGAGUGGUUGAGAUAUGAACAAAGCAAAGAUUUCCAAAGACACCAAAAUCAGAAAUCUCAAUUUUUGGGCUAAGGAUUUCAAGAAGAAAUUUAAAAUUAACUACAUGACUAGAAAAUUUGUUCAUCAAGGAAAUAGAAGUAACGAUAUCAUAACAUCAUAAUUAAUCAAUAUUUUUAAUAACAUGCAUUUGGAACAUGAUAUACCGGCUUUCUAAUAAUCAAUGAUUUUUGGUUCAACCACACCAUUUUGUUUUGGGAUGCCAAUACAACAAGUUUAACGAANNNNNNNNNNNNNNNNNNNNNNNNNNNNNNNNNNNNNNNNNNNNNNNNNNNNNNNNNNNNNNNNNNNNNNNNNNNNNNNNNNNNNNNNNNNNNNNNNNNNAUGUAAGUGCCAAAUUAGGUAGUGUCGACAAUGAAAUGGAAAUUUUGGAAUAUAGAAACAACCUCAUUUUUAUGUUCUAAUAAGUAAACCUAUGUAGCAUAAGAAUAGUCAUUAAAAAAAAAGGUAACAAAAUGUUGAUUUCCAUCCUAUGGAUCAAUUAGGACACAACCCCAAGGUAAACUAAUUUGAAAGUUGCAACAAAAAUGGAAAGAGAUGAAAAAAUAAUAGAGGAAUUUAAGGUUGUUUCAAAAUUUCAAGACAUGCUAAGAAACACAUGAGAUUAUAGAUGAUUAGGUAACAACCUUGGUUAAGUAUAUUCAACAUAUAUAUCCCACGAGGAUAAAUAUCUUCACUAAACUUUUCCUAUUAUUCAAUCCCCUAAUACCAUACAAGUGAAAAAUUAAUGUCACGGUCAAAAAUUUUAAUAAGCUUCCAAAGAGAUAAUAAUUUUGGGGAAAAAAACAACCUAAGAAACCUAUGAAUUGAGAUAAUUUAGGAAAAAACUAAAUGUUCGUUAGCUCUAGAAGGGAAUUGAAGCUCAUCAUCAAUAAAGAUUGUUGCUAUCUCGAAUAAUAUCAAGUAAACCAUUAAGAUCGCUAUUAAUGGUAUGAUUAGCAGCACCAAUUAUCGACAAAAAAAUUAUUAAAAAUAUAAGAAAUGAGAGCUUUAAGAUUAUCUAAUUGAUUUGUAAACCUAGGUAAGUGAAUCAGUAUUACGUUUUGUUAAGGAAGCUUAGAUCCAAUUGGUAUCAUUCACCAAGUUAUUGGAUUAAAUUACACUAUCAAACUUUGGCUUUAAAUGAGAAUGAAGAAUCUAACCACAAUCCUUAUUGGGAUUAGAUAUGUUAUUGCAAUAAUGUUUACAAUCGGAUGAGUGCUAAUUUCUAUUGAAAUCAUGAAGCAAUCUCUGAUCAUUGGUCUUCUUUGUAGAAACAUGAGCAUUGAAUUUAAAAUUAAUAAUUGUUACUUGGGAUUCAACCUUCAUAAUCAUUGCCUGGGUUUCCUAAUCACUUUCAAGAAUUACUUAUAUAGUGAAGGCACUCGAAACUAAUCAAAUUUGUCCUCUUAUAAAGUUGUCAUAUUCAAGCUUCAGAAUAGCCAAUAAUUGAAAAACUUAUCAUACUCCGCAAUUUGUUGAAGAAUAUUUGGGUCUAUUGAAGGGGACAAUAUAGGGAAUAUUUGUCCCAUAUGCUCAAAAUGUUCAAUUAACAAAGUGUUCUGUAUGUUUAGGGAUUUGUUAGCUUUAAUUACACAAAACAUUAGCAGUUUUAGAGAAAAUUAAUUUUUUUUUGCAAUCUUAGGUUCCAUGAAAUUAAAAAGCCAAUAACAAGUCAAUAUGGCUUGAGACCCAGUCAUCAUAUUCAAAGUCAUCCAACUUAGAAGCAUUCAUUUUGCCACUAACAUGUGCUAAUUUCCAUUUUCUAUCUUUCAAGAGAAAAAGACUGCUCUUAACCAUGGCAAAUAAUUGAACCCAUUAAGAAGAUUGAGGAAAGUAUCAUAUGAGGGUUGUCAUUUUCCUCCAUGACAAAGAAAAAGCAACAGAGAAAAACUCAUAAUAUUAGAAAGAGAAUGAAAGAAAUUGAGUCAUAGAUACACACAGAAGAAUCCAAAAAUAAAGCAAUAAUACAACCACAAAUAUGAGAAGAAGCUCAAUUACAAAGAAAGGAACUCAAUACAAUCAACUAAAAAGCGUUCCGAAGUUCAUACGAAAAUAUUCAUAAUGUGAAGAUCAUUUCAUGAUUCCUACAAUUUCUUCCUUCUACCAGUCCACUCCAUACAAGGUUUGAUCAACAACUUCUUCAUUGAUUUUCUGGUCUCUCUCCGGUGUAUCAUAGAGCAUUUUUGACAUGUUUCUGCAAGAUACACUUGUUAACUUUAAGCGACAUAAGUGCAAAAAAAUAAGAUCAUGUUGUAUUGCCUGUGCUUCCACUCUGCCUUGUUUAGUACUAUUAUGGAGCAGUACUUCCAUAUAGAACCAGUGAUCUCCAGUUCAUUAUGUUGCCUUCUUUAAACUAACUUUAAUUAUCUAUACAUAUAAAACAAAGUGGUCCCAUCAAGGGGCUAAAUCAAGAAUCAAGUGGGGCGAACAGGAAACAGUGGCAUCAAUUUUUAAGUCCAUAAGCUUUAAUAAAAGGAAUAAAACCAAGGAUAUGAAUAUGUUAUUUUUUCAUUUGUUCAUGCACUGGAAGAUCUUUCCUCUUCAAGCAUUGAACCAGCAUCCUUCUGUGCAAGUUGCUGUCGGAACCUUCUAUAAUUGUCAGAAGUCUGUUUCUGAAAUAUACAGAUAAAACUUUUAGCAAGUCUUGACAUUGCUCAUCACUAGGACAUUGUACUAGGAUACCAAUUCAUCUAAUUAGGGUUAAGUUGGCAUCUCGUACACUAUUUUUUAUUUUUCCUUCAUCUUUUGUUCCCAUUUGCAGUGGAAGUGGCACUUAGAAUAUCUGAUCAUGAAGAAUUAGCUUUCGGUGAGAUGAUACUAGGUCAAUUGCCAUUAUCUUUUUGAGUUACUGUGCGAGCAAUCUUGAAAAUAUUUUGGGAUAAAUAGAAUUUGUGCUUAUCAUAAACAUGCUAAACAUCCAAAUCAAGUGCUUUUACUAUUGAUAUCAAAUCAGUAAUUGAUUUUAACCUUUAUGCUUAUCUUUCAGAUUCUCAAUUAUGUAUCUUGAAUAAUGAUAUUAAGCAGAAAUCAUGAAUUGAAUUGCUUUAAUUAACUGUGCCUUAUCAAGCUUGUCAGCAGUGCUAUUGCUACCGCGAAUCAAAUUCGCUGUGCUUCCCGCCUUCUCCAAAUAAGCCACAAGCCCAAUUAUAUCCGCCCUCCUCCCAUCUCCAAGGGAUCAAAAAAUAAAAUGACUUCAAUCAAUUUUCAAGUUUUCCAUCUUGAUCAGUAGACCACCCGGCAUGAAUGUUACCCUCAGUUUAGGAAUAGGAAUUCCUUUUACUAAUCAUUUGGCACUAAAAACUAUGACCCCUAGCAAUUCAUUCCCUCCAUUAGAUAUCUGGGGGCAUCUUGGCUCAGCCAAAAAUGAUAAGUCAUUGCAUUUCACAUUGCAUUCAUUUGUAUUAAUGAGCUAAUUUUUUUUCACAGAAUGUGAUGUGAAUCGAAUUACUUCCAACCAUGUGUCUCUAUAAGGGUUUAACAAAUGUAAUUUGCAUUGUCUGUACACUUUUUUUUCGGUUUCUUUUCUUUUUUAUGCAUGAUUCAUUAGUCCACGGAUCUUCUAUGCAAAGUGUGCAGGCCAAACACCUCCUUCAAUGCAUUAUUCUAGAAGUUAAGACUCAGUUUACUCCUUAAUUGAUCUGUUCCAUUUACUUCAAAUCAUUUGAUUACAUUAAAUGAAUCUUGAAAUUCAAAAAUGCAUCAAAGUUAAAAGACCUUCCAAUGCAUUAAGAAAUCAUCUGAUACAAAUAUAUGUGAACCUGCAACAACAAUAAUGUCAAAAUGGAAAACUUAGGUAGAAAAUAUUAGAACGGAAACUUACGACGAACUCAAUUUUUGGCGCCUUUCUUCUUCUCAUCUUCUGAUCCAAGAAGCUCUUCCAACACCGUGUCAUCCAAACACUCGAACUCAAUGACUUGCUUUUCUUGCCCAGAAGAGGAACCUCCCAUCUCUAAACUCCUACAAGGCCCAGAAGAUGACGAGGAAGACGAUGAGGAUGGUGAUGGUGGGGGGCGAUGGGAGCCCAUGAUUUCAGAAUAGUACUCAUUAGGAAAGUUAAGAAUGGCAAGAUGACCCCUUAAGUUAAAGGCCGCUCGAUCAUAGGCGCGAGCUGCAUCCUCCGCCCUGUCAAAUGUGCCUAGCCAUAGACGAGCACCUUGCCUAGACGGAUCCCUAAUCUCGGCUGCAAACUUCCCCCAUGGCCUCCUCCUCACCCCUCGGUAUCGAACUUCUUCCUUUUCCUUCCCUUCCUGCUCCUGCUUCUCAUUCCCUUUCGAAUGAUCUUCCAUGCUAAACGUGUCGAUUUGCUAGGCGCAAUUUUUUUGGUUUCAAAUGUGCUGGUUUACGAGAGGCAUGGAUGCUUAUGUAUAUAUAUGGUUGCCACAGUCAGGUCUGACGUCACCGCUCAAUGUAUGUUCCACAGCGUGGGUUGACGAGCUUUCUGAGGGGGUUUCCUCGAAUUCAAAGCAAGUAUAAAAAUUCGAUUCUCCGACCUUUCCAAUGAGGAUCGAACAGGCCUUUUAUUAGAACCGUAUGAUAACUCCACACUGUUUUCAAAUAGUCAAUGUGAUCUAGAUUCUUCGUUAAUUUUUUCCACCUGACUGAUUGUUUACAAUUUUAUUUUUCACCGUCCCAAAUUUAAACCAUUUACGCGAUUCCCUGGAUUGCAUUUUUCUUUAAUGUUGACUUUACGAGGCAAUAGGACCCCCCAGCAACCCCACUAGGGCGACUUCAUGGGAACCAGAUUACUUUUGGAUCCAGAUAUGGUCCAGAAGAAAUAAGACAAAUCAAUUAAUGUCCACUAAAGUUUUGAUGGAACCCUUAGUCCGUGUUUCCUGUGGAUGUAUGUAUUGUAUGCACCUCAAUUUUCACCAAUCCCUGCUACGAGUCCCUUUAAUUUUGACGUUAUAAAUGUUUUUCCUGACAUUAGCAGAGUGUUUUUCUGCCGUCUUUGAGGACCUUCCACGGCCCAUAAACUAAUAAGGAUCGUCCAGUGAAUUUAGUCUUCCCCAGUUAAUUAUCCUGCGAGGGAAACUUGGGCAGUAAGUUGCCUACAUGAGUGGCUCCCGCCUACAUGAGUCAAGGGACCAUACGUCAGGACGACAACCAGUGUGGUCACACCAAAGUGGGUUGCCUGGACUCCAGGGUGGUCGCUUCAAAGUUGUCAAAUGAAGGCUAGCUUGGCAAGUUUUGGAAAACAAUUAUUGAAAAACAUUUUUCAUGAAUAACAGUUUCUAUGAACAGAUUUUAAGAAAGUUUAUUUUGUGAUUUUUAGGAAUAUUUUUAAUUUAAAUUUUUAUAUUUUUAAUUUUUUAUUAAUUUAUUGAUUAUUUAAUAUUAGCUUAAUUAAUGGAUUUUUCUUGGUCCCAAAUUAUUAAUUUAUCAAGAUUUAAUCGCAUCCAUAAUUAGUCUAAUUUCUUUUGGAGUGAGUGUGACAAAGUGCAAAUUUCUAGAGUUUUAUUAAUGUUAUUCAAUGUCAUAAUUUAACUAAUUAUAUUAAUUAUUUAUUAAUCAAAAUAAAUCAUUCACUUGAAAUAUGAUAAUUUAAAUUAAAAGUUUCAAUUAUUUAUUAAUUAGCAAAGUAUGAACUUUUCUUCUUGUUUUAUUAUUGUUAUUCCAUGUAUAUAAUUUAAUUAACUGUUUCCAAUAUUAAUCAAUAAAAAUAGAAUAUAAGCAUGAGAAGAAUUAGUAAAAUUCAUUGAUUUGGAAUUAGAUAGCUAGAGGAAGAACUUCAUCAUCUUCCCAUUACUUAAAUUUGUAUAAAUUCUAAAUAUUUAAACCCCCCCCCCCCCCCCCCCCCCCAAAAAAAAAAAAAAUGGUAAAGAAAGACUCCCCAAGCUUUCUUGGUUGGUGUUACCCUAAAAUUUGUACAAUAAGAUGAACCAUUUGGCUUAAAGCUUGGUGCGAAACCCCUUAUCAAUUGAAAAUAUCAAUGAAGUUGUUGAAUGGUUUUAGAGGACUAUUCUUAUGCAGAGUGGCAUAAGAAGCGAGGAGAUGAAGAGCGGAGAGACGUUAACAUCGGAUGCUGCUACGAAGGUGGGAAUACGGUUAAUUAAUUAGAUUUUGUGAUGGCUUUGAGUUUGAAGGAGUUAGUUUAAUGGGUAUUAUUAGUGAACUGAUAAUUGGAUUUGAUGUAAAGAAGGUUGGUCCAUUGGAUUAGCAAUUGGUUUGGCCUUUUGGGGGCCCCAUUUCCAAAUGCAUUGCCUUUUACAAGCAUUCAACAUCGCUGGACGUAACCAGGCUUGGUUCACCUAAAAGUAUCGCAUGGAUUGAAUUGACUAAGUUUUCAUUGUAGACUAGCCUUGAUUUUCCCUUGACCUGCCCACCAAAUCCUGAUGCCCACGCGAGGGAAUACCUCAAUUUUCUAAUAAUUUAUGCAGUUUCUCUUCAAAGCUCGUGUGAUCACUUGGGUCGGUAAAAUAAUGCAUUCCUCUACUUUUUCUCCCUUCCUAGAUGCAUGUUAUACCAUUAAUUCAAAUGUGAACAUGGGCUUGGCUUUGAAACUUGGUUCAAGGCCCAACAUGUUGACCCACAAUUGAGGUGUAAUUGAAUUUGUACACUUUUCGACUUUGAUACCAUUUGUCAUUACCAUUGACAUUGGGUCAUUGUUGAUUUUGAGUCCACAACUUUUAAGGUUGUUAUUACAAUUUUAAAUUGCGCCCACCCAAUUUAUAUGCAUUAUCCCUUAUAAAUACCGAUAACCUCUCUUUCUUCGAUAAUAUAAAAUGUCACAUAUAUUAUAUAUCUCAAUGUUUUCUUUUACUUUUUUUUUUUUUAUCGAUCGACAUUCUCUCUCAGAUGAUAUGAGAUGUCACAUAUAUUAUAUGUUUCAAUGUUUCUUUUACUUUUUCUCUUUUUCCUCAUGAUUGACAUUGUCUUUCUCAAAUGAUAUGAGUUGUCACAUAUAUUUUAUGUCUCAAUGUUUUCUUUAACUUUUUUUCUCUCUUCUUUAAUGAUCGACGUUCCUUUUCUCAGAUGAUAUGAAAUGUCAUAUAUAUUAUAUGGCUUAAUGUUUUCUUUUACUUAUUCUUUCUUUAUUAAUAAUCGACAUUUUAAGCAAUAUGUGAAUAUAAAGCAUUAAAAUUAUCUCCAUCGUUUUUGGAUGUGGUAUAAAUACACAAUUCUUAUUUUUGUUUUAAAUAUUUCUAUUGCUAUCUAUUGAAAUUUUAUGCAUGAAGCUACCAAGUUAAUUAUACAUAUAUCUUAAGAUUUUUUUUUUUUUUUUUUAUAGGAUAUAUUGUCCAUGAAUAUUUUCUGCAAUGGUAUCUUGUUUGAUUACUAUAAGAAAUAAUAUAUAUAUAUAUAUAUAUAUAUAUAUAUAUAUAUAUAUAUAUAUAUAUAUAUAUUAUAUUUCAAUGUUUCAUAUUUGCUUAAAAUAAAAAUUAUAUUUUAUCACAAUAUUUGGUAUUAAAAAAAAUGAAAUCUCUCUCAUUUAUUAUUACAAAAAAAUUAUAAUUUAUAAUUUUCUAAAUAAGUUUUAUUUAUUUGCUAACUAUAUUCAUGAUUAAAAGAUUUAAAAUUUAUAAAUAAAAAAUAUUAUGUCAUGUCAUUAAAUAAAUAAAAAUAUAUGUAUAUAUUAAAAUUAUGUUUUAUUGUAGCUUUUAAUAUUUUUUUUUUUAUUCUUUUCUUUUUUGAACUACAAUUUUAAUUUUUUUUAAUCAAAAUUUUUUAAUUUACAAAACGAGUAACAUAAAACUUGCCUUUGAACUUUAUUGGAAUGUUAUAUACUACCAUUUGGCUUUCAAGACAUUAGAAAAGGCAUAAGUGUCCCUUUUAUUUUUCCGAAAGGCAUAUUAGACUAUAGUAGGAAGUGUUGUAUAGAGGCAACUAAAAGUUGCCUUUAACUUUAUGAAGUCAUAUACUCCUCUUUGGCUUUGAUGACAUCAACUAGCAAAUUGGAUUUUGUUUCCUUUGCAACAUUUUUCCAUCCAUUAGCCAGUUUUUUUAUACUGUUUGGUGCUUGCCAACAUGGCACACACUAUGGUUCUUAAAAAGUAUUUUUUUUUUUAAGAUACUACGAAAUAAAAUACACGAUUGAAAGAUGAGUCACAAUAAUUUUCAAAACUAAAUUUUUUAAUAUUGUUAAGAAAAUUUGACCACCAAAUGAUUGAUUUUAAAUUACAAAUACUUUUGUUAGCUAAGAAAUUUGUUGUUCUAUUUGUUUCCCUAUAAAUAUGACAACAAUCAUAAAUAUUUUCAUUUUAAGAUAAUUUUCAAAUAUCUUCCAUUAAUAAUAUAAUAGAAUUAGGAAUUUUUUUUUUAGUUAUAACAAUCUAUAAUUAUUUAAGAGUCUUCCUCAAUCUCUAGGUUUAAGAACUUAUUGUUCUUAACAACUAACAUGUCAUCUCUUAAAAUAAUACAUUCUGCAAUAAUUAUUGAAAUAUGAUAUAAUAUAUAUAUCUACUUACAACCAUUUUUGUAGUACCAUUAGAAUUUUUAAUUACCCAUUCUAAAGUAUUUUUAUUCUCUAUUCUUAAACCAUCAAAAUUUAAUUUAAAUCUUUCAUUAAUUGGAUAAAUCCAAUGAAUCUAACAAGUUAAAGGAUUAUGAAUCCGACAAAACAGUUGAUAAUAAAUUAAUAAUGCCAUUAAUAUGAUUUUAAUGUGAAACACAAUUAUCACAUUUAAUACAGUUAGUCCUUGUAUGAUUAAUGUUUUGGAAGCUAAAAUCAAUCUUUUGACUAUAAUAAGAGUUUCUACUAUUUCUAUUUUUGGAUGAUUUUAUAUUUUUCUUAUUGUUUUAGUUUAAUACAAAAAAUAAAAAUAAAAUUACAUUAGUAGAAUUUUUUUAACUUACUCAAAAACCUAUUUUAGUUGAAUGAUUUUUUUAAAAAAAAUAUAAAUAUUUUGUUAAAAGGGAUAAAAUAACCUUACCUUGUGAAAAAGACCUCUUCACCCAAGAUUACUUGUUCAUAAUCCUUUUAAGACGAAAAUGCCCCCUUCCUAAAAAAUAUUUCAUCUUAAACUUAUUUUUCUUUUUAUUGCCCUUUGUUCCAUCCUUCCGGCUUGGGAGAGAAAUUCAUUCUUCUUUUGCGAAGAAAAAUUCCUAUUGCGAUUUUUCAUUUCAAGUGGAAAAAAAAAUUCUUAUUUCAUUUUAAAGAAAUUGUACAUUUUCAAUCUUUCUCUUUGUUCCUAGUUGAGGGUUUUUUUUGUAAUUUUAUCUUAACACUACAAAUUUAAAGGUGAGAUUAAAUCUUAAUGGUUAUUAGUUAAAUCACAUAUCUAACUUUGUUUUUGUCAGGACCUAUAAUAUGAUUGGAACCACCAUCCAAACUUCAUUAGGUGGGAUACUCCCCACCCUCCCCCUCCCCCCGCGAAAUCCUUGGAUUUUAGUUUUGACUUGGAUUUCAAUUGCCCGUAUCAAUUUUUCUUUAUUUAUUAAUUUAUUAAUUUUCAACUUUAACAAAAGCCUUGAAUCAUAUUUAAAUUCAAAUAACUUAAUCCUAAUUAAGUUCUUUUUAAAUAAAAAUUAAUCAUUGAAAAGUUCAUGUGACUAUUAUAAUUGAGAAUUUAUCCCAAGUUGGGUUUUUUGCAAAUAAAAUUUUAUUAUAGGACAUCAUGAUGCAACAUAACAUAAGGUUGUUACUUAAGUUUGUUUUGACCUUGUAAUAUGUUAAAAUGAAAAUGAAGCCAUUGUAACAGGAGAGAAUGAUGAAGCUGUGGAGAGAGCUUAACAAAGCUUGGGUUGGAGAGACUUCACAGGAAGAGAGAGAGAGAAAUAAAGGGUAAAAUUAUCAAAAGAGAAAAGAAAAAAAAAAAAAAAAAAGAAGGUUAUGUCUUCAAAUAAUCAAUAAGAGAUGUCAUUUUUCUAAUUUUCAAAGUUCUUUUGGUCCUUCUCUACAAAUAUCCCUAUAAAAAUAUUAUAAUAUCAAGUUAAUUUGUCAAUACCAAAAUUUAUAUUUUAUAUUAGGGCGACUAAAUAACAUAUAGAAAGAAUUUUAAAUGAGUAAAUCAAAUCAAUUUUGAAACCAAAACUUAAUAAUUACCAAACUUGUAAUCUUAGUCAUUAAAAGUGUACGAUGAAAUCUAAAUUAUUAAGCAAUGAAACAAAAAAUUAAGAUUAAAAUACAAAACGUUAAAAUCAAGAUACAAACUAUUAAAAUGUAAGUGGGAUAUGAGAUGAUAUUAUAAAAAAUAGUGUGAUCCAACAAAAAGUCUAGUACAUCAUUAUCUUCACUUCCAACCAUGUUUAAAAGGUCACAAGUUCUAGCGGUUUCCAAGGACAAUGUUAAAAAUAAUAAAAAUAAAUCCAAUUAAAUAUUAAUUAAUUUAUUUGAAUUUGAGUCCGACAAAAUAGUUGGUAAUAAGUUAAUAAUGCCAUUAAUAUGAUUUUAAUGUGAAACACAAUUAUCACAUUUAAUACCCGUUAGUCCUUGUAUGAUUAACUUUUUAGAAAUUAAUAUCAAUCUUUUGAUUAUAAUAAGAGUUUCUACUAUUUAUAUUUUUGGAUGAUUUUAUAUUUUUCUUAUUGUUUUAGUUUAAUACAAAAAAAUAAAAAUAAAAUUACAUUAGUAGAAUUUUUUUUAACUUAUUCAAAAAACCUAUUGUAAGGUGAAUGGUUUUUUUAUUUUUUUUUUAAAUAUAAAUAUUUUCUUAAAAGGGAUAAAAUAACCUUACCUUGUGAAAAAAGGCCUCUUCACCCAAAUUUACUUGUGCAUAAUCCUUUUCAGACGAAAAUGCCCCCUUCCUAAAAAAUAUUUCAUCUUAAACUUAUUUUUCAUUUUUAUAACCCUUUGUUCCAUCCUUAUGAUUUGGGAGAGGAAGUCAUUCUUCUCUUGUGAAGAAAAAAUUCCUACUGCCAUUUUUCAUUUCAAGUGAAGAAAAAUAUUUAUAUUUCAUUUUAAACAAAUUGUACAUUUUCAAUCUCUCUUUGUUCCUAGUUGAGGUUUUUUUUUUUUUUUUUUUUUUUUGUAAUUUUAUCUUAAUUGUACAAAUUCGAAGAUGAGAUUAAAUCUAUAAUGGUUAUUGGUUAAAUCACUUAUCUAACUUUGUUCUUGACAGAUCGUAUAAUAUGAUUGGAACCACCAUCCUAACUUUAUUAGGUGGGAUCCCUUUUUUUUUUUCCCCAAACCCUUGGAUUUUAGUUUUGACUUAUAUUUCAAUUGUCUGUAUCACUUUUUCUUUAUUUAUUAAUUUUCAACAAGUUCUUUAACAAAAGCCUUGAAUCAUAUUUAAAUUCAAAUAACUUAAUCCCCAUUAAGUUCUUUUUAAAUGAAACUUAAUCAUGUGAAAGUUCAUGUGACUAUUAUAAUUGAGAAUUUAUUCUUAGUUGGGUUUUUUGUAAAUAAAAUUUAGUUAUAGGACUGUGAUGAUCCGUUCUCAACCGUAUAAAUAUUGUUCGUUUUGAAUUCAAAAUAACUUUUACGGCUUUAAAACAUGUUUACAAGAUUAAGAGGAGUCCAUAUUUAUAUAGCUUCACGAACUUUCCCCCCUAUUCGAUGUGGGAUGUCACAAGGACAUCAUGAUGCAACGUAUAACAUAAGAUUGUUUCUUAAGUUUGUCUAACCUUGUAAUGUGUUAAAAUGAAGAUGAAGCCAUUAUAACAGAAGAGAAUGAUGAAGUUGUAGAGAGAGCUUAACAAAGCUUGGGUUGGAGAGACUUCAUAGGAAGAGAGAGAGAGAGAGAGAGAGAAAUAAAGGGUAAAAUUAUCAAAAAAGAAAAAAGAAAAAAAAGAGGGUGAUGUCUCCAAAUAAUCAAUAAGAGAUGUCAUUUUUCUAAUUUCAAAGUUCUUCUGGCCCUUCUCUACAAAUAUCCCUAUAAAAACAUUAUAAUAUCAAGUUAAUUUGUUGAUACCAAAAUUUAUAUAUUAUAUUAGGAUGACUAAAUAACAUAUAGAAAGAAUUUUAAAUGAGUAAAUCAAAUCAAUUUUGAAAUCAAAACUUAAUACCUACCAAACUUGUAAUCUUAGUCAUUUAAAGUGUUCCAUGAAAUCUAAAUUAUUAAGCAGUGAAACAAAAAAUAUAAGAUUAAAAUACAAAACGUUGAAAUCAAGAUUCAAACUAUUAAAACGUAAGUGGAGACGUAAGAUGAUGUCAUAAAAAAUAGUGGGAUCCAACAAAAAGUCUAUUAAUCAUUAUCUUCACUUCCAAUCAUGUUUAAAAGGUCACAAGUUCUAGCGGCUUUCAAGGACGAUGUUAAAAAUAAUAAAAAUAAAUCCAAUUAAAUAUUAAUUAAUUUAUUUGAACAAUAGAUAGGACCAAAAUAAUAUUCUAAAAGGAAUCAUAGGGAAGUCCUUGGACAACCUACGACAUUGAACAAAGGUACAGUGAGACAAUGCACUUAGCCCUUCCUUGUCAUUGCGAUGAAUAUAAAAAGACACCCUGAUUGAGGGUGCCCCACUAAGCCAAGAGUGAUUCUUUUGUAUUGUAUAACGUGAAUAUUUUUGAACUUUGAAUGACCCUUCCUAUAGUCAUCAUUGUCAAAACUAGAAAAUCAGAAAGAUGCGAUGUACGAAGGCACCAUUGAAUAAGAGGCUUAAUUCUCUUUGGCAAUUAGGAUAAAGUUUCAAAAUAGAAAAAUUAAACAAAUGUACAGUGUACGGACACUUGGGCAUUGCCUAUUUGUUUUGUUCUUCUAGAGUUGUAUAUGGUAAAGGUCAUAUUGGGUUGGUUCUAUUUGGUUAUUGAAGUCGGCUAGAAUAUUAGAUUUGGUUUCAAUCUAAUCCCAUAUGAUAUUAGAAUACCAGCCCAUACAGAAUUUUUGACCAAAUAUAAUAUUUCUUUUAAAUAUAAAUAUAGUAAUUAAUUUUAGUCUAAGAUUAAUUAUGUAGUUUCCUAAAGAGACCACUUCCUAAACGGUAGCUAUGUGGAAGUUGGGCCAGGUCCUGCCGAGAAGGUUUCCACGAGCUGAGCCCAAAACUGAGUAGCUGUGAUGGGAUCAUUCUAGCAUUCAGCCUGAAACUUGUAACAUAACGGAUCGAGAGGCCUGAACUCCAAGACCAUGGUUCGUCAGCCCAUUAACUUCAACAGCACGCAUUUUAGAGGACUGGGCUUGCAAGGGGUGAGGUUUCCGGGCCGCGACCCCAAAUAUGAACAGCCUCAGAAGUGAUAUUGCUUACUGGCACGUGAAGAGCGCAAGCGUAACUAGAAGAUUUGUAAUGCCGCUUUAAUUGUUUGAUUAUAGAAUCCCACGCAUUACGCAUGGAAAGUGUAAAAGAUAAAAGAUGUAGAAUUUUUUCUUAGAGAAAAGUUCGUUUGGAUAUAGUUAUUGUUUUUUUUUUAAAUAAUAAUUGUUUUUUUUAUAAAUUAUAGAUAAUCUUAGAAAUUUAUCUUUAAAAAAAUAGUUUUUAAAAAUAUUUAAGGAGAAUAAAAGUGAUAAAAAAAAACUUUACAAUUUCAAAUUUUUAAAAAAUGAAAAUUAUUUUUAAGAAUAUAAGUUAAUCUCCUGCAUUUAAAUCUUAGGUGGUUUUUGUUUUUUUUACUUUUCGCUGAAAACAAUUUGUUUUCAAAAUUUAGGUCAUUUGUUUUUUCUAUUUUUUCAUGAUUUAUUAUAAAUUUUUUACUAAAUAAAAAAAAUCAAAAUAUGUAACUUUUUCUAAAUAAAAAAAAUAACGUAUUGAUUUUUCUUUACUUUUUAAUACUUAAUAGAUAUAAAAUACUACAAAAACAAAAAAUCUAAUAUUUAACACUAUUAAGCAUUAAAGUUCUAUUUAGAAUUAAGUAAAAAAACAAACACCACCUUAUAUUUUAUAUAAAAGUUACUUAUAUUUUGGUUUUUGGAAAUAAAAAAUAUAAAGCAUAUCCAAACAUGAGCUUAGCUAUUUUAAAUCAUAUCAAAAUAAUAAUCCCAAUAAGGUAAAUGGACUUUUAUACGGAGAAUAAUCUUUAAGGUUUUCAUUUUUAUUGGAUUUUUUUUUUGUGGUGUUUUUUCAAUCCAUCUUCUCAAUUAAUUCCUUAAAAUUAUUUUACUGUUUUUUUUUUUUUCAGUUUCUAAAUAUUUGAUUUUUCCAAAAUGCUUAAAUGGAAGACACUAAUUUUUCAAGAUAUUUGGUAUUACAAUUUUCCCUGUUCUCCCUAUUAUCUAUCAGAUUCAUGGCCCUUUUGUUUUUUCAUUGGUUUUCAAUUUAAUUUUCCAAAUAUUACAUUGUUGUGUUUUGAAUUUGUGAAACCAAUUUUAUAUAUAUAUAUAGUAUGUAAGUCUACUUUGGGUAACAUGUACAGAGAGGUUUUCAUGUGUUUGAAACCUUUUACCUCAAAAAUUAAUUAUUUUUAAUUUUAUAAUAAAUCUUUUUUUAUUUUUUAUUUUAUUUAGGAAAGCCUAUAUUUAAACUACAUGUUUGCAACGCAACACCAUACAUACUCCUAGUGGAACUUACCUUAGUGCUUGAGGGGGAUGCAGAUCUUCUUCUAAACCUAACUAAUAAGCAUAAAAUUGUUCACUAAUUAGCAUAUCUAGUAAAUCAUACAAAUUGGCAAUAUUUCAUGUUUUUCAUGUUUUGUCAAUAAAAGGCGUCUUGACCAUUUUGUGAGUUUUGUAAUAAAUAAAAAAAAAAAAAAAAAAAGGGCAAAAGGUGACUAAAAUGAGGCACUUUGGAAAGGUUAAUAACCUAAAAGGAAGAUGAAUUAAUACCCCCUUAUUCCUCUUCAAAAACCAUUGAGAAAAUGCAAGAAAUGCUCUUAGUUGUAUGCUAGGCUAACAGCCUAGCAACCAUAAUACCCUUCUUUGCAAUUGUAAGCAUUUUUUUUUUUUUUUUGAAGGCCAAACAACGUUGCAAACUUCCCAAAUCCCUUCUUUAUUUUUUAUUUUUUUAUUUUUGUUUUUAGAAGGAGAAUGAAUUUGAUGACAAACUCCUUGUCAAUCUUAUCCAAACCACGAUCGAACAGAACUCCUUGUCAAUCUUAUCCAAACCGUGUUCCACCUCAAAAACAUGUGUAGGACUUAAGGCAGCAACUGGCAAGCAUGACUGAUAGGGCCAAGUGCCCUUGUCUCUACAAUCCAUUAAGUUAACCAAGGGCAGUGAACCAUCAUUCUUUUCAAAAGCUUCAUUCCGUGUUGAAAAUGUGAGACUGAAGCAUGGUGCCCCCAAAAAUAACGAUCUAUUUACUAGCAGCAUGCCUGGACCCAUUAAAAAUACUCUACUUUAGGAAUAGAAAAAAUUACAUCUUUAUCCAAUAAUUUUAUAACAAUUCAGACGUUUCAGUCUAUAAAUAAUUGUACAUAGUUGCCAACGUUUAGCUAGUUUCAAAUGAAUAGCCUAGGUUCAUGCACCAGUUUGGCUGGUGGAGGAAAGGGAUUCGAGACAUUGAACCCUCUUUUUAGUGUGCCAAAUAUUCCACAAAAAUCACUACCUUCUCUUUGUGUUUGUUCACUUUUAGUUUAUAUUUAAUAAAUCUAUGUUUUCGAGUAGAGGUUGGGUUCAGGUGCGACCCACGUCACCUCUCGGACGGUCUUGAAAAAGGAGACCGGACCACGUAAUUUCAAAUGUAGUGACCAUCUCACUUUUACCUCCAUCCUUGAAGAUGGUUUCCCAAAUCAAUAUUAAUCUUUUGUUUACGACAAUAUCGAUCACUUUAUGUCUAUAUCGUUGUUAAUUUACCUUUUUUUUUUAGCCACAUUAUUUGAAAAUUGAUGCAAACUUUACCAACAUCUUGGUACCAUUUUAAAAUAUUAGAGUUAUUUGAUUAAAAAAAUAAAAUAAUCUCGAUAACUUGUUUAUAAAAUAAAUAUCUUUUAACAUUUAGACUAUUCUCACGCAUGCUUUAAAAUUGUAAAGAUAUUCAUAAAGUGGAACUUUAGACUUAAUCAAUAUCGAUCACUUUAUGUCUCUAUUGUUGUUAUAUUUUUUUUUUACAACAUUAUUUGAAAAUUGAUGCAAACUUUACCAACAUCCUAAUACCAUUUUAAAAUAUUAGAGUUAUUUGAUUAAAAAAAUAAAAUAAUCCCGACAACUUGUUUAUAAAAUAAAUAUCUUUUAAUAUUUAGACUAUUUUCACCAUGCUUUAAAAUCAUAAAGAUAUUUAUAUUCAUAAAGUGGAACUUUAGACUUAAACAUGAUAAUAGUUUUUUUACAAUAUUAUAAUUAUUUUAUCGUUUUAAUUAAGCCCUUUAUCAUACAUAUAAAUGUAAAUUAAUGCUAAAUUUUUAAAGCAACGUAUAACCUUUUACAUCUUUUUUUAAGAUGGUGCGAAAAUCCUAUGAAAAAUAAUAAAAGUCGAUGCAUAAGAAGAUUGUUUUGAUAAUUCAAUAGAAAAAUUCUUUUAAAAUGAUAUUAAAAAAUACCCAUAGAGCCUUUAUUAAAAAAAUCAAUUAUUUUCAUAAUAAAAAUUAUAAUUUUUUAUUAUGUAUUAUUAUUUUUAAGUAUCUUUAUUACAAAUACUUUUUUUGAGUUUAUGAGAGGAAUCAACAGGUUGGUACAAGCUUAGGCGUCCUCGUACAUGUUCCCGCUGUGCAAGGUUUUUGUCUUGUUUCGAGCUAGUCGGAAUUUACGUGUUUGAUAACGUUUUGUCCUAUUUUUGUAACGCUUUAAAGGGCGGCCCACCGUUGGAACAGUUCAAGCCAUCCAAAUCAGCCCGGAGGGUUAUGGCGACGUGGCAUGACGCCUACCACCUUAGUUCACAUGAACCCUAUGAUCGUACUACCCUCACAUGACAUCUGUGAUUCUUCACCUCCAAACCCUCUUUAACUUGGUAAUGUAUUCAAAGCUUCAUCAAAUCAUAGCGAUUAGCGACCCUCUUCCACCCUAAUUUUAUAAUAAAAAAUAAAUCUUAGUGGACAUUAAAGUAGUAUUUUGUGGGGGGAAAGAAAAACUCUAUGGGCGUAUCCACUAAAUACGAGCCAAGUAUAAGAGUUAUCACCAUGGAAUCAAAUUAUGAAGCAUUGACAUUUUAAUUGUAUUCAGAUUUGAGGAGGGCACCGCGGCACCAGCUGGCCCAGUGUAGUCUGCUAGCCUACCCGCCAUAAUGACCAAAUUAAUAAAGUAAAAAGGAUUACAGGGAUAUUCCCAACUUUAUUCUGGGUCUGAGCUGGAACUUGGGAGUUAUCACGAUCAACGGGAAAGAUGGUGGGUAGGGGACGAGGAUUGAGGGCUCCAUAUUCACAUCAGUGAAAAACGAAAUGUAUUGAGACAAGUCUUCUAAGGAUUUUCUAGCGUAUUAUAUGGUUUAAAUGAUUAUAAAUCUGUAGUUACUGGUAAAGAGUAGAGAGUGAAGACGAAAGACGUUGAGUGAAAAGGAAGGAGGAGAGGGGAUGGGGCCAUCUUACCGUGUCGGGGAGGAUCCAUAAAAGGACUACGUUCCCUGAAUCUGUAGGCAUCAUGCCUCGCCUAACGGGUUAGUCAAAAUACAGUGAUGUGUGUGAGUUGGGGGCCUCACUCCUCAUUUCUUUCCUUCUUUUCACCCCCACCCCCACUUUUUUUUUUUUUUUUUCGAAUUUUUCUUUGUCCUUUUCUCUCACUUGCGCACGCGGGAGAAGGACCACAAACUAGACAAUUCCUCUGCUCACGUGACCCCGAGUUUUUAAAUAUUUGCCUAUUUGGAAAAUAGUCAUGAAUCAUGAUCGUUAACAAACAAUCUUCACUUUAUUUAUUUAAGAUCUAUUUUUUGGAGCUCUAGUUUAGUUUAUUAUUAUUAUUAUUAUUAUUAUUAUUAUUAUUAUUAUUAUUUAGUAACUCCUCUUAUAUUAAUGAAAAAGAGAGGAGGAAUCCAAACUUGUUUAUUCUUCCUCUUUUAAGGUGUUUGUUUUUUUUAUUUUAUUUUUAUGCUUCAUAUGUCUUCAAUUUCUUAGCAUUUGUCUUAUAUUUCUUCUUAUCCGAUUCAUUAUUGCAUCCUUGGUCAAUCUUUCACGAGGAGUGCCUACUUUUUUCCUUUUUAUUAUUUAAUUCACUUUAUCUUUAUAUUUUCCUUUUACACUUUAUUUCCAAUUCAAAACGUGUCAAAAAAAAAAAUUGGUAACAAAAAAAAAAAAAAAAAUCAAUUGUAAUGAUUCUUAUAUAAUUUUAUUUAAUUUUUAUUAAACAAUAAAGAAAUUAAAAAUAUAUAAAUUUUUAAAUAAUUAUUAUAGUCUUUCAUUUUUGUGUAUAAUUUCUUUUGCAAGAAAUAGUGUAGGCUUUCCACGGUCUAAAGGAAAUGGAAUAUCAAAUGAGAAGGUAAUAAUAAUAAAGUGAGUUAUAGAUACUAAUCAAACUAAUCCACUAAUGAAUUAUUUAUUUUUAUUUCACAUGGACAAAUCCUAAAAGUUGGAGUUCUAAUUUACUUUUAUGUUAAGCUUUUUUAAGUAAAAAUCUUUUAUUAUUAUAAUUUAUAGACAAAAAGAAACCCAUUAAUGUGAUGGAUAAAAAAUUUCAAUUUAAAAAAAAAAAAAUUAAAGUUGCUAAAUUUUUGUAUUUAUUAUUUCAAACUCAUUUAAAUAAUUUAAAAAUAUGUCUUCAAUUAAUUUUAAUGAAACAAAGCAUGAUUUUUUUUUAAUUUUUUUUUCUUUACCAAAUAAAGCAUUAUUAUAAUACGUUGAUUAAAUUUUCAUCAUGUCUCUCAAGAUUUGGAUUAAAUAUACUUAGUUGUCAUAAAUUUGAAAUUUUAUUUAAUGUAUUUUUUAUUUUAAAUUAAAAAGAUGAAUGCAAAUAAAAAAAAUAUGUAUAUUUUAUAAAAUUUUAAAUUAAACGAAGGAUACGUGUAUUUAACCAAGGUGAAUGAAAUUAAUCCAAAUACUUUUUGGUAACUUGCAAAAUAUCUUGACGAAAUCAUUAUGGCAGGCAUCGUACAAGCUCAACCCUUGUCGCCUUGCUAGAAAUAGAGAAACAAAAAGACCCCCAAAUUGGGUUGCAUCCUAAAUAUGAAGAAGUGGUAACAAAGGAAGAAAAAAUGCUGUGUUAUUGAAUAGUUAAUACAUUGAACAUGAUAUGUUACAUAGAGAGCCAGAUUAAUCCUAGUGGAAUUCCACUGUCACGAUGGUAACCUAGGGUUAUGUUUGGUUAUUGAAAAUACCAAGAAAAGAAAAAAAAAUAUAAAGGAAAAUAAUUUUUUCAUUUUUGAUUGUCUUAUAAAAGAUAUAAAAAAAAAACAAAUAUAAUUAAAACUAAUUAAAAAUUUAGGUAUUUUUAAAUUAUUUAAUUUUUAUAUUAAUGAGCGAAAAUAAAUAAAAUAAGUUUAAAAUAACAAAAAAAAUAAUUUACCGAUUUUUAAUCUAUAUUUUAUUUUACUUUUUCUUUGUAUUUUUUUUUUCUUAUAUUUUCCCUCAAAUUUUCUGAAUCAAACAUAGCAAAAAAGGAGCUACCCCUUUCGAAAGAAACUCCCAAGAAUUUCAAAGAAACCUGCUGAGAUAAUGAAUGAGGGAUCACUGUCGGUAAACAGUAUCCAUUCUUUUGGGAGGACUUUCAAACUGAGAAGUUGUUUUCAUGACUUGGAAACAAAAUUUUGAGCUCUAAGGGGGUCUGUAUUUGGGCCCUAAAAUUCAAUCCAUCAAUCUGAAAAAUGCUUAGGAUAAUGAUUUGAUUUAGCCACAAUCACUAAACAAAUUCCAGAGGAAAAUUUCGCUACUCAUAGGUGGCUGAUUCUCAUAAAAAGACAUCGUGGUAGGGUGUCUCAAGUGCAGGCUCACCAUCAACUUGCUGCCCUUUUUAGAUUAUUGUAAAAUGAUUUCACAUGAAGCCCAAUGCAAAACUUUGAAAGAAAAGGUUGGUGGAGACGUGAAGAAUAUGUAACCCAUAGGCCAUAACUAGUACCGAAGAUUAUUGAACAAACAUUCAAGGUUUUUGUAUAGACGAAACUGAAAAGAAUGUGUACCAGACUCAGGCGUUCAGAUCAGAUGAUGCCGUAAUGUGGAUUGUGGAGGAGCAUUGUGCAGACAGAUAAUGAGAUUCUGAAAGCGAGGCCACUGAUGGGCCCUUGGAAGGGGGGCGUGCCUUCAAAAUUAUAUAUAUAUAUAUAUAUAUGUCAUUGAAAAUUGGAAGCAACUUUUCUUCUUAAGUUAUUUUAAUCGAAGAAGAAACAAAAAGUUAAAAACAUACAUUAUUCUUCCUUCUUACGAGGUUUCCGGGUCUAAAUUACUAUGGUCUCUGCAACUGGCGUCGUUUUCUCUCCCCUCUCUCUAUUUUCCCUUUAUUUUUUCACUUUUAGAAAGAAGCAUCCCAUCAAGAAUCUACUACAACCCUACGCUUCCAUUUUGAUUUAGAAAGUUAAAAAUAAGUUUAAGUUAAAAAAAAAUAUUUUCUUAUAUAAUUAUUUAAACUUAUUUCUUUUCCUUUUUAUAUAAAGAAACAAAUAUUUUGCAAAUAAAUAAAUUUCUAAUUAUUUUCAUUAACAUAAUAAUAAUAUUUUUCAUAUGACUUUAAUCACAAUUUUUUUUACCACUUGUCCAAGGCGGUGAGAGGUGAUAAAAUGUAUUAAAAAAACGAUUAAAUUGCAUUAGGUAUAGAAGUUUUGUGCUUCAAUUAUCACUUAUAAAAAUAAAAUAAAAAUAGUCAAAUUUGAGUGUGCAAGUUGGUAUUCGUAUGUAGAAGGAAUUGGGGGAUUUGGGGGUCCUAACAAAUUUGAUAUGAUUGAUGGAAGGAAAUGAUUAUUAUAGGAUAAAGUCCGAAUGAAACGCUGACGAGGGGGGAAAAACAACAGUGGCAAUGCACUAUCCACAGAUCCAUGAUUGAUUUAUGUUAGCAAUAAUGAAUUAUUUUGACUUUGAUAACCUUGGUUAAGAGAAUUUGGUCUUGUUAUUAUCAUUUUUUCAAAAAAAAAAAGUGUAGGUAACUAGGUAGUUGAUUUAUUAGAAUUUAGAAAUGAGGAUCCCCUCCUCCUGCAAGAGCCGUGACAGACAUGCCUGCUUUCUUGCCAGAUUAUACCAAUGUGCCCAAAUAAUCCCCCAUCUAUCAUCUCUGCACCCUGGAACACGUCACUCCCUCCUUUGAGCAAUAAAAUAUCUCUUUUAUUUUCUUUUGAACCACUCUUCUAUUUCUUUGUACCAGACUGGACCCAUUUAAAUUCUUCGCUACGCUGUUCCCAAGGACUACGAGAAUCAAAAUAGCAAAAUUCUUGAAUCAUUUUAAUGGGUUCAGAAACCACAUGUUUCUCUAGAUCAUAAGAGGAAAAUCUUUUUGGAUGGUGUUUGUGUUGUGUUGUGUUCAAUAUUAAAUACUCAAUUAAAUAAGCUAAAUCAAAUAUCACAUGAAAAAUAAUCAAAUUAAAAAUAGGGAGAAUUAUGUUUUGAGGGUAGAUGGACCCCAAAUUAACAAAAGGUUCAUGUAACUCUUCAAAUUGAGCCCAGACCCAAUGAAAAUAUGGAAAUUGAGUUGAAGUAUAUCAUCAUUCAGUAUUUCCAAAAAUGUCCUUUGUUGAUUUUGAGAAAAAAAUUAAUAUUUUUGAAAAAUAUUUUUAUGUAAUUUAAUAUUUUUUUAAAUACUUUUAUUUAAUUUAAUAUUUUUAAAAAAUAAAUUUAUUUAAUUUAAUAUUUUAAAAAAUAUUUAAUUUAAUAUAUUUUUUAAAUACUUUAAUUUAAUUUAAUAUUUUUGAAAAAAAUUUUAAUUUAAUAUUUUUGAAAAAAAAAUUAUUUAAUUUAAUAUUUUUUAAAACUAUUUUUAUUUAAUUUAGUAUUUUUGAAAAAAAAUUAUUUAACUUAAUUUUAUAAAAUAUUUUAUAUGUGUUCUUAAAGGGUAUAUUUGUCCGUUACUAUUUCAUAUCCUUCAACUCAAUUUAAAGAGUUAUAUGGACCUUUUGUUAAUUUGGGGACCCAUCUACCCUCAAAAGAUAAUUCUCCCUUAAAAAUAUAAAUUUAAAUAUGACAUAAUUAUUAAAUAUGUUAGAUCUUGUAUGAGUUUAUAAGAUUUAUGUUUCAAAAUAACAUGUUUAUAAUUCAUCUAUUGAUUUAUAAUCAAAUUUUAAAUAAAUUAAAGUUAUUCAAGUUAAUAAAUAUGAUUUAUGUUAUAAAGACUAACUAAAAAAUAAUUUAUUAAUUAAACGGAUCCUGGUCAAUAAAAAUUUGAUUUAAAUACGAUCAUACUUAAUCAAAACUUAGGUCAAAUUGUAUUGAUAAAUUACAUCAAAACCUUGUUGUGUUCAAUAUUUUAUAUUAAACUAUUUUUUAAUAAAAUUAUUUUUAUAAAUAUAAUAUUACAUCAUUUGGAGAAACAAAAUAGUAUUAUAUUGAUUUUACAUAUAAAGCAACCAGUUAACCCCUCAUUAUUUUGAUCCAUUUCACAUCCAUAUCAUUCUCAUAAUUUUUUUAUAAUAUAUUAACAUGAUGGACGGUAAUUGAGGGUAGAAAAAAAAGAUGAGAAGAAUAAAAUAAUGUGAAUCCUCUCUAAAUGUUACAUCUUCUGACAAAUGAAGUCUAUAGAAAUGUGUAAAAAAAAAAAAAACACUUAAUUGUGAGGUUCACUUGAUUUAGCAAAAAAUUAAUAUUUUAUUUGUUGUGUGAUUUAAAAAUAAUAUUUUAUUUUUAAAAAUAAAAAAUUAUUUUUAAAGUUUUUUAACACUAUUUUACUAUUGUUCUUUGAAAUAAUUUUUAAAAUUAAAAUGAAAUAACUAAUAAUUUUUAGAUAAUAAAUUAAAGUUGUUUUUAUUAGAUUUUAAAAAUAAAAGAAAAAUAUAAAACCAUUUGAUCAAAUUUUUUUAAACUUAUUUUUAAAAGGUUUUUUUUUUUUUUUUUUUUUUUCUAUCCUAAGUUAAAAGAUAAAAAAUAAUUUUUAAAGAUAGGUUACGAGCAAAUGCCACAAACUUUUUUCUUCUCUUUCCCUUGUUCGGAUAGAAGUGAAAAAUAUCCUCCCAUGGAUCGACAUUACGUGAGCCAUCACCAUUCCCCAACUGCAAUUCAACCGCCAAAGCUGAGGUGUCAUUAUUAGUUUGAACAAAAGUCAGCAUUGUCCACGUGGUGACAAGCGGAACUGACCCAACUUGCAAGGCAAAAAAAUAAAUAAAAUAAAAUGAAAAAAUCAGAUCACCAUUAUGACGUCAGUCCAAUUGCUGACCUGGCCGCCGUCCCCCAUUUGACCCACGUGUUCAUUUAACCCAUUCGCCGUAUGCCGUGGCUCCCCACCCAUAUGGCCAUAUCUGCCAUUUAUUUUAUCCGUUGCCUCCAUUCGGUUUUUGGAUUUUACCCAUUCGCCCUCGUCUAUUCCCAUUUCCGUAUUUGCCCACCAAGGAAAUUCAAUUCCCAUGCUUUUGUUUUACAUUCAAAUCCUCCCCCCUCUAUAUAAAGGAGGGAGUAGGGCUUGAAAGUUUCUCAAGCCAACAUGGACUGUUGAGAGUGAAAGACAGAGGAGCCACAAACAAAUAUCACUCACUCAAACCAAAGCCAAAACCAAUACCGAAUUCAAUUCAAAUGACUUCUUUCUCUCUCAUCAAUUCCCUGAAUUCCGAUUCCGAUUUCAAUUUGUUAUCGGAUUCUUUUUCCUGGGAAAACUCCCUACCUUUCAAUGAAAACGACUCCCAGGAGAUGCUCCUCCUGGGCAUGCUGGCCAGCUCCACUCAGGAAACCUCAGAAACAGUUUCUUUGAAUCGAGUGAAGGAGGAAGAAGUGACUUCCCAGGAAAAUCCCGAGAAGGAGAAGUCAUACAGAGGCGUUAGGAGGCGGCCAUGGGGGAAAUUCGCAGCAGAAAUAAGGGACUCGACCAGGCAUGGCAUAAGGGUGUGGCUGGGAACAUUUGACAGUGCAGAGGCAGCUGCUCUGGCCUAUGAUCAAGCUGCUUUUGCGAUGCGGGGCCCUGCGGCAGUCCUCAAUUUCCCGGUGGAAAGAGUGAAGGAAUCGAUGCAGGAGAUCAAGUGCAUCUUGGAGGAGGGGGGCUCACCAGUGGUGGCCCUCAAGAAGAGGCACUCUAUGCGGAGAAAAAGUCCUUGCAAGAAACAUAAAAGUGAAGAGGUGAGGUUAGAAAAUGUGGUAGUGCUGGAGGAUUUGGGUACUGAAUACUUGGAACAGCUCCUCACUUUCUCUGAGACCUCUAGUCCUUGAUCAUCAUCAUCCAUCACCUGGAUAGCUUCUUCUCUUUGCUCUGUUUCUUACUUUUCUCUCUCUCUCUCUCUCUCUCUCUCUUUUUUUUUUAUGUAAUUUUUCUUAAUGUAUUUUUGGAGAUGGCGGGGGUGUAGUGGUGGCAAUUAUCCAUCUAGAAUUUUUCAAAAGAUAUGUUCUUUUGUUUCUUUGUAUAAAGUUGAAAAGUGGGGAUCAAUUGUGAUGGUGCUCUAUGUUCAUCCACCCAAUUUAUAUAAUCAAGGUGAUUAAUGUUUUUUGAUAUCAACAAUUUGUGAAUGACAUAGAGAGAGAGAGAGAGAGAGACCUUAUUUUCUACACUCAUUACGGUGGUUUCCAUUUGGGGAAGGAAAAGGAAAUGGCUAAGAAUGUUACCAAAAGAAGUGGGGUGGCUUUCAUAUGCGUGGUGGCAUACUUGCAUACAAACUUUUCAAUUGUGUUCUGCAUGCCACUCGGGUCAAUUUCAUUUCUUUUACUCCUAGUAGCCUAAUUGGAUUUCCUUUUUCUCAUGAGACAUCAAAUAAAUUUCAUUUUUUUAUAUUUAAAUAGUUAGGUAAGUUUGAUAGUGAGUUAUAUUUUAUACAUUAAUUCAUCUUUUAGAAUGUUGUCUACAAUAUAAACAGUGUAAUUAAUUUCAUCAUUACAGAACAGUCAUCUUAUAAAAUAACAUAAAAAUUAUUGGAUCACUUGUAUGGCACCACUGAUUUGGACUUGGUAUGGCUCUGUUUGGCUUCAUAGAAAAAAUUUGGACCCAAUUUGAAUGUCUUGCAUAAAAAGAGAUACGUCCCACUUUGAAUGAUAUUGAAGAAAAAAAUUUCUGAUGAAGAAUAUAUUGUUGGCAGGGUCAUGCAGGCCAAUAGGGAAACGAUAAAUUCAGAAGAAUGAGUCCAAACCAGUGGGCUUGAAAAUUAAGAAGAGAAUUGCUGUAUAAAACAAUCAUUUCUUAAUCGAGUUCACUUUCUGAAUAAUCGUCACUUUGAGAAUGCAUACUUAGGAAGAUGAUGAUCCUUAAUGGGAAUAAUCAAAGGCAUCAAAAAAUUGUUCUGGAACAAUUCUUGAUUGUCUCCAGUAAAAUUCAAAGUCAAAAGUCAAAAGUCCAGUCGGUCAACACCAAACCAGGCCAGUCCAAAAGACAUUAAUUUGCAAUCUAGAAUCUAUGAUGAGGUGGCGAAAUCAAACCUUGGCUUUUCACCAGGGAAUGGUACUCUGAAUUUGGUCAGUUCACUGUUUCGAGUGAAUAGGGUGUAGUAAUUAGUAAAUCAUAUUUUAGAUUUGUGUCACAAGUUACAAGGGAUAUGGGCUGACGUUCAAUUUUGGCGACAAUUUGUGGGCCCGUAUAUUUGUUGAGAUGUGGAAAUUGGGUGUGUGCUUUUUUCUGCUACCACAUAAAUAUAUUUCUUUGAAUUGAAGAGUGUUUCAGACCAUUUUUUUUCAAGUCACAAAUGGACAACUGAUUGAGAUUGUAUUGGUGAGAGUAGGAGUUUAUUUUGGGCUGGUUGAGCGAAGUUGAAAGUCGAGUUGGACCUAACCCUUGAAUUCAGCAGACUACAGUCCGAUCCUGUAUUUUGGAUUUAGGGAACCUUCUUUCCCAGAAGCUUCGUCUGGGUUUUAAAGUCUAAAUGUGGCUACUCUUAAACAUUGGAGAAAGGAUGAGCGUUCACAAGCAAAUGGGUAAUUGUGGAUGGUUCAAGGACCUGGCCAGCUGGUCUUCAAGUUUGGAUGCCGGUUUGGGCCUGAGAGAGUCUUUGCAAAGUGACUUCACUUCAGCCUAUGAGAUCAAGAUAUCAUGGUGAUGUCCGAUCACUUAGGUUUCAUUUUCACCUCGGAUUACCGUUACCAUGUUCAUGAAUAAAAAUAAAUAAAUAAAUGAAGCCUUAUAGAGAAAUUAAUGAAGUGAGCUAUACAAGCAACUGGGCCAGGAGCCUACAAGGCAGAAAUUCCCUGCCCUAGACUAGGCCGAAUAAAUUAGAUGAAUGAAUUGGGGAAACCUGGGCCAGCCACACAUCCUCCUGAAGGCUGAUGUCGAACUCGCUUACGAGGAAUGGACAUGGGAGAUUGGGCUGGGACCAAAUAACCAAUUGACAGCCCUAUCCUUGUGGCAAGACGUCAGUAAAAUGGUUCAUUCUGAUUUUACGCUGCCAUUCAAUUUAAUUUUAAUUUUUGUUUAAAGCGAUGUACAAAUUGAAUGGUGUCUAGUCACUUAAAGAGUGGUUCAUAAUACACUUAAUUUAAACAAAAAAGAAAUUAUUAGAUAGGGGAUUCUCCAAUAAAAACCACCCCAUCUUGUCAGCAAGUCCGGAAACUUCCUUCACUUAGGGCGUAUUUGUUUUUUUAACUUUAAUAUUAAAGAAAGUUGGUUAAACCUUAUGACACUUUUAUAUUAUUUUAUGAAUUUUUUUUAAUUUUUAUUUUAAUGGAAUUUUAACUUUAAUACAAGUUGGAGUAAUUCUUAUCUUAAAAACAAAUCAAAAUUACUUUAAUUUUAUAUAGAAAUAAACUUACAGUAAAUUUACCAUGAAAAUUUCUAAGUCAAAUACACCAUAAGUGCUAGUAUUUUAUAAUAUUUAGAAACAUGUUAAAUUAUUAUUAUUAUUUUUUAAAAUUAUUAGUUUUCAUAUUAGUUUUAGGGAAACUUGUGCUUUAGGUCUUUUAUUUGCAAAUAAUAUGGUUUUCAAAUCCUAAGAAUAGAAAAUAUGAGAAUCAACUGUUAAUGUGGAAAAUAAUAUCAAUUUUGUGCAAUCUCUAUUGACUCAUUUUUUUGUGCCUAGAUUGCCUUCACCCACUUCCAUGUCAACAACCACAUUAAUAGAUUGUUUUUUUUUUAUAAAACAAAUAAUUAUUAUGUUUAAAAUUUUGGGGAAACUCUCUAUCUCUCUUACUUCUUCACUACAUCCGAGACCCAUCUUCCUUAAACGUUUGCCUCUCAUUUUGCCCUAACCCCAAAUCUCAUAAAUUUCUCAUUUUCUUGCCUCAUUUGAAAUAUGAAGAUGACCGAUUCUCAAACAUCUCUGUCUCUCUCUUCACGUUUUGACCAGUCUAAUUGGAAACCCAUUUUCCAAAAACCUUCUUUCUUUCAUUUUGCCCUAACCCCACUAUCUCCCUCUUCAAGACCUAAUCACCCAAACUCGAUAUCUAUCUUCCCAAAACCUUCAAGCAAACUGAACUAGACCCAUAUCUUCUUUUUUCAUCAUCAAAGGUGAAAUUUUUUUAAGGCUUUUGGAAACCGAAUUGGAGCUUUCCCUUCUUCUGGGAUUAAUCAUUCGCAAGUGAGUUUUCCAUUUAAGGCUUUGUUUGGCUGUUGAAAUCUUGGGAUCAAAGGUCUUUUAUUUUCAGGUUUCUUGUAUUUUGCUUUAUUUUCUUGUAUAUAACAAUAAUCAUUGUAACAUAUGCUAGUAGUUACCCUUGGUGCAACUUUACAUUUCCAAAUACCCUAAAGUCCAAAGCUUUUAAUUCCCUUUUCAAAGCUUUCAACUUUGAAAGCAGACUAAACCAUAAGAACUAUGAAACUUAUAUCUCUAUCACCACUAAUUAAGCAUGUCUAUGAAUCCUUCCACUUUAAGUCACUUAUUCUCAAACCAAGAAGGGCUCCUCUCAUUCUCACCCCACCUCAUCUAAAUGAGGGAAAUGAUCAAUUGCAGCCAUGCUUUGCACCAAAUUAGAGAAGUGAUCCUCCCAAUCAUCCAUUACCAAAAAUUGAUCAUGCUGAUGAGAUCAUAAGAGUCUAUUCGGAACUCCCAGUUUACUUGCCUCUUAUCUCAGGAUCCUCCAUUACCCCCUGUCUUUCCAACAUCAAAUCAACUUGCAAACAAUUCCUUUGUAGAUAAAAUGUUUUUAAUAUUGCAAAAGGGGACUUAUCAUAAUGGUUGAAUCGAUUUAUUUGAUAUAAUCACUCAAAUUCAAGCUUAAAAUUGAUCAUAAUAAAAUGUUUUUAAUAUUGUUAAAAGGAGAUUAUAAUGGUUUUAUUUGAUAUCAUUACUAAAAUUCAAGCUUUCAAACAUGCUCUACAAAGAAGUUCUAAAAGACUACAAGAAAGAGUUUCCACUAAAGAAAAACAAUGAAACCAUUUCUACUAAAGACAAACAAUGAAACCACAGAUGCUUUGUGAAAUAUGUACCCGCACAAUCCAACAAACUUUAGAAAUUCACAAACACUACCUAGAAUUUUUGCUGACCAGCAAAAAAUUUAUGCAAUUUAAUUCUUAUUGUUAUUAUUAUUUUCAAUGUGAACAAAUAUGAUUGAAUUAUGAAGUAUUUGGCCAGAAGAGGAUCUUGCCUAAUUAUAGUCAUUAAACAACCAUUUAUACCAUAGCCUCUAGACUUUAAAAAGUUUAUAAAACUCAAGGGCUUCCACCCAAUUUCUAGAUAUCUCCAUAACAUUCUUCUGACUAUUAGAAAGCAAUUACCACUUUAAUUUUUCAUUUCAUGAGUGUUCAAUUCAGAAAAAGACCAGGAUCGAACUUGCGAUCAUGCAGUCGAAAAUCCACCUGUGCAUGAAACUAUUGCCUCACGAUUGCAAACUCAAGUUGGAGUCCAGUAACAACUCUAGGUUUGCUGAUGUGCUCCAUUUGAAAUAAAGGAACUAAAGAAUACUUUAUAAAGAUUAAUUACCUUCAUAUUUUAGGUUGGGGUUAAGGCAAAAUGUGAUAGAUUGAGAGGAAGAAAAUAUAUCUUGUUCAGGAAGCCAAUAUUUUGGAGUUCACCUUUCCAUUCGAGUCCACUCUGCUAUAGCAAAAUCAGAGUCACAACUAUGCCUCUUUAAGCUAUCCUUUAAUUGGAUGAAUUGCAGAUUUGGUUGCUGAGAAAGUGGAUAAGAAAGAAAAAUGCAUACUGUAGCUUGAGAUUAAGAGUUUGUUUUCUAAAAUGAGAGAAAGGGAAAGAGAAAAAAUGCAUAUUGUAGCUUGAGAUUAAGGGUUUGUUUUCUAAAAUGAGAGAAAGGGGAAGAGAAAUGUUCGACAACUUUGAGAUGACAAAUUUUUAGAUUUGGAAAAUUUGAGAUGAGUCUCAGGUUUUUUUUUUUUUUUUUUUGUCUUUGUCUUUGUUUUUUUUUUUUUUUUUUGUUUUUUUCCCAAAAACAACCUGUUAAUGUGGUUGUUGACAUAGAAGUGGGUGAGGGCAAAAUGGGCAUAGAAAAAAGAGUCAACACAAAGUGCACAAAACCCAUAUUAUUUUCCACAUUAAUGACUGAUUCUCAUAUUUCUUGUUCUUGGGAUUUGAAAACCAUAUUAUUUGCAAAUGGACCUCCCAAAGCACAGGUUUCCCUUAGUUUUAUGUCUCCAUCUACAUUUUACAUAUAAAUAGAUUAUUUUAUAAAAUUUGUUUUGUAGAUAUAUUAGUUAAUAAUUAUAUAAUUAAUGAUAUAGAAAACAUAUAAAAAUCAUAUUUAAAAAAGAUAAUUACAUAUUCCUCAACAAUCCAUCCCAAGAAUUCGAGGUUGAGUUGAAAACAUGUAGAGUCUUUGAUGUUAUUAUAAUCAUAUCCAACACAUAUGAUUAUUGUUUAUGAGAUAUUAUUAGAAAGUUUGUCUUAAAAUAAUUGAUUUAUUACCCACCUUUAGCAAAUGCCCAUUUUUGCGUCUUUCAAAAUUUUCAUUUUUUUUUUGUUUAAAAGAAGUAUUGUAAAGAAUGAUGAAAUAAGAAAUUUGUUGAGAAAGUGUGAGUAAAUAAUUUUACAUAAAAAGAGAUUUAAUACUUGAUAAAUAAAAUAAUAAAAUCAUGAUUUCUAGUUGUAUAGGGCCGGGUGGAUGGAGUGGCUAAGAUGUAAUUCUUGAAAUAGAGGAGACAACAUCAAUGUAUAAAAGUUUAACAGAGAAGGAAAGUGUGUUUGAAUGACUUUAUUUUCUUCAUUUAAAGUUUUGACGAUGAGUGUUUAUACAAGAUAAAUUUUCAAAUGAUAGGACUCCUAUUUACAUGGAGUUUGUGAUAUACUAUGAUUAUACAAAUUUAAAAUUCAAACAGAUUCAUGAGUUGAUAGGAGUCUGCUCAAUACGCCCCUUCAAAAUGGUGGGAGAUAGCACACCAAUCUUGACUCGAAGGGCCUAAACUCGUGCAGAAGAUGAGGGCUUUGUUAGAGCAUCGACAAGUUGAUCCGUGGUUGACAUAUGGGACACCUUGAGCUCACCUGAUUAAACCUUGUUUCAAACAAAAUGAAAAUCAAUCGCCGAUGUGUUUCAUGGAGAGUGAAACAUGGGAUUUGCACAAAGAUAUGUUGCACCCACGUUAUCACAAGAGAUAGGAGGUGGUGAUAAAUUUGAAACACUAAGUUUUGAGAGAAGAGAAUUAACCCAAAGAACCUUUGAGGCUGUAGAGGCCACGACGUGAUAUUUCGCUUCAGUGGAAGAGCGUGCUAUGAACUUUUGUUUCCUCGAUGACCAAUACACAAGAUUGUGACCAAGAAAAACAAUGGGAGCAUUGGUGGAGGAUCUGACAUAAGGAUUCCUUGCCCAUUCAACAUUCGAAUAUGCAUGUAGAUUGAUGGGCGAUUUCUUAUGCAAGAACAGACCAUGCACCAUUGUGCCGACUAAGUAUCUAAGCAAUCUUUUAACACAAGACCAAUGUGUUGAUGUUGGAUGGUGCAUAAAUUGAGAUAAUUUAUUCAUCAAGAAGGUGAUGUCAGGGCUAGUAAGAGAGAAGUAUUGAAGGCUUCCAACAAUUGACAUAUAUUUAGUGGGACCAGGAAAAGAGGUGUCAUCACACAGAUUUGGAACAUUGUUGAGGAACAUCAAUGAUUGAACUGGUUUGGUAGCCACCAUUUGUGUUUUCUUAAGAAGCUCUCGAAUGUACUUGAGAUAAAAAUAAUCCUUUGGAAGUAUGUAUCAUUUCAACACCAAGAAUAAAAGAUGAAGUCCUGAGAUCCUUAAUGGAGAAUUUGACUGCUAAUUGAGAGAUCACGCGAGCACGAAAAACAUUAUUGUUACUUGUUAAAAUAAGAUCAUCAAUAUAAAUAAGUAGGUAAACAAUGAGACCACUCUUUUUAAAAAUGAAGAGGGAUGUCUCGGUUUAGGAGUUGACGAAGGCUAUUGAGAGGAGAAAUUGGCAAAGUUCAUGAUACCAUGAUCGUGGAGCUUGUUUAAAGCCAUAAAAAGCCUUACAAAGUUGGCAAAUGUGAUGAUGUGUGUAUUCGUGAACCCAGGAGGUUGAAUCAUGUAAACAUCUUCAUGAAGUGUCCUAUGCUAGAAUGCAUUAUUAAUGUCCAAUUCAUGAGUUGAUAGGAGUCUGCUCAAUACAAUGUGGGAGUGUGAUUUCAAAAUUAGGGUAAUUUCGAAAUGGAUUUUGUAUUCACAAGUUGAAUUUCAAAAUUAUUUUGAAAUGGUCUUUUAACUUUAAGCAGUUGUGUUCAAAAGGUCAUAACUUCUUCGUUUCAAUUUUGAUUUACACAUUGUUUAAAACAUUGGACUCUUUACUUCCCGAGCUUCAAAACGAUAUAUAGUAUGCUCAAAAAUGACAUCAGGAUUGGUUCAAAUUUCAUCUUGAUAUUAGAGUACAUGUUGUGAUUAGAUUUUGAGUUCCAAAUUUCCAUGUAAACUUGAUUGCAUUUGCUUCAAACCUCCUUCAUUAUGGUUGCUUGCCCUCUAUCUCACUUUGCAACAUUUGUUACUAGUAUUUUAUGUCCAUGACUUACUCAUUUCAACCUUUCUUGGAUUCUUCAUGGUUCACAAAUUAUGGAUUCUUCAUGGUUCACAAAUUGAGUCUUUCAAUUAUGCAUGUUUAACUCCUAUUUCCUUGGUUGAUAAUGACUUUUACACUUAUCAUUUUCUUUUAUUCUUUAAACCUGAAUUUAGACUUACAAAAAAAAGUUAGAUCCAUAACUAGGGUCUUAGCAUCAAUUUGAGUUAAGUUGGAUGAUUUGAAAAUUUUAUAUUACAUAAAUCAUAUCAUACAUGUGCCAUUGGAGUGCACAUUUUGGCUCUAAUCAUGUUCCAACCCAUUGUUUUACUCUUGCAUGAAGUAUGUGGCCAUUGAUUUUAAUUUUAUUUGCGAUUAGGUUCAAAAUGGUGCUUUUGUGUUGCUCAUGUGUCAUCAGAAGAUCAACUAAUGGAUUCUCUAACAAAACUACUACAUCAUAGUCAUUUUUUUUUUUCUUAAGACCAAGAUUGAGAUCUCCAAUCGGAGCCAACUCCAUCUUGGGGGCAUGUUAGUGAAAGAUAAAAUUUAUCUUUAAUUUAAAUAUUAAUAUUUAUCAGUUAUUAGUUUUAAUUAGAGUAAAAGAUAGAGUUUAAAUUGGAGUAGGAGAUAAACUUGUGUUUGAACUAGAAUAGAAGAUAAAGUAUAAAGAUUUAUGUUUGAAUUAGAAUAAAAUAUAAAGUUUGAAUUAGAGUAGAAGAUAAACUUGUUCUUUAUUUGUAUAUAAAUAUUCAUCAAUUCUUGAGAAGAAGAUUAUUUCAUAGUUUUUCUAUCUUCUUUUUUCUUCAUACAUAUCUGCAAGAAAUUGAAGAUUUCAAGUAAAAUAUUUUCUGUUUUAAAUAGUGAAAAAAGCUAGAAAUUCACUUUGUUAUCUCUUGGGGUAAAUUGACAAGGUUUAACGUUAAGAAGGUGAAUUAUUUUUUCAGAAAAACUGAAGUAGCUAGGAUAUCUGGCCAGUUGUGAUCGAUAAAAAAGUUGUAAAAUCUCUCAUAUACUAAACAGGUUUUGGAUGUUGGUAUGGUAAAUCCAUCUGCAGUCAUUCGUCAUCUCAUCUAGUGAGAUGUUUGGGAGGUGGUGACCGCCGGAUUGGGUUUCAUUUGGUUAAAUCUGUCAGUGGGUUGGCUACUACCCGAGCCUCUUGCUUUGGGGGAGGUGGGUUCUAGAUAUAAUGUUCAAACCAUUUUAGUUAUCAUAUGCAUGACAUGUAAGCAUAAUCUCUUUAUCACUUCUUCAAUGGGAGUUCAUGGUUAGGAAUUGACUUCUUUUCUUCUGGGAUGCUUGGCAUGUAAUGGACAAAGUUACUUUUAUAUCGAUCGAAUUUCUAGUAUUAUAGUGAAGACUUACCCUUUUGACAUUUUAUAUCGAAUUAUAGAAGAUGAAAGGGACAUACAUGCAAUCGACUGACGCUUUAGUGAAUAUGCUGAAAAUAUGCUGAUGCUGUGGAGAUCGUAUGAGGACAGAGGAAAAAGAUAGAAAUGGAUAUAUAAUUAGACCUAGGUUUUUAUUAAAUGAGAUGGGGAACAUAGAGUGAGGGAAAAUCAAAAUUUUUGGCUGCAGUUCACAUUGGUGAUAUUUUGGAUUGACAAAGACUAACGACUUUUCUAUUUUUCUUUUCGGCCUGACUGGAUAGUUGGACAUGGACAAUACAGAAUCCACAGAAGGAUUGUUGGGACCGCUGAAAAUUAGCUAGAAGAAGCUGAGGAAGUAGUCUACGUAGUCAAAUACCAAACACAAAGAAAGAAAGAAAUGGAUAUCAUGGAUGCCUAGAGUUAUACUCCUAAUACCGUCACAGGUAUUUUUCUUUCCUCCUUUUUUUUUCUACGAUAAUUAGAGCAUUUCUCCUCCUCCUCCUCCUCCUCCCCCCACCCCACCACCAAAAAAUAAAAAAAUAAAUUAUUGCAAGUAACACUUCAAAUAUUAAUUUAUACAUUCUAAAGUAUAUAUUCAUGAAAUAACUUGAGUAUCAUACAUUAGUUCUCAAAAAAAAAAAAAAAAAAAAAAAAAAAUUACUGGAAGAGAAAAGUUUAAGAAAACAUAAAAAUAUUCAACUACUAUUUUAAAGAGAAAAUUUAAUUUUUACACUAUAAAUUUGAAGAGAACUUUUACAUGCAUCUUAUAUAAACUACCAUUUUUUGCUAAAAGGCUUAAAUUUGUCAAAAAUACCCCUUAGGUGCUUAACGUUCUGGUCAUAAUAUAAUUGGCAUCUUUUCUCAAACAUAAGGCCUGUGUGUGGGAACAAGAUUUAAUGUUAAUGAGCUUCGCCACCGACAUUUAGUUCCAGAAAUCAUUAUUUUAAUAGAGUGGGCUCAAUUUACAACUUUAAUUAAACUCUAACCAACUGCAUUGUGAAAUGAAUAUGUUUCUUUCGUGGUGAAUCCAAUGAGUUGGGAGUCAAACUUUGCUUCAUUGUGUAUAGAUGAAAUGUUAAGACUCCAUGUAACCUCAAACAUUUCCGCAAUNNNNNNNNNNNNNNNNNNNNNNNNNNNNNNNNNNNNNNNNNNNNNNNNNNNNNNNNNNNNNNNNNNNNNNNNNNNNNNNNNNNNNNNNNNNNNNNNNNNNUUCUUUCGUGGUGAAUCCAAUGAGUUGGAGUCAAACUUGCUUCAUUGUGUAUAGAUGAAAUGUUAAGACUCCAUGUAACUCAAACAUUUCCGCAAUGAGCGGGAGUUCUAAAUUUAAUAAUUGAAAUUGUCAGUGGAACCAGUGGACAAGAGUUGGUUUGUGGUUGACAAACUUAUCCGUUUGAUCUUUACUUGAACAGUUCCAGUGUGUGGAUGGGUACUGAUGAAGUGUGCGCAUUUAUUUUGAGAAGCCUGCUUGUUCGCAUAGAUUUUAACGACAUGAACAUUGUGGUAAGGUUAGAGAGUAAUGCGAAUGUAGGAGCUUAUAUUAGAAAUGACACAAACACGUAAAUAGAAGUAAUCUAUAUAUGAUAUUACUCAUGGACUACAAGCAAAGAAGUACAAUACAUGGAGUAAGUGAUGAAAUGAGCAUUCCUCACUACUACUGCUUGACUGAUGGAACAUGAUGCACGAGAUAGCAUAAGUAGUAGUAGGAAGCAGCUCUUAUUUGUGGCGUCGGUAUACAUCAUACUAGGUAGAUGGUUCAAUUGGCAUGGAUGGGUGGUGGAGCCUUGAAGUGCUUGUGAUGGGGAGCCCACGGCUUCUUCUCAGGAGUUGGUGGCUUCUUGUAUGGAGUUGAUGGAGGUGUUUCUACUGGAGGGUGGCCAGGGUAGUGACCCUGGGGUGGUGAAGGUUCUUUUGUCGGUGGUGGCCUCACUAUUAUUGGCGGUAGAGUUGGUGGCUUGGGCGUUGGCGGUGGUCUCACUACUCUUGGGGGUAGAGUUGGUGUCUUGUGUUUUGGUGGUGGAGGUGGCUUAACAGGAGUUGGUGGCUUGUAUUCUGGGGGUGGUUUCUCCACCGGAGGUGGCUUAUAAACUGGAGUUGGUGGCUUGUAUUCUGGGGGUGGCUUCUCCACUGGUGGUGGCCUGUAAACAGGGGUUGGUGGCUUAUAUUCUGGGGGAGGCUUCUCCACUGGAGGCGACUUAUAAACAGGGGUUGGUGGCUUGUAUUCCGGGGGUGGCUUCUCUACGGGAGGUGGCCUGUAAACAGGGGUUGGUGGCUUCUCCACCGGAGGUGGCUUAUAAACGGGGGUUGGUGGCUUGUAUUCUGGGGGUGGUUUCCCCAGUGGUGGAGACUUGUAAACAGGAAGAGGUGGUUUGUGCUCAUAUGGGGGUGGCUUGUGGUCAUUAGCAAGUGAGGGAGUGGUGAGGACCACCAAUCCAAGGAACAACACGAGUGAGCAAGCAGAAGACAUGUUUGGGCUCUGGUGAUGCACAAGUAGAAGAAAUGGGAACCAUUUAUAAUGCUUCGAGACCUUGGUUAGCACCAAAAUAUGUCAAAAUCUUGAUUACUUCAUUUCAUACAUAGAUUUAAAAUUAUUUCAAUCAACCAUGAUCCUUAAUUUUCUGGGUGGUCCAUAAAUGUAAUGGGGUCAAUUUGGGACCUAACAAGCUGAGAAGUUUGACAAUGCUGCAAGGCUUCAUCCGAAAGUCCGGGGAAGAAUAUUAGGAGUUACACUCCGUUUCCUUUUUUGGGUGCAUUUUUCUCCUUUAACAUUCUAUUCCCUUUUACAUUAGCAUUUGAUCUUAGCUCAUUUCAAGUACAAGUUUCUUGAACCCUAUACCAUUGUCAAAGUUGAGUAACCAUCUCUACUUUGCUCAAGAAACAUAAAAGACAAUGACAAUAAAGAAAAAGGAGAGAGACCAUACGUGACUUGGUUUAUAGGUGGCUUUGUGUUGACAUUUGAGUAUGGAAGCCGACAUGCAUCUUAGCUUCGAUUUUAAUUAAAUUUGUACAUUAGUGUCUGUGUCAUUCAUUUUGGUAUAAAAGGUCUCUUGAUUUCGUAAGUUUGGUAAGAACCGUUGAAAAUAGCAGUAGCAGCACAUGGUCCACUUUCUUUCACAAAAUAAUUUUAAAAGUUUAGAAGCAUAGGAGGUAACAUUAGUGGCCUUGUGGCUCAGCCACGAGUACUAUGUGGUGCUCGAGAAAUUGAGUUUAAUUUCCUUCCGAUAGUUCAUGAUAAGGUCCGUCACUGUCCUGAGACAGAUUGCGUUUUUUCUUUUUUCCUUUUUUAGUGUUUUAUUGACUAGCUAGGUGUGACUUUUCCUACUUUAAGGCACGAGGCAGAAAAGAAACUGGGAUUUAGUGCUUAAGAAGGCAAAUUUAAUUCGAUUUGGAUCUAAAAUUUGCCAGCAACAUGAGAUUUUCCAGCCUAUCGUUGCUCCACAUAUAGACAAGGCACUUGUAGAAGUGGCUUGUUUGUAGCCAUUCCCGAUAUUUGGACUCACUUGAUUCACCGGACACUUUGAUAAAAUUUAAUAUUUAUUAUUUAAUAAUUUAAAUUGAUUUAAAAUUAAAUUAUACCGAAGUUGUGAUUUAAAAAUUAUUAUUUAAUUCUUACUUUUAAAUAUGAAGAUUAUUUGAUAAAAAUAAUUUAAAAUUUAUUAUAAAUUAUCAAAUUAACAUAUUUAUCCUUAUAAAUUAUAAUUAAAACAGAAAAGGUCAAAUGAUUUGAGUAUCCAUAGAUGUGGUAAAAUAAUAAAAAAGAUUAUAAAAACAAUUAUGAUAAAUAAAGAUAAAAAGUAAAAUGAAUAUGUGAAUUUAAAGAAUAAAUUAAUUAUUUUUAUUUAUUACUUAAAAUUAUUUUUGACUUUAAAUUAUAUUAUUAAAUUAUUUUACCAAACAUACUUAAUUUAGUUAAUAAUUUAAAUUUAAUUUAAGUUAUUAAAUUGAUUCACCAAAUACCCACUUAAUCAAAGACUGAAGUAUACAUUAUUUGGCCAAAUGCAGCUAUUGAAAUUUAACUUUUUCCAAACUUAUUCAUUUUGUGGAAAUAUUUUUAGAAAUGAUUUUAAAAAUGCACUAUUCUGUGUGUUGAUUUUAUAUUUUGGCAUUAAUCCAACAUAGAAAACGGUUCUUAUUUUCGCUGUUAAAUAGGUACCAGAUCCUUAAUUAGUGCCGUGAAUCCGGCAGCUUCCAAUGAGUAAUUUGGACUUGGGUAUUGACAAUGUGUGGCCAUGCUUCUACUAUUUUAUUAUUCUUGAAACAUAUAUGAUAUAUUGGACUUUAUACAGGGAAAAAAAAAAAAAAAAGUCUUCACCAAAAAUGAUUCCUCCUAAAAAAUAGACUCCACAAACUAGGUUUAACAGGAAAAUGAUUCUAAUCUAGUAGUUUCCAGCCACAUGAGCAUUUACGUAACAAUAGUAUAGUUGAUAACGACUUUUAUUUUAUUUAUUUUUAAAUAGUUAAAGGGAUAAUUUUUGAGCUUAAAUUUUAUUUUUUUAUUUAGAAACAUUUUACUUUAUUUUUUAAUCAUAAUUCUAUUAUAUUAAUGUUUUAUUUUCUAUUUUUUAAUAUAUAAGGAGAUACUAAAUUUAUGUGAUUAUUUUUUAAAAAUUUAGUAUAUGAAAUUAAAUAAUUGGAUAUAUAUACAUAUAUCAUAUAAUGUUUUUUAAGUGUGAUUUUUGAACUUUUUAGUCAUUUUAUAAGUUUAAGCUUUUGAUUUUUUUUUUUAAACUUUGGUAUUUUUUAUUUUAUAUAAAACUAUUUUGAUUUAAUUUUAUUAAAAAAUAUUGGUAUUAUAAAUUAUUGUAUUAAUUAUUUUUUUAUAUUAUAAUGUAACUGGUAUAUACUAAAAAAUGUAUGCAAGUUCAAUUUAAGUUUCAAAUUAAAAAAUUUCAUUUAAAUAUUUAAUAACUUGUUCAUAAUAAAAAAUUAAACAACAUAAUACAAAUGAAAAGAAACAUAAAAGAAAAAGGAAAAAAUGGUCCUCUCUGUGUGUCACAUUACUAGGUCAUCCUCUUUUUCUAUGACCCUUACAAUAGAAUGGCAUAUUUGUCAAAUCUACUUAUGAAAGUUGGAAUGUUUCUACAUGUGUAGGGUCCAUUGGAACUAAUGGAGGAAAGGCUUAACGUCUAUGUAAAUCACAACGUUGCCUAGGUGGGCAUAGAUCUAGUUGUGUAACAUGAGAUGGUGUGAGAGUACAAUAUAUGCAUUGUAGUCUCUAUGGGAAGAGAGAUAGGUAAUGGUAGGGUGGUAGACGGUAGGGUGAUCUCUAAUAUAAUGACAUUUGAUGUGGUGGCUUCUAAGAGAGGAGAUAUAAGAGAUGGUAGAAUGACAUUUGGUGUAAUGGUCUCUAGUGCAAUGACAUGUGAUAUGGUGACCUAUAAAGAAGAGAUAUAGGUGAUGGUGAAGUGGUAUGUGGUGUAGUGACCUUUGAGAUAGAAAAUAGAGGUAAUGGUAGGUUGGCAGGUGGAGUGGUCUUUGGUGUAGUGACAUCAAUUAUAAAUGUCUCCAAGGGAGGAAAUAAAGGUGAUGGUAGGUAGUAAAUGUUGAGGUGGUCUUUGAUAUGUUAUGCUCUAAGAGAGAAGGUAUAGGUAAUGAUAAUAGGGAAUUUGACAUAGUGGUGUUGGAAAUAAAAAGUGAAAGUGACCGUAGAGGUGAAAGGGCAAGUGUAAAAGCCUCAAGUACGAAUGGAGUAAUUAAUGUGGAUGGUGCUAACAUAGUCUUAGGUGGAUACACAAAUAGUCAUAGUCAUCAACUAGCUUGCCCACCAUCUGUCUUUCUGCUAGUGAUAGGUUACAUCUUAAUAGUAAUGGCCAACAUAAGUGGUGUGGAUCCGAUUUUUUUACGUGUGUCCCCACUCAAUCGACAAGACUUAUUUUUUAUUAGUGAAAAAUUAAUUUUGGAAAAGUUGGAGUCACCACUUAUUUUAUUUUAUUUUAAAAAGGAAAGUAAAACAAGAAAGAGAACUCUAAAGAAGUGACUUCAUAGUUUUGGAAAAGUUAGUCUUAAAAAAUCCAAGUCUUGGUCCGGAGAUCAGGUUACUUAUUGGGAAGAUACCUCUAAGAGGUAAUACCCCUCUAAACCCUAAAGAAGUCUCUAAUGACUAAGUUGAGGAGAAUGUGGUAAUUAAUUAAUUGAUUGAGGGUACCUAGGUAGACUAAGGUGAUUUCAGAAUUAACAUACCAAGCUAGAAAGUCCAAUCAUGAUCAUAAAAGAGAGUCAAAGUAUGUACCUGAACUGCUUCUCAAACGCUAUCAUAAAACAUCAAAGUUAGUAUAGAAAUAUAACACAUAAUAUUUGUUUUAUCCAAGCAAAUAAAGCAUACAUCUAAGCACCCAAGAAUCACAUCAAGUAUGGAUAUAGUCAUCAAUAGCAUACGUGUCCAUAGAACUAUCGAAAGUAAAUGUGGAGGAGCGUAUCUGGACAACAUAGAUAACUUAUAAUGUGCUUCCACAAGACAUGGGGGUUAGAUAAAAGUUAUAAUAAUAAUUAGUAAAUGAAAGAAUUCUAGCAUGUUUGGUAUCUAAAUAACAUAGCAAAAAUGAACAAGAGUACACGAAAACAUCAAUUAUCACACGAGUCAUAUUGGCUAGUAUUUAAUCAAUAAACCAACAAUAAAUGACUAUAAACAUAUAAAAUGACAUAUUCAAAGAGACCCAAACAUAAAGAGCCUAGAACACAAGCUUACACUAAAUUUAGAAAACUAAAACAUGGAAUUUUAAAAGCAUAAAUUAGCAAACAAAUUGAUGGAAACUAAAUUUAGAUAACUUAAGAAUAUUUUUCUUAUCCUUCAAUUUAAAUCAGUAAGCCAACAAUAAAAAAUUAUAGAAACAUGGAAUAUCAAGAUCAAUGGGAUACCUAAACUAUAAUUUUUAAAAGAAAAUAAACUAAGCAUAAUAUCUACAAAGCAACUAAACUAACAUUUUUUUAAAAAUAAAUUAAACAUGACAUUAAUGGAGUAACCAAACUAAAUUAAAGUAAACUAAAAACAUUUAUGAAUUUUCAAACAUGGAAUCAGCUUUCUUAGUAAAUUAAAAUUAUUAAAAUAAAAUCUAAGCUUAAAAAUGAAUUAAAUACUAACUAAAGCAAAUCUAAAACCAAAUAUUUAACACAUAGGAUCAAUUAUAUUAACAAACUAAAAUUUUAUAAGAACACUUAAACCUAAAGUUGAAUUAAAAACUAACCAAUUUUUAAAACUAGAUCUUUAACCCAUAGGAUCAAUUAUAUUAACAAAUAAAUAAUAAAUAAUAAAUAAAUAAAACUCAAACCUAAAGAUGAACUAGAAAUGUACCAAAGUAAAUUCAAAACAAGAUCUUUAACACAUUAGAUCAAUUAUAUUGACUAACUAAAAAAAAAAAAAAAAAACACUCAAACCUGAAACGAUGUAUUAGAAACUAACCAAAGCAAAUUUAAAAUAGAGUCUUUAACACAUAGGAUCAAUUAUAAUCACUAACUUAAAUUACAAUUUUUGAAACAUGAACUAAUUAGUGUUGGAUUAAUUAAACUAAUUAACUAAAAAAAACUAUAAACUAGAAUACGGUGAAUCAAGAAUUCAAAUCAACAAACAUAAAAUAUGGGUACAAUGAAAUGAAAAUCUAUUAAACUAAUAAGACGGAAAUAUGACAAACUCAUGAACCCACAUUUUGAUCAACUAGGAAAUAGAAAUUAAUAGACCUGUAGCAUGGAUACAAUGAAAUGAGAUCAGUUAAAUUUAUUUGCCGAAAUUCUAAAAAACACAUACACUCAAAUAAGAUCUAAAUCUAAGACCAAGCAAAACUCAAACUUUCUCAAUCUAAUGCAAUGAAUCAAAACUAAAAUUAAAUAGAAAUCAAACCAUUUUUUUUUUAUCUAAUAUAAUAAAUCAAAGCUAAAACUAAACAAAAUCGAAUUUUCUUAAUUUAAUAUGAUGAGUCAAAGCUAAAAUUGAACAAAGUUCAAACCUUUAUAUAAUGGAUCAAAGUUAAAUCUAAAUGAAAUCCAUACUUCCACAAUUUGAUAUAACAAAUCAAAAAUAAAACUAGAUAAAAAAAAAGUCAAAGCCUUUCAACUUGACAUAGUGAAUCCAAACUGAAACGAAACAAAAUUUUAACUUUUCCAAUGAAACCCAAUAUAGAAAAAAUUAGCUUACCUUCUUUAGAAUAUAUGUAUGGGCCAUAAAGAAGUCACCUUGGUGCAUGUGUUCCUCACUUUGACGCCAAUGGACGACUUUCUAUGGUAGCAAAUGGAGAUCCUUUUUGGUGGUAACUUGCGUGUGGAAACCUAUGGUACAACCAAUGUCAUCUUUUAUUGUGCGUGUGGACCAAUUUCUUCUCGAGAACUCAUGUGUGUUGUGCUCAAAAUAUGUUGCCUGUGAGAAUCUAUUGGUAUACCCCACAUAUGGUUUCCUUGAGAGAAUCUGUGGUUGUGUGUGGGCGUUUUCUUCAUGACAGCAUGUGGAUGUUCCCAUCUAUGGUAGAUUGGUUGUGAUGCUUUAGUGCAUGGUCUCCAUAGGAAUAGUGUGUUAUGGAAAUUUGGUUUUUUUAUUGGUGCAUGUUGUCUAGACUUUCCCAUAUGCGUGGACUGUGUGUUCAUGCUUUUCUUUUCGGAUGGUCGCCUGUGUUAAUGUGUGGCGGUGUCUACAAUGAAAGAUACAACCCUUUCUCUCCUUCUGCGUGAUAGAAAAGUCAAUCCCCCAUGGUGCGACUAUGUUCCCUCGUCCUUUUUGAAAAAUUUUGGUGUUUUCCCCCCAAAAAAUCCCCUCCAAAAAUCUAAUUAUAAAUGUCUGCUUUGGCCUAAUGUGUGUGCUACUUUUUUUUUCCUUCUUUUUAUGGUUGUGCGUGCUUUUCUUGAUACGUGGCUUAUUUCUUAAGGAUAUGAUUCGCUCCCAAUUGGUGUCUCAGCUGAUUCAUGUCCUUUCAAUGGUCCCUGACAGUGGUGCCAUUUGAUUCGUGUCCAGCUGGUGUCCCUUGAUUGUGGUCCUCAGAAGGGAGUAAUCAAUAAAAUUUAUAACCUAUUACACCAUGUAUUAGGAUAGCCUUAGCUAGCAUAGCAUAGUGGCUCUAGGGUCGUUUAUUGGGAUGAGUUUUCACUUCACAAUUGAUAUUAAUUCAAGAGCUGAAUUGGUGCCUUUUCAUUUCAAGGUUAGCUUUAAAAGAAAACAUAAUCUUUGGUGGAAAAAGGUUUGGUUUUAAACUAACCAAAAAUAGUAACUGAUUUUACUUACAAAGAAAAGUGUUCUUUGGAGUUUAGAUCACUAGGCUCAGGUUCCUCAUACAAAAAGGAGAGUUCCGAUCAUUUGUUUCUUUUCCUCGCAUUAGAGAAUUAACAUAUAGUUAAUUCUCUAACCGGUGCGGUACAUAUGCUUCCCAUUAAUGGGUUCAAACACUAAAUACCUCUCACUGAUGCACCUUGCAAUGGCUCGUGCCUCUCACCUAGCAUUUAUCAUUCAAGGUGAUCUUUAACCUUGGAUUACCCAUCAAAAGCUCGCAAGAGAUAACUAAAGGAUGUCUCCUUAGAGUCCAAAAGCUUACCAAGUGUUGGUUAUUCUAGAAAAUCCUACCUUCAAACCACCUCCCAAAGGCUCGCAAGAGAUAAACAAGUGCAUCUCAAUGGAUGAAGAUCACUUGCCUUACCAAGUUUUGGCCCAGAUGAUUUAAUGACAUUUUAAGUUAACUAAAAAGAUAAAAACCAUUAACGGGUCACACUUUCUCUUCAUUAAAAACUAAAACAACAAAACUUCCAAUUUAUGCAUGAGGAAACUUACCUGGCUUUCUUCACUUCAAGAGAUGAAGAGCCUAGCCACUCAUCAUUUGAGGAAAAAUCCUCAGAGUUUGAUUUGCUAGAAAUAAAAAUAAUGAGAAAACAAAAAUAUAUAUAUGAAAAACAGAGCAAGUUCUCUGUAAUAUAUUUUUCUUCCUUAUACAAAAGGUUGUCUCUAAGAACAAGUUCCCGAGAUCUAUCUGAUUGUAAAUAAAAUUACAACUAUAUAUAAGAGGUUAUUCACCCCUUUGUUCUUUCUUAAAGACUAAGGAAUCCUAUGAUAGGUGGGUUACAAGGAGAGUUUGGGGAUUUAGACAUCAAAUAUCUAAAGCAAAAUAUCUCAAGAUGUUAGUCGGAAAUAUCAGGAAGCUUCAGGAGAACACCGCGACACUGUAUACUGAGAGAAAAACUCUCCGGGUAAGCUCUAUCAAAGGAUCCAGACAUGUCUGACUGGGAAAGUUGAAACGUCCUUCUCUCCCAUCCGGAUGUGAGAUAUCCGGAGAAAGUGAAAUGUCGGUCGGACAGAAUUCUUUCCCCGGGUGGAAUGAGUUGUGUUGCGCGUCGCAAGGGGGACCGUCUGCGUGUACAAGUUGUAGGGACCCCUCUCCCGGAUGACACCGAGCGCGUAAGGCUAUCCGGAUCAACUCCAUUCGGAUUCCCCAAGAGGACAUGUGGCGUGCUCCCCUAUCAGGACUCCCUUAGGGAGAAGCACACGACACUCGUGAACAUCAUACCCGGACGAUAGCAUGUCCUAUCCGGAUGUGUUGUCCGGAUCAUUGACUAAAGUGAGCAAGCCUUGCUACGUCAUUCGGACAGCUUGCCACAUACCAUGUUCCGUCGCCAUCUGAUGGUGUGUCCGAACGCCUUGUCCGGACAUCUUUUGCUCCUUGCAUUCCGGAUUUGCUUAUGACAAAGGACUUCAAAGCUUCGGUUCUUCAUGUUUCUGAGCUUUCCAUUGCUUUGCCAUGGAUUCCAAAGAACUCUCCUUAAUCACGGAUUGCUUUGGUGAUCAAAAAGUUAUCAAAACACAAAAACUUAACAUAGUUUGAUUAGAAUUGAUUGCAAGGGUUCUUAAUAUGUUAAUUGGGUUAAAAGGUGAUAACUACUACUCAAAAGUGUUUAUAAGAAUUAAUUACAAGCUAUGAAAUAACACUUUUUGAGUAGUAAUCAGGAUACAUCCUAGUUUUUCAUGGAAUUGAUAGUGGGUUGUUGUGCAUGAAUGCCACCAUUUCAACUAUGCUGUUGUUAUUUUUAAAAAAAAUAUGGAUUAUGCGCGAGUGGCAAUUCUCCACUAUGGAAAGUGGAUUGCUCCUUCAACCCAUGCAUGGCUACGUAUUCCUAUGUCUUUCUACUUGUGUUUGAUCCUCCAAAAAAAAUUUCGGUUUAGUGCUAGUAGAUUUUAAGUGGUGGAUCCCCAUUUUUUGAAAAUGAAGUGGCAGCCUCCCAUUUCAAGACAAAAUGGUAGCCUGCCUUUAAUCUUUGGAGAAAAAUCUGUGCAUGACCUUUUUUUUUCCCAAAAAAUCCGUGCAUGGUGUCCUUUAAUAUUUGGAGAAAAAUCUAUGUUGGAUCUUUUCUUUUCUAGAAACAUUUGUGUGGUCUUUUUUGUUAGCCCAAGGGUUCUUCUAAUCAAGUUUUGAUGAUAACAAACCAUGGUUAAGUGACUAAUUGGUUUAAUGAUUAAGAAUCUCAAACAUAAAAUCGAAAAUUCAUCAAAGGACCAAAUGGAUACAAGAUCGAGACGCUUGGAAGACUUGUAAUCAUAGGAAACUAAUGUAAGAUGAAUGCAUGAGUGCACUUAGGAUUUUCACACGUUUCAUGCAACUUAGAAAACCCAGUUUAUUCUUUAAAACUUCAUCCCAGUUUAUUCUUUUUAUGGUUGUGUGUGCUUUCCUUGAUACGUGGCUUAUUUAUUAAGGAUACAUCCCAGUUUUUCAUGGAAUUGACAGUGGGUUGUUGUGUGUGAAUGCCACCAUUUCAACUGUGCUGUUGUUAUUUAAAAAAAAAAAAAAUGGAUUGUGCGCGAGUGGCAAUUCUCCACUAUGGAAAGUGGAUUGCUCCUUCAACCCAUGCAUGGCUACGUAUUCCUAUGUCUUUCUGCUUGUGUGUGAUCCUCCAAAAAAAAUUUUGGUUUAGUGCUAGUAGAUUUUAAGUGGUGGAUCCCCUUUUUUUGAAAACUAAGUGGCAGCCUCCCAUUUCAAAACGAAGUGGUAGCCUGCCUUUAGUCUUUGGAGAAAAAUCUGUGCAUGACUUUUUUUUUCCCAAAAAAUCCAUGCAUGGUGUCCUUUAAUAUUUGGAGAAAAAUCUAUGUGGGAUCUUUUAUUUUCUAGAAAAAUUUGUGUGGUCUUUUUUGUUAGCCCAAGGGUUCUCCUAAUCAGGUUUUGAUGAUAACAAAUCAUGGUUAAGUGACUAAUUGGUUUAAUGAUUAAGAAUCUCAAACAUAAACUCGAAAAUUCAUCAAAUGACCAAAUGGAUACAAGAUCGAGACGCUUGGAAGACUUGUGAUCAUAGGAAACUAAUGUAAGAUGAAUGCAUGAGUGCACUUAGGAUUUUCACACGUUUCAUGCAAUUUAGAAAACCCAGUUUAUUCUUUAAAACUUCAAUUUCAUUAAAACCCGAGUUUUUAACUAAUGUACCUUAGGCAAAAUGUUUUAUAAUUGGCUUAAUAAUUCACCUAAAUACAUUUUCUAAGUGUUAGAAAAGAAAGGAAUUAAAAAAAGGUUUUCGGGGCAAAAAAGGCUCAACCGGUCGAGGCUAUGGUCAACCGGCUCAACCGGUUGAGGAACCAAUCGAUCGGUUGUGCUUGUCCGAUCGAAGACCAAUCGAGGGAUGCCAAAAAAUUUCUCUCUCUCCUAGUGGCCUUCUCUUCCCGGUCGAGGUUCGGUCUAGGCAACGGUAACAUGUCAAGCAUUAAAUGCUCCGACGACUAGUGAAUCGGUCGACCCCUAGCCCGAUCGGACGAGGUUGCCUUUUGCUGUUUUUGACUCCCGAGCUUAGAAACCUAUAAAUUGAGAGCUCCACUUCAUUUAUUGAUAAAAGAGAACACUUGCAUUCAAUAGUCUACCUACCUUUUCUUGAUCAAAAAGCUCUCAUUUCCUUCAUAGUGCAUUAAAUCAUCACUUGCAUAUCCUUUAGUGCACUAUUGUGUGUCAUCCUAGCUUUGUUUUGUAUUUGAGCUAUCCUUAAGCUAGGUUGAGGGAUUAUUUCUUAUAAAAAUCUGAGUGUUAAAGCCUUCAAGAGAUUUGAAUCUUGAAGAGAUUGUGUAAGAGCCCAUUGGAGCCGGAGUCCAAGUGUAAGAAGAUUGGAAGCUUGGUUGAAGCUUCAAGUUAGUGGAACCCUCACUCGGUUAGGAGGUUGAGGAGAGUGGACGUAGGUAAGGAAGUGUCGAACCAUUAUAAACCCGAGUUUGAAUUCUCUAACUCUAUCUCUUUAUUUUGCUUAUAUUGUGUUUGAAUUUGUUGUGAUUGAAAAGAUUUUAAAAACCUAAUUCACCCUCCCCCCUUUUGGGUUUUUUUUUCUUAAUUAAGCAUAACCUUUGUUUUCUAAUUUUCUUUUUAGGAAAAUCCAUGCGUGGUAUGUCCAAACUCUCCAAGUGGCAGUCUGCCUUCUUCUAAAAAAUUUGUUUCUAUUUCUUUAUUCGACUACCUUCCAUGUCUUCCUAAUGAGUGCUUGUGCUCAAUGGUCAAUCCCUGGUGGUUGCCUCCUUUUCCCAUAUAUACGUGUUGCAAAAUCAACAUCCCACUAUAUGUGGGUUGCCUCUAUGGCAAGUUCACAUUUCCCACAUGAAACCUAUGAGUUUCCACCAAAAAUUGCCAUGAAAAAGUCUUUAUAUGCAUCUCAUGCAAUAAAAAGUCAAGCCAAUACUCAUCUUAUCUCGAAAAAUAAGUAACCAAAAUCAAGAUCAUGCCUAAGUGAACUAUGCCAAAAGAAGUGUCCAAGUGACCUAUUAUGAAAAAAGUGCCUAAGUGACCUAAGGUGAAUGUGUGUAAGCUGGAAGGUGUCUAGGAUGUUUAGGACAAUGCCUAAGCCUAAAAUAGGGUUGCCAAGGGUCACAAUGGGGUUAGAUAAAUCUCUCAAUCAGAGUCUCCAAGGUGGCUCAUAAAAGAUAAGCUACACGAGUAAUGAUGGGCCACCAGGGAAUUAUUGUAAAGCACCAAACGAACACAUAAUAGGACAUGUGUUAGAAUGAAAAAAUGGAGGGUUUACAAGUGGUCUCAUGGAUGAGCUUGAUAAUUUAAAUGACUCACAUAAUGAACGUAUGUGAUGUUUCUCUCCAAUAACAAGCAAAACAUCACUAGCAAUAUGAUGAAUGUCUCCUAAAUCACUUGAAGUAGUCCUAGCAAAUCAAUUAGAAAAAUCACACAUAUUGCUCUAAUGUAAUAUUAUAUACAUCUGUCAAUGAAUGGGAGAACUAAUGACACAACCAUCAUGUUGAUAUCUCGAACCCUCUAAUCUCAUAUGUAGGUGGGAUCACACUUAGAAACUCAUAACACAGUAAUGACCAAUCUAAGUCAAAAUGUGUUGGUGAUCGGAGGCCCAUGAAUAUGAAGUUCUAGGAUGAUAAUGACAUCUUAUAAAGUAAUGAUCAUCUCCUUAAUAGAUAGGUGAAAUGUGUGUGUCUUAGGACACCAUCUCUCAACAAGACUUGUGAUCAAUCCCCAGUCUAGUGUAACAUGCCUAUUAUGACAUCCAUCGUAAAAUCUAGACUAGAUAAUAUAAGGACAAAUGUGAGGGUUCAUCUCCCUUUCCCACAUAAAUUUAAAAAAUUAUUAUUGACAAGUUAAGACCAAACUAAGUUGCAAAAUAUAAAUAAGUCCAUUAGAUAACAAAUUUAUGUUUUCUCAUUUUCUCAUUUUUAAAGAGAUAUUAUGUGCUUCCAUGUACAUACAUGCUAAAGUCAAUUAUACGAGACUUAUAUCCAUCUUGUAGAACCAAAUCGAACCUAUCUAAUAGAUCCAGAUUAGAAGUAUGUCCUCUAUACUCCAUAUUUAUAACACAUUUAUAAAGAUAAAUGCUAAAAAAAUGUUAAAGAUAUAAAUUUAAUGAACCAUACUUUAUGAUUUUAAUUCUCAAUUAUUGUUCAUAUUUAUAAGAGAAAAGUUAAAAAAAUUGAUAGAGUUUUCCCUCUAUCAUGGACAUUAUCCCAAAUAAAAAUAAAUUGAUUAUGCAAAUUACAUUAAUAUUUGUAACCAAAUGAUCAAUAACUAUCUUGUAUCAAUUUAGUAAAUAAAUUUAAGUAUAUCUUUUCAUUUAUGACUAACAAAUAACUCAUACUUGUCCAAUAAAAGCCACACCUAAUUUCUAAAAUUUUGUCUUCACCUCAAGUGAGUGUUACAUUGAGAAAGAAAAAAUAUGAAAGAAAAAAUGAACACCUUUUUCUUUUAAUAAAAAAAGGCCAUAACGAAACAUUAAAUCUCACUGUUACACCUAUCUUCAAUGGAAACAUGAGGAUGUGAAUGGUGGCGGUGAUAUUCUUUGCUUGAAGCUCAUAAACAAAUAUUCCUUACUAAGCCUAUGCCAUUUAGUAUUUCAAUAGUGGACCCCCCCCCCCCCCCCCCCCCCCUCCUUGCAUUUCAGAUUUAGCAAACUUAGAACCAAAUAACAAAGUGCAUUUGAACCCAUAAAGAAGUAAUGAGACUCUCCUAUAUUGGCAAUAGAAGAAAUUUUUGGAGGUAUAGGAGAUUCACGGAUGAAGAAGUUGGGCCCCAAUUGAGAUAAGACCCAAGAAAAGAUGGGGUAGAGAGGGAUGGUUGGAAAUUGUAAAGUAAGAUUUUCAAAAUGUAGUUGAUGACUAAGAUUUUGACAAUUUAAAAAAGGUUUAAAAAUGUAGUUAGCAAUCGGGGUUUUGUAACAUUUAAAAAAUAAAAUAAAAUCUCAGGCCACAUGGUAGCCCAUGUGAUUCAGAAGCUUGAGAAUUAUUUUAUAAGAAGACUUAAUUUGUGAUUUUUUUAUAACUAUAUUAUUUUUUUUCUUAACACACGAAAAAAAUUAUGAAAUAAGACAAUUUUCCUAAGAAAGCAUGUAAGUGACUCUUGGUUAUUUUAUUUAACUUCUUCUAGUUUGGAGAGGAUUAAUACCUUUGCUUUUACUCACUUGCUUGGAUAUGUACACGUUGUUCAUGUCACUUUUCAUUUAAUUUUCUGAUUAAGGGAAUUGGAACCGUACGUAACUGUCUUUAUUCCCUCUGAAACUUGGACUUGGAGUUGGACUUUCAAUCUCAUCAGUCGUGUUUCCAUAAAAAAGAAGAUGGAUUAACCAAUUUUCCUAUGCCUACUAAUCAUACACAAAACUCCACUUCCAAAUAAAAAGGAAUGGGAUAUCACUUGUUAAUAGUGGCUAAAGACUAUUAAUAACCAUGCAAAGAAAUGUCACAUUUUUUGUUCUACGCAAAUUUUAUUCAUCAACUACUAGAACCAUUUCAUACAAUAGUAGCUUUUCGAUCCUUUGAUAAAUGGACACUUGAUGUGAUAACACCAACUACACCUAUAUAUUCAAGCAAUCAUGCGUAUAUAAUAGUGGAUAUGGAUUACUUCUCUAAAUGGGCAAAAGUUUUGUCAUUCAAGGAAAGUGAACGAGGAAACACAAGUUUACUUUCAUCGGAACUAAUAUUAUAUAUUGAUAUGACUUCCCAUUAUUACUUACGAUGGAAUAUGCUUCCAUAAAAUGGCCUAGAUGAACAAACUAUCCAAGAAGUUUGGGAUCAAAUAAUAUAUAUAUAGUUCAUGUGUGAUUCUUUGGUUGACAACCUUGUUAAGGGGUGAGUGAAGCACUUUGGGCAUACCACAUACUACAUGCUAGACUUCCACCCAAGCUACCCUAUAUUCCUUAUGAACAAAGUAGAAGUUGUCAUCUCUCUUGAAUACCAAAUCCUUUCACCUAAUAAUGCUAUCUAAAAAGGUCUUAAAAAGGAUAAAAAUGCGCAUAUUUGAAUUUUUGAAUUAGGAGUGCUACUUAAAAAGAAGCUAGAUAUACAAUAAUAGAAUGUUAUCAAGCAUAUCUCUUCAAAGUUUUUGACCAAAAAAUAUAUGAUUUCUCAUUUUAGGUAGGAGACUUAGUACUCACUAUUCAAAAACCAAUUAUCAUUACUCAUAAAAACUAAUAGAAAGUUUGGGCCAAAGUAGGAUGGACCUUAUAUUAUGCAACAAUUAUGCCUAUAAAAUUGUUGCAAAAGAGGUUUUAGAAUCAAAUCAAUGAAUGAAAAAUUAUUAAAGCAUUACUAUGCUUGAAGGCUAGUCAUUUUCCCUUAAAGUGCAAUAUUAAGUUGCAUAGUACUAUGUGGAUCCGCAUUUUUCACAUGCGUUCCCACUCAUUGUCGAGACUCACUUUUUAGAAGUGAAAAAUUAGUUUUAUUAAAGUCGAAGUUGCCACUGGGGAUUUGAACCCUAACAAAAGGUUCAAUUUAAGGAUAAAAAUAUCGAUAAUCACAUAUAUAUAUAUUGGUACUUUGAUUUUAUGAAUAUAUUGAAGAAAUAUGGACAAAUAUUUUGACACAAAAUAUGUACAAAAUAAAAAUUAUAUAAAAAGUAAAAAUAAAUAUUUUAAAAUUAUUUUUUUAAAUAUAUAUAUAUAUAAUUUGACAUAUUUGAUAAUAAUAUAUAAGGGUCUCCAAAAAGCCCGUGGCCCGCUUUAGGCCCGGUCCGACCCGACAGGCUAAAGCCCGGCCCAAGCCCGCCGGGCCCAAGCUCGGCCCGAGCCCGUUUAUGGGUGGGCCGGGCCGCGAGCCCGUAGGCCUGCUCCUUUAAAAAAAAACUACAAAAAUAAAAAGUAUUAAAAAAAAUAUUCAUUUCAAAAUUUUAUUCAUUGAAUGUAUAAUUACAUUUGAAAAUGUGGGAAAAGUUUACAUCACUACAAAAUAAAUACAUCCCAACUAGGUUGGCACCUAUUUAUUUGUCAAUCAUCUGUAUUUUUCAACCACAAAAAAUAAAAAUAAAAAUAUAAUAUACAUUUAGUCAUUAUUUUCUGGCGGUGAUGGCGAACUAUCAUGCAUCCAUGAAGAUCUUGAUAAUUUUAAAGAUUCCAUAUCGGUAAGCAUCUUUGUUUCUCGAAUGGAAUCAUACAUCCUUUUAUCUGCUAUUUCCCAAUCUUUCACACAUAUCCCUGCUUUAAUAACAUCUGACGCUAAGUUGCAUCGUUUUUUACUAACUACUCUUCCACCUGCACUAAAAGCAGCUUCUGAUGCAACUGUACUCACAGGAACUGUUAGUACAUCACGAGCAAUUAUAGAAAGCACAGGAUAUUUGUGUUGAUGUGAUUUCCACCAUAUUAAAAUAUUAAAAUCUUCUUGAUCUUCAAAUGAAAUUAUAUCAGUAUUAAGAUAUUUAUCUAAAUCAGAUGUAUUAUUUGGAGAAUUAUUUGUUGUCUUUUUUCGACUUUUCAACAUUUCUAGAGCUCCUUUAUAAAAAGAUGAGGAGUUUGUAGAUGUAGGUGGUAAUUUAAUAGUAUUAAUAUCAUUACCAUAUUUUUCUUUAUAAUAGUUAUAUAAAUUAUAUAAUAAUGAAUUUAUUUCAUUUUUAAUUUCUUCAAUUUUUAUUUGGUCAUUAAAAUAAAUAAUUGUUAACCAUUCAUCCAAAGCUUCAAAUUUCAAUCUAGGGUCCACAAUUAAAGCAAUAUAAAAAAUUAAAGGUAUUUCUCCCCAAUAUUUUCUAAAUUUUUAUAUCAUUACAAAUAUUGUAUCAUUAAAUAUUUCAAAACUUAAAUAUUUUUGAAGUACAAUAAAAAUAUUAGUUAUUUGCGUAAUAACUCGAUUUGAAGUUGGAUAAUAUACACCACAAAAAAUGUUUGUUGAAGUAUCAAAAAUUUCAAAAAGAUCUCUUAAAACAUCCGCAAUAUGCCAAUCAUAAUCAUUUAAUGCAUAAAUAUCUGCUUCAUAAUCAUUGUUAAUUAAUUGUAUUUCAUAUAAUUCGACUACUUUUCUAUAUUUUGUAAUAUUUUCUAAAAGUUUAUAUGUGGAAUUCCAUCUAAUAGCCAUAUCCAAAUUUAUAUUUUUUCUUUUCAUAUUUAACAUUUUGCAACAAUCAAAAAAUAAUUCAUGUUUUGCUUGAAAACUAUUAAUACUAUAUGCAAUGCCUCUAAUUUUUUUCCAAUGUACUAUCAACAUUUUUUAAUCCAUCCUUUACAAUUAAAUUUAAAAUAUGUGCACAACAACGCACAUGAAAUAUUUUAGCAUGAUCUUCUUUUACUUGCCAAUAUCGUUUUAGUCUAUGUAUUGCUGCAUCAUUAUUAGCAGCAUUAUCUAAUGUUAUUGUCAAUAUUUUAUCACGAAUGCCUAAAUCUAUAAUUUCAUCAUUUAUUAAAGAUGCUAUAUUUUUACCACUAUGUGGAGUAUUUAUUAAUUUAAAUAAAAUUAUUCUUUUAUUUAAUUUCCAUUCAUUAUCAAUGUAGUGAACAAUUAUAUAUAAAAAACCAGUAUGAGUUAAAGAUGUCCAAAUGUCAGAUGUUAAACGAAUAUUUCCUUCAAAAUUUGCAAAAUUUUUUUUUAAAAUUUCUUUUUGUGUAUAAAUUUUUUUCAUAAUAUCUCUUUUAACUGUAUUUCCAGAUCAACCUUUAAAUUGAGGAUUAAUACCUCGUUGAAUUGUUCUUGCAAAAUCAUGAGUUUCCAUCAUGUUGAAAGGUUGUUCUGCUCUUAUUAUAUAAUCAAUCAUUUCUUCACAACAGUUAGAUUCAUCAUAAGAAAAUGUUUUUAAAUUUCCACUUUCAUUUUUACUUAAUUGCAUAUAAUUUCUAAUAUCUACAUUAUUUUUAGUUUUACAAUUUUCAUGAUGUCUUUUUAAAUGACUUGUAUCUGCAUUUGAGCCACCAGUAAGAAAUUUAUUACAAAUUUUACAUUUUGCUUUUAUUUUUUUUUUAUUAUUUUCUAAAAUUAUUUCUAUUCUAUCAAAAAAAUUCCAUAUAUUUAAAGUAAAUUUUUUGUUUGAUGAUAUUUCAUCACAUGGACUAGACGAAGAAGCACUUGUCAUAUUAUAAUUAUUGAUAAAAUAUUAUGCCAAAAAUAAUAAAGUAAUAAAUAUAAAAAAAAAUGUAACAAAAAAAAUAAAGUAGUAGGGGUGAAGUAUGUUACUCAAUUAGAGAACCUAUGCAGAAAUUCCUAGCAAAUUUGAACUCUUGGAGCCACCAAUGCUUGUUUUGCACCAUCAACAAUAUUGUAUAAUUUGAGGGAAAAAUAAAAGAAUUUAAAAUAUUGUAGAAUGUGAGAGAAAUAGAGAGAAUUUGAUGAAAAAAUGAAAAGGAAGAAAAUGUAUUUAUAGGAAGGUUAAAAAUAAUAAUAAUAAUAAUAAUAAUAAUAAUAAUAAUAAUAAUAAUAAUAAUAAUAAUAAUAAUUGGCCAUGUGACCGUUGGAGGCUUAGCUCCAACGGUCACAUGGGCUGGAGCUAGGCUCCAACAGUCACAUGACCGUUGGAGCCUUUAAUUUUUUUUUUUAAAAUAAUAUACUUUAUUUUUAUAUAUAUAUAACUAACUCAAUUAAUAAACAUAAAAAGAAUAUAGUUCAGUUGGUUAGAACCUUGAAGUUUAAACAUGAGGGGAGGGGUUUGAAUCCCUCCCUCUCCCUUAGGGGCUUUUUUAAAAGCCAUUUUGGCUUAUUUCAAAAAGCCUGUCGGCCCGACCCGCCCUGCAGCCCGCGGGCCUAGCAUUUUAGCAUGGCCUGGUCUGUUGACUAGUCAAAUGGCUCAUAGGCUCGGCCCGAACUGGGCCGCGGGCCUCUUAUUUACGGACCGGCCCGACCCGGCCCGCCCGUUGGAGACCCUUGAUAAUAUCUUCUAUAUUAAGUUACAUUAUAGUUUAUUUUACAAUAUUAUUAUGAUAAUAUGUCUAAUUUUAAAAUAUAUUUAAUAUUAAAAUUAUGAUCUAUUUUAAUUUAAAUGUAUUCAAUGAUAUCAAAUAAAUAAUAAUAUAUGUAUAAUUCUUUUAUUAUUUAUAUUUAUUAUUUUUAAUAAAUAUAUAGAUUAUAUAAAAAAGACCGGAUAUAUCUUUUCAAAUUUUGUAUCGCUCUCCAAGGAUAUUAGAUGUAUGGGAAUUUGUAUUGCUAUCUACGGAUACGUUGAUAUAUGGGUGAUUUAUCAGGAUAAUUAGAAAUUCUAAUUAUGUAAGCAGGUACGGAGUUCUGUGUCGGUGCGAUCUUGUCGACAACAGCUCCAAAUUGUGCAUCUUGCUCAUAGAGAGUAGCGGAAUGCACCAAUCGUAGGCUCAGAGUACCACUGAGUCGUCUGGCAGAGACCCAACUGAAGGUGCCUGUGUUGUUCCUGAUCUGAUCAGGCUUCAAACUACAAGGUGGAAUACUGGUUCCCCUAUAUCAGAAGCUGGAGAUACCCACCCCAUAUGCUCGUCUGGAUGUGCUCCUACCCUUUGAAGCCUUCUUCCGAGUCAAGUCCGAAUUGAUAAGGCUAGUGAGUUCCCAACCAACUGUACUCAGCAUGCUGCCAGGUGGAGACCCUCCAUAUUUGAUGGCUUCCUAAUAUUAAAAUGCUGACCACUGGUCUUCAUGUUCCACAGGCUUAAUUGUGUCCUUUGCUGAAAGAAUGGAUAGUGAUCCAUUUUAACACAUGAUUCACGCCGUCUUUGCCAUUCUUCAUGGUCUAGCCCUUUUAUAUAUAUGCUUCCUGAACUGUUGCUAUUAAUAAAAUGUGGUAUCUAUCCCGUACACCUUCCUGAUGGCCAGCGAAUGCAGAAGCUACAGAAACGGUUCCAUCUUUUGCUUCCGCCACUUUGGCAUCCUCCAUGAUGAGAUCGAAGGUGAAUAAUCAUAUUCUGGGGAUUUAUGUCCUGGAUAUUCUCAGUAAUGCCCAAUUUCCUGGUGCCGGCCUCAUUUCCAUGGGAACUGAUGGAUAACUUAAGGCUUCUACCAUCUGCGUGGUUCGCUUCUAACACAGGAAACUUCACGGCUAAAAGCAAGAUACCAAGAACAUCAAGGCUGUGACAAAAAUUAGUAUUUUUAACUUGUAGGAAUUUGAAAGGCAACCAACCAUCUAGCUCUGUUCUUAAAGCUCCCAUAGGAGGAUCAGAGGCUGGAUUGCUCAAGAUGAACUCAUCCAUUGUUGCACUUAAAAAGAAUUGGCAUGAAUUGUGGCCGCUCUAAUAGGUUCCCUAAACCAUCAUCCAAGUGGGCUUGCGGAAGGUAGCGAGUUUAAAACACCUAGGGCGAUGAACAGUGGACUGUGAUGCUCACAAAAGAGAAAAGGAAGAAUUCAAUAAUUCCUAAGAAUCCAUUUGCCUGUCAUCCAAAUUUUUAUAUUCUCUUCAGUCUGACGCGUUAUGCCAUAUAUUAAAAAUAGCGGCUUCUUCCAAGCCGAGACAGACUGUGCAAAGUUCGCAAGGCCAAUCAUCACCAUAAUCUGAAGUUGGCCUCCUCAAUCGCAGCUUGUAUCCGAAUGCUCACUUCACGGGAUGGAUUGUAAUGAAAACUAAUCUCAGUCCCAGCUAUGGCAGCAUCCUCACUUGACAGCAUUUUCUGCAUAUUCUAGAACAAAGCAAUAAACCCUCAAAGGCUCCUUCGGAUCAGAGUUAGAAGACUGUCCCUCAGGAACGUGAACACUAUGGUGGUUCUGAUAAGCAGUGAUAUUGCAUUAGAGCCUUUUGGAACAAGAGGAUCUUUUCAGGUGGAAACUGUAAACUGCUUCAUGUUGGGCUGCAACCUUUUCUUCAAGCAAUACUUUCUUUCUGUAUCACGACUUAUGUUGCUUCCGGAGCCAUCCCGUGUGGACUGCCCUUCAGUGAAAGAAUAUGUGUGUUGACAUGUUGGAUUGUAAUCUUUGUUCCACUCUAAUGGCUUUUGGUCCUCCUCUUUCUCUUUAUGACAGAGAACCAUUUAGUGAUCCAUCUCUAUAUUGUAGCAUUGCUGGUGCUUUGCAAUACUACACUCUCACCAAGCAUAACAUCUAUUUUUCCGUGACCAAAGUAUGUCGGUUUAUGCAUGCGCAAACUCUUAUUCAUUGGCAAGUUGUCAAGCGUAUCUCAUGAUUUCCCAAAGCCACAAGUUCUUAUGGUCUUUCUGUUCAAGCUUACAAUGAUCUAUCUUUUCUUGGUUAUACUGAUGUCGAUUGGGCUAGUUGCCCUGAUAACAAGCACAAUACUAGUGGGUACAACACUUUUCCUGGUCCUAAUCUCAUUUCAUGGGCAUUUUCAAAGCAGAAGGUUGUGUCUCACUCCAAUAACGAAUCUGAAUAUAGGGGACUCACUAAUUAAUGUUGUUGCCAAGGUCACUUGGAUUGAAUCUGUCUUACGUGAGUUGCGUGUUUCUCUACCCCAACCACCAAUUUUGUUGUGUGACAACAUUAGUGCUACACACUUGGACAAACCAUGUUGAAAUACACUAUCAUUUUAUCCAUGAAAGGCUUAUGCAUCACACACUCAAAAUUCAAUACACCUCUUCUAUAGACCAACUAGUCAAUGCUAUGACCAAAGCUCUUCCUUCAUCUCACUUGUACAAUCUUCAGUGCAAGCUGAUUGUUCUUCCCAAACCACUCAACUUGAGGGGAGAUGUUAAGCCAAUUUAAUAAAUUGAUUUCUUUUGGUUAAUUUGUUAGAAUCAUUUUUAUUAGAGGUUUGUUUGUACAAUUACAUCCAUUUAUCAGGAGAGUACACGUGUACAACUCCUCUUUUAAUCUCACCAUUGUAUAUAUAUGAUACACGACCUUACUCAGAAUUGCAUAACAUUUCCUCUGCUCAUUCCUUUUCUUCUUUGAAUUUUCCCUUACCUCACUGAUUUUGAUUUAUACCUGGUGUUUUCACCUUUGGUCUCUACCUUUCUAGCCAGUUUUCUAAUUAAUCCGUAUAUGGUAUACCUGUCAACUAAUGAGGAGAAAGAGAAAAGGGGAUUGCUGUUCCACCAGCUACAUAUAAUAAUUAAUUACAAUCAUGGUAAUGGAUCCUGAAAUCCAUCCUUUGUGGAUUUUGUACGGAAUAUUGUUGUUAUGUAUGUGGGCUCACUUAGAUGUAUAUUGCUAGCCUGUCUGGGAAAUGUGAUUGCAGGUCCAGAUUAUGAUGUUGAUAUUAGUGGGAUAAGCAAGAGAUGCAGUUAACACGUAUGUGAUGGACUUGAGUAACUUUUCCAUUUCAGUCCAUUUUUUAAGAUUAUGCUUAGUCUUAUUACAAGGAAAGACCAUAAGAAUCAUGAGUCAUUGGCAAGGUAAUAUCAUUCCCUCUUUACAGGCUUCUUCACCUUUUGGUUUUUUUAAUAUCCAUCAAGAUCUUUUAAUUGGAGGACAAUUACAAGUAUAUAUAUAUGUAUUAAAAGGGGAAAAUAUUAAAACAGGAAAUUUUAGGGAAAAUAUAAUAAUUAUUUCUUCCUUCUUUCCCAUAUAGAACUACACAAAAUAAAACUUUAAUAAUUUUUUCUUAUCUUUUUUAUUAUUAUUUUUUCUUAGAAACAUCCGUGGUCUCACAAGCUUGUAAUCCUAGAUUGUUAGGCUCCUUUAACAGUGCCCCAACAUCGUGGUCCAAUGACAAGCUUCCACGCCUUAAAAUCAGAAAAUGCCAUUAAACUUUAUCAGACAUUACAGUUCAAGACAAAGCUUUCAUUUGCUUAAUGUGAUAAUGAAAUUGUUAAUUUCAUUUCGUGGGCAUCUAAAUUUGGACGAGCAAGACCUCUGAAUUCCCUGUUUUUAUCACCAGCAGAGGAGAUAAAAUCUUAAUGGUGAGAAUCUCCACGUGAAAUUUAUGUGUACUGUCAACAUAUUUUUGUUUAUAUAGUCCAGUAGCUGCAGGAAGUCUAGAUUAUAUAGGUAGCAGUAGCACUAUUUAUAGCACUCGAUAUUCGCUGUAUGAAUACAUUAAACCUUGUUUUCAAUACGCAUCACAAGCAAGUACUAGAUACUACAAGGAGUGACAGUCGCAUCAACAUUUCUUGAUAAUAGCAGUGACUGAUUUAUACACAGAACAGUACUGUACACGUACCAGUCACCAGAGAUAGGAUCUUAUUCCUACAUACGACUCUUAUUGAUCGAAGUCACUCAGUUGGGGUAGCCUGGAGUUGGAGGUUUGUGUGGUGGCUUCUUCUUUGGAGGAGGCUUUAUCUUUGGAGGCAUCAUCUUUGGAGGCAUCUUGUGUGAGUCUUCUUCAGCAUUCUCUACAGGAGGAUGGCCAGGCUUAUGACCCUUAGGUGGUUUGCCAACUGGGAUUGGUGGCUUGUGUCCUGAGAGUGGCUCCUCUUCUUCGGGAGGUUUGCCAACUGACGUUGGUGGCCCGUGUCCUGGGGGUGGCUUGUGUUUUGGGGGUGGUUUCACUCCACCGGGAGGUUUACCAAUUGGUGUUGGUGGUUUGUGCUCAAUCGGUGGCCUCUCAACUGGGGGGCGCUUGGGGUAAUCAGCGAGUGAAGAAGUGGUGAGAACCACCACUCCAAGCAACAACACUAGCAAGUAUGUGGAAGACAUCUUUGAGUUUGGCUCAGAUGGUGUAGAACUAGAAUCCUGGGUGGCCUUUUAUAUUAGUUGGGCCCUAUGCCCGAACGACAAGUGUCAUGGUGACACAUAAAGUGAUGGGGUCGAUUUGGGCCUACCGGAUUUGAAAACUUGGACAAUUCGAGAAGCGUCUCCUGACUCCGGGUUGUAAAGUGAAAGAUUAGGUAUCGACCAUUGAAGUAUGAUCACAACUUUUGGCCUUUGGCUCUCUCUACUGCCGUAUAGCUUUUUUCCUUUGGAUAUUUUUCUUAGCUAGACACAAUUAUUGAGCAGUCUAAUCUCGAAAUGGGAUUAGUAUAGCUUUAAGCAAAUUUAUUAUAGUUAGUGGAGGACUUUUAAGAGUGCAGACGACAUUUAACACAUGCAUGCAGUAGUAUAGGGGACAUAACACUAUUCUUUUUCCAAAGAUUCACAUGAUUUUUAUAUUAUAGUAUUGGCACAUUGUAUGUAGCUGGUUUUGUGGUUAAAAUUCCAUAUGUAGACACUGGCGUUUCUCCAUUUCUCACAAUUGAUGUUUACCUCCACGAUUACUAGAUUAGAUAUACCAAACAAUAACACAUUGUAUAAUCUAUCCGCCCUUCAAAAUCUACUGUAUGAUGAAAUGUUUCAUGUGUGUGUGAAGUGUUAGAAAUGCACUAUAGGCAACAUCAUCUUCUUUUGUCUAGGCUUGGGCCUCAAAUUAUACUCCCAUGCCAUGAUAAAUUUUCAUGUGCAUUCUCUAAAGAAGAGUGUCUUGAAUGUGCCAAAUCAUUUUGAUUGAUUUUAUGAUGUUAAUUGCUCCGCAUAUGGAUGGGUAUGUGCUUUAUUUGCUUAUUCAAUCCACAAUUACCUUGAACUGAAGUCCUAUUGGAGCUCUAUUAUUUUAGCAACGUCCUGUCAAAUAGGCUGCUAACUUGGGGUGGUAUGGACCCAAUGAUCCAUCUUAAUCUUGGGUUGAUUUUGUCUGACUCUAUCUAUCUCAGAGAGAACCAGGAUCACCAGUGCUGGUCUGCUUAAAGAAGACUCAGUACUGGAUUAAUAUUGGUUUGGGUCAAUAGCUUAUAAUGCAUUGAAUGCAGAAUAAACAAGAUCAAUGAAACCCAAAACACACUGCCCACACAACUUCACUCUGGUGUCUGUUAUUCAUCAAUUCUAUUCCCACAUGAACUGGUUCAAGUUUAAGAAAAUGACAACGGAUCCACUGUAUUAACUUGGUUUUGCUUGGUUUUGAGCUAGUUGCCAAACCAGCCAUGAGUUUUACCUCUAAUGUCAAUGAACAAACCCCAAAUGAACAACUGCAACAGCUUAAAGAGAAGGAAUGGAGAUGAAAAUCCCUGUUUCUUCUCAUUCUGGGGACAAAUUAGAACAUAACUACAAAGGUUCUAUUAAUUGACUUACUCUACCAUGAAUUAUGGUUCUUUGGUUUUCCAAAUUUAAAUUGUACAUGAGAUUAUUUUUUUCCUUUAUAUAUAAACAUAUUAAGGUUUUCUUAUUUCGUGGGCAAAUGCGCUAAGGAUGAAAGUCAUUUCAUUUGGCUGCAACAGCAUCUUAUAAUCAACAUGCAUAAGCAGCAGUUUUAAUUGAUCGAUUGAACACCGACUCACAAGAAUAGAUAGAAUGGUACAAGACAGCUCUUAUUAAUUUAUACUCGUUACUCAUUUUAUGUAGCCCCAUUAAGAUGGCUGGCUGGACCACCGAGGUCUGGGGGUGGUGUUGCUUGUGUGAUGCAGCGGGCCGGGCAGACACUUCUCUAGUUGCUUCUAUUUGGAGUUAGAGGAUCAGUCUCUGCCAACCUUGAGGACUCUCUACCUCAGAGGGUCCAGGUGGUGGACUCUGGUGUCGGUAGCUUUGAACUCUCAGUAGACUAGUGUGUCUUAAUCAGUCACUGCCAGAGGCUGGCGUAGGCAGUGACGAUAAGGUGAGACAAAUUACCGAAUAGUCAAUAUCGACUGCACUUGACCAUUAUAGAUUUGUUCUGACAAAAGUGAGAAAAGGGAGAAAAUCGGAUGUUGACCUUUAUAGAAAAAGAUAAGAUUUACUGCAACACAGAGCACUGAUUUGUUACUUGGAAACCAAGUUAUGCUAUUAGCUAGCCUCCAUUAGCAGCAGGGUACCUUGCUGCCUGAUCCUAAUCUGAGUUCCCAAGGUUUCAAUCUUCGUUUGUUAACGCUUCAGGAUUUGGAUAUUUCAGCUUCGUUUCUCCAUUUAGCCAACGCUGCCUGGUUUGGAUUUCAAUCCUCAUCUGGAACAUUCUUUUUUCGGUCUGAUUCAGGAAGUGUUUGGUGAUAGUUGAUUAAAAUUAAACAGUACUAUCAUACAAAUAAAGCUGAUCUAAUUUUGGUGGGCAAUAUACCAACUCAUUUAUUCUUGAAAACACCAUGGGGAAUUGGAGGUCCAUCCGAAGUACUAUUUGAUGGGACUCACAAAAAGAACAGGUGCACAUUUAUGAGAUCCGUGGAAGAGAUAACUAUGACAGCUAUGCAUGUACAACAGAUUUAUGUCGAGUUCACCUCGUAGAUAUUUUGUUUUCAGUGUCGGUGGACCCCAAAAUGGAAAUCGGAAAUUAAGGUUAUAUUUAUUUUUUUAUUUAAUUUUAAAUAGAAUUUUAAUUUUUAAUAAUAUUAAGUAUUAAAUUAUUUUUUUAAGGGUAUUUUAUUUUUAUUAAGUAUUAAAAAGUAAAAAAAAUUAAUAUGUUGCUUUUUUAUUUUAAAAAAAUUAUAUAUUUUAAUUUUUUCUAUUUACUAAAAAGUUUAUAAUAAAUUAUAAAAAAAUAAAAAAAUAAAAAACUUAAAUUCUGAAAAUAAAUUAUUUUUAAUAAAAAAAUCCAAAAAAGCAAACACCACCUAAAUUUGAGAUGACUCAAAAUUUUAUAUUUUUUUUCACCUAAAUUAUAUUCAUAAAUUUAAAAUUAAAAAAUUAGGAAGUUGAAUUUUAUUUUGGAUAAUUGGAAACUACAAGAAAUCAAUAAAAAUAUUUGGAAAAAAAAGAAAAAGAAAAACUAUCUAUAUAUUCACCCCCUUCUAAGAAACAUAACUUUAGUUUUUAACUAUUUUUUAAAAUAAUUUUUGAAAAAUGUUAUAUAAUAUUUUAUAAAACAAAAAAUCUGUUUGACAAUUUGAUAUGUCUUUAACUUAUUUUUAAUAUUUAUAUAUAUAUAUUUUAAAAAUAAUUUUAUAUUUAGAACUUUAUCUUUAAUUAUUAUAUAUAUUUAUAUAAUUAUUUUUUUUAAAACAACUCUUAAAAAAUAAGUGAAAGUAAUUGAAAACAACUCAAAGAUAUUUGAUGAAAACACUCUAAUUUGUAUUUUUGAGAAUAAAAAAAUAAAUAAAUAAAUUUCUAGUUAUCAAAUGUAUUUUUUAAUUCUUUUAUUCUAAAAAAUAGAAAAUCGUUUUUGAAAAUAAUUAUUAAACAACAUUCUUAAAAAUUCACUCGUUACAAUCUAGAUUUAAUGCAAGAAUGAUUGAAGGAGUCCUCCAAUAGAACCCAAAGUUAUAAACAUGAACAAGAAGCCCUAGAAACACCAAAGAUCUCAUAUGGUAUAUAUAUGAGCUUGAUUGAGAACUGUUUUAAAUUCAGUUUUUUUUUUUUUUUUUUUUUUUUGUUUUCAAAGUCAAAACAAGUUUACUUUUAAUUUUUACUUCUUUUUUUUAAUUUUAUAAAUAACAGUUUUUUAAUAAUUUAUUUUGAAAACAUGAUUAUUUUUAAAACUUAUAAUGAAAAUAGGAAUUUUUUUUUUAAUAUCAUGGUUAUUUUCCCUUCUUUUAAGGAGGGCUAUUUUAAAAAUAAAUUUACAAAUAUGAAAAAUGAUUCAAACUAAAGCAGUACAAAUAAAAAACAUUUUUAAGAAAUAUUUAAAAAUAGAGAAAAUUAUUUGAGAACAUUUGAAGUCCUUAAAUAGACUUUUGUUUUAGAAAAGGCAAGAUAAUUAUUUUUGAAAAUUGUUUUCAUAAUGAUAUGCAAAAACCUACGUAAAAACCAUAAUUAUAAUCGGCCACAUAUCAAAUCUACUAAAUAUGAAAAGUAAGUACAUAAUUAUAUUUGACUUAGAUGCAAGGAGGAAAAUGUCGCGAUAUUAUCGCCGAAAUAUCGUGUGUCGAAGGGUAUCGACACGAUUUUUCUUGCAGAAAUAUCGGCCAGUCGAUUUUUCGGGAUAAAUCUCGAGAAAUCGGCAAUUUAUCGCGAUAUAUCGGCGAUUUUUCCUCGAUAUAUCUUCUGGUCAACGCGGGUCAACGGAGUCAACACGCUACAGUGAAAGUCAAAUGUGCUACAAUGUCCCCGCUACAAUCACCUCCCCAAACAAAUUGCCAAAUUGCUUCCGAGGGGAUUUGAACCAGCCUUCUUGCCAUUUGGGCUAACUCGCCCUUAUGAUAUAUAUUGCAUUAAACAUAUAUAUACUUAAAGUCCUUAUAUAAAGAAAAUGUUAAAAAAAUAUUUUAAAGAGCAAAUUAAUUAUAAUUAUUUUAUAAUUAAAAGCAAAAUUUUCUUUUAAUUAAUUACCAAAAAUAUAAAAAUUAUAUAAUUUUCUUCAUAAUGUUUUUAAUAUCAUUAAUAAUUAAUUAAAUAUUAAAAAAUUAUAUAUAUAUAUAUAUAUAUAUAUAUAUAUAUUAUAAUUUAUUUUAUAUUGUUUAAUACAAUUGAAUUAAAUGGAUCAUAUUUUAAUAUUAAUAUAUAUUUUAAAAUUAGACAUAUUGUAAUCAAAUAUCAUAAUAUUAUAUGUAAUUUAAUAAUAAAUGUACACUUAUAAAAUUCAUAUUUUUAUCGAUGCAUACAAUAUUAUUAUCAAAUAUGAUAAAUCAUGUUAUACAUAUAUCAAAAUUUUCAAUAAAAUAACUUUAAAAUGUCUAUUAUACUUCUAAUUAUAUUAUUAUGAGGUUUUCUUUACAUUUUCAUGAGUUUUAAACAAUUUUAAGCACCAAUAUUUUUUUCCAAAAUAUCCACCGAUAUAUCUCCGAUAUAUCCAAUAUAUCUCCGAUAUCUCCGAUAUAUCCGUAAAAUCGAAGUACCGAUAUAUCCGUGAUUACCGAUAUUUUCAUCAUUGCUUAGAUGCAACCUUCUUCCAAAUGACAUACUUUAGUCAAUACUUAUAUUUUUUCGUUUCACUUCUUUGAUACAACACCUCAUGGAUUUAUUGUUUAAUUUAUUUGUAAUUAUAAAACUAUUUUUCAUUUUUAAUAAGACUUGAAUUAAUUUAAUAAAUAUUAUAUAAUUUGAAUUUAUAAUUCUUUUUAUAAAAUCAAAGUAUAUUAAAAAAAAAACAAUUUAUCCGAAGAAAGUUUUUUAUUUUUUAUUUUUUAAAACCGAUUUUAAAAAUAACUAGCUAGACACCCUUAUUUUGAUAAAAUACGAAAUAAAAGUGUAAAAACAACAUGGCCAAAUAGGGGCUUAAAUUUUAUUUUUAAAACAUUUUUUUACACUAAAGUGCAUUUUAAAAACACCAUCAAAACCAACUACAAGUUAUGCUUCUUCCCGUAAUAGAAAUAUUUUAGGCCAAAAUAGAACCUCCCCAAAUAAAGACCCUAUACUAAACUCCUUUUCAUUUUAUUAAUACAAAAGUGGGGAAAAAAGGUCUAUGCUCACCUAAAAAACAUGAAUAUUGUGAAUUCACCAUUUCUAUAAGGAAGUUGAAAACUUCAAAAUUUUAUCAACAAAUUCUCUAAAAUCCUCAAAAUAUAUAGGGCCUGUUUCACAAAGUUUUUUAAAAUUUGUUUUUAUAAAUUGCUUUUAAAAUAUAGAAUAAAUAACAGUUUUUUAGAUUUUUUGAAAAAUAAGAGUGUUUGGUAAGAUGUUUUUUUUUUUUUUUUUUUUUUUAAGAAUUAAAUAAAAAAUAAAAAAAUUGUUUAGAUAAAAGAAUUUGUAUUGUUUUUAAAAACAAUGUCUUACUUUUAUGUUAUAAAAAUUUUAUUAAUUUAAUUUAUAAUAAUAUGAAAUGAAAUUCAAGUUAAGUCUUAUUAAAAAAUACAAAUUAAAUCUAUAAUUAUGCAUGAGUUAAAGAUAAAUAUAUAUUUUUUAAAACUAUAAAAUAAAUUUUCUAUUAUAGUGAAACAAAAAUUACUAUAAAAUAAAAAUAAUUUUAAUAUUCAUUUUUAAUACAAGUCAAAUAAGUACUUUAAUUAAUUUUUUUUAUCAUGAUUUCUUAUGUUUUUUUUUUUUUCUAGAAAUUAUUUUAAGUAAUAUAACUAAUUUUUUUUUUAAUGUUUUAUAAAAAUAAGGAUAUUUGGCAAGUUGUUUUUAUAAAAGGAUUUUAAAAAUAAAUGGAUUUUUUUUUUUUUUAAAAAAAGAACAAAAUGAUUUGUUUGAAUAAAUUGUUUUGAUUUUGUAAAAACAUUUUAAAUUCAAUUUAUAUAAUAUUAAUUAAUUAAAUUAAAUUGAAGUUUUAUUGAAAAUAAAAAUAAUUUUGUAAUUAAAAUUAGAUUAAAAAAUAUAUAGGUUUUAAUAAAUCGUAAAUAGUAAUAUUAUAAUAAAAUUAUAAAUUAUAUUUUUAACAUAAAAUAUACUAUUUAUUACAUAUUAAAAAAAAUAUUUUAUUAUAUUAAUAAUUUUAUGGUAUUAAUGAGUUUAUUAUUUAAGUUUUAAAUUAUUUUUAAAAAUUAAUAAAUUUGUUAACAAAUGCAAUGUACUAAAUGUGGUUUAAUUUGGAGUUAAUUUGUUUAGGGAAAAAAAUAAAAAAUAAAAAUCUUAUGUAAAAGAGAAAUAAUAGAGUGUGUGUGUUUUUUUUUAUUAUUUUUAAAAAUCAGUAAAAAGAACUUUUACUUAUUGCCUAAAAAUUAUUCUCUAUUUUAUUUUAUUUUUUAAAUCUAGAAAUAGAUAACAAUAAUAAAAAAAAUUAAAAAAGAAAAAUGUUUUUUAAAACUCAGACUUAUAAUUGCUUUUGUUUCUCAUUCGCACCCCUGGAUUCCUGGAUUCUAAACACAAAAUUAAGUUGAAUCGUCCAUCUAUCUUGUAAGCCAAGAAUUCACAUAGAAGAAAUAAUCGGAAUUUGAUUUGAUAUCAGAUUUAGAGUGGCUCACUACUCAUGCAUUGUCCCACAAUAGUAAUGCUUUGGGCCGAGAUAAACCCAUUUGUGGGCCCAAAUAAAACCCCUGGUUUGAAAACAUCGAUUUUACAGUGGCCCAAAAGAUUAUCUAUGAGGGGAAGAUAACUUGGAAGUCAAGCAAACACAUUUAUCGCUAACUUUUCUCUAAUUAUAAAAUUAUAACUUGGUCUUCUACACGUCUCACUUAAGAGGCGGAGCCACUUGGCACUACCUUUCCAUAUUGUAAAAGGAGAAGAAGCAGAAGGAGAAGAUUCUUAUGCCAUUCCACACACCAUGGCUAGUACUGCUAUGCUGCUUGGCCCGCCGGCUCUCCGCCAUCCUAAUUCUCCCGCCGGCACUGUCUUUGAAGAUGGGGUCAUUCUAACGGAUUCCCUGAUCGUCCGCACCAGUAAUCUGGAGCUUUCUGAAAAACCGCCACUGGAAUCCCUGGCGUAGUGCUCUGUCAGUGGGGAUAUUGCUAUGGAUUGUUUGGAUUCCCAAGCCCACAAUCUUCAUCUUCCCGGGAAACCGCCGAUGGGCUUAACGGAAAACAAGUCUCCGACCUUUUUGUCUUCCGGGAACCCGUGCUUGGACUUCUUCUUCCAUGUGGUUCCCGAUACGUCGUCUGAUGAUCUGAUCCGACGGUUUGAGUUGGCUUGGGAAUUCAAUCCGCUGACGACGUUAAAACUGAUAUGCAACUUGAGAGAGGUGAGAGGCACCGGAAAAUCUGACAAAGAGGGUUUCUACACGGCGGUUCUCUGGCUCCACGACCACCAUCCCAAAACCCUAGCCUGCAAUGCUAGGGUGUUGGCCAGCUUCGGUUAUUUCAAGGAUUUUCUCGAGAUUCUCUACCGGCUUCUGGAGGGCCCUAAAAUUCGAAGAAUCGAAAAGAAAGACUGGCUGGAUCGAAAAGGAAGGAAGAAAAAUUCCCGGAAAAGGAACUCAAUAUUCAAGCGAGAAAAUAGGCCUGGAGUUGAAUUUCCUGUAGAAGAGAAGGAUGUGGAGUAUAUGGUGGAAGAAUUUGUGGAUAAAGAAAAGGCUAGGGUACUGAGAAAGGAGAGAGAACUUGCUCUUGCCAAAAGAGCCCUGCACAAGUAUUCUACUGAUUCUAAUUAUCAGUUCUUACAUGAUCAGAUUUCAGAUUUAUUUGCUGAACUUCUGAAAUCUGAUAUUCAGUAUUUAAACUCCGGUGAGCUUUACAAGAUUAGUCUCGCAUCCAAAUGGUGUCCCACAAUUGAUUCUUCUUAUGAUAAAUCCACCUUGAUAUGUGAAAAUAUUGCUCGAAAGGUUUAUUCUCGCGAGGAAUAUAUAUCCAGAAUACCAAGGAAUUGAGGAGGCUCACUAUGUUAAUAGAGUCAGGGAUAGGUUGAGAAAACAAGUACUUGUUCCAUUACGUAAGGCCCUGGAGUUGCCAGAGGUUUUCAUGUGUUCGAACCAGUGGGGAUCACUUCCCUACAACCGUGUGGCUUCAGUGGCCAUGAAAUCAUACAAGAGCCUCUUCUCAAAACAUGAUACAGAGCGGUUUGGUGUGUAUCUUGAGAAAGUGCAAACUGGGAAGGCUAAGAUUGCAGCUGGUGCAUUACUUCCCCAUGAGAUUAUAGCUUCAUUGAAUGAGGAGGAUGGCGAGAAAGUUGCAGAGCUUCAGUGGGCGAGAAUGGUGGAAGAUUUAUCAAAGAAUGGGAGGCUCACAAAUUGCAGUGCGGUAUGUGACGUAUCAGGAAGUAUGAGUGGAACUCCAAUGAAGGUGUGUGUGGCUCUGGGGCUGUUAGUUUCAGAGCUCAGUGAAGAUCCAUGGAAAGGUAAUGUAAUUACUUUCAGUGCAAGUCCUGAGCUUCACAAGAUCCAAGGAGACAGCCUUGUAUCCAAGACUGAAUUUGUGAGGAUGAUGGAAUGGGGUGCGAACACUGAUUUUCAGAAAGUUUUUGACAGAAUCUUACAAGUAGCAGUGGAGGGAAAUCUGAGUGAAGAUCAAAUGAUAAAGAGGGUUUUCGUUUUCACUGAUAUGGAGUUUGAUGAAGCUUGUGGGAGGUAUAACUAUUGUGAAUAUGACUAUGAUAUGGAGGAAAUUGAUGAGAGUCAGAAGGCAUCUCAGAAGUGGGAGACAGAUUAUGAAGUGAUACAGCGGAAAUUCCAGGACAAAGGAUAUGGAAAAGUUCCGGAGAUAGUGUUUUGGAACCUUAGAAACUCAUCAGAGACUCCAGUGAUGGCCACAGAGAACGGGGUGGCCUUAGUAAGCGGGUUUUCGAAGAAUCUGUUAGACCUUGUUUUUGGAAGGAGGUGGAAUUCUGACCCCUCAGGAUGUGAUGGAAUUAGCCAUCUCUGGUGAAGAUUACAAGAAACUUGUUCUAUUUGAUUAAGAUAUCAAGAGAUUUAUCAAUAAUAAUAUGUUUUUUUUUUUCUAUGUGAAAUACAUGUAAUAUUAACUAUGGAGUUAUCAAAGUUCUGGAAAUUUAAUUAUUUCUUCUUUUCAAGUUUUGUUUGUCUUUGUUAGGAAUUCCCCUUGGGCGGACCCAGCUGGGGACUUGGAUUGAGGAAGUAAGGAGGCGAAAUUGUGUUCUUCUAUGGACAGAGAAAAAAGAUAAAAAUAAAAAAUAAAAAAGGAGGUUAUUUGCAUUUGGAUGUCAUGUGGUUUCAGGGUACAACUACAAGUUCGAAAUUGUACAUAAUGUGAAAAUUCCUGUGUGGAGAACAGCAUAAAUAUGUAUCUCAGUGUGUUUUGUUUGAGCUAAUUGGCAAAUUCGCUUUAAACAUGGUCACAUGGAUGCAUAUUUAUUUGUGAAAUGAUAGUAGUCGAUUACUUGGUCAGUAAGGUUUGUAUCUCUAACUCCAACAUCUUAUUGUAGUCUUUUAAAAUGUCAAAAGUUUAAUGCUAGCUUGAGAAAUUUUGGAAUGGAGACAUUCUAAACAAAGUUAAUAAUCCAUGAGACUUGGUAAAACCGAUCAGAUGAUGCUUACGUACAUGAAUGCCUUCUUUAAGCCGUAUCCUAUUUUCAUUGAAUGAGACGUGCCAUCUAGUUUUGUUCUUGUCUUGAUUGGAUCAUGAUCCCGGGAAUUGAUUACUGUUCUGAAUUUGCGAAUGUUCAAGGUAUUAGAGAAAGUUAAUAUUAUCGUUAAUUUACAUAUUAGUAUUUAUCUAGUUAUUAUAUAUUAGUUUGAAUUAUAAUAUAAUAUAGAAUUUGAAUCAAGUUUACUAUUAGUUUGAAUUACAAUAGGAAAUAAAGUUUGAAUUAUAGUAUAACUCAAAUAUAUUUGUAUAUAAAUAUCCAUCUUUAUCAAUGAGAAUAGUAAACCAUAUUUUUCUCUAUCUUCUUCUUUCUCUAUAUAUAUGGUAUCAAAGCCUCCAAAUCCUAAACCUAGUCUCAACUUAGAGCAAAUUUAGGGUGCAGGGUUUAGGCCCCGCCUCCCCCAACCCUUACCACAAAUGGUAGUGACCUUGUUAUGCCUAUGUAUUGUCAAUGCCUCAUUUUCUAUGGUCUUCAAUACAAUAUCUAGUUUCAAUGUCUCUUUCCUUACUAUCUCCAAUGCAAUAUAUUGAUUUCAAUAUCUCUUUACAACCAAGAGCUCCAAAUUUUCCUGGUUCAAAUCUACCAUAAUUUUUAUUCUCCUUUGCUUUUUACCAAUAUUAGUUCCCCUAAUUUAAUAUAUAUCUCUUUAUUACCUUCAACUCUACCUCUCUCUUUCUUUAAAAGCUUCCUCAAAGAUUUGAUUGCUUUCUUGCAUGUUUUGGGAAAACAAACAUGCUCAUAUUCUAUUACCUCUACUUGAGAUCUGCCUUAUACUCUACCUUCUUCUUUACCUCCUAUAUCAUCUACUACAUUAGCUUCAAAAACAUUAUUUAGUUUGAUGCUAAAUAAGGCUCCUAAUCCUACCCUUCCUUCAACUAACUUUCUUUUACAAGUCCCUCAAAGUUUUUUUUUUUUUUUUUUUGGAAAUUUGGCUUAGAAAGAUUUCAUUACUCUUACCUAAUCUUUCAACCAUCAAGUCGAAUCCACUUAUCUCUUGAAUCCAAGGAGACUACCCUCCACAAAAACAAGGAGAUUGACCCCCACAAUAACAAAGAGAUUGUCCUCCAUAGAAACAAAGAGAGCUUCCUUCAUGGAAGCCGAAUACAUCGCAAUCUAUUUUCUUUCUCUCAAGAUCAAAUCUCCAAUCGGAGCUCCAUCUUGUGGGGAUAUAUUAGAAAAAGUUAAUAUUAUCCUUAAUUUACAUAUUAGUAUUUAUCUAUAUUAUAUAUUGAAUUAGAAUAGAAUAUAGAAUUUGAAUUAAGUUUACUAUUAGUUUAAAUUACAAUAGGAAAUAGAGUUUGAAUUAUAGUAGAACUCAAAUAUAUUUAUAUAUAAAUAUCCAUCAUUAUCAAUGAGAAUAGUAUUCCAUAUUUUUCUCUUUCCCUGAGGCUUCAGAAUGUGAUCUUGAACAUUUGAUCUUUUGGAUUCUUCUUGUUUCGGUGGUUUAAUAUAAUGGAAUGUUUAAUUAUAGCCUACUUUAUCACCAUGGAUGUGCUCCUGCAGAUUUCUUGAGGGUGAUGGUUAUUUUGUCAUGUUUCUUGAAUGGUUUGCAUCAGCUGCCUGAGCUGUUGUUGCUGGUCACUUUUGCAACCAGGGAAAGAAUCAUGGCUUUGGAGAAGCCAGCUUCUGUUUUUGUUGCCCAGCUGUUAGUUCACUAAGAUUGGGGGUCCUAACAUGUAUGUAUAAUCAUAAGCAAGGAAAUUUUAUGUCUUACGCUAGAUAGGUACCAUGAUAUGAUGUUUGAUUGAUUUAUUAACUCUACCUGUUUCAAAAGGCAUCAACAUUAAUUUUACCCUUUUAACACAUUGGAUUGUUUGACCUUACGAGAUUUUCUAUUUCUGUACUAUUUGAACUGCAAUCGUUAUGGUCCUUAGGUCUCUAAACCUUCGUUUAAAAUAAAAGUAAGGAGCACACAUAGUAAAAGUUAAUUUUGGGUAACUUUUAAAACAAAGAGAAAAGUAAAAGUUGUUUUUGAGAAAAACAUAUAGAAAUUGAAAGAUUUUUUAUUUUGAGAAAAAAAAGUCAUAGAAAAGAAAUAAUAUCCCCAUAUAAGUAGAUAUGAUCUAUCCGAAGUGUAGCUACUCUCCUGGAUUUAUUCUAACAUUUUAAAAUUUUUCUCAAUGGGCAAAGGAAUAUCAAAUCAAGCUUGAGUAGGAUUAAUUUCUUAAUUUUUAAAAUAACUUAUAAUUAAAAUUUUUUGGUGUUUUCUUUUUUGGACAAUUUUUUAUGAAGACUCUGAAUCAUGCAAGAGAUAUGGUUAUUUUAAAAAAAAAAAUAAUUUAAAACUCAAAUACAUAAUCAAUGUCACAAAUUUAUAAACAAAAGGUUUUUAAAAAAUACUAUUAUUUCCCCUCUACACAUAAUUUUACUUUUCCGAUUUAUUUAUUUUUGUUGGAAAACAGUCUUCAAAUCAAGUAAAAUUAAUAUGUUAAAUUUGUUAAACAAAUAAAUUUUAAAAUACAAUUUGGAACUCAAAAAUCAAUUCAAGUAAUGCUAAAAUUCAAAAAAUCAAAUUUGGAAUAAAAUGACUUUGUAAAUUUUUUUACUAAACAAAUGAAUUUUAAAUCAAGUGAGAUUUAAUACAUUGGAUUUUUAUGAGAAUAGUAAUUUUAAAAAUUAAUUUGGAACUCAAAAAUAGACACAAUAAAUACCAAAAAUCAAUGAACCAAAAUUGGUUUGGAAUAACUCCAUAAUUUUUUAUUUAUUUAUAUAUUUAUUUUUUUGUGCACACGAAUUUCUUACUAAGCAUAUUGCUUCCAAAUUGAGAAAAAUUUACUAUUUAGAUUUUUUUAAUGAGUUUAAUGGUAUUUAAAAAUAAUUCAAAAAUUCGAAAAUUGACUAAUUUAAUAUUAUAAAUUCAUAAACCAAGACUAAUUCAAAAUGCAUUGGGGGCUAAGGGGGUUGAAAUUAAUGCUCCAUUUGGUUGUGGCCACCAAUUGGCAAUGGCCACCAAUCAACCAAUCAAGGUGGCUAAGGGGGUUGAAAAUAGGGACAAUGGGGUGGGUUUGGGACAGGACACUCAUAUCCCAUUCCCAUCCCAAUUACACAGUUAUUUCCCAUCCUUAUUCCAAACUUGUGUUGGGGCAAGUUGAUUUGUUCCCAUCUUUGUUAACGAAAUGACUAAUAACCUCAUCCUCUCCUUGUCUUAGAUGUACAUUUUCUCAAAUUUGGUCAGGUAUGAUUGAUUCAAGCCCUAACCUUAAUUGGUAAUGAGUGGAUACCACACCUAAUUGCAUUCUUCUUUCGUUGCAAAAUAAUGAGAUUAUAAUAAUCUAGCAAAUAAGAAAAAAUAGUAUGGAAGUUCAAAUUAACACCAUAACUAUCAAUAAUUUUAAGCUUAUAGAUGACUUAAAUGAUUGAAAACUAAUGCAAAAUACUAAAAAAAAAAAAAAUCAUCUAAAGAAUUCACAAGAGAAUAGAACGAACAAAACCAAAUAGGAACAUGGGUCAACAUUAGUUACAGAUUUUGAUCCCUUUCAAGGCCAAUCUUUGAACCAAGACUUCAUCAAAUCUACUACUUCAAAGGCUUUUGUGUUCUUCUUGAGUUGUACUCUGGAACAAAGACUUCGAGGUGAUGCUUUAGAUGAUUGCAUUACACAUAUUUAGGGUAGGGAGAUUGGAGAAGCUUGAAGAUGCCAACGAUGGGUACAAUUGAGUGGUCAAUAAGAACAAUGUGGCCUAUGACUAGUUUGAUGUCAUGGUAUAGGAGUUUUGGGCAUUGAGGUGAAAGCAAGAGCAACAUGGAAUUGAUUUCAAAGUCUUUCAAUUAGUGUAAAGGAGGAAGAAGAAGUGGUAUUGAUCCUAGAAAUAGUGUUUUAGGUGUUGCAUUAGAGGAAAAGAAAAAGAAAAAGAAGGAACCAUUGGAAUUAGUACGAGUGUGAAGAGAGAAGUGUAUACAUAAGGGGAAGUAAAAGCAAAGUUCUAAAAAUUUAUUUUUUUAUUGGUGGUGUAUGGUUGCAUGAUUAUCCCUAUAAAUAAUAGGAGUUUUUUGGUGUUCUACUAGUAGUUGAAGGAUAAUUUCAUAAGAUAAUAUUUAGAGCGGGGUGGGGUGAGUUGUGACAAAAUCCAUACCCGUCCCAAACAUUGGUUCAGGUUUUUAAAAUAUUUUCAAACUUAUCAUAUACCCAAUUUUAUAUUUCAUACUUGUCCUAAUAGAGACAGGUUAGUCAGGGUUACUUGAGUAGCCUACAAAACUAUCAUCCCUAGUUGAAAUGCUCUUUUUGGCAGUGGCAGCUAGAAGCUCGAUCGAUUGACCUACAAGACUAGUUGUCAUCAUUUUAAAAAGAGUUUUGGCUUUGGUUGUGAGUGCAAUUGAAUCUAAACUAACAUUUCCUUAAUGCAUCUACUUCAAUCCUAAACUUCUUACUUAAGCCUCAAUUGUUGUUAAGAUUUUGGAAAACCCAUUUCCUUAAAUUGUAAAUUUAAGAAAAAAAAAAUUAAAAGUGAGACAUUUCUUGAUUGAAUGUUGUUAAAGGUCCCUUGGAAUUAAGACUUGGUUGAAGCCUUGGAAGAUUAGCAGAACUCUCAACUUAUGUUUGAACCUUGAGGAGAGUGGACGUAGGCCAAAAUUUUGUCAAACCAUUAUACAAAUUGAGUUUGAAUUCUCAUUUCUUGAUUUCUUAUUUAUUUGCUUUUUCUUAUUAUUACUUGAAUUGUCAUUUGCAUUCAUUAAUGUUAAAAUUGGUUAUAAUUAGCCAACACUAAUUCUCUUUCCCCUUCCCUUAAUUUCUUGGGUGUAAACCUAGGUUGGAUUAACUAGAUUUUAUCAAAUCUAUUAAGAUGGUAAAAGAAUAAUUAUUCUUAACAUACAUAAGAUCAUCUUCAAUCAAAUGACUCAUUGGCUGAUAUGUUGAAUUUGCUUAUUACUUGCAACUCAAAAUUGUGUUCUAGUUGAUAUGUCAAGUCCUGAGUGUAUGGACAUUAAAUUUGUAGUACGUGAUGAGUAUUUAGAUGGUCCAAUUCCAAGAAAGUGAUUGAAAACUAGUUCAAGAAAGGUGCAAAAGGGAAUUGUUUUGGUAUUUUCGUUUUUAUUCUUGAAGGUGGCAGAGCUAAAAUUUGAGAAAUCAAGCAAAACAUACUGAAAUUACAUUGAAAGAAAGAAAAUGGGAGUUAAUGUCUUGCAGUACAUGAUAAGGACUUCAUGCAUGUAGUGUGACCCAUGUCUUGGACUGAUGCCACACUCACGGUUACACUUAUACCCUUAGUUCUCUCUUUACUACCUUAGCUAACCUAGAUCAGGUUAUGAGAUAGGCACCUCACCACACCAUUACUUGCCCAUUAAUUAGUGACAUUUUCAAGCAAUGAGGUAACAUGGUGACACCAAGAGGGUAUAUUCCUCACCCCCAACAAGCCUAGACCUGGUCUAAAAAAAAUGGAGAAAAAUGACGUGUUGUUAUGCAGAAAUAUAGCAACCAUGCCUUCCUCAUUACUUAGAUUCAGAAUGUGAAGGUGAAAUUGAGAAACAGAAACUCUUGAAACCAAAAUGAAAAUUGAUACUUUUACGAAGAAUUACAACAACAUUAGAGGAAGACUACAUUCUUCCUCUUUAUUCCUACAUUUCUACACUACUUCUACUCCACUCCAUAUUUCUACAUACAUCUUUAAUCAGUCUUCCCUCCUUUAUAUAGAGCCAUCUUCACACAAAUUCCGCAAGGUAGAAAAGAGGAAUGAAACUUGGAGCAAGGUUCGACUACUGGCUGUAGCUUGUCAAGGCUGAAAGUGAACUUUUUUUCUUGGCUUUUCUGGGCAUAGGUAGUAACUUGUAGGUUCCUUUUUGGAAUGAAAAUGGUACGGCUAGAACAUGUGGCACUCUCUUGUUGGAUGAUGUGUCAAGCAUGUGGCAGCCAUCUAGUGGAGAUUAUGUCAAUUUUGGGAUGGAGAGUUGGCAUCCAAUUGCAAAGAAAUAUGACAUCUACCAACAUGCAAUGUCAACCUAUGUAGAUCAUAUGAAGAUAGAGAGGAAAAAUAUAGAAAUGGAUAUAUAACUAGAACUAGCUUUUUAUUAAAUGAGACGGAGAGCCAACAAUGAAGGAAAAUCAAAAUUUUUGGCUCAUAUCAAAGAAUUCACAUUGUGUUACCCUAGGUUUUCUUAAAACUUACUUUUAUGAUAAUAAAAAAUCAUUAUUGUUUAAUCCUUUGUUUUAAACGCAUGUUUAGCAGGUUGUAAAAUGUAAAUAUCUUUCGAAAUUCAAAUAUGAAGAUAUGACAUCAUUUCAAGCAAUAUAGUCUCUAGGAAUUAAUGUAAAGCUAAAUUAAGGUGCAAUUAAGUUAGUUCAAUGCAUUAUUUUAAGAAACUUGACCUAUCAAAACCUUGUCUUACUUCAAAGCCUCUUUUUCUUUUCUUCCAACUAACAUUUUAAUAAGUGAUCGCAAAAGUACAAAAUUAGAUGAAAUCCAUUUCAAUGGUUAAAAUGAUCAAAUUCAAACUUUUUCUAAGUAUCUUUUAAAAGCAUCAAUAUUGAAAGACAAUUUUAUAUUUAGUCAAAGCUUGGACAGAGCCAAAAAGCACACAAAAAUUUAUAUUUUCUAGCUCUCUACCUUGGAUGGUCUCUUGAUCCUACUUGGAGAUGUGCAUAAAUAAAAGGAUUUGAAAAUGACAAUUGACUAAGUAUGUAGUCAAUCAAUUACUCAUUGAUUGACUAGUUGAUCAAUUAACUUUGCAACAUCAUAUGCAAUCCUAAUAGCUAGUCAUCUAAUCAACUAGGUAGUAAAUCAAUAGGCCAAAAAUAUGUUUAUAAUGACUAUUUUGUACAAAAACCACUUAUAUAGUUAAAUAUAAUGCAUUUCAUUUAUAAAUCUUCUAAUUCUUGAAUAACAAUCCUAUCAUCCUUUGAAAGUUUUUAUUACACCUUUUCUACAUUUGUUCUAAAACUUAUACAUCACCCUUAAUUGUACCAUGAGAACCUAGCAUUUUUUUUUUUUUUUUUGUAUUUCAUCAAAGUUAGCUCUUGUACUCAUUGUUGUAUUAUUUUUAUUGUAACUUAGAGAGCGAGUGUUUUCAAGUGAGUGAAAUUGACUUGUAAAUAUUGUAAAGAUUCAUUGAUAUGUAUCUCAAACUAGGUGUACAAGUUGAAACAUUUGCUAGUAGAUUUUCUCAAGAUUUAGAAUGAGCUUAAGGCUAUCGAAUUAGGUGGGGUUGCGCCAAACCAUAUCACAUCGUUGUUUGCACCUUUUUUUUCACUCUCUUUUACUUAGUUGCUCUAUAUAUAUUGUCUAGCAAUAUCCUAAAGGCUUGAUGGGCUAGGGAGCAUCCCUCUGAAUGAAAAAUUUUCAUUCAAUUCUUAGUUGUAUUACGCAUAUAUAAAAUGCCUCAUUGUUUUAAUGGUAUUCAGUCGUGGCACCACAGAUAUGGACAUCUAAAUUUUAAAAGUUUGAAACUUUUAGCUAAAGAAAAUAUGGUGCUUUGCCUUUUUGGAAAGCAUGUUGAUGAAAUCCAUGAGAAUUGUAUACUUGGAGAGCAACAUCGAGAUAACUUUUUUUUUUUCUUUUUUUAUAAUGCAUUGUUUGUCCAAAUUCCGUACAAAUUAGGCCACCACAUGUUCAUAAUUCUCCCUUCUUGAAUUUGAAAACUCGGACAAUUUGACAAUGCGACACCUAAGUCCGGUUUUUAAAUGCUAAAGUGAAAGGGCAGGUAUGGACCAUUGAAAUGUGAUAACAACUUUUGGCCUUUUCCUUUUCUCUGUAGCCAUGUUGUCUCUUUUUAAUUUCUUUUGCAUGAUUUUCUUACCUAAACAGAAUCAUAGACUUGUUUAAUCUCUAAGUGGGAUUUCAUCCACCUUAAGCUACUGUAUUAUAUCUCGGUGGAGGACAACCGACAUAGAGCACAUGCAAGUGGGUAUAUGGGACAUGAAAUAUCUUCUUAUAAAGCUUGUUUUGCAGUUAAAUUAAUUGGAUAAGUAGACACUGGCGUUUCUAAAUUUCCCACCUAAGAUAAUGACCUUAUCCUUGACUGCUAGAUACACAAACAAUUAUACCUUCAAAAUCUACUGUGAAGUGCUUCAUGUAUGUGUGAAGUAUUAGAAAUUUCUUUCUUGGCAACUUGUUUUUUUCUUUGCGGUCUACUGAUAGGUUUGACUAAAAUUAUAUUCCCUGUCCUGCUAAUUAAUUUUCACGUGCAUGCUCAAAAGAAGAGUAUGACCUUAGUGCACCAAAAUCACUUUCAAUAAUUUGUGAUAAGUUUUUUUGCAUGACAUUAACCUUAUUCAUUUAGAUAAUGUUUAGUUCUCAUAAAUAUUAAGAAAAUGAAAAUAAAUAUUAAGAAAAAUAUUCUUAUAUUUGAUUGUAUUAUGAAAAAUAUCAUAAAAAAUCAAAUAUAAUUAAAAUUAAUUAAUAAUUUAUAUAUUUUAAAAUUAUUUAAUUUUUAUAUUAAAGAUAUAAUAUAAAUGAAAUGAGUUUUAAGUAUUAUAUAAAAAUGAUUUAUUUAUUUAUUUAUAUAUAUAUAUAUAUAUAUAUUUAGUUUUUCUCUUUAUUUUAUUUUCCUUAUGUUUUCCUCACAUUUUCCGGAAUCAAAGAUAGGGAAAUCCACAAUUACCUUCAACUGAGUAGAUUCUAUUGUUUUAGCAAUGUUAGGCUGCUAACUUGUGGUGGUACGAACCAAAUGAUCCAUGUUAAUCUUGGCUUGAUUUAAUUUGGCUCUAUCUCAGAGAACUCAAGGAUCACGUCAACUCUGGUUUCUACUAUUCAGGUCCAUUCCCAGAUGAACUGGUUCAAAUUUGAGAAAAUGGUAACAGACCUUUAGUGAUAUUGGUUUGGAGCCAGUUGCCAAACCUGCCCUGAGCUUUACCACUAAUGUCAAGGGACAAAGCCAUUUGAACAAAAACAAUAGCUUCAAGAGACUGAAUCGUGGAUGAAAUCUGAUCCACAUUUCUUCUCAUUUUGGGAAAAAAUGAGGACUUAACCACAAAGAUUCUACUGCCUCAUAGUGCUUUUCCUGAUCUAAGGUUGGCUCGUUUCCCAAAUUGUGAGGUGCACGUGCCACUCUCACGCUCAGGAGUGUAUCCACGUGGUGGACAUAAGAUGGUGGCUUAAUAUCUGGUGUCGGUGGCUUUACUUUACUAGGAGAGUAGUGUGUCUUCAUCUCAUUCACUGCCAGAGGGUGGCGUAAGCAGUGACGCUAAGGUGGGGCACAGUCAAUAUCAUUUGCAUUUGACCAUUAUAAUUUUCUCCCGGCUUUAAAGUAACCUUAUCGUGAUAAUGGAUUACUAGCACUAGUUCAGAUGACAGUCAUGUUAAAUUCGGACCAUGUUUGUGUCACAUUAUCAGCAACCAUGUGCUUGUGGUUCAUGCUAUCUGCAACUAAACUUGAUAUAUAACCAGGUGAACUUCAAUCUAAAUUCUGGAAGUACUCAUGUGAUAGAUGGUGCCUGUCUGCAGUGAGUGUAUCUAUAAGAGGGAAGGCUUGGCAAAUGUUCAGUUUUCUGGGAAUUCAACAGGGAUCUAAAAUAGAUUGUUUUCUUUGCUGAUUUCAAUGGUUGAAAUUUGAGAAGAUUGUGUCCACAUAACACAACUAUUACUGGUCCUUCUGUUGCAAUUUAUCCUCUAAGGCUCUAACAUGUCUUCCAAUUCCCACUUCCCACUUCCCUGUUACUCCAGGAAAGCUGUUUCUGUCAUUGUGAAGAAGAAAAGAGACUGUACAUAUCGAUGCUUUUAAGUGGACUGGAGAAUUCAUAUCAGGUGGUCUGCAGCCAUACAUGCCACUUUGUGAAGGUUGGAACAGUCAAUCACUAGGCUAUAUUAGUGGGGCCCAGCCACUUCAAUCAAGGACAAGUCUUCAUACUUAAAGUCAAAUUCUGCCUUUAGUCUCAUUAUAAAUUGCUGUUUAAAUAUCAAGCAAACAUUUGUUUAAUGCGAUUAAGACAGCACUAACUCAAUACUUGUUCUAUUUUUGGAUGCAAAUGCUUGAUAGUUUCAUCAUUGGAGGGGAUAAAGGUGCAUUCAUGAUUAUGAAUACUUGUAGUUAUAUUUUCAUUCUCUUUUUUCUCAAUGGGACUUGUUGGCACAAUUUUGCUGUUCAGAAACCUACCUCUCCAUGGAAAAUCAGUUGUGAUUGAUAUUACUGGAUAUAUUCAAGAAAGCUAAAUGUAGAUAGCACAAAAUAUUAUCGACAUAAAUAGCAUUAACAGCGUACGUAUGUCUCAAUGCUCAUCAGCUAUAAGCAAGGGGCAAACACUUACUAUGAGCAACUUACGUCAAAAUUCCGGAAUAGGACAUAGAAGUGACAGGUCAGUAAAUAUAGAACACUGCAUAUGAGUCACAAGAAAGGAAAUUACGGGUACAUAGCAGCUCUUAUUUUACAUCCUACUCAUACUGAUCAAAGUCACUCAGUUGGGAUGGGUGGGAGUGGGAGGUUUGUGGGGUGGCUUGUGCGGAGGAGUUGGCAGCUUCUUUCCAGGACCUGGUUGCUUCUCUGCUGGAGUUGAAGGAGGCUUAAUCUUCCGAGGUGGCUUGUAUGAGUCUUCAGCAUUCUCAGCAGGAGGGUGACCAGGGUUGUGACCACAAUGUGGUGGCUUCUCUCCCUUAGGUGGUUUGCCAACUGGGGUUGGUGGCUUGUGUUCCGGAAGUGGCUUCUCUUUGUGUUCAGGAGGUGGCUUCUCCACUGGAGGCUUGUGUUCAGGAGGUGGCUUCUCCACCGGAGGCUUGUGUUCAGGAGGUGGCUUCUCCACCGGAGGCUUGUGUUCAGGAGGUGGCUUCUCCACCGGAGGCUUAUGCUCUGGUGGUGGCUUCUCCACCGGAGGCUUAUGCUCUGGUGGUGGCUUCUCCACCGGAGGCUUAUGCAAUGGUGGUGGCUUCUCCACCGGAGGCUUGUGUUCAGGAGGUGGCUUCUCUACCGGAGGCUUAUGCUCUGGUGGUGGCUUCUCCACCGGAGGCUUAUGCUCUGGUGGUGGCUUCUCCACCGGAGGCUUGUGUUCAGGAGGUGGCUUCUCCACCGGAGGCUUGUGUUCAGGAGGUGGCUUCUCCACCGGAGGCUUGUGCUCUGGUGGUGGCUUCUCCACCGGAGGCUUAUGCUCUGGUGGUGGCUUCUCCACCGGAGGCUUGUGUUCAGGAGGUGGCUUCUCCACCGGAGGCUUAUGCUCUGGUGGUGGCUUCUCCACCGGAGGCUUGUGUUCAGGAGGUGGCUUCUCCACCGGAGGCUUAUGCUCUGGUGGUGGCUUCUCCACAGGAGGCUUGUGUUCAGGAGGUGGCUUCUCCACCGGAGGCUUAUGCUCUGGUGGUGGCUUCUCGAAUGGGGGAUGCGUAGGGUAAUCAGCUAGUGAGGGGGCGGUGAGAACCACCAGGCCAAGCAACACUACUAGCAAGUAUGUAGGAGACAUCUUUGGGUUUGGGCUCAGAUGGUGCAAAACUAGGAGAAUUGGCUAGCCUUUUAUAGCGGAUCGUACCCAAUAAUGAAAUGACACGUGUCAUUAUGACCCAUGUGUCAUGUGGUCGAUUUGGGUCCUACAGUGUUGAAAACUUCGACAUCCACUUUUUUGGCCUUUUGCUUUCUCUACAGUCGCCUUGCUUUUUCCCUCUUUUCUUUUGUUUUCCUCCUGCCCCAUUCUAUCAACUAAUCACAAUUAUGUAGUUGUUUAAUUCUUAAAUGAGAUAUUAUCCGUCAAUCAUAUUAUCUUUUAUCAAGAGAGAACGGAGUGAAAAGUGGCAAUCCAAAGAAAGAAGAUCCAUAAUGCAGCUGUAAUUUUAUCGUUUACUUUUAUCUCUAGGACCACUGCAUUUUUGUUGAGAGGUGCAAUAAUACACGUCUUUAUCUGCCAUUCAAUGUUUACAGUAAAGAGAGGGCACAAAACUCUUCACUGCUCUGCAUGUGCCCCAAAAAUGCAAUUGGACAAAUUAUGAUUUGCAUGCUAAAAAGAGGCAAAUGAGGUUAAUUAGCACCAAAAUUAUUUUGUUUUCUGGACACCCCGGGGCCCUUUGGUUGGUUUGGGGGUCAGAAAAUGAACAUCAUAGGGGGUUUUUCCCUAAUGUGCAUUUGCAUUUGUAUCUGAUGGCUUUAACUCGCCUUGUUACUACAAAGAAAUUGUCACAGAUAGGAACUUAUUCCAGGCUGAGUAUCUCCGCAUGGACCCUAUAAAAGAAGACAAGUCAUAAUGAACAUCUAACCUUUGUUCAAUUUGAUUCAAUGCCCCUAUUGUGUCCAUCUCACAAAUCUGAAUUAUUAUAUCCAUUGAAUACAUAAAUUAAUGAAGAAAAUAUGAAACCCAAGAUACAUCUCUGCACAACCUCAACCCUGGUUGCUAUGUUUCACUUCUAUUCACAUGAGGAUAUUGAUUACGGAAUAAGGAAACCUAGCAAGGGUUUACUCGGCUCUGGUUUGAUGCUAAUUGCCAAACUUGCAACAAGCCCUGAGUUUGACACCUAAUCGAUGGGCGAAUUAAAAGUCUCCUCCAAACAUAUAUUCCACAGCUUGAAGCUCACAGAAGAUGCUAUACAGGCAGGGAAAAACCUUCAGAGUUAGCUACCAAAGAUAAUUAUCAAGGAGAUAUCACCAAGAGAAUUCCAUGGAGUCUGAAUCAAAGACAAAUUGCUCGCUCGUGGGGGUUCUUACUUAAUUUCUUUUGGGUAUAACUCACUGAGGGCACUGGCUUUGUUAUUUGCAUUUCGCAUUUAGAGUUCUGUUCUGGAAGGUUUGUUCUGGAAACAUAUAAAAGGAGCAUCAUUUUGUUCUAGGGUAACCCAUAGUUGUGAGUGGGUCCAUUUGCAUGCUACUUAGUUGAAAAGUUGGACAAUUUGCUCCGACGCCUACCUCCUGGAUUCCAUGCUCGGAUAAAGCAAGAAUAAUAAAAUAUUUAUAAUUUACAAAUGGGGGAAAGAAAAAAAUGUCAACAACAAACUAGGAAAAAAGAGUAGUAAAAUUUAUGCCACAUGCUAUUGAUAGAAGGGGCAUGUAUUAGAUCCAUCACCAUUUGGUAAGAUUUUAGUAUUAUAUUUUUCAAGGUUCAUUAUUUGAGGGUGUGUUCUUCAUCUCUGUUGCAUUGCUUCUUACUAGGCCCACUGAGGUGGGUUCUUCACCUUUUGUAUAUUCUCUGCACUAGAUCAAUGAGAAAGGGGGAAUUUUGGUGAAUUUGCAGCCGUUGGAUGAUUGAUUCUAGGCUCAGUCCACCAAUGAUGCUCUCUUCACUCUUUCUCAUCUAGUGUCAUUCACAACUAUGUUUUGAUUCAUAUUUGUACUAUCAAAGAUAUCUCAUUAUUCUAGCUCAUUAGGUAGAGUUCCUAAUCUUCCUCCUUUUUGGUCUAUGGACAGUAUUGGCUUCAUAUUAAGAUCAUGUUUCAAUAAUUGCACAUUAAUGAAUGGAUCAUGACCCACAUAAACAGAGUCAGGGUUGAGUCAGUGAACCCUAAAAUUUCACAAUUCUAAAUUUGGGUUCUUUAACAAUGCAGGGUCAAGGACGCGUGGUGAUGAAGGAAAGCUGGUAAGCUCAGUGUUACUUCAAUUCCUGCCAUGUAGGAUGGUGAGGAGAUAUUCACUAUGCAAUUAAUAAUAGACAAUAUUCACUAUGCAAUAAUAAAGCAUAAAUUAAGUUGAAUGAAAAGCAUUUUCUUUGCAAGGAGUUGAUUUUGGUUUCAUAGUUUGUUCAACUGCUAUUUUGGAUAGGAAAGUGUGAGGAGAAGAAAAUAAAAAAUAAAAAUAAAACAAAAAAUAAAAAAUAGAUUUUAUAAAUUCAUUUAAUUUAUUUUUUUUUUAUAAAAAUUAACUAAUUUAAAAUAUAUGUAAAUUUCUAAUUAAUUUAAUUACAUUUUUUUUUUCAGUUUUUCAUAAUAAACCAAAUAUUAGAAAAUUAUUUUUAUUAAGACACCCAAGAUGAGGUAAUAUGCAAUGAAAACAUGAAUUAUAUUAAAAUUCAAAACAAAUUAAGAGAAAUCGGAAAAUAUACAUAGAUAUCUAAACAAAGAAAUUUAAAGAGAAGGAACCACAAACUUUAUUUACAUAAUUUGAAAAUAAAAAACAUAAAACAUACUUAUAGUAAGGAGAAAUUGAAUAUCUUACAAUGGAAGAAGGGAGAAAAGCUUUGAAGAAAGCUUUUGCUUGGAAGCUUACAUGGUGAGAGGUAGAGAAAGGAGAGAGAGAGAAGAAAAUGAAAAAUGAGAAGUGGAGAAAAUUGGAAGUUUUGUGUGCUUACAACUGAGGAUAGAGCCUCCUUAAAUAGCAAAAAAUGGAAUAUUAAAUAGUACCAAUCAGGAGACAAAAUAUUGUUUGCUUUUGAAACCCGUGCAUGAAUAGUAAUCCCGUGAGUGAAUAGUGAAUAAUAAAAGUGAAUAGUAAAAGUCACUUUCUACUAUAGCACUUUAGACUUUUUCAUCGAGAAUCUUACUUUCGGCUGAGUGAUGAUAGCUGAUAGGUUGCUUUGGAUUGUGGAGUCAUAUGUUUGAUGUUUUCGGUGCUGAAACCGCUUAGUUGGAGAAUAAUCUCGUCAGUAGAGCAUCAUGAGAAGCUUGAAUGGAGAGAGCUUAAUGAUGCCAUAUGAUUGGAAGGAAUCCUAUUUUAAUUUCCUUAUUGGAGGGAGAAUACCCUCACAAUCAUCUUCAUUAUCUUGAAGGUAGUUUGAUAUAGAGUCAUCUGACUCAGCAUAAGAGUCCUCUUGGGAGAAGCUUGAACUGCUUUUGUCAAGGAUUUUCUGAAAUUCUUGAGGGGUUUUUGCUAUUGCUAACAUGGUUUGGAGUUGCUGUUUCUUAAGAAGAAACUGUGCAAUAUCAUAAGAUGAUGAAGCUUGUGUAGGAUGCUUUAGGAAAUAUUGCUUUAUUGCUUGUAGUGAGGUAUCAUUUUUCAAGGCAUCCCACCACUUAGACUUGAAAGUCCUUCCAAGGGUUGGAAAGGCUGCUGAUUCAUCUGCUAUAAUGAUAUAAUCCCACUGGACUAUCCAGGCAAGGCCAAAUUCACUAAAAAAGAAUAAUAAUUGGGGAAAACUGAAAGUUCUCUAGGGAUAACAAAAGAACUUUGGAAUAGCUCAAAGCCAUCCAAAAUGGGUUUUGGGAGAAUUUUAAUAGUUGGACCAAAAUAUGUCCACCAAUUGUGGAACCAAAAUGGAAAAGAGGGGAGUUGAUGCUUAGAUGGGAAAUAGAACAUCCCUGAAUGAUGGAAGUCCUUGUUCUGGAUCAGAAAAGCAUUGAACCAUACUCUUUGGUAGUCUCAAUAAUUGAAAAUUUUAGGUUUUGAAGGCUUAGAAAAUUCUCUUGAAAAAUUAGGAUUCCCACCCCACUGCUUAACUGUAAGGAUUUUAUAAAUAUGGUAAGUGGAGAAUGCCAAAUCCAAAUUGCUGAAUUUAUCAGCAUUGUGCUUGAUUUUAACAGAGCCGGUUUCCAUAAGGAUUGCUUCAUAAAAUUCUCUUGUUUUUAAAAGAUCACCAAAGGGAUAAUGAAAAUUUUCAUGAAAAGCUUUUGCUGCAAUAUCUCUAGGGUUUUUAGAGAAAAACUCUUUUUCAAUAACCAAAAGAGGUUGAUUUAAAUCUUUUUGCCAAUAUCUUGCUUUUGCUGAAAGAGGUGUGGGGUUGGCUACCACCACAAUUUGCUUAUUUGAAAAAGAAGAGCUUGAUGCUAAUUCAUUUUGAGAGGGAUUAGCUUUAGUAACCUGCUUAAAGGUCUGAGACACAGUAAUAGUUGGAUACUGAGUAGCCUUGACUGGUUUAGAAGGAUUCGAAGGAUCAUAGUACAAGGACAAAAUCUUAUUAGGCAUAUGGUCAGAAGAAUGAAGCCUUGCUUCUUCUUCUAGCUCAACUUGUUGGCUCCAAAGUAUUUUAUGGGGAGAAGGUUCUUUGCUGGUUUUAGAAGACUAGGAUUCUGGAAGUUUAGGAGCUUGGGUAUUCUUUUUAGGGGCCAUGGUUUCGUGAAUCCUGUAAAAUUCACAAGUUAAGAAAUCAGGGCUCGAAGAAUGUUCUCCUUUAAUAUACUCAAUUUGUAAAUUAAAAUUGCUUAAAAUAGCUUGAUAUAUAGCAAAAAUAUGCUUAGAAGUUAUAUUCUUAACAUCCUUUUGUAAAACUAAUUUUGCAAAUUUACAAUCAACUCUUAAUAAAAACUUUUGAUUCAAAAGAUCAUCUUGAAAUUUUGAAAUGCAUAAAACAACGCUUAAAGUCUCUUUUUUAAUGAUGUUAUGAAUGAGUUGGGUAGUAUUCCAGGUUCUUGAAGUAUACCUAACUAACAUCUCAAGGUUACCAACACUUUGCUUAAGAAUCCCACCAUAACCUAUGUCUGAGGUAUCGAUCCCAACAAACUCAAAGGUUUCUGGAUUGAUAGAGCCUAAACAUGGUAGGGUCUUGACUUUGGACUUAACAUCAAUAAUGAAAACAAUGGUGAAAACAGAAAACUGGUUAAAGUUUUCAUCCAUUAUAUUCUGGAAUUCUGAGGUGCAUUCUUAAGAUCAAAGGGCAUUAUGAACCAUUCAUAAUGUCCAAGAGAUACCACAAAGGUGGUCUUAUUUGGAAUAGGACACCUAAUCCAACUUAAUGUAUCAUUAAGAGGCAUGUAGUUGACGACUAGUCUAGGUGUUCCUUUUUCUGAUUCAACUUGUUCCUGAACAUAGAAGGUUGAACAACUCCAAAGGGACUUAGACUUCCUUAUCAACUUUUUAUCAAGAAGAUCCCAAAUCUCCUUAUCACAAUAGCUUAACAAACCCUUGUUCAUCUGGAUAGGUCUUGAUUUAGUGGGAAUAUUCUUGUCACUAAAGUCUAGUUCAUAAGGUAAUUCUACCUCAUGUUGUUUCCUAUGCCAAAAUGCAUUAGGAAUGUUAGAGCAAACUUCUUCAACAAUCAGAUUAAUUUCUUGCUCAUGACUUUCCUUAGCUUGAAUCACCUGAUCCCUUAAGGUGUUUAUAUUUUUCUUAUUAGGUGGUUGGCAAAUUCAAAAAUAAUUUCCUUAUCUAAGAGCUUUGUUCUUAUACUUUGGUCAUCUACCCACAUGGGAUAGAUGGAGCUUAAAAAGGGGAUUCCAAGGAGAGCUUUCUCCUUAAGAUCCUUAACUAGAAUGAAGGUUUGCUUGAUGCAAAUGCCUUGGUUAUUUAUGUGAGCAUCUGACAGCUUAUACUCAAUGUCAAGCCUUUUACCAUUAGCUCCAAAGAGAGAUUCUUUGGUUUUCUUACAAAACUUAAUAGGACCUAGACCUUCUUGUAGGCAAUUCAAAGCUGUUCCUGAAUCAAUCAAAGCAACAAUAUCAAUGACAAAUUUACUCUUAAUUACUAUAGUAAGGGAGACUUUCCACCUCUGGAAAAUAACCCUACUAACAGUAUUUAAGUAUCCAUCCGUCUUUUCAUCAUUAGCAUGUGAAGAUUCUAGAACCUCUUCAAGGUUUUCCUAGUUAUCAACAAGAUUUUCUAUAACAAUCCUAUUUAUUUGUUCUUGGAGAUCUGAAAAACCUAAGCUUGUGUAUUGUCUUAAAUCUUUAAUUUCCUUCUUAUACUGUCUUACUUCUUCUUGAAGAUCCUUAAUGGUUACGUCUUUGGUAGACUACUGGUUAAAUCUUCCUAAGAUUUCAUUUAAGUUAUAAGAAUUUACUGUCUUCUUAAUCUCUUGCUUAUCGACAAAUUUCUUAAAAACUUCAUAAAGAUCUUGUUUAGUUUUUUCAUCUUCAACUUUCCUUAAAACAUCUAGGACAAGUUCUUGAUCUUGGCUUAUGACAUUUAUAGUCUUAGGUUGGCAAUCACAAUUAUCCUUAAUGUAUUCUUCUUGGUCACUAGAAGUUUGGCUUGAGAUUUCCUCACCACUACUAUCUAGUUGGUUAAUACCAUUUUCAUUAUCUGAAUCAAUCCUUGAUUCAGACUCUGUGGAAUUUAACAUUACUUUACAAAGCAUAUCUUUUAAGUCUUCUGUGACAUUUAAGUUAUUAAUUUUCUGCUUAACCCUACAAUCUUUCUUAUAGUGGCCUAUCUUACCACACUUAAAACAAACUGGCUUAGAUUGUGAAGGAGCUUCUAGCUUUUUAUGGGCUUCUUUGUUCAUCAUUCUUUGGAUGUGCCUUUGUUUCUUAGUUUCAUUCAUCCUAUAGUUGCCAUGAGUUCCUCUCUUGUUGUGAUAGGACUUUUCCUUACUAGGCUUUGUACUUACUUGUUUCUUACGUUGCUUAGAGGGGGGCUUAGUUUCUUUUUGGUUGAAUCCAAACUAGCUACAAAAUGAACCAAACUCAUUCUUGUAGAUCCUUUGUUCAUUUUUCAUCUGUUGCUUAAGCUUAAAGUCAUUGCACAGUUUAAUUGCUUCUGAUGUGACAAUGCUUAUAAUUUCUCCAUAAGAAAGCUUAUCAUAAGGGAUUUGUCCAUUAAACUGUUCCCUUAUCUUAAUCCUAAUCCUCUCAGAGAAAAGUCUAGGUAGUCCUAAGAUGAAUUUUUCUUUCCAAAAAGACUGGUUAUAGUUUGAUCUUAGUAUGACUUUGGUUAGGAAAACUUCUCUAUACCAUCUAAAGUCAUGAAGCUUGGGACACUUAAGGUUGGUUAAGAGAUCUACAAUCUUAUCCUUAAUCUUUGCAGGAUCUCCAAUGAAGUGCUUUGAAAUUGAAUAGAUUAGAGUAGCCACUACAUCCUCUAUAUCUUGUCCAUCUUCAUCCUUAACCACUUCAUUUUCCUCAUUAAUCCUAUAGGCUUUUAGGAUACCAUUUCUAUCCUCAAAGGUGAGAUAAUUAUCCCACCAACCCUAAAGUUGACCUGUAAACCCAACAACAAUUGUUUGAGCUACAGCAUGGCCUGACAAUCUAUUGUUUAACUUAUAGGUUGUACUAACCAUGGUCAUUUCUUGAAGCUUAGUGAGUAUGUUGUACUCAAUCAUACCAUCUAUGUUCCAUUCAUAGAUAGUGUCACUAGUGUAGGAAGCUUGAGUAUGCUGGUUUCUUUCCUCAUACUACAUAUCAGGAAAAGUUGGUCUAGGGUAGUAAUUCCUAGUUCUUGGUUGUUGAUAAUCCUCAUAACUGUUUGGUUAGGAGGUUCCUUAAAAAUCUUAAUUAGUUCAUCAGCCUCUGCUUCAGAACUAAUUUCUCCUUUAACCAUAUUGAUUCUCUUGUGAGAUGGUUGAGGUGUCUCAGAGACAACAAGGCUAUCCUUAACCUUUUGGCUUAUCCUAUCAAUGAGGGCUUGAUCAAUAUGGAGAUUCUCUAGGAAUUUCUUAGAGAAUUCAAAAGGCUUAAAUAAAGACUUAUUAUCUUUCUUAACAAACGUAGUCUUAAUGUAGUCUUGUGUUUCAAUGAUAUCCUCAAACUUGUUGAGUUGAUCGCCUGUAGUCUUAAGAAACAUGUUAGUGUAGUUGUUUUGUUCCAUGAUUCUUCUAACGUCAACAACACUAUCAAUUCCUUUAUUCUUUGGCCUAGUCUUAAAAGGUGAAGCUUUGACUAUGGUUCAAUUAAUGUUCUUUUAUAUCUUAGCUUCUAGAGGGUGGAUGGAUUCUAUGAUAGUAUCGUCACUAGUUUUCCAUAUCUUAGUUUUUUUGGAUGUGUCAUUGACACGCUUACUAGGGUAAUCUAGAUAUUCCUCUUGUUUGAAGAGUUCAAACCAGAUCCAAUACUUAAUGUUCUUCUUUUCUUGUCUUAAGUAUGUGUAGAAUUCUUCUUGGUAGAGGGUUCUAAUGUCUUUAAGGACCUUGCUAAAGAACCAAACUCUCCUUUUCUUAUUGACUUCAGAAUAGAAGUCUUUCCUUAAGAGGUCCUUGUUGAUUCAAAGUCUUCGUUAAUUAGGCUUACAGUGUUAAUCAACUGAGAAUAAGUAGGAGACAUAUCAGGAGAUUCGUCCUGAUGUGAUUCUUGAGUAAACUCAUUUUCCUCCAUGUAAAAGGGUUUGGCCACGUUGGUGUGACUUCUAACACCUGUUAGCUUAAUAUUCUUAGGAUUUGCUGAACUAGAUCCUUCCUCUAUCCUAGUGGUUCUUAUUGGGAUAGAUGAACUUGAAGCUCUAGAGGGCUCAUAAUAUGAAAUUCUAAGGCUGCUAGAAUGAUGAAAAGAGUUGGAGAAAAUUAGAUCUCGUUCUCCAUCAGGAUAUUGAACAAUCUGUUCAAUUCUUUCAGAUCUUUGCUCUAUGGCUGGGACAACAUUAGCAAAAUGCCAAUUUUCUGGAAACUCAACCUCAUUCCACUUGAUUUUCAUGGGGACUAUGAAAUUAGACUUGUUUAUCAUAUCUAAGUGGAAGAUAGUGGUUUCACCCUUGGGACUGGUGCACAAUGCUCCAAAUCCAACGCUUAUGGUCAUGCUCUUAUAGGCAAAUCUGGUGAUGAUGGAAACAUGAUUGUUUCCUUGCUUGAACUUAAAGUCAUGGGUCUUAACAUGAAGGACAACUGAAUCUAAGAUGUUGACAUCUCUUAGUCUAACUGUGAAGUUAGGGAAACACUGGAAAUAAACAGGACCAUCAUUUAAUCCUGCUUGGGUAGCUCCAAUAAUAGAAUCUCGGUAAUCAAGAUGUCUAUUAUCUCUUAAACACAUGACAAUAAAGGUGUUUAGACCUAGUCUUGUCAAGGGCUUAGCUGCAACUUGAAUCAUGCCAAAGUGUAUGAAGUUGUAGUCUCGCUUAUGCUUAUCAAUGGACUUACUAUCCAAGAGUCUUAUGACUUGAUCGUCGUGUUCUAAACUUACUGACAUUUCAGGGGUUUUAAUGGUGUAAUCUGUAAAGAACUUAAAGGUUCCUUUCUUAUAAAUUUCUUGAUUAGGUACCUUGGGUAACUUCCAAUCAUCUAAAUCAUCUUGGAUCUUAGGAUAAUUGAUCUCUUCAUUGUUUACUCUUGAGAAUUUGUGGAUUUCCUAGACAUGGUUCUGAAAAUCAAACUCAUUUUAAGGUUUUAAUCUAGAGCCUAAUAGCAGAUUAACAGACCUAGUGAGUAAUCACCCCAACCCUUUUCCAACCUUAACAAACGCCUAUCUCCAGCUAACAAUGGGCUCAACUCGGCAAGGAUCGCACUCAGGCACACUACUAUCUUUCCUAGGAUAGAUCAAAACACCCAAAACAAACCCGACUUCCUUUUCCUAGGAUAUAUAUAGUAUUUUGGGUUUGAGUAGGAGUUCAUGUUUUGUAUGUAAUUGUAGUCUACGUUGGACUAGGUUGUUUGCUCCUAAUUGAAAUAGGAAUGGUUGGUGUCACAUCUCAUUCAUUUUCUCAUCUAUUUCCAUGUUUAGAUAACUCAAGUAAUCAUAGGAAUGAAAUUAAGAAUGAUUUGAGGGAAAUGAAAUCUCACUUGUAAGUGGGAUCUCAAUUCAUCAUUAAUAGAAGGUAUUUUGAUUACAUAGUGCAAGUUAUUUUUAAAAACACUUUUCAAAAAUUGAAAAACCAAAAACUCUCUUGGAUAAGUUGUUUUUAAAAAGAAUUUUUGUAUUUUUAUUUUGUAAAAAAAAAAAAUAGUAAUUCAAUUUAUAUAAUAUAAAUAGACUUUAAUUUUAUUAAAAAUAAAAAUAAUUUUUUAAUUACAAAUAAAUUAAAAAAUAAAUAUUUGUAAUAAAAUAUGAAUAGUAAUAUUAUAAUAAAAUCAUAAAUAAAUUAAAAAUAUUUUUAAAAACAAAUAAGUUUAAUUUUUUUGAGGUACAAAUGAGCCAAAUUUUUCAUUAGGUACACAACCAACAAUUUUUAUUGGAAACAUUCCUCAAAAAAGAAUUCGUUUCCCAUAUAGCAAAGAUAUUUAUUAUUUAGUAUCUAACCAUCCGUAGUAAUCAUAUCAAUUCUACUAAGUUAUUUAAUAAUUCAUUUAUAUAUAGUACUCAAUUAUGAAUUUUUUUAUUUGAUGUAUAAUUAAUUAAUCAAUGUUUUGAAUUUUGAAUUAUUCUUAAAAUUUAAAACAUUAAUUAUGUCUAUUACUUUUUAUAGUCAUUAUAUAUAUAUAUAUAUAUAUAUAUAGAGAGAGAGAGAGAGAGAGAGAGAGAGAGCUUAAAUUUAUCUUUAAAAAUUAUUAAAUUUAUUAAUAAAUUCAAUACAAAGACUCAUUUGAUUUGAAAUUCAUUUCUUUAGUGAAAAUUUUGAAACUAAAUAGUACUUUGUUUUACUUUGUUUUUAAAUCAUACUCACAAAUAAGUUUUUAUCAUUUAGCCAAAAAAUCUCAAAGAUGUUUCUAAUUUUAUUUAUUUAUUUAUUUGUAAAUGAAAAUAAAAAAUUAGUUUAAACUAAAUAUGCGGAUAUUAUUGUUAAUUUAUUUCAUUUUUUAUUUCCAUUGUUAUUUAACAUUGAAACGGAAACAAAUAAUCAUUCCAAUCUUACAUUCUUAUAUGCAUCUAAACACAAGAAUUGAAAUCACCAAAUUCAUAUUCAAGGCAAAAUAGAAAUGGAAAAAAAAUAUUCAUUUUCAUUCCUCAUUCUCAUGUGCUAAACAUGACAUUAGUUCUACUACCUAUUUCACCAUUCUUCUUGAUAAAUUUGGUAUAUGCAAUAUUGAUCUAAGUGUGAGGUGAAUAAGAAUGAUGAUGGGAUGGGCUUGGAAAUAAGGGCAAAGUUUCUAGGUGCUAUCUAGAGGGGCAACGCGACUUUUUCAAAUUUCGAAUAUUUGUUCUCAACAUAAAGCAAAACUUUACUCACACAAUAGAUAAGACUCUGUUUGUUUUCUUCAUCCACGACUAUAUAAUGUAUAGCUCUUACUCAAGGGAUGAGCUACUUACUAUUAAGGAUUGGGUAAGAUAUUGCCUAAUGGCCAAGAAGGCAUGUCAAAAAAUAAAUCUAAUCACCAUAAAAAAUAAUAGGGGAAAAUUAAUAUAUUAUGAAUGAUGACUUUACUAUUUCUCUAUAUACAUAAUUAUAUAUUUUGAAUUUUCUCACUAGGUAAUGAGAUUCUAAAUCAACUGAAACAUAAUUAAUAAUUUAUAUUUUUAAUGAAUCUUUUAAUUUUUAAAAAUAAUUUAAAAUUUUAAAAAACAAUUCAAUUAAUUACAUAUUAAAUCAAAACAUUUCAAAAUAUUGUGUUUGUAGAUGAGUACUAAAUGCUUGCAUAUAAUAAUAAUAAUAAAAAAAUUGACUCAUUUAGAUGUUAAAAAAGUUAAAUGUUUUUCAUUAUUCAUUUUAAGUAAAAUAUUAUUGACAUUAUUAUUAUAAAAUUAUUAUUAUUCAUUUUUAACAAAAAACAAAAUAAGUUAUUCUUUUACCAAGAUGUCAAUAUCUAUAUUUUUCUAACAUAUAUUAAAAUAGUAUACUUUUCUUUUAUUAAAAAUAAUAAUUAUUAUUAUAUUAUUAUUCAAGUUUUAUUAAAAAAAUUUAUCUUUUAAUUCAUUUGUAAUUACAAAAUAAUUUUAUUUUAUUAAGAAUUUAAUUUAAUUACGCUUUUUUUUUUUAUAAAAAAAACAGUUAUGCUUUUACCAAGAUGUUAAUAUUCAUAUUUUUCUAGCUAACAUAAAUAGAAUAGUACACUUUUUCAUAUAAAAAAAUAAUUUAUGAUUUUAUUAUAAUGUUACUAUUCACAUUUUACUAAAAAUAUUUAUUUAUUUUAUUUAUUUUUAAUUAUAAAAUAAUUUUAUUUUCAAGAAUUUAAUUUUAAAAAAAUAGAAAUCAUUUAUUCUUUUACCAAGAUGUUAAUAAACAUAUUUUUCUAACAUAUACUAAAAUAAAAAAGUUUACUUGUUCAUUAAAAAAUAUAAUUUAUGUUUUUAUUAUAAUACUACUAUCUAUGUUCUACUAAAAAUAUUUAUUUAUAAUUAAAAAAUAAUUUCAUUUUUAAUAAGACUUGAACUAAAUUAAAUUUAUAAUUUUUUUUUAAAAUAAAAUAGAAAAUUAUUUUUUAAAAACAACUUAUUGAAAGAAAUUUUUUAUUCUUUACUUUUAAGAACUGUUUUUAAAAGCAACCUAUAAACCCCUUUGGGUCUGUUUGGCUAUGUUUCAUGCAACUUGUUUUUAAAAAUUGUUUUUUAUUCUUUAAUUUAAUUUUUUUUAAGUUAAAGAAUAAAAAACAACUUUCUAGUGUUUUAUAAAAAUGAGAGCUUUUGACAAGUUGUUUUUAAAAACCAUUUUUAAAAAUAAAAAAUAAAAAACUUAUUUAGAUAAAUUGUUAUAUAUAUAUAUAUAUAUAUAUUUGUAAAAACAUUUUAAAUUCAAUUUAUAUAAUAUAAAUUUAAUUUAAUUUAAGUCUUAUUAAAAAAAAAUUGUUUGGAUAAGUUUUUUUUUUUAAAUAGUUUAUUAUUUUUGUUUUGUAAAAACAUUGCAAAUUCAAUUUAUAUAAUAUAAAUUAAUUUAAUUCAAGUCUUAUUAAAACCAAAAUAAUUUUAUAAUUACAAAUAAAUUUAAAAAUAAUUUUUUUAGUAAAACAUGAAUAAUAAAAUUAUAAAUUAUAUUAUUGUGGACCCUGCAUUUAUGCUCAUGCGCUUCCACUUGUUGGCGAACUCAUUUUUUAUUUGAAAAUGAUUUAUUUUUUUAGAAAAUGACUUAGAGUCGCCACUUAUUUUUGUUUUAUUUUUAAAGGGCAAGCAAAAUAAGAAAGAAAACCCUAAGUGUGACUCCUUAUUCGAAAAAGGUAGUCUGUGUAAAACCGGAUCAGGGUUCAGGGAUCAGGUUACUUAUUGGGAAGGUAUGACAAUGACCGUAGCACUCCUCUAAGUCCUUAAAAACGGGCCUCUACUAAAAAAAAUAAAGUAAUCAUGGCAAUCAGUAAGGAAAUCACUGGAUACCCAGAACAAUUAUGCACAUGUGAGAAUUAAAACAUGCAUAAGAAUGGACAAAGUGAGAGUGGGUGCGUACCUUGACAACGAACCACAAUGCGUUAUCAAGAAAUGGGGUUAGUGCACGAUCAAUGAACAUAAAACACGUCACACAUGUCACUAAGCAGAGUGAGAAAUCAUCAGAUAUUACAAUUCAAUCAAAUUUAUUUUUAGAAGAAACAUCUGUUGAUGUAGAGCCCCUACCAAAGCCUAAUUUAUUUUUGCAUGAAUCAAUUUCAUAAAUUCAAUCGCUUGGAAUUACAGAAUUAAAUUCAUGCUUAUUUUAAAACAUCUUUUUAAAAUCAUGGAAGAUGUGAAAAUGGUUUUCCAAAGAGAAAAUGACAACUGAUUUUAUUGAAAAUGGGAUUUUGGGGACCUAAACGUUAAAGAGGGAUUAGGAAUUGAAAAUUAAAUCAUUUGAAAAUUGAAUUUUUCAAAAAUCAGUUUUGAAAGCAUGCAUGCAAGUAUGGACUGUGAAAGUGGGCCUAGGGAGGGUGGCCAUGCAAAAUGAGGUCAUACACGUGGGCCUUGGGUACAAUUGGGACUACUUUGCUGGUGCCAGUGGUGCUUGCAGCUGUCAUCCAUGAUUUCUUCAUUGGGAUCAAUUUCCAUUCUUACUGCCAAACAUUCCAUAACAAUUGACCAAACUAGUAACCCUGACCUUGCAUGAAAAUGAACGUUACCUAGAAACUCACUGCCAGUGAGAUUCAUUGCUCUUUCAAAAGGUCUCAUUUUCUUUCUCAUCCAAUUGCUUUAAGGAGCAUUCUAGCGUCACGAUUGGUGACUGCGCAUCAUCUAGAGCCUUCUUUCUUCUCAGAAUCAGGUUUGCGUGCAGAGGCCUGUGCUUGUUCAAGGUUGACCUAAAUUCAUCUAGGUUUAGAACCGACCAGUUGAGCUUGGGGAGCAACGACAAGAAUAUCAGUCACUUGCGAAGAGAAAACUCGAGAUCUUUCAAGUAAUGCCUGACAUAGAUUCCUCCAACCUGUGGCCAAUAUCUCAUUCCUUGUUGGCCAGACGCCUAUUAGGGCGUAUCUCAAUCAAUAAUAUGAUUUUUCGUUUGUUCACAAUAAAGACCGGAAGCCAUGGUUGUGAUUUAUGCAGUACAGAAGAAGUUGCCAUGGCUGGUAUCCUUACAAAUUCUGGUGUUUCUGCUAUCUGUUCAAGUGCAAAACACAACAGCUUUAUCAAGUUUGUCCCUAACAACUGAUAUUGAGCCCUCUGGAGGAAACCUUGAUAAAUUCAUAAUCACUUUUGACUCAUGCAUGGGCUGCCCAUCAAAUUUUCCUAGCAACGAGACGACUGCUGUCAUCUACUGCAAAGAGAAUUUCUUCUCGCAAAGACAAGAGGAGUUUAAGAAUACACACUAUUCUGCCAUUUCAUUUCCUCUUUCUCCACAACCAACAUAAACCAUAGUGUCUACAUUAGAGUACUUAGAAAGAGCUUAACUGAUGACCGUUUUUCCACAACCAAAUGCCCCAGGUAUGGCACAAAUUUCACCGAAAACAGAAGGGAAAAGGGCAUCAAGAACACGCUGUCCUGUAAGUAGUGGGGUAUCAGGACUACUCUAGGGAAGUUAUUUCUGUCAUUUUGAAAAAGAAAAAUUAAAGAAUGUACACAUGCUUUCAAGUGGACUGGAGCAUUCUACAUAUCAGGUGGUCUGUAGCCACAUGUGCCACUUUGUGGAAGUUGGAACAGUCGAUCACUAGGCUAUUUAGUGUGGCCAAGCCACGUUAAUCAAGGACAAGUCUUCAUACUUAAAAGUCAAAUGGUGCCUUUAGUCUCAUUACACAUGGCUAUUUAAAGAUGAACUAAUCUUUAGUGUAAUGUGAUUAAGACAGUACUAACUGAUCAAUAUUUUUUCUAAUUUUGGAUGCAAAUGCUUGCUGGCUUCAUCAUUGGAUGGGAUAAAGGUGCAUUCAUGACUCUGAAUACUUGCAGUAAUACUUGCAGUAAUACUUCAUUCUCUUUUUUCUCGAUGAGACUUCUUGGCACAAUUUUGCUUCUCAGCAACCUACCUCUCCAUGGAAAAUGAGUUGCGAUUGAUGGUACUGGAUAUUUUCUAGGAAGCUAAAUAUAGAUAUAUAGCACUCAAUGUCAACGAUAUAUAUAGCAUUAACAGUAUAUGUCUCAAUGCUCAUCAGCUACAAGCAAGGGACAAACACUUACAAUGAAUAACUCACGUCAACAUUCCUAAACAGGACAUAGAAGUGACAGAUCUAUAUAUAGAACACUGCAUAUGAGUCACAAGAAAAGAUAAUACGGGUGCAUAGCAGCUCUUAUAUUACAUAUUACUCAUACCGUUCAAAUUCACUCAGUUGGGAUGGGUGGGAGAAGGAGGCCUCUGGGGUGGCUUGUGCGUGUGAGAAGUGGAAGAAAGUUGAAUGGAAUGAAACUGAAAAACAGGGUAGAAUAGAGGUUUCUUGAAUCUUCUGAAAUCUUUAUUUUUCUGAGAUUUAUUCUCUGUUUUUGUGAGUCGUGACUCUACAUAUAUACAUGUAUUUAAAGUUAGUUAUGCCUUAUAACUAAUUAUCUAACAGUACCAAAACUAAUCAUCUAGUUGCAUGUUUCUAAUUAAUGCUAUUUAGUUACAACUAUAUAUGGCUUAACAUCCUCUCUCAAACUCAAAAGUCUAGCUAGAACAGUGAGUUUGCUUCAUAGAUUGAGAAAUUGUUGAAUAGGUAAGGCUUUGGUAAGAGCAUUAGCAAUCUGGUCAUAAGAAGGAAUGUGUUGAACCACCAAAGUCUUAUUGAGCACCUUUUCCUGAACAAAAUGGCAAUCUAGUUCCACAUGCUUAACUCGAGAAUGAAAAUAGGAUUGGCAGCAAGAAAGGUGGCUGAAAGAUUGUCAUAGAACAAAACAAAAUAGGAGAAUAAGAAGAUGAGAUAGAAAACUCCUGAAGAAGAUGUUGAAUCCAUUGAAGUUCAAAAGCAACAUUUGCUAAGGCCCUAUACUCAGCUUCAUUGCUGGAACGAGACACAACUUUCUGCUUACUGGAGUUCCAGGAGACUAGAUUAGAGCUAAAAAAGAUGCAAUGACCACUUGUACUUCGACGAUCAUCAGGGCAACCAACCCAAUCAACAUCAGCAUAAGCAGUAAGUUGAAAAUCAGGAGAAGAAUAAAAGGAAAGACCAAAGGAAGUAGUGCCCUUAAGAUAAUGCAACAAUCGUUUAACAACUUGCCAAUGAAGAUCAGUUGGUUAUUGCAUGAAUUGGCAAAGUUUAUUGAUAGAGAAAGAGAUGUCAGGCCUUGUAAUGGUACAAUAUUGCAGGGCUUCAACAAUGUUGCGAUAUUGAGAAGGGUCAGCCAAGAGGGAACCUUUAGAGGCAGAUAAAGUGUGAGAGGUAGUCAUUGGUGUAUCAAUAGGUUUAAAAUAUGGAAGACCAGCACGAGUUAACAAGUCCUGAAUAUAUUUGGUUUGGGAAAGAUGAAGAGAAGAUCCUUGCCAACAUACUUCUACACCCAAGAAGUAAUUCAGAAUACCAAGGUCCUUGAGAGCAAACUGAAAGUGUAAAGACGAAACCAUUUGGUGGACUAGCACGGUAUUAAGACCACUAACAAUAAUGUCAUCAACAUAGAUGAGAAUAAUGAUCAUGUCAGUCCCUUUCCGAAGAGGAGCUUGCUUCAGACCCUACAAGGCUUUGCGAAGUUUACAGAAAAAACCGGGUUUAGAAUGAUCAACAAAGCCUGGAGGUUGAACCAUGUAAACCUCUUCUUCUAACUCACCAUUGAGAAAGGCAUUAUUAACAUCUAAUUGUUCCACUAACCAACCAUGAGAAAUAGCAAGAGAAAGAACAAUUCAUAUAGUAGUUGGUUUAACAACAAGGCAAAAGGUUUCAAAAUAAUCAAUACCAUAUGUUUGAUUAAAACCCUUUGCAACUAAGUAGGCUUUAAAACGAUCAAUUGAGCCAUUAGCUUUGAGUUUCAGCUUGUAUAUCCAUUUACAACUAAUAAUGCGUGUAUUAACAGGUUUAGGAACCAAUGUCCAUGUGGAAUUGGUGAGAAGAGCAUCAUACUCAGUCUUCAUAGCAGCUUGCCAAUUAGGAUGCAAUAUUGCUUCUUUGAAAGAGGAGGGUUCGACAACAGUAGUUUGGAUAGCAAGGCUAAAUAUUUUUUUGGGUUUAAAAAUACCAUUUUGGCUACGAGUAACAAUAGUUCGGUUUGGAAGUGAAAGAGGAUCAGUGGAGGAGGCUGGAACAAGGGAUUGUGGUAAAGUAGGAAAGGAAGGUGGAUGAGAUGGAACAAAAUCAGUAGGGACAAUAAUGGGAGAAGAAAAAUUAGGUGGAGAAUGAUGAGGAUUCCUUGAAGAUGGUGUAGGAAUAGAGAGAAUACCAGAAUCAAGAAGUGUUAAAGAAGAGUUGGAUGAUGAUACUGGUUGACAGGAUAAAGACUUUGUUAAAAAUGGAAAUCGAGUUUCAUCAAAUACAACAUGACGAGAAGCAUAUAUCCGAGAGGAAGCCAUAUCCAAACAGAGGAAUCCCUUGUGUUUAGCACUAUAACCCAAAAAACAGCAAACAACAAAUAUAUUUGCUAGCUUGUGAGAAGCAUAAGGGCGAAGAUAAGGAAAACACAAGCAUCCAAAACUUCAAAGAGAUGUAUAAUAAGGUAAACGAUUAUAAAGAACUCCAUAAGGAGAAUUUUGUGAAAGAACAGCAGAGGGAAGGCAAUUUAUGAGAAAAAUGGCAGUUUGAAAUGCAAAUGACCAAUAUUUGAGAGGGUAUACCAGCUUGUAUUAACAAAGAAAGACCAACUUCCACAACAUGACGAUUCUUUCUUUCAACUCUUCAAUUUUGCUAAGGAGUAUAAUGACAAGAGACUUGAUGAAGAAGACCAUUUGUAGCCAAAUAAUUCUGAAAAGCUGAAACUGAAACUCAUCAAAUUGAUUUUUAGUAUCAAAUUUUCUUCAGACUGAACACAUUGAUUUUUAGUAUCAAAUUUUCUUUCAACCAUGGCUUGAAAAUGUUGGAACAUAAGUAAAGCUUCAUCUUUAGUUUCCAAAAGGUACAACCAUGAGAAUAUGCUAAAAUCAUCAAUUAGCAAGAGGAAAUAUUGAGCAUUACCAUUGACAGAAACUAUAGGAGUUGCACCCCAAAGAUCAACAUGGAUGAGACCGAAUGGUUUUAUUGCUCUAGAAGUGGAUAUUUCAAAUGGAAAACGAUGGCUUUUAGCCAACUGACAAGACUCACAUACAGAGUUAUUAUUGUCAUGUUUCAAAGGUAUUUUAUAAAGAGAUAAGAUUUUGGAAACUACAUUAAUAGAGGGAUGACCAAGUCUAUUAUGCCAAAGCCUCAAAGAACCAACGGCUAAAGUACUACUAGUAGAGUAAAAUACUAGUGGAUGACCAACAACUCUUGGUGUAGCAAGAAGUUUAUAGAGACCCUUCUCAAUUUUUCCUUGAAGAAGAGCAAGUCUCGUUUCCUGAUCCUUUACCACAAAAUGAGAAGAACGAAAUUCAAUAAAGGUGCCAUUGUUUGAGUAAAAUCGUUGCACGCUAACUAAGUUGGUGGUAAUAGAAGGAACAUGUAAGACAUCAUUGAAAAACAAAGAACCACUUGAAGAGGCAAGAGAAAAUUUACCAAUAUUUGCAAUGGAUAAACCCUUACCAUCUCCAACAAUUACUUUGUCACCACUGGUAAAUGGAUUAUGGAUUGUUAAAUUGUUAAGAUCAGAUGUGAGAUGAUGGGUAGCCUUUGUAUCAAGAAACCAAUAAGUGUCUCCCAUUGUUGCAGAAGUUGUAGUCAUAGCCUCAGGAUUGUUAGAGGUGGAAUGUUUAGAAUCUUUUGGCUGAUAAUCAGAGUUAAACCGAUACCAGCAUUGUAAAGCGGUGUGUCCGAACUUACAACCGAGAGAAAUAAUCUUUACUUAUUCUCUAAAAACUGUUCUUUAUUCCACACAUUAUUUCUAAAAACUGUUUCUAGAUAACAAUGACAAAAUAGUAUUAGGAAUUUUUAAAAAUAAAAAUUGUUUUUAAAUUACAUGAUCUAUAUCAUUCACAUUUGACCAUUAUAGCUUUGUUCAGGAAAACACUUGAAAGUAACCUUAUCGUGAUAAGAGAUAUAAGUUGGCUGUAGUUUCAAACUGAAAACAGAGGAUGGCAAUAGAAAGCAAAGCAUUAGUUAUCUGCAAUCAGUGGUGAUCAUGCCCCAUGUCAAUUUCGGACCCAUAUCUUAAAACCGUAUAAUUUGCAUUUCAACAUUUCUGAUUUCUCAGAUGUUUCAUACUCCACAGAAGAACAUUGUUUGUGAAAGCAUGCAUUUAUGCUGGAUUUUGGAUGAUGUGGGAACUGGGGCAAGGAUCAUAUGGAAGAGUGGUCGAUUUUUUCUGUACUUUAACAUUUGAAAUAGGAGCAGCACGGGCAUUUGUGGGGCUUAAUUGAUUUUGAAGCCUGAAAUUGCGUUUCUGUCAUUUUGUAAAAAAUAUGGCAGAUUCCAUGCUCUCAUAUGUUUGGUCUGUGGCCAUGUAUAGAUGCCACUUAGUGACCAGUUUGUAACUGUCAAUCAUAGUGUUUUGACUCUGGCUCAACAACAUCAGCCAUUGACGGAUUUUCAUACAUGCAAAUCAAAUAGUCUUCUUCCUCCCUUAGGAAUUUCGGUUUAAAUGUUAUUAAGCAUACAUUUGGCUGACAAUUAUUAACCACUUCAUGAUAUGGUUUCUUACCCUUAAUCAAUGGUUUCUAAGUGAAUAUAUGCAGAAGGAAAUCUGAACUGUAGACAGCAGUAUUGAUAAUUAUCAAUAUUCUUUAUAUAAGAGAAUAAACAACGUCAUAGUGAUCGUCGCCUACAAGAAAGGUACAUUUCCCAACAAGAUGUAGUUGUGACUGGUACAUGGACGUAAUUAACUCGUAGAAAAGGAUAAGACCAGUGCACGGCAGCUCUUAUUUUACAUGCUAAUUAUGCUAACCAAAGUCACUCAGUUGGGAUGGGAGGGAGAUGGAGGUUUGUGCGGUGGCUUGUGGGGCGGAGUUGGUGGCUUCUUUUCAGGAGCUUGUGGCUUUUUCGGAGCUGAAGGAGGCUCAAUCUUAUGAGGCGGCUUGUACGAGUCUUCUUUACUCUCGACAGGAGGGUGGCCAGGGUUGUGACCAUAAUGUGGUGGCUUCUCUCCCUUAGGUGGCUUGCCAACUGGGGUUGGUGGCUUGUGUUCAGGAAGUGGUUUCUCUCCCUUGGGAGGUUUACCAAUUGGGGUUGGUGGCUUGUGUUCUGGGAGUGGUUUCUCUCCCUUGGGAGGUUUAGUGGGUGACUUGUGUUCUGGAGGUGGCUUCUCCACCGGAGGCUUGUGCUCCGGUGGUGGCUUCUUGGUUGGAGGGGGCUUGGGGUAAUCAGCAAGAGAUGGGGGGGUGAGAACCACCACUCCAAGGAACAACACUAGCAAGUAUGUGGGAGACAUUUCUGAGUUUGAGCUGAUCAGAUGAUGCAAAACUAGAAGAAUUACGUGACCUUUUAUAGCAAGUAGCUCCCAAUACCCACAUGACACGUGUUACUGUGACCAUAAAUAUUAUAGGGUCCAUUUGUGCCCUACCGGGUUGAAAACUUGGACGCUUGGCCGAGGACACACCGAACUAUGGAGGACUAUUGACGUGUGAUCACAGCUUUUGGAUUUUUCUUCCUGUGCAGCUGUCUAGCGGUUGGCAUUAUUUUUUUAAUCUUAAAUAAAGGCAUAGUUAUAGAGUACAUUUAUAUAUCUUCAGAUAGCCAUUAAUAUAUUUGAUGAAGAAAGACAAGUGCAUACAACAUGUAUACGGCUUGCUUCAAUCGAGUACAUUUAUGAUCAGUUUUCCAGUGCAAGUAAACCAGUUUUUUGUUCCACAACUAUUUUGGAAUCUUGUUUAUCAGUUUCUAUCAUUAUAAUGUCACAUAGGCUGCAAACUUGGGCACCCAAAGAUCUAGUUGGGCAAAUUUGUUUCAGAAUUUCAAUGGUGGAUUCAGUAAUUGUUAAAAGGUGUUUCUUCAUUAAGGAAAGAGUCCUGUAAAAAUAUUGUUAAAAGGUGUCAUAGAAACUAUAAUAAUUAAAUAACUUCUUUUCCCCGUGGGUGGUGUUUCUUCUGGGGAUACCCAAAAUGAGUUCAGAUUAAAAUUGGUUCGAGUCAAAGCUGUCUCUUUUGUCCAGAAAUCAACUAUUUUGCGCAUUGCAUGAAUCGAUAAAGAAAAAAUGAAAGCCAAAUCACACCUCCCCUGCAAAACCUAAACCCCGGUUGCUAACUUUCUAUGUUUCAGUCCUAUUCAUACAGGAAUAUUGGUUCAAGUUUGAGAAAAAUGGCAACUUACCUAGGGAUUACUUGGUUGUGGUUUGCGACGACUAUUUACGCAACCAACCAUGAGUUUGACUUUAACGUCAUGGGUUGAAGCCUCCUACAAUCGUGUAUGAUAGUUCAAAGCUCGUAGUAGAAAUUAUACAGGAAGGAAGAAACCUCCAAAGCUAGCUCCAAAAGAGAAUUAUCACAUCGAUAGCUCCAGAGAUUCCCAAGGGGACUGAAUCAAAGACAAGUUCCUCACUUUUUCUUCUUUUGAGGCCAAAUAUGAACCAAGGAUCACACGACCUCAUUCAACUUCAUAAGUUUGAUUUCAUGCAGUUGAACACUGGGUGAAGGCCAUGACAAGAAUUGAUUAAAAAAUUCUACCACUGUUUUAAGUAAUGGAAGAUUAUUAUCUCUGAUUGGCACCACAACAGCACAUGCUGCUAGAUCUUUCUAGACACUCCAUGCAAUGAAAGUACAAUGGAUCUUGUAACGAUAGAAACUAAGCCAUGCUACAGUACUAGAUGACGAGGUAAAACUAUUAGACAUGGGUGGCAGCCUAUAUGGGAGGGACACAAGUCUAAUUGAUUUGCAUUUCAGCGUUCUAGAUGGGUAUGUUUUGGAAGAUUUGUUCUGGAAAUACCGCACCAAGUAGGAUUCUUUUUUCUCUUGAGUGGGUCCACUUGCAUGCCAAUUAUCGAGUUGAAAAGUAGAGCACCUACCUCGUGCUCGUGGAACCGAAGGUCAGUGAAGUGGGGCUCCUUUUGGCCUCUUGUGUUUCUGUUCCAACCAAGGCGGCGGAGGGAAAAACAGCAAUAUGUCUCCGCUAAAUAUCAACGCAUGAUAGCGAAUGAGGGAGAAAAAAAGUAAUUGGCAUCUCAAUCUCACAAACUUGGUACAGUAGUGACAUUAAUAGUCUUCCACAUGGUUUUUAUUUUAUUUUAUUUUAUAUUUUAUAUUUUCCAUUUUUUUAUUUUUUUGUAUGUCAAGGCUAAUGAAUAAAAUGCGUUAGCUUGUUUUGUGAUUGGAACUGCAAAUGUCCAAAUUGGAGUUUCUCCAUUUCUCAGUUCGGAUGGUUAACUUUAUAAACAAGAUAUAGGAAACAUGUGAACGUCUUGAGGAACAAUUCGAAUUAUUGAUUAGAACUCCUAGGUUGAGUUCCAAGAUUUAAAUCAGACCCCUCUAGCAGCUUCAGGGGUACCUAGCAAUUAGAACAUAUUAAUGAAGAUUUAGGAUUUAGACUCCGGAAUACAAAUUAAUAUGUAUCUUAUGCUCUGACUAGCUUCCCUGCAUAUGCACAAAAUGGAGAUGACCCAAAAAAUAGCAGAAUCGCCUUAGUUUAUGUGGUUAAGGUGAUUCUCCGGUUAAUAUCCACAUUGGCUCAUUAUGCAAAUCAACUGAGCUAUUUUUUUUUUAAUGUCAAAUAGGAACUCCUAAUUAACCUAACCAUUGGCCUGUGUAAAUUGAUUUCACAUGCACAAUGUUGUAGUAGAAGUCCACAUUUUGAAUUUUAUUUUUGGAAAGGUAAGGAAAAUGAAGCAUUGUGUAAUUAUAAAAAUAACUUCAUUGGAAUUCACAAGGUUCACCCAAAAUGGAGCUACAUCCGUAUUCUAUCUUACAGUAGACUAUAUAGAUUGUACAAUAGUAAAUUGCAAAUACAAUUAAUAAGUCUUGUGUUUCCUUACUAAUAAUCCUUUGACAUAAACAUUGCAGCACUAAGGUCCUCUUGGGCAGACACCUUGCACCCAUGAGAGCACUAAGAGGAAGCAAGGCGGAGUCAUGGGUGCAAUGUCAUGACUUGUUGCACUAAGAGAGGCUUGGUGAUGGCAUAGUGCUGCAGUAGCAAGAAUGUUGCCUUGGCAGGGACACGAUCUAGGGACAGAUGCCAAGAAAGGCUUAGCACUCACAUGAGUUGCACAAAGAUGAAUGAAAUAGAACAUCAAAGAGACAUCUUGGCAAGCUCAAGAAAGACAUGUGGGUUGGUAAAUGAAUGGAUGCAAGAGGCAACAACAUGAGGAGUUUCAAAUGGAUAGGGAAUGAGUCAAAGACAUUUGAAAGCUACAAGUUGGAUUCUAAUUACGAUUGCAAUUUGAGUUUGAGUAGGAGUUUAUAUUAUGAUUGUAAUUGUAGUAUGAGUUGGACUAGGAUUGCUUAUCCCUAGUCAAAAUAGGAGUUGUUCAUGCCACACCCUAUGAAAAGAGUUUGAGUAGGGACUAGGAUUGCUUGCUCCUAGUCAAAUAUGGAGUAGGUGGUGCCACACCUAUAAAAAAAAAAGGGACAACAUGAGAGAGAGAGAGAAUGAAUUCACCAAAGAUAUUGUGGGAGUUUUGCUUUGUUACAUCUUGUAUUAUUAUUUAGAAUAGUAAUAAAAUACAAGUUGGGGCUAGAGCCCCAUAAUCUCGUGUGCCUUUGUGGGUUAUUCUUUAUUUGCCAUCUCGUGUGGAUUGGAUUAGAUUGAUGAGGCGAAAUAUUAUGUGGGAAAUUUAUGUUGGGACACUUACCAUAACCAGGUAAAAUCUACCAAGUCUUUUGUAAUAUCUUCUACAAAUAUUUUAGACCAGUUCUUCACAAAACAUCAUAAUAUGUUUUGUGUUUCUCUUGGAUUUUGAGUUGAAUUGUCUUAGAUCAAUUGAAUGCAUCUCAAUAUUAUUAUCUUGUUUGAAGGCUUGAUGAUUUUCCAUUUAACUUUACUUUCUUUAGGUUAUGCUUGAUUCCUUAAAAGUACUAAGGAAAACAAAAAAUAAAAAAAAAUAAAAAAUGCAGAGGGUUAGGACAUGUGUUAUCUAAUUGUCCUAUCCAAAGAUAUUAAGAAAGUCAUGUAGGAAAGUAAUUGAAAACUAGGUCAAGAAAGGAGCAAAAGGGAAUUGUUUUGGUAUUUUCUUUUUUAUUCUUGAAGGUGGCAGAGCUAAAAUUUGAGAAAUCAAGCAAAACAUACUGAAAUUACAUUGAAAGAAAGAAAAUGGUAGUUAAUGUCUUGCAGUACAUGAUAAGGACUUCAUGCAUGUAGUGUGACGACCCAUGUCUUGGACUGAUGCCACACUCACGGUUACACUUAUACCCUUGGUUCUCUCUUUACUACCUUGGCUAACCUAGAUCAGGCUAUGAGAUAGGCUCCUCACCACACCAUCACUUGCCCAGUAAUUAGUGACAUUUUCAAGCAAUGAGGUAACAUGGUGACACCAAGAGGGUUUAUCCCUCGCCCCAACAAGUCUAGACUCGGUCUCAAAAAAAUGGAGAAAAAUGAGGUGUCGUUAUGCAGAAAUACAACAACCAUGCCUUCCUUAUUACUUAGAUUCAGAAUGUGAAGGUGAAAUUGAGAAACAGAAACUCUUGAAACCAGAAUGAAAAUUGAUACUUUUACGAAGAAUUACAACAUUAGAGGAAGACUACAUUCUUCCUCUAUAUUCCUACGUUUCUACACUACUUCUACUCCACUCCAUAUUUCUACAUACAUCUUUAAUCAGUUUUCCCUCCUUUAUAUAGAGCCAUCUUCACACAAAUUCCGCAAGGUAGAAAAGAGGAAUGAAACUUGGAGCAAGGUUCGACUACUGGUUGUCGCUUGUCAAGGCUGGAAUUGAACUUUUUUUCUUGGCUUUUCUGGGCAUAGGUAGUAACUUGUGGUUCCUUUUUGGAAUGAAAAUGGUACAGCUAGAACAUGUGGCACUCUCUUGUUGGAUUAUGUGUCAAACAUGUGGCAGCCAUCUAGUGGAGAUUAUUUCAAUUUUGGGAUGGAGAGUUGGCAUCCAAUUGCAAAGAAAUAUGACAUCUACCAACAUGCAAUGUAAACCUAUAUAGAUCAUAUGGAGAUAGAGAGGAAACAUAUAGAAAUGGAUAUAUACCUAGAACUAGCUUUUUAUUAAAUGAGACGGAGAGCCAACAAUGAAGGAAAAUCAAAAUUUUUGGCUCAUAUCAAAGAAUUCACAUUGUGUUACCCUAGGUUUUCUUAAAGCUUGCACAAAGCCAAAAAGCACACAAAAAAUUAUAUUUUCUAGCUCUCUACCUUGGAUGGUCUCUUGAUCCUACUUGGAGAUGUGCAUAAAUAAAAGGAUUUGAAAAUGACAAUUGACUAAGUAUGUAGUCAAUCAAUUACUCAUUAAUUGACUAGUUGAUCAAUUAACUUUGCAACAUCAUAUGCAAUCCUAAUAGCUAGUCAUCUAAUCAACUAGGUAGUAAAUCAAUAGGCCAAAAAUAUGUUUAUAAUGACUAUUUUGUACAAAAACCACCUAUAUGGUUAAAUAUAAUGCAUUUCAUUUAUAAAUCUUCUAAUUCUUGAAUAACGAUCCUAUCAUCCUUUGAAAGUUUUUAUUACACCUUUUAUACUUUUGUUCUAAAACUUACACAUGUACAUCACCCUUAAUUGUACCAUGAGAACCUAGCUUUUUUUUUUUUUUUUUUUGUAAUUCAUCAAAGUUAGCUUUUGUAUUCAUUACUGUACUAUUUUUAUUGUAACUUAGAAAGCGAGUGUUUUCAAGUGAGUGAAAUUGACUUAUAAAUAUUGUAAAGAUUCAUUGAUGUGUAUCUUAAACUAAGUGUACAAGUUGAAACAUUUGCUAGUAGAUUUUCUCAAGAUUUAGAAUAGAGCUUGAGGCUAUUGAAAUAGGUGGGGUUGCACCAAACCACAUCACAUUGUUGUUUGCACCUUUUUUUCACUCUCUUUUACUUAGUUGCUCUAUAUUUGUUGUCUAGUAAUAUCCUAUAGGCUUGAUGGGUUAGGGAGCAUCCCUUUGUGAAAAAUUUUCAUUCAAUCCUUAGUUGUAUCACGCAUAUAUAAAAUGCCUCAUUGUUUUAAUGGUAUUCAGUCGUGGCAUCACAGAUAUGGGCAUCUAAAUUUUAAAAGUUUGAAACUUUUAUCUAAAGAAAAUAUGGUGCUUUGCCUUUUUGUAAAGCAUGUUGAUGAAAUCCAUGAGAAUUGUGUACUUGGGAAGCAACAUCGAGAUGACUUUUUUUUUUUUCAUUUUUUAUAAUGCGACACCUAAGUCCGGUUUCUAAAUGCUGAAGUGAAAGGGUAGGUAUGGACCAUUGAAAUCUGAUCACAACUUUUGGCCUUUUCCUUUCUCUGCAGCCAUGUUGUCUCUUUUUUCUUUUGCAUGAUUUUCUUACCUAAACAGAAUCAUAGACUUGUUUAAUCUCUAAAUGGUAUUUCAUCCAGCUUUAAGCUACUGUAUUAUAUCUUGGUGGAGGACUUUUAAGAGUGAAACCGACAUAGAGCACAUGCAAGUGGGUAUAUGGGACAUGAAAUUUCUUCUUAUAAAGACUGCAUGGUUUUUAUAUUAGAGUUGUUGAGGCGCAAUGUAUUUAGCUUGUUUUGCAGUUAAAUUAAUUGGAUAAGUAGACAUUGUCGUUUCUAAAUUUCCCACCUAAGAUAGUGACCUUAUCCUUGACUGCUUGAUGAGAUACACAAACAAUUAUACCUUCAAAAUCUACUGUGAAGUGCUUCAUGUAUGUGUGAAGUAUUAGAAAUUUCUUUCUUGGCAACUUGUUUUUUCUUUGCCCUCUACUGAUAGGUUUGACUCAAAUUAAAUUCCCUGUCAUGCUAAUUAAUUUUCACGUGCAUGCUCAAAAGGAUCACGUCAACUCUGGUUUCUACUAUUCAGGUCCAUUCCCAGAUAAACUGGUUCAAAUUUGAGAAAAUGGCAACAGCCCUUUAGUGAUGUUGGUUUGGAGCCAGUAGCCAAACCCGCCCUGAGCUUUACCACUAAUGUCAAGGGACAAAGCCAUUUGAACAAAAACAAUAGCUUCAAGAGACUGAAUCGUGGAUGAAAUCUGAUCCACAUUUCUUCUCAUUUUGGGAACAAAUGAGAACUUAACUACAAAGAUUCUACUGCCUCAUAGUGCUUUUCCUGAUCUAAGGUUGGUUCGUUUCCCAAAUUGUGAGGUACGUGCCAUUCUCACGCUCAGGAGUGUAUCCACGUGGUGGACAUAAGAUGGUGGCUUAAUAUCUGGUGUCGGUGGCUUUACUUUACUAGGAGAGUAGUGUGUCUUCAUCUCAUUCACUGCCGGAGGGUGGCGUAAGCAGUGACGCUAAGGUGGGGCACAGUCAAUAUCAUUUGCAUUUGACCAUUAUAGUUUUCUCCCGGCUUGAAAGUAACCUUAUCGUGAUAAAGGAUUACUAGCACUAGUUCAGAUGACAGUCAUGUUAAAUUCGGACCAUGUUUGUGUCACAUUAUCAGCAACCAUGUGUUUAUGGUUCAUGCUAUCUGCAACUAAACUUGAUAUAUAACCACGUGAACUUCAAUCUAAAUUCUGGAAGUACUCUUGUGAUAGAUGGUGCCUGUCUGCAGAGUCCAUCAAUUGAAAAAUGGAGUGAGUGUAUCUAUAAGAGGGAAGGCUUGGCAAAUGUUCAGUUUUCUGGGAACUCAACAAGGAUCUAAAAUAGAUUGUUUUCUUUGCUGAUUUCAAUGGUUGAAAUUUGAGAAGAUUGUGUCCACAUAACACAACUAUUACUGGUCCUUCUGUUGCAAUUUAUCCUCUAAGGCUCUAACAUGUCUUCCAAUUCCCACUUCCCUGUUACUCCAGGAAAGCUAUUUCUGUCAUUGUGAAGAAGAAAAGAGAAUGUACAUAUCGAUGGUUUUAAGUGACUGGGGCAUUCAUAUCAGGUGGUCUGCAGCCAUAUAUGCCACUUUGUGAAGGUUGGAACAGUCAAUCACCAGGCUAUAUUAGUGUGGCCCAGCCACUUCAAUCAAGGACAAGUCUUCAUACUUAAAGUCAAAUUCUGCCUUUAGUCUCAUUAUAAAUUGCUGUUUAAAUAUUAAGCAAACAUUUGUUUAAUGCGAUUAAGACAGUACUAACUCAAUACUUGUUCUAUUUUUGGAUGCAAAUGCUUGAUGGUUUCAUCAUUGGAUGGGAUAAAGGUGCAUUCAUGAUUAUGAAUACUUGUAGUUAUAUUUUCAUUCUCUUUUUUCUCAAUGAGACUUGUUGGCACAAUUUUGCUGUUCAGAAACCUACCUCUCCAUCGAAAAUCAGUUGUGAUUGAUAGUACUGGAUAUAUUCAAGAAAGCUAAAUAUAGAUAGCACCAAAUAUUAUCGAUAUAAAUAGCAUUAACAGCGUACGUAUGUCUCAAUGCUCAUCAGCUAUAAGCAACGGGCAAACACUUACUAUGAGCAACUUGCGUCAAAAUUCCAGAAUAGGACAUAGAAGUGACAGAUCUAUAUAUAUAUAGAACACUGCAUAUGAGUCACAAGAAAGGAAAUUACGGGUGCAUAGCAGCUCUUAUUUUACAUCCUACUCAUACUGAUCAAAGUCACUCAGUUGGGAUGGGUGGGAGUAGGAGGUUUGUGGGGUGGCUUGUGCGGAGGAGUUGGCAGCUUCUUUCCAGGACCUGGUUGCUUCUCUGCUGGAGUUGAAGGAGGCUUAAUCUUCCGAGGUGGCUUGUAUGAGUCUUCAGCAUUCUCAGCAGGAGGGUGACCAGGGUUGUGACCAUAAUGUGGUGGCUUCUCUCCCUUAGGUGGUUUGCCAACUGGGGUUGGUGGCUUGUAUGAGUCUUCAGCAUUCUCAGCAGGAGGGUGACCAGGGUUGCGACCAUAAUGUGGUGGCUUCUCUCCCUUAGGUGGUUUGCCAACUGGGGUUGGUGGCUUGUGUUCUGGGAGUGGCUUCUCCCCCUUGGGAGGUUUUUCCAAUGGGGUUGGUUUGUGUUCAGGAGGUGGCUUCUCCACUGGAGGCUUGUGUUCAGGAGGUGGCUUCUCCACCGGAGGCUUGUGUUCAGGAGGUGGCUUCUCCACCGGAGGCUUGUGUUCAGGAGGUGGCUUCUCGAAUGGGGGAUGCUCAGGGUAAUCAGCAAGUGAGGGGUUGGUGAGAACCACCAUGCCAAGCAACAGGACUAGCAAGUAUGUAGGAGACAUCUUUGGGUUUGGACUUAAGACAGUGGAAAACUGCGAGAAUUCUCUAGCCUUUUAUAGCGGGUCGACCCAGUACUCACAUGACACGUGUCAUUAUGACACAUGUGCCAUGGGGUCGAUUUGGGUCCUACAGUGUUGAAAAGUUGGGCAUUUGAGGUGUGAGCACAACUUUUGGCCUUUGCUUUCUCUACAGCCGCCAUGCUUUUCCCUUUUUUCCUUUUCCUUUUGUUUUCCUCCUGCCUCGUGUUCUCAACUAAACACAAUUAGGUUGUUUAAUUGUUAAAUGAGAUUUUUGUCUGUCAAUCAUAUUAUAUCCUAUCAAGAGAGAACAGAGUGUAAUGUAGUACACAUAACACGAGGCAGUAGUAAUUUUAUCAUUUAUUUUUAUAGCUUGGACCACCGCAUUUUUUCUUCUAAAAUAUUCUGUCUUGUUAAGAGACGCAAUAAUACACAAUUUUAUCUGCCAUUCAACAUUUACUGUAAAGUUCUUUUAUCUCUUUGUAGUUCUAGAAAAGUACAAAAUGGAACAUCAUGUAUAUGGUGCCUUCUGUCCUAAAAAAGAAACUGGACAAAUUAUGAACUGCAUGCUAAAAAGAGGCAAAGGAGCUUAAUUCGCAGCAUAAUUAUUUUGGUUUCUAGAGAGCCCGGGGCCUUUUGGUUGGUUUGGGGUCAGAAAAUGAACAUCAUAGGGAUUGUGCCCUUAACUGGCCUUGUUACUACAAAGAAAUUGCCAUAGAAAUUUAUUCCAGGCUGAGUAUCUCCGGAUAGACCCCAGAAAAGAAGAGUCAUAAUGAGAAUCAACCUUUGUUGAGUUUGAUUCCAUGCCUCCAUUGUGUUCAUUUCAUGAAUCUGAUUUGCAUUUAACAUUACAGUUUUGUUCUGGAAACAAUCAAAGGAGCAUCGUUUGCUUCUUGGGUGACCCAUAGUGGUGGGUGGGUCGAUUUGCUUAGUUGAAAAUUGGACAAUUGGCUCCAUCGCCUACCUCUUGGAUUCCAUGCUCGGAUAAAACGACAACAAAUAAAUAUUUAUAACUUACAACUGGGGAAAGGAAAAAAUAGUACUAAAUUCAUGGUACAUGAUAGUGAGAGAAGGGGGUGUUACACUCAGCUAAAGUUCUUUUCUAAAUAUUGCAUGGUGUUUAAUUUUAUGUGUCGGCGCGCGUGUGAAUGGAACCUGCAAAAGUCCAAAUUGGCGUUUCUCCAUUUUCCACAUAGGAUGGUGACGUUAAUAGACAAAGAUACAAUAUCUGUAGACAUUGCUUAAAAAUCGAUGUGAAGUAUUAGAAAUUACAGGCCACUGUACUGGGGGAGCGGCUGCCCCGCCAAAGGAAGAAUGUAGCAAUUUCUUCUGUUAGCCAGGCCUUAGGAUUUAUGCAUGGGAUGCCUAAUAACAAACAGAGAAAAUAUGCUUUUGGGGAAGGUAUCCAACAACAGACACCAUCAUUCAGAUGGUGGGAAGGUAUCCAACAGAUGCCAUCAUUCAGAUGGUAACAUAUAUAUACAUUUAUUAGUGAGUUUUUUUAAUACCUAUAAAAAAAAUAUACACUUUGAUAUUGUGGCUGAAUCCAUUACAUACUCAACUAACCUUGCUCAUUAGGGAUUUGACGUAACAAGGGCAACGUUGCAGUAAAAGCUCGAAACUUUAUGCAGGUGACAUUACAUUUGGUAAAGAAGAGGAAAAUAAGGAAAGCCAUCCAUAAAAGCAAAAUUCCUCAUGGGAUGAAAUUCACAAACUUCAUUUACGUUAGAGUCGCAUCCAGGCAAUUAAUUCCACAUUAGACCGCCUUUUGACAUGUGUACGGAUCUUUUUUCAAAAAUUAUUUAUAAAUAAUUGAUACUUACAAAAAUAAUUUAAGAUUUAUAAAGGAUAAAAAAAUAUUUUCAAAUCUAUGACAAUUUAUAAAAUAUUAAUAAAAAAUUAUCUCUUAAACUUAGUAUAGUUUUAUCGUAUUAAACUUUUAUUUUGAACAAAUAAUUUUAAUCUAAGUUUUAAAUUCUAAAAUUAUUUCCUUAAAAUAAAAUUUUAAAAUUCAACACUUCAAUUGAAAUUGUCUUUUAAAAAAAAUAUCUUCUUAUUUUAAUCCUUAUAAACUAUAGUUGAUUGAAAAUACUAUUGAAGUUCUCUCUUCAAAAAAAGUCUUAUUUUAAUCUUCAUAAAUUGCCCUUGAUUUGAAAAUAAACUUUGGGUUAUCAUAUUUUAAAUAAUAUAUAUAUAUAUAUAUAUAUAUAUAUAUAUAUAUAACAAAUACUCUAUUUUUUUUUUAAAUGAACUAAUUUUAAUUAUAUUUUAUUUUAUUUUUUUAUAUAUUUUUAAUGAUAAACCAAACAUAGAAAAUCAUUUUUCUAAAUAUUUUAAAAUUUCUAAGCAACCAAACAUAAUCUUCAAAAUAAAAGGAGAAUAAGGAGGGACAAGUGAGAAAUGGCGAUUAAAAAAAAGUGUACAAAAGCUCAAUUAAUUUUCUUCUAGUCUUUUAUAUAAAAAAGUAUUGGUAUGUAAAUUAAUAUUUGGAUUUUAAUAGUAUUUUAUUUGUCUUUCUCUAUCUCAUGUAAAAGAGAAUUUAAGAUAUUUCCUAAAGCAAAGCAUUAGUUAUCUGCAAUCAGUGGUGAUCAUGGUCCAUGUCAAUUUCGGACCCAUAUCUUAAAACCGUAUAAUUUGCGUUUCAACAUUACUGAUUUCUCAGAUGUUUCAUACUCCACAGAAGAGUAUUGUUAGUGAAAGCAUUUUGUAACUGUUACUCAUAGUGUUUUGACUCUGGCUCAACAACAUCAGCCAUUGACGGAUUUUCAUACAUGCAAAUCAAAUAGUCUUCUUCCUCCCUUAGGAAUUUCGGUUUAAAUGUUAUUAAGCAUACAUUUGGCUGACAAUUAUUAACCACUUCAUGAUAUGGUUUCUUACCCUUAAUCAAUGGUUUCUAAGUGAAUAUAUGCAGAAGGAAAUCUGAACUGUAGACAGCAGUAUUGAUAACUCUCAAUAUUCUUUAUAUAAGAGAAUAAACAACGUCAUAGUGAUCGUCGCCUACAAGAAAGGUACAUUUCCCAACAAGAUGUAGUGGUGACUGCUACAUGGACGCAAUUAACUCGUAGAAAAGGAUAAGACCAGUGCACGGCAGCUCUUAUUUUACAUGCUAAUUAUGCUAACCAAAGUCACUCAGUUGGGAUGGGAGGGAGAUGGAGGUUUGUGCGGUGGCUUGUGGGGCGGAGUUGGUGGCUUCUUUUCAGGAGCUUGUGGCUUUUUCGGAGCUGAAGGAGGCUCAAUCUUAUGAGGCGGCUUGUACGAGUCUUCUUUACUCUCGACAGGAGGGUGACCAGGGUUGUGACCAUAAUGUGGUGGCUUCUCUCCCUUAGGUGGCUUGCCAACUGGGGUUGGUGGCUUGUGUUCAGGAAGUUGUUUCUCUCCCUUGGGAGGUUUACCAAUUGGGGUUGGUGGCUUGUGUUCUAGGAGUGGUUUCUCUCCCUUGGGAGGUUUAGUGGGUGACUUGUGUUCUGGAGGUGGCUUCUCCACCGGAGACUUGUGUUCUGGAAUUGAUUAAAAAAAUUCUACCACUCUUUUAAGUAAUGGAAGAUUAUUAUCUCUGAUUGGCACCACAACAGCACAUGCUGCUAGAUCUUUCUAGACACUCCAUGCAAUGAAAGCACAAUGGAUCUUGUAACGAUAGAAACUAAGCCAUGCUACAGUACUAGAUGACGAGGUAAAACUAGUAGACAUGGGUGGUAGUUGAUUACUACUCAAAAAGUACUCUUUUAUAGUUUGAAACUAACUGUUUUAAACACUUUUGAGUAGUAGUUAAUAAAUUUUAACUCAAUUGGCACAUUAAGGAACCUAGCAAGGGUUACUAAUAAACUUUUGGCAAGUUUUGGUGUUUUUGGUAGUUAUUCGAUCAUUGAAACAAGCCAAGAAUGAGGGAGAAUUUUGUGAAGUCCAUGGCAAUGCAAGUUAAAGCUCAAAUACACGAAGAAUCCAAGCUUUGGAGCACUACAUAGCCCUUUGCCAAGCCAAUUAGAGAUGCAAGGAACAAAACCAAAGGAAGAAAUCCAACAACCAACAUUUUCGCAUGGUUGUGUGAAAUUUCGCACACCAUGCGAAACCACAAGAGGUAGCCAAAGAAUUUCACAUGGUAUGCGAAAUCUUCUCAUGCACCGACUCCGUUAGAUUUUUAUCUUCAGAUAUUUUGUGUAAUUUCCUAGUUUCUCCUUGUAACCAACCUAGAUAUUUUCUUUUAUAUCUUUUUUUAUAUUUUUUAGGUAACAUCAUAUAUAAGGGGAGAGACAUAAGGAGGAUAUGGAUGUUUUUCAUAGAACACUUGUAAAUUUUCAGUAGUAAGAAAUAUACAAAGCUUUUUGCUAUGCCUUACCUUCUCAUUUUGUUUUCACCUGUCUUUCUAGCCAAACAACCUCUAAGGAUGAUUUCUCAGGGGAUGAGUGGCUAGGUUUUACGUUUCUUGGAGUGAGGGAAGCUAGGUGAAGGACCUGAAUGCAAAGAUGAGAGUUUUCCUUGCUUUAAAUGAAAGUAGUUGUUAAACAUUAAUGGUUUUUAUUUUAAGGUUUAGCUUUAAAUCCCUUAAAAACACCUUGAAUGACCAAUACUUGGUAAGCUUUUCGGAUUCUAUGGAUGCUUAUUGCUAGAUCCAUGGAUGUCUAUUAGUUAUCAUUUACGAGCCUUUGGAAGGUGAUUCAAGGUGAGGGUCUUUAGUGUUUGAAGCCAUUAAUGGGAAGCAAUUACCAUUUUUUCAUGAAUCCUUUGGAUCAAAUCUUAAUUGCUAAAUAUAAAACCGAUUUGGGAAAUAACCAUCCUUUAUGUUAUUAUCCCCAACGCAAGGAGAAGAUCCGGAAUCUUCCCUUUUGUCUAAGGAACCCGAUCCUAGUGACCUAAAGCUCCAAGAGACCUUUUCUUUGUAGUUAACUUCAUUUAUUGUUUUUGCUUAACUUAAAAUCAAUCUUUGCAACCACAAUUCCAUUUUCUUUAAAAGCUAAUUUUUAUAAGGAAAAACACCAUUUUAUUUCCUUCACUAAGUCAACUGUACGAUGAAAACCCAUCCCUGUGGACGAUCCUAGAGCCAUUAUACUAUGUUAGCUAUGCUACCCUAGUGUGAGGUGAUUUAGGUUUUAUAAAUUUUGUUGAUAACACCCAUCUGAGCCAGAAUCAAAUGGCACAACUGAACCAGGGACGAAUCAAAUGGCGCCGCUAUCGAGGAUGGUGCCAAAGUACAUUGACAUGACUUUUGGUGAACACUUGUGAUCUUCAUCACAAGUUUGGUGAUUUUUCUAUUACUAAUUUUUUUCUUUGUUUUUAUUUUAGCUUAUCUUUUAUUUAGUUUUUAGCUAACCUUAACUUUUUCUUAGAAUUGUAUUUCUUCUAUUUUCUUUGUUUUUGUUUCAGUGAUCUUUAGUUGUGCAUGCCCUAUUGGAUAAGAAAUAUUGAGGGAAUACUUGUGAAGAUUGAAAAUCCUCGAGAAACUGAGUUGGAAGUGUGAUUGAACAUCAUGGAUGUUCCACCUGAAGACCAGAAUAGCCAACAUGGUUAAGAGGAUAAUUUCAAAGCAUACCGAUCCAUGAGGGACUGCAUGCAUCCACCUCGUAUGAGUGCACCGUCAUGCAUAGUGCCUCCCACUGAGCAACUAGUAAUCUGACCUCACAUUGUGCCACUCCUACCUACUUUCCAUGGGAUGGAGAGUGAGAAUCUCUACUCGCAUAUUAAGAAAUUCGAGGAGGUUUGUAAUACAUUCCAAGAAGGAGGAGCUUCAAUUGACUUGAUGAGGCUCAAGCUAUUUCCUUUCACUUUGAAGGAUAAGGCUAAGAUUUGGCUUAAUUCUUUAAGGCCAAGGAGUAUCCGAACUUGGACUAAUUUGCAAGCCGAUUUUCUUAAGAAGUUCUUCCUUACCCAUAGGACCAAUGGUUUGAAAAGGCAAAUUUCGAACUUCUCAGCUAAAGAGAAUGAGAAAUUCUAUGAGUGAUGGGAGAGGUACAUGGAAGCUAUUAAUGCUUGUCCUCACCAUGGCUUUGACACAUGGCUCUUAGUGAGUUAUUUUUACGAUGGUAUGUCUUCUUCAAUGAAGCAACUCCUAGAAACUAUGUGUGGAGGAUACUUCAUGAGUAAGAAUCCGAAGGAAGCCAUGGACUUUUUGAGUUAUGUGGCUGAAGUUUUAAGAGGAUGGGAUGAACCAAAUGCUAGAGAGGUGGAAAGAAUGAAGUCUCAACCUAAUGCUAAGGGUGGGAUGUAUGUUUUGAAUGAAGACAUUGACAUGAAAGCAAAGGUUGUAGCUAUGGCAAGGAGAUUGGAAGAGCUAGAAAUGAAGAAGGCACAAAAAGUGGAAGCCAUUUCUGAGACAUCAGUGCAAGCUAUGCCUUGUUCCAUUUGUCAACCUAAUGCUAAGGGUGGGAUGUAUGUUUUGAAUGAAGACAUUGACAUGAAAGCAAAGGUUGUAGCUAUGGCAAGGAGAUUGGAAGAGCUAGAAAUGAAGAAGGCACAAAAAGUGGAAGCCAUUUCUGAGACAUCAGUGCAAGCUAUGCCUUGUUCCAUUUGUCAAUCUUAUGAGUACCUAGUGGAGGAGUGUCCUACAAUUCCAGUAGUGAGAGAGAUGUCUGGUGAUCAAGCAAAUGUUAUUGAUCAAUUCAAGCCUAAUAAAAAUGCUUCAUAUGGCAACACCUACAAUUCAAAUUGGAUGAACCAUCCAAAUUUCUCUUGGAAACCAAAGCUACCUCAAUACACACAACCUGCUCAAGCACCUUAGCAAUCCUCGAAUCUUGAACAAGCUAUUGUGAACCUUAGUAAGGUUGUGGGAGAUUAAAAGUCCAUCAAUGCUCAACUGAAUCAGAGAAUUGACAGUGUAGAGAGUACAUUGAACAAAAGGAUGGAUGAGAUGCAAAAUGAUCUGUCUCAAAAGAUAGACAAUGUCCAAUAUGCAAUCUCAAGGCUUACCAACCUCAACACAGUGCAAGAGAAAGGAAAGUUUAUUUCUCAACCUCAUCAAAAUCCCAAGGGUAUCCAUGAAGUGGAGGCUCAAGAGAGAGAAUCUUCAAAGGUGAGGGAAGUCAAAGCAGUUAUCACCUUGAGGAGUGGUAAAGAGGUUGAUCAACCCACAUCCAAGCCAAAGCAUAAUGAAGAGAGUUUUGUAGAAAAAGAAAAGAGAGGAAAAUAAAGGAAAGAGAAUAGAGAAAAGUACAAAGAAAGAUGACCAUGAGUCUAGUGUGGAUGAAGAGCCCAAGAGGAUAGUGAUCAAGGAAAAUAUGAUGAAGAAACACAUGCCUCCACCUUUCCCCUAAGCUUUGCAUGACAAAAAAGGAACCAAUAAUACAUCGGAAAUUUUUGAAGUAUUGAGGCAAGUGAAGGUCAAUAUCCCUUUGCUAGAGAUGAUCAAACAAGUGCCGACAUAUGCAAAAUUCUUGAAGGACUUGUGCACUGUAAAGAGAGGGUUGAAUGUGAACAAGAAAGCUUUCUUGACCGAGCAAGUGAGUUCCAUCAUACAGUGCAAGUCUCCAGUGAAGUACAAAUAUCCGGGCUACCCUACCAUCUCAGUGAGUAUUGGAGGUACUUGUGUGGAAAAAGCUUUGUUGGACUUGGGAGCAAGUGUGAAUUUGCUACCCUACUCUGUCUAUAAGUAGUUGGGACUUGGAGAGUUGAAGUCAACAUCCAUCACCCUAUCUCUGGCAGAUAGAUCAGUGAAGAUUCCAAGAGAGAUGAUAGAAGAUGUCUUGGUUCAAGUUGACAAAUUCUACUAUCCAGUGGAUUUUGUUGUUCUUGAUACGGAUCCGAUUGUCAAAGGAACUAAUUAUGUUCCUAUCAUACGAAGACCCUUCCUAGCUACAUCAAAUGCAAUCAUCAAUUGUAGGAAUGGAGUCAUGAAACUCACGUUUGUCAACAUGACAUUAGAGCUCAACAUCUUCCAUUUGUACAAGAAGCAUAUCCAUUCAGAAGAAAAAGAAGGUCUAGAGGAAGUGUGCAUGAUUGACACUUUAGUGGAGGAGCAUUGUGAUCGACAAUGCAAGAAGAUUUAGUUGAGAGUUUUGGGGAUCUUGAUGAAGGGUUACUUGAACCCUCAGAUUUGCUUGCUACCCUACUCCAUUGGAGGAAGAGAGAAGAAAUUCUACCCUUAUUCAAUGAGGAGGAGACACAAAGAGCUGCUAAAGAUAAGCCCCCAAAGCUUAUUCUUAAGCCACUACCCACAGAGUUGAAGUAUGCAUACUUGGAAGAAGACAAGAAGUGCACUGUUGUUAUAUCUUUAGCUCUUACCAUUCAUCAGGAGGAUUGUCUACUUGAAGUCCUUAGAAGAAGUAAGAAGGUAAUAGGGUGGCAAAUUUCUGAUUUGAAAGGGAUCAGCCCUUUUGUCUGCACCCAUCAUAUUUACAUGGAGGAUGAAGCUAAGCCAAUUCAUCAACCUCAGAGAAGGUUGAACCCUCACAUGCAAGAAGUGGUGAGAGUUGAAGUUCUUAAGCUACUUUAGGCUGGUAUUAUUUACCCCAUAUCAGAUAGCCCAUGGGUGAGUCCUACUCAAGUUGUGCCAAAGAAGUCGGGGAUCACGGUGGUGCAAAAUGAUAAGGGAAAAGAUGUCUCUACAUGUCUCACUAUAGGUUGGAGGGUGCGUAUCAAUUACAGGAGGUUGAAUGUAGUGACAAGGAAUGACCAUUUCUCGUUGCCCUUUAUUGAUCAAGUGCUUGAGAGGGUCUCUGGGCAUCCUUUUUAUUGUUUCUUGGAUGGCUACUCGAGGUAAUUUAAGAUAGAAAUUGAUGUUGAAGACCAGGAGAAGACCAUUUUCACAUGCCCAUUUAGAACCUAUGCAUAUAGGAGAAUGUCUUUCGGCUUAUGCAAUGCACCCACAACUUUCCAAAGAUGCAUGUUAAGCAUUUUCAAUGAUAUGGUGGAGCAUAUUAUGGAAGUCUUUAUGGAUGAUAUCACCAUAUAUGGAAGUGCAUUUGAUGAAUGCUUGGUCAACUUAGAAGUUGUUCUGAACCGAUGCAUUGAGAAAGACUUAGUGCUUAAUUGGGAGAAGUGCCAUUUCAUGGUACACCAAGGGAUUGUCCUUGGGCACAUCAUCUCCAAGCAAAGCAUUGAAGUUGACAAAGCAAAGGUUGAACUCAUUGUUAAGUUGCCAUUCCCAACAAAUGUCAAAGGAGUAAGGCAAUUCCUUGGCCAUGCCGGGUUCUAUAGGAGGUUUAUCAAGGAUUUCUCUAAGCUUGCAAGGCCUCUUUGUGAAAUAUUGGUGAAGGAUGUUAAAUUCAUAUGGGAUGAUAGAUGCCAAAGGAGUUUUGAAGAAUUGAAGCUAUUUUUGACAACCUCACCAAUAGUGAGGGCUCCCAACUAGCAACUGCCCUUUGAGGUAAAGUGUGAUGUCAAUGACUUUGCUAUAGGAGCUGUUCUUGGGCAAAGAGAAGAUGGAAAACCUUAUGUGAUCUACUAUGCGAGCAAGACAUUGAAUGAGGUGCAAAGAAACUACAUAACCACCGAGAAAGAAUUGUUAGCUGUAGUUUUUGCCUUGGAUAAGUUUCGUGCUUACUUGGUGGGAUCCUUCAUCGUGGUUUUUAUUGAUCACUUUGCUUUGAAGUAUCUAUUGACUAAGCAAGAUGCUAAAGCAAAACUGAUUAGAUGGAUUUUCUUGCUUCAAGAGUUCAAUCUCCAGAUCAAAGACAAGAAAAAAAUGGAGAAUGUGGUAGUAGACCACAUUUCAAGGCUAGCUAUCGCACAUAAUUCCCAUGCUUUGCCCAUUAAUGACGAUUUUCUAGAGGGGUCUCUCAUGUUGGUGGAAGUUGUCCCUUGGUACGCUCACAUUGCUAACUACCUGGUCACAAGAGAAGUUCCAAGUGAGUGGAAAGCACAAGAUAAGAAGCACUUCUUUGCAAAAAUUCAUGCCUACUAUUGGGAAAAGCCAUUUCUAUUCAAGUAUUGUGCGGAUCAGAUAAUAAGGAAGUGAGUUCCUGAAGAAGAGCAACAGGGGAUCCUCAGUCAUUGCCAUAAAAAUGCAUGUGGAUGCCACUUUGCUUAUCAGAAGACAACCAUGAGGGUGCUGCAAUCGGGUUUCUGUUGGCCAUCACUUUUCAAAGAUGCCCACACCAUGUGCAAGAGUUGUGAUCGAUGCCAGAGGCUUGGGAAGUUAUCAUGUAGGAACAUGAUGCCUUUGAACCCCAUUUUAAUAGUUGAUCUUUUUUAUGUUUGGGGCAUUGACUUCAUGGGACUUUUCCCUAUAUCUUUUGGCUACUCUUACAUCUUGGUGGGAAUAGAUUAUGUUUCUAAGUGGGUUGAGGCAGUCCCAUGCAAACACAAUGACCAUAGAGUGGUUCUCAAGUUUCUUAAGGAGAACAUCUUCUCAAGAUUUGGGGUGCCCAAAGCCAUAAUUAGUGAUGGGGGUACUCAUUUUUGCAACAAGCCUUUUGAAACUCUCCUAGCCAAGUAUGGGGUGAAGCAUAAGGUAGCUACACCUUACCACCCUCAAACUAAUGGGCAAGUUGAGUUAGCAAACAAGGAGAUUAAAAACAUAUUGAUGAAGGUGGUGAACACAAACAGAAAAGAUUGGUCAGUCAAGCUCUUCGAUUCACUAUGGUCAUGUAGAACAGCUUACAAGACCAUUAUCGGGAUGUCUCUUUAUCACCUAGUCUAUGGAAAAAAUGCCAUCUCCUUGUGAAAUUGGAAUACAAAGCUUGGUGGUCAAUCAAGAAGCUCAACAUGGAUUUGAGCAGAGCUGGGUUGAAGAGGUUCUUAGACCACAAUGAGAUGGAGGAAUUGAGAAAUGAUGCCUACAUCAAUUCAAAAAUUGUAAAAGAAAAAUUGAAGAGGUGGCAUGAUCAGUUGAUUUCCCGCAAGAAUUUUCAAAAUGGAUAAAGAGUCUUGCUCUAUGACUCUAAACUCCACAUCUUUCCGAGCAAGCUGAAAUCAAGGUGGAUAGGUCCUUUUACCAUUCACCAAGUGCAUUCAAAUAGAGUAGUGGAACUACUCAACUCCAACAACAUCGGGAGCUUCAAAGUGAAUGACCAUUGUCUCAAGCCCUUUGUAGAGUCUUUUUUCUCGCGACAAGGAGGAAUUCAUCCUCCUUGAUCCACAUCAAGCUUGACAAGACCAGUUUUUUUUUAUGGACUUAGUCUUUCUAAAGACUAUCGAGUCCAUAACUUUUUAUUUUAUUUUUUAUUUGAGAGUUUUUCGGUAUUAUUACUUGUUUUGUUUUUUAUUUUUCGUUUUACUUUUAUUUGGUUUGAUUUAACUUAGAUUUUUUAUGAUCAAUUGCAGGGGGGAUUUCAAAUAGAGGAAAAACCAAGAUAAUUCGCACACCCUGCGAAAAUUUCGCAAGGCAUGCGAAAUUUAUGGCUCAUUUCGCAUGGGAUGCGAAAUUUCGCACACCCUACGAACCAAUUUCGCACACUUUGUGAAAAUAAACCAACCCUACGAAAUCAUUUCAAAUACUCUACGAAAUUUUCGCAGAGCAUGUAAAAAAUUUCGCAGACCAAACACCAUUUCGCAUACUAUGCGAAAAUGUAAGGGGUCUACAAAACCAUUUCGCACCUCCAAAGCCAUUUCGCACAUUGUGCAAAAAUGAAAAGUCGCCCUAUCAUCCAUUUUUAAACCCCUUGAGCCCUGAAAUCCCCAUUUCGCAAGCACCCCUGUCCUUGCGAAUCCCUCAUUUUCCUCUGCCACCUUGCGACCUUGUCCCUCUCCAUUUGAUAUCGUGCCCUGCGCACAUCUCAUUUCAAAGACUCGCACUCUGCGCCCUCUCAAAGCACGAACCCAAGGCUCACAUUCCAUUUCCGACAUGGCACAGACCCGAGGAGCCCUUCCCGCCCCUUCAUCGAGACGCACACCAAGGUAGAGAGCCUCUUUUGCUCAGAUGCCAAGUGAUUCUCCAUUUCAGGCCACGGAGGCCCUGCGGAUUCCACAUUCCAAGGGUAGAACAGCCACUGGUCCUUCCUCUUCUAUUCCUCAGCGUAGAUAUGAGACGAGGAGACCACCUACUACACAAAGGGCGACUACUUCGCGCCAUGAGAAUUCGGUACGACACCCUCCUGCCAAGAGGGCCAGGACUUCAGGCCCAGGCGAGUCAUCCAAAGCUUCACAGCCUGAGCCUCCUGCAGAUUCCGAGGUUCCUACUGACAUAUCAUCGGAGUCUAUUAUCAAACGCCCGAUGCUCACAGCACCGCCCAUUGAGGGCAACUCUGAUUGUAGAGCGAGACCUUUCCACUUGGAGCUAUAUUUUAAUUAAGAGGCCAUGCCACAGCAGCCUGAGCUCCAAGACUCUUAUGGCUUACUACAGAGGUACCAUCUUGAGGACCUUAUGACUCCUCGUGAGUUCUUUUAUCCCAGAGUAGCACUAGACUUUUACCAGUCCAUGACUACUCGUGGCGUCCCGAGUCCUACCGCGAUGCACUUCACCAUUAAUGGACGUCAUGGUAUCCUCGAGGCCAGACAUAUUGGAGAGGCUCUACAGAUUCCUUUCGAGCUAGAGGACCCAUCUGUUUUCUGCCAAUGGUCCCCAAUAUCUCAGAGGGACAUGGUCCAUAUUUUAUCCAGGGGGACAUCUACAUAUUCGAUCCUUCUACGGAAGGAGCUUCGACCUGGGAUACUCCUCGUAGAUGUGGUGCUACUUUCCAACCUCUUUCCCUUUUAGCAUUCGAUACAUAGGCGAGGAGCUAUUUUGGACGCUUUAUUCUGUAUAUCAGAGGGCUUCUACUUUGGCCCGCACCACUUGAUCAUGGUUUCCCUCAUCCAUUUUGAGGAGAAGGUCCAUAGAAAGAAGCUUCAGAGGGCGAACACCAUUCCAUUACUAUUCCCGAGGUUGCUCUACUAGAUCUUGGAGUACAUGGGCUUUCCUACUGAGCCUCGGCUUGUGUGCCGCCGCCUUUGUCAAGAGCGAUCCACUCUCGACAAAUGGAAUCAGUUGGCGGGCUAUUCUACACCUCCAGGAGCCCCUCCCAUGGUAGCACCUCUAGUGUCCCCACAGGCAGAGUAGGGCAAGCUCCCGGUAGAGACUGCACCCCUAGUGCCCACACCUGAGGCUACUUCUGCUGUUCCGCCUACGACUCCUACUGUUCCACCAGUUGGUCCUUUUACAUCUGAGUCUUCCAUCAACAUCUCGACUUCGGAGUUUCGCGCCCUUGUGCAUACCUUUCAGACACUCACCACCACACAUACUGCUCUCUUCUAGAAAAUGGCUGAGAUGCGUGCCCAUCAGGACCAGCAGACUACUAUACUCCGCCAAAUUCAACAGCACCUGGGACUUCUGCCUCUGCCUCAGCUUGACCUUCCCACAUCAUCAGAGCCUCUAGCUCCAGUUGAGGAUACUAUUCCACCUGAGGACACUACCACAGUAGAGGUUCAGAUUCCACCACCUCAGGAGGCCACCACAGCUACAUUAGAGGAUGCAUCAUCUCCACCUGAGGCUCCCACUACUUGAUCAUAGGACAUCUCUUUAUCUUAUUGUAUUUACAUAUUAUAUUACUGGAGAUUUGUCUUUGUUUUGAUACUUUAUAUUCUGGCAUUGAAUGUAUUGCCUAAUGAUAUCUCAAUUGUACUUUCUCAUAUUAAUAUAUAGACAUCAAUUUUUUUUAGUAUACUUAGGAUUUUUCUAUUUACUCUACUCAUUACUCUUUUGUUUUUUUUUUUUUACUCAUGUGGUUUCUCCUAUACGACUCAGACUCCAUUUCACUCAGGAGGUACCACUUCUUCCCUUUAUUUUCAAUUGCUCUUGAAACAUUGAGGGCAAUGUUGAUCUUGGUUGGAGGGAGAGUUGAGGAAGGAAGUGAUUACUACUCAAAAAGUGCUAUUUCAUAGCUUGUAAUUAACUCUUUUAAAACACUUUUGAGUAGUAGUUAUCACCUUUUAACCCAAUUAACAUAUUAAGGACCCUUGCAAUCAAUUCUAAUCAAAUUGUGUUAAGUUUUGGUAUUUUGAUAGCUUUUUUAUCACCAAAGCAAUCCGAGAUUGAGGAUAUUUAUUUGGAAUCCAUGGCAAAAGAUGUUUGGACAGGACGUCCGGACACACCAUCGGAGGGCGGCGGAACGUGGGCUGUGGCAGGCUGUCGGAAUGACGUAGCAAGGCUUGUGCACUUUAGCCAAUGAUCGGGAUAACAUAUCCGAAAUUCUGCUCCGCCGACAUUCCACCCGGAUGUCUCACAUCCGGAAUUCUGCUCCGCCGACAUUACACCCAGAUGUCUCACAUCCAAAAUUCUUCUCCGUCGACAUUCCAUCCGAAUAUUUCACAUCCGACGCUUGACGCCGGAUGGGAGAGGAGGGCGUUUCAACUUCCCCGGUCAGACAUAUCCGAAUCCUUUGAUAACGCUUACCCGGAGAGUUUCGCAGCCAUUUUGCACAGUGCCGCGGUGUUCUCUUGAAGCUUCCCGAUAUGUGCGACCGACAUUUUGAGAUAUUUUGCUUUAGAUAUUUGAUGUCUAAAUCCCCAAACUCUCCUUGUAACCCACCAAUUAUAGGAUUCCUUAGUUAUUAAGUUUGGAAAAAUGGUGAAUAACCCCUUAUAUAUAGUUUGCAAUUUUCAUAAAAAAGAUAUGUAGAAUCUCGGGAGCUUGUUCCCAGAGAGACGCAUCCUUUGUACAGUUUUGGAAGGAAGUAAAAUACAGAGCACUUGCUCUGCUUUUCAUAUAUAUUUUUGUUUUCUCGUUCUUUUUAUUUCUAGCCAAUCAAAGUCUGAGGAUUUUUCCUCAGAGGAUGAGAGGCUAGGCUCUUCGUCUCUUGGAGUGAAGAAAACUAGGUAAGUUUCCACAUGCAUAAAUUGAAAGUUUUGUUGUUUUAGUUUUUAAUGAAGAGAAAGUGUGACCCGUUAAUGGUUUUUAUCUUUUUAGUUAACUUAAAACGCCUUUAAAUCACCCGGGCCAACACUUGAUAAGGCAAGUGGUCUCCAUCCAUUGAGAUGCACUAGUUUAUCUCUUGCGAGCCUUUGGGAGGUGGUUUGAAGGUAGGAUUUUCUAGAAUAACCAACACUUGAUAAGCUUUUGGACUCUAAGGAGACAUCCAUUAGUUAUCUCUUGCGAGCUUUUGACGGGUAAUCCAAGGUUAAAGAUCACCUUGAAUGGCAAGUACUAGGUGAGAGGUAUGAGCCAUUGCAAGAUGCAUUAGUGAGAGGGAUUUAGUGUUUGAACCCAUUAAAGGGAAGCAUCUGUACCACACCGGUUCGGGAAAUAACUAUAUGUUAAAUCCCCAAUGAGAGGAAAAGAAACAAGUGACCGGAACUCCCUUUUUGUAUAAGGAACCUGAGCCUAGUGAUCUAAACUCCAAGAAACACUUUUCUUUGUAAGUAAAAUCAGUUACUAUUUUUGGUUAGUUUAAAACCAAACCUUUUUCAUUCAAACAUCUUUAUGUUUUCUUUUAAAGCUAACCUUGAAAUGAAAAGGCACCAAUUCAUAUUUGAAUUAAUAUCAAUUGUGAAGUGAAAACCCAUCCCAGUGAACGAUCCUAGAGCCACUAUGCUAUAGUAGCUUUGUCUUUGCUACCCUAGUUCAUGGUUUAAUAGGUUAUAAAUUUUGUUGAUUACUCCCACAAUCAAAGGAGCACCAGUUGGACAUGAAUCAACUGAGACACUAAUUGGGCACAAAUCAGGAAGUUUUGUUAAUAAUGCUAGGUUAAUUUGUUAAUUUAGUUACUUUCUGCUUAAUUUUAAAAGUUUUCACUUUACUUUCCAUAGUUAUUAAGGAAAAAUUCUCAAAAUGAAAUGGGAGAAAUUGAAUUCUUACAUUUUUACUUGAAUUUUAGAAUUUGUAUUAUGCUUAUUGAAGCUGAUGAAUUAUUGAAACUCCUAUUGAAUUCAACCUUAUUUCUUCCACUUUAAUCUUACCACACACGGUGCACAUUAGGUUCCGAUUAUAAGAGGUGCGUUCUUAGCCUAUUGGAGGUUGGUCAAUUUGUUAAAGUUUGAGAAAGAUCUAGGUUAGGGGAGAGAGAAUAGUCUGACAUACUAUAAUCGAAAACUAAUAAACUUAACACUUAGAUCUUUGUGGAAGAGUAAGGAUUGGACCUUUGGGAGUGGAAAUUCGUUUGAUGCUUAAAUUUGCAUAAUGCUUACACUUUAUAAAUUGUGAUUAGGCAAGAGAUUUGAUGACUCUUGUUCAAGGUUGGGUUUUGCCUCUUUGAUGUUCCAUGAGAGAGUAUAAUCCUCAUCAUGCCACUUGAAAUUUUUUUUGGAGUGAUUAACAUGAUUUUGUAAAUUACUUUACUGUCUAUUUUUUUUUUAUCUCUCCUUCAUUGCUAAUGGACUAGCAAUAUGUCAGUUGAGGGGAGUGAUUACUACUCAAAAAGUACUCUUUUAUAGCUUGAAACUAACUGUUUUGAACACUUUUGAGUAGUAGUUAAUACCUUUUAACUCAAUUGGCACAUUAAAGAACCUAGCAAGGGUUACUAAUUAGUUUUUGGCAAGUUUUGGUGUUUUUGGUAGCUAUUUGAUCAUUGAAACAAGCCAAGAAUGAGGGAGAAUUUUGUGAAGUCCAUGGCAAUGCAAGUUAAAGCUCAAAUACAUGAAGAAUCCAAGCUUUGGAGCACUUCAUAGCCCUUUCCAAAGCCAAUCAGAGAUGCAAGGAAGAAAACCAGAGGAAGAAAUCCAACAAUUAGCAUUUUCGCAUGGCUGUGCGAAAUUUCGCACACCAUGCGAAACCACAAGAGGCAGCCAAAGAAUUUUGCACACUAUGCGAAAUUUCGCAUGGUAUGCAAAAUCUUCUUGUGCACCAACUCCGUUAUAUUUUUAUCUCAAAUAUUUUGUGUAAUUUCCUAGUUUCUCCUUGUAACCAACCUAGAUAUUUUCUUUUAUAUAUUUUUUAGGUAACAUCAUCUAUAGGGGGAGAGACAUAAGGAGGAUAUGGAUGUUUUUCAUAGAACACUUGUAAAUUUCCGGUAGUAAGAAAUAUACAGAGCUUUUUGCUCUACCUUACCUUCUCAUUUUGUUUUCACUUGUCUUUCUAGCCAAACAACCUCUGAGGAUGAUUUCUUAGGGAAUGAGUGGCUAGGUUUUACGUUUCUUGGAGUGAGGGAAGCUAGGUGAAAGACCCGAAUGCUAAGGUGGGAGUUGUCCUUGCUUUAAAUGAAAGUAGUUGUUAAACAUUAAUGGUUUUUAUUUUAAGGUUUAGCUUUAAAUCCCUUAAAAACAUCUUGAAUGGUCAAUACUUGGUAGGCUUUUUGGAUUCUAUGGAUGCUUAUUGCUAGAUCCCUGGAUGUCUAUUAGUUAUCAUUUAUGAGCCAUUGGAAGGUGGUUCAAGAUGAGGGUCUUUAAUGUUUGAAGCCAUUAAUAGGAAACAAUUACCAUUCUUUCAUGAAUCCUUUGGAUCAAAUCUUAAUUGCUAAAUAUAAAACUAGUUCGGGAGAUAACCAUCCUUUAUGUUAUUAUGCCCAACGCGAGGAGAAGAUUCGGAAUCUUCCCCUUUGUCUAAGGAACCCGAUCCUAGUGACCUAAAGCUCUAAGAGACCUUUUCUUUAUAGUUAACUUCACUUAUUGUUUUUUCUUAACUUAAAAUCAAUCUUUGCAACCACAAUUCCAUUUUCUUUGAAAGCUAAUUUUCAUAAGGAAAAUCACCAUUUUAUUUUCUUCCCUAAGUCAACUGUACGAUGAAAACCCAUUCCCAUGGACGAUCCUAGAGCCACUAUACUAUGUUAGCUAUGCUACCCUAAUGUGAGGUGAUUUAGGUUUUAUAAAUUUUGUUGAUAACACCUGUUUGAGCCAGAAUCAAAUGGCGCAACUGAACCAGGGACGAAUCAACAACUUAUAUGGGAGGGACACAAGUUUAAUUGAUUUGCAUUUCAACGUUAUAUAUAGGUAUGUUUUGGAAGAUUUGUUCUGGAAAUACUGCACCAAGUACGAUUCUUUUUGUCUUGAGUGGGUCUACUUGCAUGCCAAUUAACGAGUGGAAAAGUAGGAGCACCUACCUCAUGCUCGCGGAACCGAAGGUCAGUGAAGUGGGGCUCCUUUUGGCCUCUUGUGUUUCUAUUCCAACCAAGGCGGCGUAAGGAAAAACAACAAUAUGUUUGUGCUAAAUAUCAACGCAUGAUAGAUGUUUUUGUUUUUUGGUAUGUCAAGGCUAAUGAAUGAAAUGCUUUAGCUUGUUUUGUGACUGGAACUGCAAAUGUCCAAAUUGGAGUAUCUCCAUUUCUCACUUCGGAUGGUUAACUUAUAAACAAGAUAUAGGAAACAUGUGAACAUCUUGAGGAACAAUUUGAAUUAUUCAUUAGAAGUCCUGGGUUGAGUUCCAAGAUUUAAAUUAGACCCCUCUAGCAGCUUCAGGGGUACCUAGCAACCUAUAGCAUAUUAAUGAAGAUUUAGGAUUUAGACUCUAGAAUACAAAUUAAUAUGUAUCUCAUGCUUUGACUAGCUUCCCUACAUAUGCACAAAAUGGAGAUGACCUAAAAAAAUAGCAGAAUCUAGCUUCCCUACAUAUGCACAAAAUGGAGAUGACCCAAAAAAUAGCAGAAUUUCCUUAGUUUCUGUGGUUAAGGUGAUUCUCCGCUUAAUAUCACAUUGACUCAUUAUGCAAAAUCAACUGAGCUAAUUUUGUUUAUUUAUUUAAUGUCAAAUAGGAACUCCUAAUUAACCUAACCCUUGGCCUGUGUAAAUUGAUUUCACAUGCCCAAUGUUGAAGUAGAAGUCCAUAUUUUGAAUUUUAUUUUUGUAAAGGUAAGGAAAAUGAAGCAUUGUGUAAUUAUAAAAAUAACUUCAUUGGAAUUCACAAGGUUCACCCAAAAUGGAGCUACAUCCGUAUUCUAUCCUGCAGUAGACUAUAUAGAUUGUACAAUAGUAAAUUGCAAAUACAAUUAAUAAGUCUUGUGCUUCCUUACUAAUAAUCCUUUGACAUGAACAUUGCAGCACUAAGGUCCUCUUGGGAAGACACCUUGCACCCAUGAGAGCACGAAGAGGAAGCAAGGCAGAGUCAUGGGUGCAAUGUCAUGACUUGUUGUUGCACCAAGAGAGGCUUGGUGAUGGCAUGGUGUUGCAGUAGCAAGAAUGUUGCCUUGGUAGGGACAUAAUCUAGGGAUAGAUGCCAAGAAAGGCUUAGCACUCACAUGAGUUGCACAAAGAUGAAUGUAAUAGAGCAUCAGAGAGACGUCUUGGCAAGUAAAUGAAUGGAUCCAAGAGGCAACAACAUGAGGAGUUUCAAAUGGAUAAGGAAUGAGUCAAAGACAUUUGAAAGCUACAAGUUGGAUUCUAAUUACGAUUGCAAUUUGAGUUUGAGUAGGAGUUUAGAUUCUGAUUGUAAUUGUAGUAUGAGUUGGACUAGGAUUGCUUAUCCCUAGUCAAAAUAGGAGUGGUUCGUGUCACACCCUAUGAAAAGAGUUUGAGUAGGGACUAGGAUUGCUUACUCCUAGUCAAAUAUGGAGUAGGUGGUGCCACACCUAUAAAAAAAAAGGGACAACAUGAGAGAGAGAGAGAGAGAGAGAGAGAGAGAGAGAGAGAGAGAGAGAGAGAGAAAGAGAUAAUGAAUUCACUAAAGAUAUUGUGGGAGUUUUUCUUUGUUACGUCUUGUAUUAUUACUUAGAAUAGGAAUAAAAUACAAGUUUGGGCUAGAGCCCCAUAAUUAAUCUCGUGUGCCUUUGUGGUUAUUCUUUAUUUGUCAUCUCGUGUGGAUUGGAUUACAUUGACUUAGAGGGCUUCUAAGCACCACCUUUGUGGGUUAUUAUUUAUUUUCCAUUUCUUGUGGAUUAGAUUAGGUUGACUUUGAGGGCUUUUAAGCACCACCUUUGUGGGUUAUUCUUUAUUUUCCAUAUCGUGGGGAUUGGAUUAGGUUGACGAUGAGAAAAAUUAUGUGGGAAAUUUGUGUUGGGACACUUAUCAUAACCAGGUAAAAUCUGCCAAGUCCUUUGUAAUAUCUUCAACAAAUAUUUCAGACUAGUUCUUCACCAUAAACAUCAUAUUGUGUUUUGUUUUUCUCCUGGAUUCUGAGUUGAAUUGUUUCAAGUCAAUUGAAUGCAUCUGAAUAUUAUUAGCUUGUUUGAAGGCCUGGUGAUUUUCCAUUUAACUUUACUUUCUUUAGGUUAUGCUCACUAUAAGAAAAAUGAGAAAUAAUGACGCUUUUUACGCGUUAAGAAAGGCAACAGAUGAUGCUUCUCUAAAGCGUCCUCUUCGGCUCUGUCAUUAUAUGUGUUAGCCAAUAAUGACGCUUCUAGGAAGUGCCAUCUUUGAAUAAUGUUAAUAACGACACUCGUAAAAAGUGUCAUCUUUAAACAUAUUCUGGUCAAAUAAUUUUUACAAAAUUAGUAAUCUUCAAGCCGUUUCUGAAUCAUAUCUGAGCCUAUUUCUGGGGACCAGAAAACCAUCUUUUUUCCAUUCGCCUGAGAGGUCUGAUUAGCAUUUCUGGAAUCAAUCUCUAAACCCAAGCUUCCCUCAUCUACCCAUUUAACCCUCAUGCCCUCCUGUUUGAACAACUUUCCCACUAUAUACACAAAUUUUUUACCUUCUGUUGUUGGUAUUCGACCUCUUCCCAUUCCCAGCACAGAAUCCACCAUUAGUGCCACUUUGUGAAUAAAAUCAUCGAACCAGAUCUUUCGGGCGGAAGAUGAGCUCCAGAGAAAUAAAAUUUUUGGGGUCUUCCCAGCAUGAAAGUCAUAGGUAGCAUUAAUGACAUCAAGAAAUGGGGCACUGUUGAGAAAAAACAUGUUCCCAUCAACCACCCAAGAAUUGUACCAGACUCCAAACACUUCUGGAUUACAUAUGCCUUUACUAAGAUAUAUUUCUUGAUCUCCAUAUCAGAAUCUUGGAGACUCUUCAUUUUAUGAGCUCUGACACUACUGUGAAAUUGGUCCACAUCAAUCACAGGAUGACCCCUUCUAGCAAGAUCAAGCAGGAAGUCUGAAUUCGGGCCCAUAAAAAUGUAGUUCUGAAUAUUGAAACUCUCAAAGUGGCACAACAAAUUCCUUAUGACUCUUUCAGAUGCUCCAAACAGGCUCACAAGUAUAAUGGUAUCCUGUUUUUGCACAGAGUAAAGAAAAUAUCCGAGUUCUUCAAAACUCCUUACAACUAUUCCAGGAUGUACUUCUUUGAAACAGAAAUCGUACCACUUUAGCUUAGUCAGAGGUUGAAUCUAAAAUAACAAAACCCAAACUGAAAUCAAAAUCGAAAUCAACCCUAAUAGAUUUCAGAAACAACAAAUUAAAAGAGUAAAGCACAAAAGGGGGAAAACACAUAUGAAGCAAUCUCCAUACAAGCCCUAACCUUAGAUAAACCCAAAAAAAAAAAUCAAAGCAGAGAGUUACCAUAGAGCAUCUCUGUUUCAAGCUUAGAAAAUGUUUAAUGCCAUUGAUAACUAGUUGGCUAGUGGUGGACUUCAAGCUUCUCUAUUUCGGUGUUAGUAGCUCUCAAUGGCUAUGGUGAGAACAAAGAAAUGAGAGGCUUAGGGUUUGGGAUGUGAGGUUAUUGAUGAUGAUGAGGAUAAAGUUAUGGGCUCUUGGAGGGGUUAGGGAAAUUGAAGAUGGCUGAGAGUAAAGGCUAGGGUUUUUGAGAUAGUUAAUAGCUUUUUAGGGUGUGACUGUCCAUAGAUAGAAGAUAAAUGAGGGUGUGAGAAUUUAUAGAUCUCUAGGUGAUAUGGCGGGUGUGAGAAUGAAAUUUUAGAGGGAAUUGUGUGUUUGGUAGAAAUUUCACACAUGCAUAUAUAAUGUUUCAGAACAUGGCACUUUAAAAAUACGACAAGGAAGAAAUUAUUUAUUGACGCUUAAAUAAAGCGCCAAGGUCUCCAACAUUUUUGCAAUCAAUGACGUUUGUAAAAGGUGCCAUUGAAUAGGAGUGCCAUUGCUUUCCCACAAAGCAUCAUUGUUAAUCAAGCCUUUAAAAAACGCCAAGAUAUGUUGCCACUUAGGUUAAAUAUUGACGCUUUUAAAAAACGCCAAGGAAAAAAACGUCAUUAUUCAUGUUUUUUGUAGUAGUGGCUUGAUUCCUAAAAAGUAAAGGAAAGCAAAAAGUAAAAAAAUAAAAAUGUGGAGAGUUAGGACAUGCGUUAUCUAAUUGUCCUAGUCCCAAAUAUAUUAAGAAAGUCAUGUAGGUUACUUGGAGUAACGAGUCAAGUAAAGCAAGCCUUCUAGUGUUUAAGACAUUAGAUAUUACCGAACUGAUUAUGUCAUUAAUGUAUUGCAUUUGUUGUUUCUAAUAUAUAGAAGAAGAUGAAAUUAUUGGAAUAAGUGGGAAAUAGGAAUAAAUCCAAGGUACCAAAAAGUCACUUUAUCUUAGAUGUUGUUGGAAACAUAAGUGAUUUCACAAUAACGACUAUGAGACAAUCAAGGAUUAAUAAGAUAGACUUUAUAUGAUAUACCUCCCAAUUAGAGCCUAAAAAUAUGGAUGAAGCACUUAGAGAUGAAUCUUCAAUUUUUGUACUAUAGGAAGAAUUAAAUCAAUUUGUUAGCUAUUCUUUGGAUAUUUGAUUCAUCACAAGCUACAAAUCACUUUUGAUGACCAAACACGAAACUAAGAGGAUUGGGCCCAAUUCGAUGCCUAUCAACAAUGAUUUGUAUUCCACCUCAUUAAUUAUUCAAAGUUGGGAAGCUAGGUCUAACCACUUUCUCUACCUGUUCACCCUUAGAGGAGCAGAAGAAAAUUCUAACUUUGGUGCCUAAUGCCUUUGACAAUCUUUCGACAAAGAGAGUUCACUAAUUACUUUGAUUAUUUCUCUGUUGGUCACUGGGGGACAAGACUUUUGUAAUGAAGUCAACUAGAACUUGCCCUUUGAGGGCCAUUCAUGGACGAUAUUACACCAUGAAUUCCCUUAGGUCAUGUUUGGUAUGUGAGAAUGAGGAGUGGAAUGGACAUCUUAUUCAUUUUUUCAUCUAUUCAAAUGUUGGGAUAACUCAAGUGACCAUGAGAAUGAAAUCAAGAAUGAUUCAAGGGAAAUGAAAUCUUACUUAUAAGUGUGAUUUCAAUUAAUCUCUAAUAGAAAUUAUUUUGAAUCAAUAGUGCAAGUUAUUUUUAAAAACAUUUUUCCAAAAUUAAAAAAAUCAAUUUUUUUUUUUUCGAUAAGUUGUUUUUAAAAGGAUUUUUUUUAUUUUGUAAAAAGAAAAUUGUAAUUCAAUUUAUAUAAUAUAAACUAAAUUUUAUUUUAUUCAAAAAGAAAUAAUUUUUUAAUUAUAAAUAAAUUAAAAAUAAAUACUUUUAAUAAAAUAUAAAUAGUAUUAUUAUAAUAAAAUCAUAAAUAAAUUUAAUUUUUUUUAUAAAUAUUAUAAAAAUAUGGAUAUUAACAUUGGAUAAUUGAUUUAUUUUGUUAAAAUAAAAAAUAAUAAUUUUUAAUAUUAUUUUAUGUUAAAUGAAUUUUAAAAUAAAGAAAGUUUAAUUAUUUUAAGGUAUAGAAGAGCCAAAUUUUGCAUUACAUACAUAACAAACAAUAUUUAUUAGAAACAUUUCUCAAGGAGAAUCUUAUUCCAUCUCACAAAGAUACUCGUUUAUUCGAUGUUUGACCAUCCGUAACAAUCAUGUCAAUUCUACUGAUUUAAUAAUUCCUUUACAUUUAUUACUCACUUAUGAACAUGGUAUUGUGAUUUAUUUAUUUAUUUGAUGUAUAAUUAAUUAAUCAAUUUUUUAAAUUUCAAAUUAUUUUUAAAAACUAUUCAUUAAGGAAUUUAAAGCAUUAAUUAUGUCUAUUAUUUUUUAUAGUCAUUAUAUAUAUAUUGAGUUUUAAUUUAUUUUUAAAAAUUAUUAAACUUAUUAAUAAAUUCAAUAUAAAGUCUCGUUUCAUUUGAAAUUCAUUUCUUUAGUGAAAAUUUUGAAAAAAAAAUUGUUAUUUAUUUUACUUUGUUUUAAAAAAAUUGUUUCUAGAGAACAAUAAUCAAAUAAUGGUAUGAAUUUUUAAAAACAAUUUUGUUUUUAAAUCAUAUGCCCAAAUAAUUUUUUUUUAUUUAGCAAAAAACUUUGUUGUAGUAUGUGGCUCAUAUUGAGGGAAAGACAUAUAUGGAGAAAAAUGUGCAAAUGUUGGAGUGGAGCGGAGUGGAAUGACGACAUUUGUCAUUCAAACUUGUAUUUUUAUUGUUAAGGGUGACCGAUAGGUUGGUACGGUUUAGGGGUAUUUUUGGAAUUUCAUUACCUGAGGGUUAGUAUAAAUACCAUUUUAUGUAACCCUAAUUUUACAUAUAAUGUAAGUUUUCUUCCUUGUUCUUGUGGACAUAGGCAAUCCGUCGAACCACGUUAAAUCUGUGUGUUUUUUUUUCUUUUUUCUUUUUCUCUAAUUUCUUCACCAGGAAUCGUUACACUAAGAUCAACAAACUCUCAAAGAUGAUUUUUAAAAUGAAAAAAAUAAUGUAUAGUGUGAGAAUUUUUUAUUUUUUAUUUUUUUAAAAUGAAAAUAAAAAAUUGCUUUAAGGUAAAAGUGUGGAUAUUAUUGUUAAUUUAUUUCAUUUUUCAUUUUCAUUUCCAUUGUUACCUACAAUUGAAAUGGAAACAACUAAUCAUUACAACCUUACAUUCUUAUAUGCAUCCAAAUACAAAAAUUGAAAUCACCAAAUUCAUAUUCAAGGCAAAAUAGGAAUGAAAACAAAUAUUCAUUCUCAUUCUUUAUUCCCACGUGUCAAACAUGACCUCAAAGUUAUAAACAUGAACAAGAAGUCCUUGAAACACCAAUGAUCUCUUCUGGUAUAUAUAUGAGCUUGAUUGACAACUGUUUUAAAUACAGUUUUUUUUUUUUUUGUUUUCAAAAUCAAAACAAAUUUAUUUUUAUUUUUUAUAAAUAGUAGUUUUUUAAUAUUUUUUUUAAACCUUAUUAUGAAAAUAGGAUGUUUUCUAAUAUCAUAUUUUAAUUAUUUUCAAUUAUUUUCCCUUCUUUUAAGGAGGGCUAUUUUAAAAAUAUGAAAAAUGAUACAAAAUAAAGCAUUACAAAUAAAAAUCAUUUUUAAGAAAUAUAUGAAAAUAAUUUGAGAACAUUUGAAGUUCCUUAAUUAAACUUUUGUUCUAGAAAAUGCAAGAAAACUGUUUUUGAAAAUUGUUUUCAUAAUGAUAUGCAUUGAUCGUUUAAAAUUUAAUUACAUGAUAAAAAGACCUAUGUAAAAACCAGAGUUAUAUAAUCAGUCAUAGAUCAAAUCUACUAAAUAUGAAAAGUAAGUACAUAGUUGUAUAUGACUUAGAUGGAGCCUUCUCCGAAUGACAUUCUUUAGUCGGUACUCAUAUUUUUUUGUUUCGUGUCUUCAACAUAACACCUCAUGAUCCUUAAUAAAUCACCUGAAAACUAUAUUAGCACCUUAUUGUUUAAUAUUUCUCUAAAUUUUUUUAUUAAGCAAAUAAAUUCCAAAUUUAAAAUGACAAAUAAAAUUUAUUAAUUUUUAAAAAUAAUUUAAAACUCAAAAACCAAUUUAAUUGAUAUUAAAAGUCAUGAAACUUAAUAAUAUUAGAAAGUCAUGUAUCCAAAUUUAUUUUAAAUGACUUGUUUAAUUUCUUGUUUAUAUAUAUUAUAUUUUUAUAAUUUUUUUUACUAUACAAAUAAAUUUUAAAUUAAACAAAACUUAAUGCGUUGAAUUCAUUAACGAGUCUAAUAAUUUUUAAAAGUUACUUAAAAUUUAAAUACUAAAUCAAUUAGUACCACAAAUUCAUGGAAAAAAAUUGAUUUAUUACUACUAUAUUGUUUCUCUAUUGCAUAGAACCAUUAUUUUUCAAUUUUUUCAUUUGGCAAAUGAACAUCAAAUUAAACAAGACUAAGUGUAUUAAAUUCAUUAAUGGGUCUAGUAAUUUUUUAAAAUAAUUUAAAAUUCAAAUAUUGAUACUCCAAAUUAAACAAGACUUAGGUGGUGUUUGUUUUUUGGUUGAAUAGAAAAAGGUAAAAUAUUUGACUUUUUCUAUUUAGUUAAAAGUAACUUGUUGACAUCGUCCAAUAUAAUUAAAGUAAACCUAUUGAGGGCAAGUUCACUUUAAUUAUGUUGGACGAUGUCAACAGGUUACUUUUAACUCAAUAGAAAAAAUCAAAUAUUUUGACUUUUUUUUUAACUCAAAUAAUAAAUCCAUUAAUACAAAAAAAUUAUGGAUAAUUUGAAACUUUCUUUCUUUUUUUUUUUUUUUUUGCUACACAUAGCUAUAUUUUUAUAAAUUUUAUCAUUAGAGAAAUGGAUUUCAAAUCAAGUGAAACUUUGUAUUGAAUUAAUGGAUUUAACAUUUUUUAAAAAUAAUUUGGAACUAAAAAAAAAAGAUUUAAUUACUAAGAAAAUCAUAGAUCAAAACUAAUAUAUUCUGAUCCAUGAUUUUAUUAUUUUUCCUAUACAUACAAUUAUAUUUUUAUAAUUUUCUCACUAGGUAAAGAUAUUAUAAAUUAAGUGACACAUAAUUAAUAAUUUAAAUUUUUGAAUGAAUCUUUUAAUUUUAGGAAUAAUUUGAAAUUUAAAAAGUUGAUCCAAUUAAUUGUAAAUUAACUUAAAAUAUUAUAAAAUAUUAUGUUCAUAAUUAAGUACUAAAUGUAUAUAUGUAAUGAAAACUUAACUAGUUACAUGUUACAAAAGCCAAAAUUUAUUCAUUCUUUAUUUUAAAUAAAAUAUUAUUAAUAAUUAUUUUUUUUAAAAUAAUAUUUAGUAAUUAUUGUUUUUAAAUUAUUAUUAUUAAUUUUUAAUAAAAAAAUUGCAAAGUUAUUAAUAUCAUUAUAUUUCUAACAUAAAUUUAAAUAGUAUAUUUUUUAAUAUAUAUAUAUAUAUAUAUAUAUAUAUAUAUAUAUAUAUAUAUAUAUAUAUAUAAUUUAUGAUUUCAUUAUAAUAUUUUUAUUCAUGAUUGACGAAAAAUUAUUUAUUGUUUAAUUUAUUUGAAUUGCAAAACUAUUUUUCAAAAUUCAAGCGAGAAAAUAGGCCUGGAUUUGAAUUUCCUGUAGAAGAGAAGGAUGUGGAGAAUAUGUUGGGAGUAUUUGUGGAUAAAGAAAAGGCCAGGGUACUGAGAAAGGAGAGAGAACUUGCUCUUGCCAAAAGAGCCCUGCACAGGUAUUCUACUGAUUCUAAUUAUCGGUUCUUACAUGAUCAGAUUUCAGAUUUAUUUGCUGAGCUUCUGAAAUCUGAUACAGUAUUUAAACUCCGGUGAGCUUUACAAGAUUAGUCUCGCAUCCAAUUCCAAAUGGUGUCCCACAAUUGAUUCUUCUUAUGAUAAAUCCACCUUGAUAUGUGAAAAUAUUGCUCGAAAGGUUUAUCCUCGCGAGGAAUAUCCAGAAUACUAAGGAAUUGAGGAGGCUCACUAUGUUUAUAGAGUCAGGGAUAGGUUGAGAAAACAAGUAGUUGUUCCAUUACAUAAGGCCCUGGAGUUGCCAGAGGUUUUCAUGUGUUCGAACAAGUGGGGAUCACUUCCCUACAACCCUGUGGCUUCAGUGGCCAUGAAAUCAUACAAGAGCCUCUUCUCAAACCAUGAUACAGAGCGGUUUGGUGAGUAUCUUGAGAAAGUGCAAACUGGGAAGGCUAAGAUUGCAGCUGGUGCAUUACUUCCCCAUGAGAUUAUAGCUUCAUUGAAUGAGGAGGAUGCCGAGAGAGUUGCCGAGCUUCAGUGGGCAAGAAUGCUGGAAGAUUGAUCAAAGAAAGGGAGGCUCACAAAUUGCAUUGCAGUAUGUGACGUAUCAGGAAGUAUGAGUGGAACUCCAAUUGAGGUGUGUGUGGCUCUGGGGCAGUUAGUUUCAGAGCUCAGUGAAGAUCCAUGGAAAUUAAGGUAAUGUAAUUACUUUCAGUGCAAAUCCUGAGCUUCACAAGAUCCAAGGAGACAGCCUUGUAUCCAAGACUGAAUUUGUGAGGAUGAUGGAAUGGGGUGCCAACACUGACUUUCAGAAAGUUUUGACAGAAUCUUACAAGUAGCAGUGGAGGGAAAUAUGAGUGAAGAUCAAAUGAUAAAGAGGGUUUUCGUUUUCAGUGAUAUGGAGUUCGAUGAAGCUUGUGGGAGGUAUAACUAUUGUGACUAUGACUAUGAUAUGGAGGAAAUUGACGAGAGUCAGAAGGCAUCUCAGAAGUGGGAGACAGAUUAUGAAGUGAUACAGAGGAAAUUCCAGGAGAAAGGAUACAGAAAAGUUCCAGAGAUAGUGUUUUGGAACCUUAGAAACUCAUCAGCGACUCCAGUGACGGCCACAGAGAACGGGGUGGCCUUAGUAAGCGGGUUUUCAAAGAAUCUGUUGACCUUGUUUUUGGAAGGAGGUGGAAUUCUGAUCCCUCAGGAUGUGAUGGAAUUCGCCAUCUCUGAUGAAGAUUACAAGAAACUUGUUCUAUUUGAUUAAGAUAUCAAGAGAUUUAUCAAUAAUAAUAUAUUUUUUUUCUAUGUGAAAUACAUAUAAUAUUAACUGUGGAGUUAUCAAAGUUCUGGAGGUUUAAUUAUUUCUUCUUUUCAAGUUUUGUUUAUUUAAGGUUUUCUUUGUCUUUGUUAGGAAUUCCCCUUGGGUGGACCCAGCUGGGGAGUUGGAUUGAGGAAGUAAGCAGGCGAACUUGUGUUCUUCUAUGGACAGAGAAAAAAAAUAAAAUAAAAAAAUAAAAAAGGAGGUUAUUUGCAUUUGGAUGUCGUGGUUUGAGGGUACAACUACAAGCUCGAAAUUGUACAUAAUGUGAAAACUCCUGUGUCCAUUGCUGAGAACAGCAUAAAUGAUGGUGAUUUUCAAGUUGUGCCUGGUAUUCUACAGGAUGAAACAAGAAAGGAUCCAGGUGGUAUAUUGAACAAUAUCCCAAUCAUGUUGGUGGCAUCUUUAUUUAGUUAAUGGUAUUCAUUUGGUGGAAGCUGGUUGUUUAUGAUGUUUUUAAUUUUUUUUAACAUGAAGUUCGAUCAAAUACGUAUCUUAGUAUGUUUUGUUUGAGCUAAUUGGCAAAUGCGCUUUAAACAUGGUCACAUGGAUGCAGUUUUAUUUGUGAAAUGAUAAUAGUCGAUUACUUGGUCAGUAAGGUUUAUAUCUCUAACUUCAACAUCUUAUUGUAGUCUUUUAAAAUGUCAAAAGUUUAAUGCUUGAGAAAUUUUGGAAUGGAGACAUUCUAAACAAAGUUAAUAAUCCACAAGACUUGGUAAAACCGAUCAGAUGAUGCUUACGUACAUCAAUGCCUUCUUUAAGCCAUAUCCUAUUUUCAUUGAACGGGAUGUGCCAUCUAGUUUGGUUCUUUAAGCCUCCAAAUCCUAAACCUAGUCUCAAUUUAGAGCAAAUUUAGGGUGCAGGGCCUGCAUGCCUCCCCCUCCCCCUUCCACAAAUAGUAGUGACCUUGCUAUGCCUAUGCAUUGUCAAUGCCUCAUUUUCUAUGGUCUCCAAUGUAAUAUCUUAGUUUCAAUGUCUCUUUCCUUACUAUCUCCAAUGCAAUAGAUUGAUUUCAAUACCUCUUUACAACUAAGACCUCCAAAUUUUCUUGGUUCAAACCUACCAGAAUUUUUCUUCUCCUUUGCUUUCUAUCAAUAUUAGUUCCCCUAAUUUAAUAUAUACUUCUUUAUUACCUUCAACUCUACCUCUCUUUCUUUCUCUAAAAGCUUCCUCAAAGAUUUAAUUGCUUUCUUGCAUGUUUUAAGAAAACAAACAUGCUCAUAUUACAUUACCUCUACUUGAGAUCUACCUUAUACUCUACCUUCUUUCUUUACCUCCUAUAUCAUCUACUACAUUAGCUUCAAAAAUAUUAUUUAGUUUGAUACUAAAUAAGGCUCCUAAUCCUACUCUUCCUUCAACAAACUUUCUUUUUACAAGUUCCUUAAACUUUAUUUUUUAUUUUUUAUUUUUUGGAAAUUCGGGUUAGAAAGAUUCCAUUACUCUUACCUAAUAUUUCAACCAUCAAGUUGAAUCCACUUAUUGCCUAAAUCCAAGGAGUCUGCCCUCCACAAAAACAAGGAAAUUGAUCCCACAAUAACAAGGAGAUUGCCUUCCACAGAAACAAAGAGAUCUCCCUUCACAGAAGCCGAAUACAUUGCAAUCUAUUUUCUUUCUUGUAAGAUCAAAUCUUCAAUCGAGCUCCAUCUUAUGGGGGCAUAUUAGAGAAAUUUAAUAUUAUCCUUAAUUUACAUAUUAAUAUUUAUCUAUUUAUUAUAUAUUGAAUUAAAAUAGAAUAUAGAAUUUGAAUCAUAGUAGAAGUUUACUAUAAGAUUGAAUUACAAUAGUUAAUAGAGUUUAAAUUAUAAUAACUCAAAUACAUUUAUAUAUAUUUGACCUUACGAGAUUUUCUAUUUAUGUAUUUGAACUACAAUCCUUAUGAUCCUUAGGUCUCUAUACCUUCGUGAUGGGCUCCUUGACAUUUCAUAGGUUGUGCUACACAUGCAUUUGAAAUUUAGAGUGCAUUUGACAGUGAUUCUGGGAAGUGUUUUUGGCAUUUCUAACACUUAAAAUUUUUUAUUUUUCAAGUAUUAGAAAUGCUACAAACACUUUUGAAAAUUACUGUCAAACACACUCUUAGGAGCGCAUAUAGUAGAAAACUAGAAAUUGUGGUUUUUUUAGGAUUUACUGUAAUGUCAUUAGGAGGGUAGUAAGUUGAAACUGAGUAUGAAUAAAUAUUUCUUUCUUUGGGAUGUUCUUCUGGUAGGUGCUGAUGAAACUGUUCUUUUUACUGCCAAUGUCACAUAUCAGCCAGAAAUUGAAAAUUUCAGUCAAGGUGUCCUCGGUUUUAGUGGUGAGGAAAGCUAGAAAUUUUAAGGUGAAGUUCUGUUAAAAACCUUAAGUAGCUGGGAUAUCAGGCCUGUUUUGCUUGAAAAAAAAAGUUGCAAGAUAACUCAUAUGCCAAACAGGUUCUGAUAUUGUGAAUCUAUCGGCAGACAUCAGUAAUCUCAUCUUCUGAGAUGGAUGUUGGGGGUGCAUGUGGUGGUGGAGGGGCAAGGUUUCAUUUGGUUUAUUUUGUUGAUGGAUAUUGUCUAGCCCCCUGCGCCAAGUUUGAGGGGUGGUGGGUUGUGAUGGCCCUACAAUUACUAUUAAUUUCUUCCUCUUUUACCGAUUAAAGUGUCCGAACAGUCGAAGUUACCCUUAUGCAUGUCAACUUGAUCACUUACCUCUUCAAUGGAGUUUAUGCUGGUUCAUUUAGGAACUGAUUUUUAUUGUUAUGCAUUCUAUGCUGAUGUUUAGGCCUCUCCAUCAUCACUAUAUACAAAAAUUCUAGGUUGAUACUAUAGGUUGAGAUUUAUUUUUUAAAUAAAAAAUAAUAAAAAUAAAAAUUAUGGUGAUGUUUAGUUGUUUUAUGGAAAAUUUUAACAAGUUAUUUUUGGGCAAGUUUUCAAACAAAAAGAAAAGUAAAAGUUGUUUUGACAAAAACAUAUAGAAAAAAAAAAUCAUAGAAAAGAAAUAAUUUCCCCAUAUUCUAACUUUUUUUAAUUUUUCUCAAUGGGCAAAGGAAUAUCAAAUCAAGUUUGAGUAGGAUUUCUUAAUUUUUAAAAUAACUUACAAUUAAAAAAUUUUGGUGUUUUCAUUUUUGGACAAUUUUUUAUUAAGCAAAUGGACUCUGAGUCAUGCAAGAGAUAUGGUUGAUUAAUGGGUCAAACAAUUUUUUUAAAAUAAUUUAAAACUCAAAUACAUAAUCAAUGUCACAAAAUUUAUAAACAAAAAUAGGUUUAGAGAAGAUCUACACAUAAUUUUACUUUUCUAAUUUUAUUUUAUUUUAUUUUUUUGUUGGAAAAUAGUCUUCAAAUCAUGUAAGAUUUAAUAGGUUAAAUUUGUUAACAAUAAAUUUUAAAUUAUAAAAUAUAAUCUGGAACUUAAAAAUCAAUUCAAGUAAUGCUAAAAAAAAUCAAAUUUGGUAUAGAAUGACUACGUAAAAUUUUUUACAAAACAAAUGAAUUUUAAAUCAAGUGAGAUUUAAUGCAUUAGAUUUUUAUCAAAUAUAGUAAUUUUAAAAUUUAAUUUGGAACUCAACAAUAGACACAAUAAAUACCAAAAAAUAAUGAACCAAAAUUGGUUUGGAAUAACUCCACAACCUCUUUUUUUUUUUUUUGGUGCACACGAAUUUUCUUACUAGGUAUAUUGCUUUCAAAUUGAGAAAGAUUUACUAUUUAGAUUUUUUUUUUUAAUGAGUUUAAUGGUAUUUUAAAAUAAUUCAAAAUUUCAAAAAUUGACUAAUUACUAUUAUAAAUUCAUAAACCAAGACUAAUUCAAAAUGCAUUGGGGGCUAAGGGGGUUGAAAAUAGGGACAAUGGGAUGGGUUUGGGACAUGACACUCAUAUCUCAUUUCCAUUCCAAUUACAUAGUUAUCUCCCAUCCUUAUCCCAAACUUGUGUUGGAGCAAGUUGAUUUGUUCCCAUCUUUGUUGAUGAAAUGACUAAUAACCUCAUCCCCUCCUUAUCUUAGAUGUACAUUUUGUCAAAUUUGAUCAGGUAUGAUUGAUCCAAGCCCUAACCCUAAUUGGUAAUGACUGGAUACUACACCUAAUUGCAUUCUUCUUUCGUCGCAAAAUAAUGAGAUUAUAAUAAUCUAGCAAAUAAGAAAAAAUAGUAUGGAAGUUCAAUUUAACACCAUAACUAUCAAUAAUUUUAAGCUUAUAGAUGACUUAAAUGAUUAAAAACUAAUGCAAAAUACCAAAAAAAAAAGUUCAUAUAAAGAAUUCACAAGAGAACAAAAUGAACAAAAACCAAAUAUGAACAUGGGUCAACAUUAGUUAUGGAUUUGGAUUCCUUUCAAGGCCAAUCUUUGAACCAAGACUUCAUCAAAUCUACUACUUCAAAGGCUUUUGUGUUCUUCUUGGGUUGUGCUCUCAAACAAAGACUUCAAGGUGAUGCUCUAGAUGAUUGCAUUACACAUAUUUAGGGUGGAGAGAUUGGAGAAGCUUGAAGAUGCCAACGAUGGGUACAAUUGAGUGGUCAAUAAGAACAAUGUAGCCUAUGACUAGUUUGAUGUCGUGGUACAAGAGUUUUAGGCAUUGAGGUUAAAGCAAGAGCAACAUGGAAUUGAUUUUGGAGUCUUUCAAUUAGUGUAAAGGAGGAAGAAGUGGUAUUGAUUCUAGAAAUAGGGUUUUAGGUGGUGCGUUAGAGGAUGAAGAAGAAGAAAAAGAAGGAUCUGUUGGAAUUAGUGUGAGUGUGAAGAGAGAAGUAUAUAAAUAAGGGGAAGUAAAAGCAAAGUUCUAAAAGCUAUAUUUUUUUUUAUUGUUGGUGUAUGGUUGCAUGAUUAUCCCUAUAAAUAAUAGGAGUUUUUUUGGUAUUCUACUAGUAGUUGAAGGAUAAUUUCAUAAAUUUAUAUUUAGAGUGGGGUGGGGUGAGUUGUGACAAAAUUCAUACCCGUCCUAAACCUUGGUUCAGAUUUUUAAAAUAUCCUCAAACUUAUCAUAUACCCAACUUUUAUAUUUCAUACUUGUCUUGAUAGAGGCAGGUUAGGCCGGGUUACUUGAGUAACCUACAUAAUUGUCAUCCCUAGUUGAAAUACACUUUUUUGGCAGUGGCCACCAACUGAGCUAGAAGCUUGAUCGAUUGACCUACAAGAUUAGUUCUCAUCAUUUUAAAAAAAGUUUUGGCCUUGGUUGUGAGUGCAAUUGAAUCUAAACUGGCAUUUCCUUAAUGCAUCUACUUCAAUCCUAAAUUUCUUACUUCCUAAGCCUCAAUUGUUGUUAGGAUUUUGGAAAGCCCAUUUCCUUAAAUUGUAAAUUUAAGAAAAAAUAAAAUAAAAGUGAGACAUUUCUUGAUUGAAUAUUGUUAAAGGUCCCUUGGCAUUAAGACUUGGUUGAAGCCUUGGAAGAUUAGUGGAACUCUCAACUUGUGUUUGAAUCUUGAGGAGAGUGGACGUAAGCCAAAAUUUUGUCAAACCAUUAAACAAAUUGAGUUUGAAUCCUCAUUUCUUGAUUUCUUAUUUAUUUGCUUUUUCUUAUUAUUACUUGAAUUGUCAUUUGCAUUCAUUAAUGUUAAAAUUGGUUAUAAUUAACCAACACUAAUUCUCUUUCCCCUUCCCUUUCUUGGGUGUAAACCUAGGUUGGAUUAACUAGAUUAAUUUAUAAAAUCUAUUAAGAUGGUAAAAGAAUAAUUAUUCUUAACACACAUAAGAUCAUCUUCAAUCAAAUGACUCAUUGGCUAAUAUGUUGAAUUUGCUUAUUACUUGCAACUCAAAAUUGUGUUCUAGUUGAUAUGUCAAGUCCCCAGUGUAUGGACAUUAAAUUUGUAGUACGUGAUGGUAAUUAGAUGGUCCAACUCCAAGAAAGUGAUUGAAAACUAGUUCAAGAAAGGUGCAAAAGGGAAUUGUUUUGGUAUUUUCGUUUUUAUUCUUGAAGGUGGCAGAGCUAAAAUUUGUGAAAUCAAGCAAAACAUACUGAAAUUACAUUGAAAGAAAGAAAAUGGGAGUUAAUGUCUUGCAGUAGAUGAUAAGGACUUCAUGCAUGUAGUAUGACCCAUGUCUUGGACUGAUGCCAACUCACGGUUACACUUAUACCCUUGGUUCUCUCUUUACUACCUUGGCUAACCUAGAUCAGGCUAUGAGAUAGGCUCCUCACCACACCAUUACUUGCCCAUUAAUUAGAGACAUUUUCAAGCACUGAGGUAACAUGGUGACACCAAGAGGGUUUAUUCCUCGCCCUCCUCGCCCUCAACAAGUCUAGACUUGGUCUCAAAAAAAUGGAGAAAAAUGAGGUGUCGUUAUGUAGAAAUACAACAACCAUGCCUUCCUCAUUACUUUGAUUCAGAAUGUGAAGGUGAAAUUGAGAAACAGAAACUCUUGAAACCAAAAUGAAAAUUGAUACUUUUACGAAGAAUUACAACAACAUUGGAGGAAGACUACAUUCUUCCUCUUUAUUCCUACAUUUCUACACUACUUCUACUCCACUCCAUAUUUCUACAUACAUCUUUAAUCAGUCUUCCCUCCUUUAUAUAGAGCCAUCUUCACACAAAUUCCGCAAGGUAGAAAAGAGGAAUGAAACUUGGAGCAAGGUUCGACUACUGGCUGUAGCUUGUCAAGGCUGGAAGUGAACCUUUUUUCUUGGCUUUUCUGGGCAUGGGUAGUAACUUGUGGGUUCCUUUUUGGGAUACAAAUGGCUAGAACAUGUGGCACUAUCUUGUUGGAUGAUGUGUCAAGCAUGUGGCAGCCAUCUAGUGGCGAUUAUGUCAAUUUUGGGAUGGAGAGUUGGCAUCCAAUUGCAAAGAAAUAUGACGUCUACCAACAGGCAAUGUAAACCUAUGUAGAUCAUAUGAAGAUAGAGAGGAAAAAUAUAGAAAUGGAUAUAUACCUAGAACUAGCUUUUUAUUAAAUGAAACGGAGAGCCAACAAUGAAGGAAAAUAAAUUUUUUUGGCUUAUAUCAAAGAGUUCACAUUGUGCUACCCUAGGUUUUCUUAAAACUUACUUUUAUGAUAACAAAAAAAAAAAAAAACAUUAUUGUUUAAUCCUUUGUUUUAAACGCAUGUUUAGCAAGUUAUAAAAUGUAAAAAUCUUUCUAAGUUCAAAUAUGAAGAUAUGACAUCAUUUCAAGCAAGAUAGUCUCUAGGAAUUAAUGUAAAGCUAAAUUAAGGUGAAAUUAAAUUAGUUCAAUGCAUUAAUUUAAGAAACUUGACCUAUCAAAAGUACAAAAUUAGAUGAAAUCCAUUUCAAUGGUUAAAAUGAUCAAAAUCAAACUUUUUCUAAGUAUUUUUUAAAAGUAUCAAUAUUGAAAGACAAUUUUAUAUUUAGUCAGAGUUUGGACAAAACCAAAAAGCACACAAAAUCCAAGCGACCAUCUCUAGCUUGGAUGGUCGCUUGAUCUCUAGCUUGUGUACUUGGAAAGCAACAUCGAGAUGAUAUAUAUAUAUAUAUAUAUUUUAUAUAAUAUUGUUUGUCCAAAUUCCCUAAAAAUUAGGCCACCACAUGUUCAUAAUUCUCCCUUCUUGAAUUUGAAAACUCGGACAAUUGGACAAUGCGACACCUAAGUCCGGUUUCUAAAUGCUAAAGUGAAAGGGUAGGUAUGGACCAUUGAAAUGUGAUCACAACUUUUCUCUGUAGCCAUGUUGUCUCUUUUUUCUUUUGCAUGAUUUUCUCACCUUAACAGAAUCAUAGACUUGUUUAAUCUCUAAAUGGGAUUAAUUUCAUCCAGCUUUAAGCUACUAUAUUAUAUCUAGGUGGAGGACUUUUAAGAGUGCAACCGACAUAGAGCACAUGCAAGUGGGUAUAUGGGACAUGAAAUUUCUUCUUAUAAAGAUUGCAUGAUUUUUAUAUUAGAGUUGUUGGGGCGCAAUGUAUGUAGCUUGUUUUGCAGUUAAAUUAAUUGGAUAAGUAGACAUUGGCGUUUCUAAAUCUACUGUGAAGUGCUUCAUGUACGUGUGAAGUAUUAGAAAUUUCUUUCUUGGCAACUUGUUUUUUCUUUGCGGUCUACUGAUAGGUUUGACUAAAAUUAUAUUCCCUGUCAUGCUAAUUAAUUUUCACGUGCAUGCUCAAAAGAAGAGUAUGACCUUAGUGCACCAAAAUCACUUUGAUUAAUUUGUGAUAGGUUUUUGUGCAUCAUGACAUUAGCCUUAUUCAUUUAGAUAAUGUUUAGUUUUUAGAAAGUAUUAAGAAAAGGAAAAUAAAUAUUAAGAAAAAUAUUCUUAUAUUUGAUUGUAUUAUGAAAAAUGUCAUAAAAAAAUCAAAUAUAAUUUAAAUUAAUUAAUAAUUUAUACAUUUUCAAAUUAUUUAAUCUUUAUAUUGAAGAUAUAAUAUAAAUGAAAUGAGUUUUAAGUAUUAUAUAAAAGUGAUUUAUUGAUCUUGCAUAUAUGUAUUUCUUUUUUUUUUCUUCUAUUUUUUUUCUUUAUUUUAUUUUCCUUAUGUUUUCCUCAACAUUUUCCGGAACCAAACAUAGCCUUAGGAAAUCCACAAUUACCUUCAACUGAGUAUAUUCGGUUGUUUUAGCAAUGUUAGGCUGCUAACUUGUGUUGGUACGAACCUGUUAAGCCUAAAGAUGUAAUUAGUUAGGAUAUUCUUUUCCCUCUAGUCUUGUAGCUCCACGUGUAUAGUUGGUUAGGACCUCAUUGUAUAUAAUGCCUGCCCUGUUAUUGUUGAAGACAACAGAGAUAAAUAAUAUUAACAUUUUUCCUCUCAUCUCUCUUUGUUUCCCUCUGUUUUCAUCUCCUCUCUCAUCUUGGUAUCAGAGCCUCCAUGGAUUCUUUCAAAGAAACCUCCGAAUCACCUUCUGCUAGCAUUGUUAAUGUGCAAAACCCAUUAUCUCAGUCAAACAACCUUCCUUCACCAGCAGCCACACCCUCUUUUUCUUUCUUGUCUAUGAAUCAACCUCUCACAGUGAAGCUGGAUAAUGGAAACUACCUCAUCUGGAAGAAUUAGCUUCUGAAUGUCAUCAUUGCGAACAGACUCGAUGAUUUCAUUUAUGGAACUCGACCCUGCCCUCCUUGAUUUCUCAAUCUGCAACAACAAACCCUCACUCCAGAGUACUCGGUCUAGCAGAGAUACAAUCGACUUCUAAUGAGUUGGCUGUACGCAUCCUUGUCCGAAGAUAUAAUGACUCAGAUUGUUGGGUAUUCAACAACUGUGGAGAUUUGGAACGUCCUUAAUCAGAUUUACUCUGCCUCUUCAAUGGCGUGGGUUACCGAGCUUCACACCAAGCUUCAAACGCUCAAGAAAGAUGGACUCUCAGUUGGUGAAUAUAUUCAAAGGCUCAAAUCCAUUUGCAAUAGUCUUGCAGCAAUAGGAGAACUAGUUUCUGAGAAAGACCAGCUUAUCUAUUUGUUCAAUGGAUUAUAUUGUGAGUAUAAUUCUUUUGUUACCUCCAUUCAAAAUCGAUCUGACCAACCAACUAUUGAGCAAAUCCAUAGCCUAUUGCUUAGCUAUGACUUUCGGCUUGAACAACAAAACUCUGUUUCUCUCCAUUAUGCCCAAGUCCGUAUGGCUCAUCUGAACAAGAAACCUUAUAAAUCAACUCCUCAACCUACAUUCAAUCAUAUUCACAUUCAACCUAGAUACUCUUCUCCACCUUUUAAGCCAACCACUAGUCAAUAUCAACCCAGGAUUUUGGGCAAACCACAACCACAACCAUGACAGCCUCAACCUCAAUGGAAACCACAUUUUUCAAUCCAGAAUCAAAAGCCUCAGUGCCAAAUUUGUGGUAAAUUUGGACACACUGCUCUUAUUUGCUUCCAUUGCACAAAUUUGAACUAUUCACCCCAACCUUCUCCUAAAUCUUUCAAUACUGUUCUCACCACAAAUUCCCAGCUCCCUAAUCCUCCAAAAUUUUCUUACCCUACAAUGGCUCAUCCUGCUGCUACGCAUAACACGAUUCCUGAUACAAAUUGGUACAUGGACUCAGGUGCUACACAUCACUUUACUCCGGACAUCAACAUGCUUGACACUGUGACACCAUUUAGUGGUUUAGAACAGGUGACAGUUGGGAAUGGUAAGCAACUCUGUAUCUCACAUCUUGGUACUGCAAAACUACCAUCCUCGUAUUCUCCUCUUGUUCUACAUCAGGUAUAUCACACUCCAAAAAUUUCAAAUAAUCUUAUUAGUGUUAGAAAAUUGUGUUCUGAUAAUAAAGUUUUUGUUGAAUUUUAUGCCACUCAUUUUCUUAUCAAAGAUCAAGUUUCGAAGAGAGUUCUCUUUCAAGGUCAACUUGAUAAUGGCUUAUACAAAGUUCAGUCGUCAUGCUCUCCUUCUACUAUUUCCUUUCAUCCUCAAGUUUUCAUAGCCAACAUCAAGGAUCAAAAUUUGUGGCACAAGAGACUAGGCCACCCAGCUUUAUCUGUUAUUAAUCAAAUCUUGGAUUCUUGUAACAUUGCUCGAACACAGAAAAUUGGUUUUAAUUUUUGUAGUUCUUGUCAAUUAGCAAAAAGCCACAGGCUUCCUUUUUCUCUGUCUCCAUCCAUUGCAGAAAAACCUUUUGAGUUAAUUCAUACAGACCUAUGGGGUCUUUCUCCUGUUCGCUCUAUUUCUGGUGCUCGUUAUUUUUUACUUUUCAUUGAUGAUCAUACUCGUUUUACUUGGUUUUAUUUGCUCAAAACAAAAGAUGAAGCAUAUCCUACUUUUCUCAAGUUUCAAGCUCUCAUUGAAAAUCAAUUUAAUACCAAGAUUAAGGUUGUCCAAUCUGAUUGGGGAGGUGAGUUUCGAUCUCUCUCCAUACUGUUUUCAAAUAUGGGCAUUGUCUAUCGUUUAUCAUGUCCAUACACCUCACAACAGAAUGAGUGGGUUGAGCGAAAAAAUCACCAUGCGGUUGAAAUGGGAUUGUCCUUUCUUGCUCGCUCGGGUAUGCCCUUAUCUUAUUGGCCUUAUGCCUUUCAAACUGCCACUUACCUUAUUAAUCGUCUCUCUACCCCUGUGCUGCACCAUCAAUCCCCUUACUUCGCACUCUAUCACAAAUUCCCAGCUUAUACUCAUCUUAAGGUCUUUGUUCCUCUUGUUUUCCAUAUUUACGCCCUUAUAAUACCCAUAAACUCCAAUACAGGUCACUGGAGUGUGCUUUUCUUGGUUGCAGUUCACACCACAAAGGUUAUCUAUGUCUUGACAUUCAUUCUAGCAGGGUGUAUAUUUCUCGCCAUGUGAUUUUUAAUGAAGAUUCUUUUACAUUCAAGAAUUUGAAAUCUUCUCUCUCUUAGUCUAUUUCUUCUUCCUCUUCUUUAUUAGUUCCUCUGUUCAUUUCCUUGCCUCCCCUCUCCCCAUAUCCUCCUAUUUCUCCAUCUAUAUCUCAUUCUUUUCUCUCUUCUUCUUCUACCUCUAGUACUUGUUCCCCUCUCGUUGCUCCUACCUCUCUUCCUCCCUCUUCACACUUUGUGUCCCAUCUAUUCCACCUCCUUCUCCACCUUCUUCGAGUGUGGACCUGCUUGUACCUUGUGUGAAUACAAAUUUACUUACUUUUUCUCGCACUCACAAUAUUCAUCCUAUGGUGACCAGAUCUAAGGGUUUGUAUCUAUAAACCUAAGUUGCUAUUGAGUGUCUCCAUAGGUUCUCUCACUAAGCCUACUUCCUUUCUUCAAGCUAUUAAAGAUCCUUCAUGGAAGCAAGCCAUGGAAUUGGAGUUUGCUGCCCUUCAACACAACAAGACCUGGCAUCUAGUUCAUUCACCUUCCUCAGGCAAAGUAAUUGGUUGUAAAUGGGUCUAUAAGAUAAAGCUUUAGCCUGAUGGCUAAUUGAGAGAUACAAGGCCCGCUUAGUAGCUUAGGGUUAUCAUCAAACUGAAGGUAUUGACUACUUCGAAACAUUCAGCCUGGUUGUCAAGCCUUCUACUACCGUAUUGUGCUCAGUCUUACUUUUUCCCAGAAUUGGUGUAUUAGACAGCUGGAUGUUCAUAAUGCCUUCUUACAUGGUGACUUAGCUGAAGACGUUUUCAUGGAACAACCACCUGGAUUUGUUGAUCCUCUCUAUCCUACUCAUGUCUGCAAGUUGGAUAAGUCUCUCUACGGUCUUAAUAGUCACCUCGGGCUUGGUAUACUAAGCUGAGUACUUCUCUACUACACUUGGGAUUUGUUACUUCUAAGAAUGACUCUUCCUUAUUUAUUUGUCAUUCGUCUCAUGGGUUACUUCUUGUUCUUGUCUAUGUGGAUGAUAUAAUCGUCACUGGGAGCCACUCUCCUCAAGUUACUCACCUUAUCCAAUAGUUGCAUCAUCAGUUUUCUUUAAAGGAUCUUGGUCAUUUACACUAUUUUCUGGGCUUGGAGGUUCAUCACACCCCUACUGGUAUUCACCUCAGCCAAGCAAAGUAUAUCACUGAUCUCCUUACCCGGGCGGCUAUGUUGGAUGCCAAGCCAUGUCCCACUCCUAUGUCCUCCAACACAUAUCUUUCUCUUCAUGAUGGAGUGGCUCUUGAAAAUGGUUCAGAUUAUUGAAGUUUUGUUGGUGCCCUUUAGUAUUGUACCAUGACACGCCCAGAUAUAGCUUUUGCAGUAAAUAAAGUGUGUCAAUUCAUGCACCAUCCCUCUGAUGUUCACUGGCAGGCUAUAAAACGUAUUCUCCAGUACUUAAAGGGCACAUCUCAUUUUGGUCUCUUCCUACAGCCUUCCUAUGACUUCAACAUCACUUGCUAUACAGAUGCCGACUGGGCUUCCUGCCUUGAUGACAAGUGUAGCACCAGUGGCUACUGCCUCUUUCUUGCCUCUAAUCUGGUUUCUUGGUCAUCUUCCAAACAAAAAGUGGUCUCCCGCUCCAGCGCCAAAUCAGAGUACCGAGGGGUAGCAAAUGGGGCUGCUGAAAUUGCUUGGACUGAAUCUCUUCUUUGUGAACUUUCCACCCACUCGACCUCCCCUCAUUGUCUGUGACAAUAUCAGUGCCACAUACUUAGCUGUCAAUCCUAUUUUGCAUGCCCGCACCAAAACAUGUGGAAAUCGACUAUCACUUUGUCUCGGAACGUGUUCUUCAACGCUCUCUCUCUCUCCAGUUUACACCUUCGGAUGAUCAACUUGCUGAUUGCAUGACCAAGCCUCUCUCCACCCAACGUUUCAUCACUCUACGCUCCAAGCUCACUGUUCUCACUAGACCAAUGAGCUUGAGGGGGGAUGUUAAGCCUAAAGAUGUAAUUAGUUAGGAUAUUCUUUUCCCUCUAGUCUUGUAGCUCCACGUGUACAGUUGGUUAGGACCUCAUUGUAUAUAAUGCCUGCCCUGUUAUUGUAGAAGACAACAGAGAUAAAUAAUAUUAACAUUUUUCCUCUCAUCUCUCUCUCUGUUUCCCUCUGUUUUCAUCUCCUCUCUCAUCUGAACCAAAUGAUCCAUGUUAACCUUGGCUUGGUUUGAUUUGGCUCUAUCUUAGAGAGCUCAAGGAUCACGUCAACUCUGGUUUCUACUAUUCAGGUCCAUUCCCAUAUGAACUGGUUCAAAUUUGAGAAAAUGGUAACAGACCUUUAGUGAUGUUGGUUUGGAGCCAGUUGCCAAACCCGCCCUGAGCUUUACCACUAAUGUCAAGGGAGAAAGCCUUUUGAACAAAAACAAUAGCUUCAAGAGACUGAAUCGUGGAUGAAAUCUGAUCCACAUUUCUUCUCAUUUUGGAAACAAAUGAGAACUUAACUAAGAAGAUUCUACGGCCUCAUAGUGCUUUUCCUGAUCUAAGGUUGGUUCGUUUCCCAAAUUGUGAGAUGCACGGGCCAGACUUCAGAACUCUCACGCUCAGGAGUGUAUCCACGUGGUGGACAUAAGAUGGUGGCUUAAGAUCUGGUGUCGGUGGCUUUACUUUACUAGGAGAGUAGUGUGUCUUCAUCUCAUUCACUGCCGGAGGGUGGCGUAAGCAGUGACGCUAAGGUGGGGCAUAGUCAAUAUCAUUUGCAUUUGACCAUUAUAGUUUUCUCCCGGCUUGAAAGUAACCUUAUCGUGAUAAAGGAUUACUAGCACUAGUUCAGAUGACAGUCAUGUUAAAUUCGGACCAUGUUUGUGUCACAUUAUCAGCAACCAUGUGUUUAUGGUUCAUGCUUUCUGCAACUGAAAUUGAAAUUGAUAUAUAACCAGGUGAACUUCAAUCUAAAUUCUGGAAGUACUCAUGUGAGCGAUGGUGCCCAUCUGCAGAGUCCAUCAAUUGAAAAAUGGAGUGAGUGUAUCUAUAAGAGGGAAGGCUUGGCAAAUGUCCAGUUUUCUGGGAAUUCAACAAGGAUCUAAAAUAGAUUGUUUUCUUUGCUGAUUUCAAUGGUUGAAAUUUGAGAAGAUUGUGUCCCACAUAACACAACUAUUACUGGUCCUUCUGUUGCAAUUUAUCCUCUAAGGCUCUAGCAUGUCUUCCAAUUCCCACUUCCCUGUUACUCCAGGAAAGCUAUUUCUGUCAUUGUGAAGAAGAAAAGAGAAUGUAGAUAUCGAUGCUUUUAAGUGACUGGAGCAUUCAUAUCAGGUGGUCUGCAGCCAUAUAUGCCACUUUGUGAAGAUUGGAACAGUCAAUCACUAGGCUAUAUAUUAGUGUGGCCCAGCCACUUUAAUCAAGGACAAUUCUUCAUACUUAAAAGUCAAAUUCUGCCUUUAGUCUCAUUAUAAAUUGCUGUUUAAAUAUUAAGCAAACAUUUGUUUAAUGCGAUUAAGACAGUACUAACUCAAUACUUGUUCUAUUUUUGGAUGGAAAUGCUUGAUGGUUUCAUCAUUGGAUGGGAUAAAGGUGCAUUCAUGAUUAUGAAUACUUGUAGUUAUAUUUUCAUUCUCUUUUUUCUCAAUGAGACUUGUUGGCACAAUUUUUCUGUUCAGAAACCUACCUCUCCAUGGAAAAUAAGUUGUGAUUGAUAGUACUGGAUAUAUUCAAGAAAGCUAAAUAUAGAUAGCACAAAAUAUUAUCGACAUAAAUAGCAUUAACAGCGUACGUAUGUCUCAGUGCUCAUCAGCCAUAAGCAUGGGGCAAACACUUACGAUGAGCAACUUACGUCAAAAUUCCAGAAUAGGACAUAGAAGUGACAGAUCUAUAUAUAUAGAACACUGCAUAAGAGUCACAAGAAAGGAAAUUACGGGUGCAUAGCAGCUCUUAUUUCACAUACUACUCAUACUGAUCAAAGUCACUCAGUUGGGAUGGGUGGGAGUAGGAGGUUUGUGGGGUGGCUUGUGCGGAGGAGUUGGCAGCUUCUUUCCAGGACCUGGUGGCUUCUCUCCCUUAGGUGGUUUGCCAACUGGGGUUGGUGGCUUGUAUGAGUCUUCAGCAUUCUCUGCAGGAGGGUGACCAGGGUUGUGACCAUAAUGUGGUGGCUUCUCUCCCUUAGGUGGUUUGCCAACUGGGGUUGGUGGCUUGUGUUCUGGGAGUGGCUUCUCCCCCUUGGGAGGUUUUUCCAAUGGGGUUGGUUUGUGUUCAGGAGGUGGCUUCUCCACUGGAGGCUUGUGUUCAGGAGGUGGCUUCUCCACCGGAGGCUUGUGUUCAGGAGGUGGCUUCUCCACCGGAGGCUUAUGCUCUGGUGGUGGCUUCUCCACCGGAGGCUUAUGCUCUGGUGGUGGCUUCUCGAAUGGGGGAUGCUUAGGGUAAUCAGCAAGUGAGGGGGCGGUGAGAACCACCAGGCCAAGCAAGACCACUAGCAAGUAUGUAGGAGACAUCUUUGGGUUUAGACUCAGAUGGUGCAAAACUAGGAGAAUUGUCUUUUAUAGCGGAUCGCACCCAAUAAUGAAAUGACACGUGUCUUUAUGACCCAUGUGUAAUGGGGUCGAUUUGGGUCCUACAGUGUUGAAAACUUCGACAUCCACUUUUGGCCUUUUGCUUUCUCUACAGCCGCCUUGCUUUUUCCCUCUUUCCUUUUGUUUUCCUCCUGCCCCAUUCUAUCAACUAAACACAAUUAUGUAGUUGUUUAAUUCUUAAAUGAGAUAUUAUCCGUCAAUCGUAUCAUAUUUUAUCAACAGAGAACGGAGUGCAAUGUGGCAAUCCAAAGAAAGAAGAUCCAUAAUGCAGCUGUAAUUUUAUCGUUUACUUUUAUCUCUUGGACCACUGCAUUUUUGUUAAGAGGUGCAAUAAUACACGUCUUUAUCUGCCAUUCAAUGUUUACAGUAAAGAGAGGGCACAAAACUCUUCACUGCUCUGCAUGUGUCCCAAAAAUGCAAUUGGACAAAUUAUGAUUUGCAUGCUAAAAAGAGGCAAAUGAGGUUAAUUCGCACCAUAAUUAUUUUGUUUUCUGGACCCCGGGGCCCUUUGGUUGGUUUGGGGGUCAGAAAAUGAACAUCAUAGGGGGUUUUUCCCUUAUGUGCAUUUGUAUCUGAUGGCUUUAACUCGCCUUGUUACUACAAAGAAAUUGUCACAUAUAGGAACUUAUUCCAGGCUGAGUAUCUCCGCAUAGACCCUAUAAAAGAAGACAAGUCAUAAUGAACAUCUAACCUUUGUUCAAUUUGAUUCAAUGCCCCAUUGUGUCCACCUCACAAAUCUGAAUUAUUAUAUCCAUUGAAUACAUAAAUUAAUGAAGAAAAUAUGAAACCCAAGAUACAUCUCUGCACAACCUCAACCCUGGUUGCUAUGUUUCCCUUCUAUUCACAUGAGGAUAUUGAUUACGGAAUAGGGAAACCUAGCAAGGGUUUACUCGGCUCUGGUUUGAUGCUAAUUGCCAAACUUGCAACAAGCCCUGAGUUUGAAGCUCACAGAAGAUGUUAUACAGGCAGGGAAAAACCUUCAGAGUUCGCUGCCAAAGAUAAUUAUUAAGGAGAUAUCACCAAGAGAAUUCCAAGGAGUCUGAAUCAAAGACAAAUUGGUCGUUCGUGGAGGUUCUUACUUUCUUUUGGGUAUAACUCACUGAGGGCACUGUCUUUUUUAUUUUCAUUUCACAUUUAGAGUUCUGUUCUGGAAACAUAUAAAAGGAGCAUCAGUUUGUUCUUGGGUAACCCAUAGUCGUGAGUGGGUCCAUUUGCAUGCUACUUAGUUGAAAAGUUGGACCAUUUGCUCCGACGCCUACCUCCUGGAUUCCAUGCUCGGAUAAAACAAGAAUAAAAAAAUAUUUAUAAUUUACAAAUGGGGGAAAGAAAAAAAUGUCAACAACAAACUAGGAAAAAAGAGUAGUAAAAUUCAUGUCACAUGCUAGUGAGAGAAGGGGUUGUUACACUCACUCGAAGUUCUUUUCAAAAUAUCGCAUGGUAUUUUAUUUUAUGUGUGAGCGCAGUUGUGAAUGGAACGUGCAAAAGUCCAAAUUGGUGACCUUUAAUAAAUAUUUAAAACAAAAAACGAAAAAAAGGAGGGAAAAGGGAUCAGAAAAGAUAAAACAAUGUGUACAAAAGCUCAAUUAGUUUGCAAAUUACUGUUUGGAUUUUGAUAGUAUUUUAUUUGAUGUAAAAGAGAAUUUAAGAUAUUUCCGAAACAAAAGCAUUAGUUUGCUCCAUGUCAAUUUCGGCAUUUCUCAUAUGUUUCACACAUACACAGAAGAGCAUCGUUUUUUAAAGCAUGCAUUUAUGUUGGAUUAAUUUGGAUUUUGUGGGAACUGGGGCAAGGAUCACAUGGAAGAGAGGUUGACUUUUUUCAGUACUUCAAUGGUUGAGACAGGUGAAGGCCUGAUUGAUACUGAAGCCUGAAAUUGCGACUCCGUCAUUUGUCAAAACAUAUGACAGCUUCCAUGCUCUCGUUUGGUUGCAUUGUUCUGUGGUCAUGCAUACAUGCCACUUAGUGAUCAGUCUGUAACUGUCAAUCAUUGGGCUUUGACUGAACAACAUCAGCCAUGUAUAAAUACUUGCAAAUCAAACGGUCUUCUUCCUCCCAUAAGGAAUUUCGGUUUAAUUAUGAAGCAUGCAUUUGGCUGACCAUCAUAAACCACUUCUUUAAAUUGAUGAAUGAUAGUUUUUCAUUCAUUCUUUCAUUCGUUCAUAUACAGAGUAUAUAUAGAGGGUAAUCAUCAUUCUAAGAAUGGGAAAGAAUGAUACAAGGAAAUAAUGAUAUAAAGAAAUAACAACUAAUAUUCUAAUAUCUCAACUUUCCUAAUAUCUAAACAUUCCUAAUAUCUCAACACUAAAUGAUAUAAAGAAAGAAUGAUAUAAGGAAAGCAUUCCUAAUAUCUCAACACUCCUCCUCAAGUUGGUGCAUAGAUGUCAAACAUGUCCAACUUGUCUAAAAAUUUUGAGAACAGUUGACUUGAGACAUCUUUGGUGAGGAUAUCGGUCAAUUGAUCUUCUGAUCGAAUCUUAGGCAAUUCCACAAUCUUAUCAUCCAACUUUUCCUUAAUGAAAAAUCUAUCCAUCUCGACAUGCUUUGUACGAUCAUGUUGUACUAGAUUAUGAGCAAUGUCACAUGCUGCUUUAUUGUCACAAAACAAUCGGAUUGGUUGCCUAGAUAGGUAACCUAAAUCCUAUAAGAGGAGUCUUAGCCAUAAUGCCUCACAAAGUCCUAAAGUCAUACCUCUAAAUUCCGCUUCUGCACUUGAACGAGCGACGACAUUUUGCUUCUUACUUUUCCAUGUCACAAGAUUACCACCUACAAAGGUAAAGUAACCAGAUGUAGAUCGCCUAUCAUCCACUGCACCGACCCAAACAGCAUUAUACUUCUAUACUCUGAUGAUCAACAUUUUUAGCGAACAAAAUUCCCUUCCUAGGAGCAUUCUUCAAAUACCUCAAAAUACGCAUGACUACAUUCAUAUGUUGCUCUCCAGGAUUAUGCAUGUAUUGACUCACUACACUCAAUGUAUAAGCAAGAUCUAGUCUUGUAUGAGCUAAGUACAUUAAUCUCCCCACAAGUCUCUGGUAUCUUCCCUUAUCGAUUGAUACUUGAUUAGGCUCAACACACAAUUUCAGACCUUCUUCUAUUGGUGUAUUAAUAGGUUGACAUCCCGACAUUCCAGUUUCCUGUAGAAGAUCUAAGGCAUACUUUCUUUGAGACAGAAAAAUUCCUUCACUUGAUCGAGAAACUUCAAUCCCAAGAAAGUAUUUCAGACGACCAAGAUCUUUCAUUUCAAAUUCUCUAGAUAGAUACUUUUGCAAAGCUUUUCUUUCUUCAGGAUCAUUUCCUGUAACUACAUGUCAUCCACAUAUAUCAUAAGUGUCGUAAUCUUACCAUGUUGCUUUUUCAAGAACAAAGUGUGAUUUGAAUUACUUUGAUGAUAGCCAAAAGCUCUCAUUGAUUUUGUGAACCUUCCAAACCAUGCUCUCGGGGAUUGCUUCAACCCAUACAAUGACUUCUUCAAUUCGCACACCUUCUGACAUUGCUUUUCUGACACCAUGCAUCCUGGUGGAAGAUCCAUAUAUACUUCUUCAGAUAAAUCGCCAUGCAGAAAGACAUUUUUUACAUCGAACUAUUGUAAUGGCCAAUCUAGGUUUGCAGCUAAAGACAAUAAUACUCGAACUGUGUUGAUCUUAGCUACAGGUGCAAAUGUCUCUGUGUAGUCAAUUCCAUAAGUUUGAAUGUACCCACUAGUCUUGCUUUAAAUCGUUCAAUACUACCAUCUGCCUUGUACUUCACAGUAUAGAUCCAACGACACCCAACUAGCUUCUUUCCUGGUGGACAUUCUACGAGUUCCCAUGUUUCAUUUUUCUGCAAUGAUUUCAUCUCUUCAUUCAUGGUUGCUUUCCACUUUGGAUCAGCUAAAGCUUCCUGCACACUAUUAGGAAUAGCUACAGUAGAUAAUUGAUUUACAAAUGACUUAUUUGAUUCAGACAAACCAUGGUGUGGACCCGCAUUUUUCACGUGCGCCUCUACUCGAUCGGCGAGACUCGCUUUCUAUUUGUGAAAAAUUAAUUUUAGAAAAGUUGGAGUCGCCACCUAUUUUAUUUUUAUUUUGAAGGGAAAAUAAAACAAGAAAGAAAAACCCUAAAAAGUGACUCCAUAGUUUUGGAAAAAGCAUGUCUUUGGGAAACCUGAGUCUAGGUCCGGGGAUCAUGUUACUUAUUGGGAAGGUACCUCUAGGAGGUAGCACCCCUCUAAGCCUUAUGAAGGUCUCUACUAACUAAAUUAAGGGAAGUGUGGCAAUAAAUCGAUUGAUCAUAGAUACCUAAGUAGACUAGGUGAUUUUAAAGUGUGGCAUGUCAAACACAAUCAAAUUGCAAUAAAGGAGAGUUAGGGCGCGUACCUGAACCGCUUCUCAAGCGCUAUCAUAAAACAUCAAUGGUUAAUUUAAAUAAUAUAUCAUCCAGCAUGUAUUUUAUUAGAAAUAAUCAAACAAUGAAACAUGUAUAUCAGAACACUCAAGCAUUAUUAGACAUAAGCAUUAUUUCACUAUUCACAGAAUUCAGAAAGUAGGUGAUAGAGGACAUACCUGGAUAGCAUAGAUAAUUUGUAAUGUGCUUCCUCAAGUUGUAAGGGGUUAGAUAACAAAUAAUAAAAUAUAGAAAUCCUAGCAUGCUCGUUAUCUAAUUAGCAUAGCAAAAGUGAUCACAGUAUACAGAAUCAUCAAUUAUCACAUACAUCUUGUAUAUAAUUCCUAAAAAAAAUAGAUAGACAUGAUUUCAACAAGUGUCAAAUGUGGCAACAAAAAUAAAUUUUGAAAAGAUUUUCUUAUGUAGGGGUUUCACCAAUUCCCCAAAUUAAUAUACACGAAUUUAGCUUAGAAUUAUCCCAUUUAUUUGGGACUACAAGCUUUGAUUCGUGUUUUUGUUCAAAACCAAAAAUUUUUGUUGAAAAUCAAGAAGGAUGCGAACCGAACAAGAUAUGGUUGCAUAUUAUUUUUAAAUAAAUAAAUAAAUAAAUAAAGGAGAUUUUGAUCCUGAGGACUUUAAUGAGUUUUUUUUUUUAAAAUAGAUUUUUAAAAUGAUUUUUUUGAGAAAAGUAUUUUAUUUUAAAAUAAAAGGGAUUAAUUUGGGAAAAAAAUAAAAUAUAAGAAAUAAAAUACCAAACAAAACAAAAAUGAAACCUCAAAGUAAAAUUUUUUUAGUAAUUAACAAAAAUGAUAAUGGUGAUGGUAGAGGGCAAUCUUCAUGAUUUUCCAAUGGCCUCAGAAAGAAAAUCAAAUUAAAUGAAGGAUCACUAACAGGCAAGACAUUCUAAAUUAGACAAACUAACAAAGUAUCAAUUCAUGAACUAACCGCUAGGAUUUUGAAAGCAUAUAAGCUAAGAUAAGGGUGAUCAGGAACUAAUAUUAAUGAUUUUGAAAUAAAAACUAAAAAAAAGGAUCAAUUCGGGUAAGGAACUAAAAUUAUAAAAGUACCUAAACUAAUUAUGACGAGUUUGACUAAAUUAAACUAAAAACAUGAACUUUCAAACAUAGAAUUAAUUUUACUAAUGAACCAAAGCAAACUAAAAAUAUGUACUUUCAAGCAUAGAAUUAAUUUUAUUGAUGAACUAAACUAUAACAAAUAUCUAAACUAAAUAUAAUGAAUCAAAUUAAAUUAAAGCAACUUAAAAACGCAAACUUUCAAACAUAGAAUCAAUUUUAUCAAUGAAUUAAAACUAUAAAUGUAUUUGAACUAAAUAGAUGAAUCAAACUAAAUCAGAGCAAAAUUAAAAAAAAAAAAGAACUUUCUAACAUGAAAUCAAUUUUAUCAACAAAUAAAUGAAUGAAUAACAAGUAAUUAAAAGAAUAGCUACUACAUGAAUAACUGAAUGAAUAAAAUUCAAAUGUUUUCAAUCUGAAGCAAUCAAUCAAAAUUAAAUAGGGAUCAAAUCAAAAUAAUCGAAAUCGGAAAAACAAUAUGCAAUCUUUCUAAAGGUUUAACCAGACAAUUGAAUUAAAAUUAUGAAUAGAAUAAAUUAAUAAACCAAAUCGAAACCUAAAUUGUACCUAAAAAGAUUAAUUAAUUAAACUAAGAAAUCAAAAUCAAUAACAAAACUAAACUAAGGAGUAAAUUAAGACAAGACUAAUUAAAUUAAACUCACAAACACGUUUUAACUAUCAUAUGGAUUAAAACAAAAUUAGCAUGGACUUAUGAAUUACGAACAAAAAUAAUCAAAACUAUUUUAAAAAACUCACCUCUAUUAUAAGAAAAAAUCUGCCUUUGAUGCGUUGAGGUGGCUCCCCUCUCUGUGUGGAUCUCUCUGCUCCCCAGAAAAAAAAUGUCUCUUCCUCCGUUCUCUUUUGUUUCAGCAAAAUAAUAUAUCCCCUGCUGUGGAUCUCUCUACUCCCAGAAAAUAAUAUAUUCUCUCCGUGUCCUAAAGUGGACCUAGGGUGCCUAAGUGGACCUAGGGUGCCUAAAUGGGCCUAGGGUGCCUAAAUGGGCCAAGUGUAUCUAAAUAGGCUUAGGGUGCCUAAGUGGGCCUAAGUCUAAGUGAGCCUAAGUCUAAAUCAAGACUACCAAGGAUCAUAAUAAGGGGUUAGGCAAUCCCUUAACCAAAGUCUCCAAGGUGGCUAAAAAAAAGUAAGUAGUAUGAGUAGCUAUGGGUCACCAAGGAACUACUGUGGAGCAUUGAAAACGAAUUUAAAGACAUGUGCCAAAGGGACAAAAUUGAGGGUCUACAGAUGGUUAGACACAUAGUUGCUCAUGGGAUAUUUGACUUUGGUAAACAAUUCAGAUUCAUAUGUGGGUUUAGGAAUACCUUUAUUAUGACGGUGUGGUAAUCGUUUCAUGAAUGGAUCAGGUUGCAAAUUAAGAACACCCUCAGCAAACAACGAUUGGUUUGGUAUUUCAGUGAAGACAUCUUCGAACCCAAAUUGUUGACCACUCAUAUCCAACUCACCCGCUUCCUGGUUCACUAGUUCAGAUUGUCCAAAUUCAUCAUUCUCAUAGAUAUGAUAAUCAUAAUCGAGAGUCUGAAUUUCCUUAUGGUACUCCCCCUGAAGUUCAGACUUAGAUGAAAAAUACAUCGAAUAUUCAUGAAACAGCNNNNNNNNNNNNNNNNNNNNNNNNNNNNNNNNNNNNNNNNNNNNNNNNNNNNNNNNNNNNNNNNNNNNNNNNNNNNNNNNNNNNNNNNNNNNNNNNNNNNNNNNNNNNNNNNNNNNNNNNNNNNNNNNNNNNNNNNNNNNNNNNNNNNNNNNNNNNNNNNNNNNNNNNNNNNNNNNNNNNNNNNNNNNNNNNNNNNNNNNNNNNNNNNNNNNNNNNNNNNNNNNNNNNNNNNNNNNNNNNNNNNNNNNNNNNNNNNNNNNNNNNNNNNNNNNNNNNNNNNNNNNNNNNNNNNNNNNNNNNNNNNNNNNNNNNNNNNNNNNNNNNNNNNNNNNNNNNNNNNNNNNNNNNNNNNNNNNNNNNNNNNNNNNNNNNNNNNNNNNNNNNNNNNNNNNNNNNNNNNNNNNNNNNNNNNNNNNNNNNNNNNNNNNNNNNNNNNNNNNNNNNNNNNNNNNNNNNNNNNNNNNNNNNNNNNNNNNNNNNNNNNNNNNNNNNNNNNNNNNNNNNNNNNNNNNNNNNNNNNNNNNNNNNNNNNNNNNNNNNNNNNNNNNNNNNNNNNNNNNNNNNNNNNNNNNNNNNNNNNNNNNNNNNNNNNNNNNNNNNNNNNNNNNNNNNNNNNNNNNNNNNNNNNNNNNNNNNNNNNNNNNNNNNNNNNNNNNNNNNNNNNNNNNNNNNNNNNNNNNNNNNNNNNNNNNNNNNNNNNNNNNNNNNNNNNNNNNNNNNNNNNNNNNNNNNNNNNNNNNNNNNNNNNNNNNNNNNNNNNNNNNNNNNNNNNNNNNNNNNNNNNNNNNNNNNNNNNNNNNNNNNNNNNNNNNNNNNNNNNNNNNNNNNNNNNNNNNNNNNNNNNNNNNNNNNNNNNNNNNNNNNNNNNNNNNNNNNNNNNNNNNNNNNNNNNNNNNNNNNNNNNNNNNNNNNNNNNNNNNNNNNNNNNNNNNNNNNNNNNNNNNNNNNNNNNNNNNNNNNNNNNNNNNNNNNNNNNNNNNNNNNNNNNNNNNNNNNNNNNNNNNNNNNNNNNNNNNNNNNNNNNNNNNNNNNNNNNNNNNNNNNNNNNNNNNNNNNNNNNNNNNNNNNNNNNNNNNNNNNNNNNNNNNNNNNNNNNNNNNNNNNNNNNNNNNNNNNNNNNNNNNNNNNNNNNNNNNNNNNNNNNNNNNNNNNNNNNNNNNNNNNNNNNNNNNNNNNNNNNNNNNNNNNNNNNNNNNNNNNNNNNNNNNNNNNNNNNNNNNNNNNNNNNNNNNNNNNNNNNNNNNNNNNNNNNNNNNNNNNNNNNNNNNNNNNNNNNNNNNNNNNNNNNNNNNNNNNNNNNNNNNNNNNNNNNNNNNNNNNNNNNNNNNNNNNNNNNNNNNNNNNNNNNNNNNNNNNNNNNNNNNNNNNNNNNNNNNNNNNNNNNNNNNNNNNNNNNNNNNNNNNNNNNNNNNNNNNNNNNNNNNNNNNNNNNNNNNNNNNNNNNNNNNNNNNNNNNNNNNNNNNNNNNNNNNNNNNNNNNNNNNNNNNNNNNNNNNNNNNNNNNNNNNNNNNNNNNNAACCAAAGGAAGCAUGUUCCAGACGUCGAUGCCACAACCAAAUUUCAGACUUUUUCUUCUCCUCCUUAGAUCCAUCUGCCAUCAAGGCUUGUUGCAACUUAUUUGAAUCCUUUGAUUGCAAGUCCAAGUAUAGAGUUUCCCCCGCUUAAUACGACAACCAAUCGUCUGUCUUGUUUGAAUGUCCUUAAUCACACAAAAUUCAGGCCAAAAAAUGACAAUACAAGAUAAGGCUGCAGUGAUUUGAGAAACUAACAAAAGAUUGUAAUCUAAAGAUGGAACAACUAAAACAGAAUCCAAAUUCAAAGUAUCAGUAAGAGUUAAGGAUCCUUCCCCAAUGACUGGGGUUGUGUUACCAUUGGCUGUGGAAACAAUUUUUUGUGAGGAAGGUCUAAGGGGUGAAACCUGUCUAGAAUCAAAAGUCAUAUGAUCUGUAGCACCAGAAUCAAUUAUCCAUGCACUAUUAAUAACAGGUGUAAAAGUAUUUAAAAACUUACCACAAUGAUCUGUAGCGGCUACUAAUGCAGAGACUUUCUCAACAACAUUAGUCUUUGUUUUUAUUUCGGUAACAGUUGCAAUCAAGGUUUUCUUGGAAUUCUUCUUCCGUUGAUCACGAUUAUUAUCAUUAAUAACAAAGUGUUGAUAGCCUAAACAUGAUCUAAAGGUCCAUGGUGCAAACCCUCGGUUCCUCAUUGUUUUCCUGGUCAUACCAAGAGUUGUUGCUUUGAAAUUGUGGGAUAUCCAGACUGGUGGGAUCAGUUUUAUUGCAGUGAGUGCAUUUGAAUGUUGACUUAUCAAUAUUAGGGCUUGUCUUCGGAUGGUUGAUUGCUGUUGGACUACCAUAGCGACAAAAUAUCCAGGAUUUCAAUUCCAGGGCUCUGAUACCAUCUUCAAAUUGAUGAAUGAUAGUUUUUCAUUCAUUCUUUCAUGUACAGAGUAUAUAUAGAGGGUAAUCACCAUUCUAAGAAUGGGAAAGAAUGAUACGAGGAAAUAAUGAUAUAAGGAAAUAAUAACUAAUAUCCUAAUAUCUCAACUUUCCUAAUAUCUCAAUAUUCCUAAUAUCUCAACUUUCCUAAUAUCUAAACAUUCAUAAUAUCUCAACACUAAAUGAUACAAGGAAAGAAUGAUAUAAGGAAAACAUUCCUAAUAUCUCAACACCACUUCAUGAUAUAUAUAGUUUCUUACCCUUAAUCAAUGGUUUCUAAGUGAAUUUAUAUAGAAAGAAAUCCAAACUGUAGACAGCAGUAUUGGUAACACUCAAUAUUCUGUAUAUAAUAGAAUAAAUAGCGUCACAGUGAUCGUCGCCUACAAGCAAGGUACAAAUACCACAAAGAGUGACCCACAUAGACAUUCCCCAACAAGAUGUAGUAGUGACUGACACAUAGCCACAAUUAACACGUAGAAAAGGAUAAGACCGGUGCACAGUAGCUCUUAUUUUACAUACUACUUAUGCCAACCAAAGUCACUCAGUUGGGAUGGGAGGGAGAUGGAGGUUUGUGCGGUGGCUUGUGGGGCGGAGUUGAUGGCUUCUUUCCAGGAGCUUCUGGCUUUUUCAUCGGAGCUGAAGGAGGCUCAAUCUUAUGAGGCGGCUUGUACGAGUCUUCUUUGCUCUCGAAAGGAGGGUGGCCAGGGUUGUGACCAUAAUGUGGUGGUUUCUCUCCCUUGGGAGGUUUACCAAUUGGGGUUGGUGGCUUGUGUUCUGGGAGUGGUUUCUCUCCCUUGGGAGGUUUAGUGGGUGACUUGUGUUCUGGAGGUGGCUUCUCCACCGAAGGCUUGUGCUCCGGUGGUGGCUUUUUGGUUGGAGGGGGCUUGGGGUAAUCAGCAAGAGAUGGGGUGGUGAGAACCACCAGUCCAAGGAACAACACUAGCAAGUAUGUGGGAGACAUUUUUGAGUUUGGGCUGAUCAGAUGAUGCAAAACUAAAGCAUUACGUGACCUUUUAUAGCAAGUAGCUCCCAAUACCUACUUGACACGUGUUACUGUGACCCAUAAAUAUUAUGGGGUCUAUUUGUGCCCUACCGGGUUGAAAACUUGGACAAUUGGGCAAGGACCCGCCUGACUAUGGAGGACUACUGAGGUGUGAUCACAGCUUUAGGAUUUUUCUUCCUCUGCAGCCGUCUUGCCGUUGGCAUGAUUUUCUUAAUCUCAAAUAAAGGCAUAGUUAUAGAGUUGUUUAAUCUCUAAAUGGGAUUUUAUAUAUCUUCAGAUAGCCAUUAAUACAUUUGAUGAAGAAAGAAAGACAAGUGCAUACAACAUGUAUACGACUAGCUUUCAUGGAGUUCAUUUAUGAUCAGUUUUCCUGUACAUGUAAACCAAGAUCAUAUAUGUUUUUGUUCCACAACAAUUUUGGAAUCUUGUUUAUCCGUUUUUAUCAUUAUAAUGUCACAUAGGCUGCCAACUUGGGCGCUAAAUUAAAGAUCCAGUUGGGCAAGUUCGUUUCAGAAUUUCAAUGGUGGAUUCAGGAAUUGUUUUAUAAGAUAUGCAAAAUAGUAGAGGGAUGAAUAGUGUUUCAUUAAGAAAAGAGCCCUGUAAAAAUAUUGUUUAAAGGUGCCAUAGAAACUAUAAUCAAUAAAUAACUUUUUUUCCCCAUGGGUGGUGUUUCUUGUGGGGAUCAGUGACUGGUUUGAGUCAACGCCGUGUCUCUUUAGUCCAGAAAUCAACUAUUUUAUGCAUUGAAUACAUCAACAAAGAAAAUAUGAAAGCCAAAUGACACCUCCCCCGCAAAAACUAAACCCUGGUUGCUAACUUUCUAUGUUUCAGUUCCAUUCACACAAGAAUAUUAGUUCAAGUUUGAGAAAAAUGGCGACUUACCUAGUGAUAACUCGGUCUUGGUUUGCGAUUUGACUUUAACGUCAUGGGUUGAAGCCUCCUACAAUCAUCGUGUAUGCUAGUUCAAAGCUCGUGGAAGAAGUUAUACAGGGAGGGAGAAACCUCCACAGCAAGCUCCAAAAGAGAAUUAUCACAUUGAAAGCUCCAGUUGAACACUGGGUGAAAGCCAUAACAAGAUUGGUUUUCUAUCGCUCUUUUAAGUAAUGGAAGAUUAUUAUCUCUGCUUGUCACUACAACCGUGCAUGCUGCUAGAUCUUUCUAGACACUUCAAACAGUGAAACCAAGUAUGAUUCUUUUUCUCUUGAGUGGGUCCACUUGCAUGCCAAUGAACGAGUUGAAAAGUUGGACAAUUGGCCACAGCGCGCACUUACCUUCUGGAACCGAAGGUCAGUGAAGUGGGGUUCCUUUUGGCCCCUUGUGUUUCUGUUCCAACCUACUCCAGGAACCGAAGUUCAGUGAAGUGGGGCUACUUUUGGCCUCUUGUGUUUCUGUUCCAACCAAACAAAAAUGGGAGGGAAAAAUAGCAUUAUGCUUGUGCUAAAGAUCAACGCAUGAUAGCUGAAUAAGGGAGAAAAAGGCAUUGCUAUCUCAAUUUCAUAAACUUGAUAAGUAGUGACAUUAAUAGUCUUCCUCAUAGAUGGAUACAUGGUUUUAUUUUAUUUAUUUAUUUUUAUUUUUUUGUUUUAUGUCAAUGCUAAUGAAUGAAGUGCAUUAGCUUGUUUUGUGACUAGAACUACAAAUGUCCAAAUUGGAGCUUCUCCAAUAUAUUUCUCAGUGAGUUAUUGAUUAGAACUCUUGGAUUGAGUUCCAAGAUUUGAAUCAGACCCCUCUAGCAGCUUCAGGGGUACGUAGCAACCUAUAGCAUAUUAAUGAAGACUUAGGAUUUAGACUUAGGAAUACAAAUUAAUAUGUACCUCAUGCUCUGACUAGCUUCCCUGCGUAUGCACAAAAUGGAGAUGACUCCCAAAAAAAUAGCAGAAUCGCCUUAGUAUGUUUUUGUGGUUAAGAUGAUUCUCCACUUUAUAUAUCCACAUUGGUUCAUUAUGCAAAUUAAUCAACUAAGCUAUUUUUAUUUUUUCUUAAAUGUGAAAUAGGAGCUCCAAAUUAACCUAACCAUUGGCCUGAUUGAAUUGAUUUCACUUGCAUAAUGUUAUAGUAGAAGUCCGUAAUUUGAAUUUUAUUUUUGCAAAAGGUAACGUAAAUGAAGCAUUGUAAUUAAAUUUAUUUGUAAUUACAAACUAAUUUUAUUUUAUUAAGAAUUAAUUUAAUUACUCAUUUAAAAUAAAAAUCAGUUAUACUUUUACCAAGAUGAUAAUAUUCAUAUUUUUCUAGUUAACAUAUAUAAAAUAGUACACUUUUUCAUAUAAAAAAAUAAUUUAUGAUUUAUUAUAAUGUUACUAUUCACAUUUUACUAAAUUGAUGGUACAUGAUAGUGAGAGAAGGGGGUGUCACACUCAGCUAAAGUUCUUUUCAAAAUAUUGCAUGGUGUUUAAUUUUAUGUGUCGGCGCGCGUGUGAAUGGAACCUGCAAAAGUCCAAAUUGGCGUUUCUCCAUUUUCCACAUAGGAUGGUGACGUUAAUAGACAAAGAUACAAUAUCUGUAGACAUUGCUUAAAAAUCGAUGUGAAGUAUUAGAAAUUACAGGGCACUGUACUGGGGGAGCGGCUGCCCCGCCAAAGGAGGAAGAAUGUAGCAAUUUCUUCUGUUAGCCAGGCCUUAGGAUUUAUGCAUGGGAUGCCUAAUAACAAACAGAGAAAAUAUACUUUUGGGGAAGGUAUCCAACAACAGACACCAUCAUUCAGAUGGUGGGAAGGUAUCCAACAGAUGCCAUCAUUCAGAUGGUAACAUAUAUAUACAUUUAUUAGUGAGUUUUUUUAAUACCUAUAAAAAAAAAUAUACACUUUGAUAUUGUGGCUGAAUCCAUUACAUACUCAACUAACCUUGCUCAUUAGGGAUUUGACUUAACAAGGGCAACGUUGCAGUACAAGCUCAAAACUUUAUGCAGGUGACAUUACAUUUGGUAAAGAAGAGGAAAAUAACGAAAGCCAUCCAUAAAAGCAAAAUUCCACAUGGGAUGAAAUUCACAAGCUUCAUUUACGAUAGAGUCGCAUCCAGGCAAUUAAUUCCACAUUAGACCGCCUGUUGACAUGUGUACCAAUCUUUUUUCAAAAAAUAUUUAUAAAUAAUUGAUACUCACAAAAAUAAUUUAAUAUUUAUAAAGGAUAAAAAAAUAUUUUCAAAUCUAUAACAAUUUAUAAAAUAUUAAUAAAAAAUUAUCUCUUAAACUUAGUAUAGUUUUAUCAGAUUAAACUUUUAUUUUGAACAAAUAAUUUUAAUCUAAGUUUUAAAUUCUAAAAUUAUUUCCUUAAAAUAAAAUUUUAAAAUUCAACACUUCAAUUGAAAUUGUCUUUUUAAAAAAUAUCUUCUUAUUUUAAUCCUUAUAAACUAUAGUUGAUUGAAAAUACUAUUGAAGUUCUCUCUUAAAAAAAAGUCUUAUUUUAAUCUUCAUAAAUUGCCCUUGAUUUGAAAAUAAAUUUUCAGUUAUCAUAUUUUAAAUAAUAUCUAUAUUUAAAAUACUCUAUUUAAAAAAAAAUGAACUAAUUUUAAUUAUAUUAUAUUUUAUUUUUUUAUAUAUUUUUAAUGAUAAACCAAACAUAGAAAAUCAUUUUUCUAAAUAUUUUAAAAUUUCUAAGCAACCAAACAUAAUCUUCAAAAUAAAAGGAAAAUAAGGAGGGACAUUUGAGAAAUGGCGAUUAAAAAAAAGUGUACAAAAGCUCAAUUAAUUUUCUUCUAGUCUUUUAUAUAAAAAAGUAAAGGAAUUGAAAAGUAUUGAUAUGUAAAUUAAUAUUUGGAUUUUAAUAGUAUUUUAUUUGUCUUUCUCUAUCUCAUGUAAAAGAGAAUUUAAGAUAUUUCCUAAAGCAAAGCAUUAGUUAUCUGCAAUCAGUGGUGAUCAUGCCCCAUGUCAAUUUCGGACCCAUAUCUUAAAACUGUAUAAUUUGCAUUCAAACAUUACUGAUUUCUCAGAUGUUUCAUACUCCACAGAAGAGCAUUGUUUGUGAAAGCAUGCAUUUAUGUUGGAUUUUGGAUGAUGUGGGAACUGGGGCAAGGAUCAUAUGGAAGAGUGGUCGAUUUUGUUCUGUACUUUAACAUUUGAAAUAGGAGAAGCUCGGGCAUUUGUGGGGCUUAAUUGAUUUUGAAGCCUGAAAUUGCGUUUCUGUCAUUUUGUAAAAAAUAUGGCAGAUUCCAUGCUCUCAUAUGUUUGGUCUGUGGCCAUGUAUAGAUGCCCCUUAGUGACCAGUUUGUAACUGUCAAUCAUAGUGUUUUGACUCUGGCUCAACAACAUCAGCCAUUGACGGAUUUUCAUACUUGCAAAUCAAAUAGUCUUCUUCCUCCCUUAGGAAUUUCGGUUUAAAUGUUAUUAAGCAUACAUUUGGCUGACAAUUAUUAACCACUUCAUGAUAUGGUUUCUUACCCUUAAUCAAUGGUUUCUAAGUGAAUAUAUGCAGAAGGAAAUCUGAACUGUAGACAGCAGUAUUGAUAACUCUCAAUAUUCUUUAUAUAAGAGAAUAAACAACGUCAUAGUGAUCGUCGCCUACAAGAAAGGUACAUUUCCCAACAAGAUGUAGUUGUGACUGGUACAUGGACGCAAUUAACUCGUACAAAAGAAUAAGACCAGUGCACGGCAGCUCUUAUUUUACAUGCUAAUUAUGCUAACCAAAGUCACUCAGUUGGGAUGGGAGGGAGAUGGAGGUUUGUGCGGUGGCUUGUGGGGCGGAGUUGGUGGCUUCUUUUCAGGAGCUUGUGGCUUUUUCGGAGCUGAAGGAGGCUCAAUCUUAUGAGGCGGCUUGUACGAGUCUUCUUUACUCUCGACAGGAGGGUGGCCAGGGUUGUGACCAUAAUGUGGUGGCUUCUCUCCCUUAGGUGGCUUGCCAACUGGGGUUGGUGGCUUGUGUUCAGGAAGUGGUUUCUCUCCCUUGGGAGGUUUACCAAUUGGGGUUGGUGGCUUGUGUUCUGGGAGUGGUUUCUCUCCCUUGGGAGGUUUAGUGGGUGACUUGUGUUCUGGAGGUGGCUUCUCCACCGGAGGCUUGUGCUCCGGUGGUGGCUUCUCCACCGGAGGCUUGUGCUCCGGUGGUGGCUUCUUGAUUGGAGGGGGCUUGGGGUAAUCAGCAAGAGAUGGGAUGGUGAGAACCACCACUCCAAGGAACAACACUAGCAAGUAUGUGGGAGACAUUUCUGAGUUUGAGCUGAUCAGAUGAUGCAAAACUAGAAGAAUUACGGGACCUUUUAUAGCAAGUAUCUCCCAAUACCCACAUGACACGUGUUACUAUGACCAUAAAUAUUAUAGGGUCCAUUUGUGCCCUACCGGGUUGAAAACUUGGACGCUUGGCCGAGGACACACCUGACUAUGGAGGACUAUUGACGUGUGAUCACAGCUUUUGGAUUUUUCUUCCUGUGCAGCUGUCUAGCGGUUGGCAUUAUUUUCUUAAUCUUAAAUAAAGGCAUAGUUAUAGAGUUGUUUAAUCUCUAAAUGGGAUUUUAUAUAUCUUCAGAUAGCCAUUAAUAUAUUUGAUGAAGAAAGACAAGUGCAUACAACAUGUAUACGGCUUGCUUCAAUCGAGUACAUUUAUGAUCAGUUUUCCUGUGCAAGUAAACCAGUUUUUUGUUCCACAACUAUUUUGGAAUCUUGUUUAUCAGUUUCUAUCAUUAUAAUGUCACAUAGGCUGCAAACUUGGGCACCCAAAGAUCUAGGUGGGCAAAUUUGUUUCAGACUUUCAAUGGUGGAUUCAGUAAUUGUUAAAAGGUGUUUCUUCAUUAAGGAAAGAGUCCGGUAAAAAUAUUGUUAAAAGGUGUCAUAGAAACUAUAAUAAAUAAAUAACUUCUUUUCCCCAUGGGUGGUGUUUCUUCUGGGGAUCAGUGACUGGUUAGGGUCACCCAAAAUGAGUCCAGAUUAAAAUUGGUUCGAGUCAAAGCAGUCUCUUUUGUCCAGAAAUCAACUAUUUUGCGCAUUGAAUGAAUCGAUAAAGAAAAAAUGAAAGCCAAAUCACACCUCCCCUGCAAAACCUAAACCCCGGUUGCUAACUUUCUAUGUUUCAGUCCUAUUCAUAUAGGAAUAUUGGUUCAAGUUUGAGAAAAAUGGCAACUUACCUAGGGUUUACUUGGUUUUGGUUUGCGACUAUUUACGCAACCAACCAUGAGUUUGACUUUAACGUCAUGGGUUGAAGCCUCCUACAAUCAUGUAUGAUAGUUCAAAGCUCGUGGAAGAAAUUAUACAGGAAGGAAGAAACCUCCAAAGCUAGCUCCAAAAGAGAAUUAUCACAUCGAUAGCUCCAGAGAUUCCCAAGGGAACUGAAUCAAAGACAAGUUCCUCACUUUUUCUUCUUUUGAGGCCAAAUAUGAACCAAGGAUCACACGACCUCAUUCAACUUCAUAAGUUUGAUUUCAUGCAGUUGAACACUGGGUGAAGGCCAUGACAAGAAUUGAUUAAAAAAUUCUACCACUCUUUUAAGUAAUGGAAGAUUAUUAUCUCUGAUUGGCACCACAACAGCACAUGCUGCUAGAUCUUUCUAGACACUCCAUGCAAUGAAAGCACAAUGGAUCUUGUAAUGAUAGAAACUAAGCCAUGCUACAGUACUAGAUGAGGGGGUAAAACUAGUAGACAUCUUUCUAGACACUCCAUGCAAUGAAAGCACAAUGGAUCUUGUAAUGAUAGAAACUAAGCCAUGCUACAGUACUAGAUGAGGUGGUAAAACUAGUAGACAUGGCUGGCAGUUGAUUACUACUCAAAAAGUACUCUUUUAUAGCUUGAAACUAACUGUUUUAAACACUUUUGAGUAGUAGUUAAUACCUUUUAACUUAAUUGGCACAUUAAGGAACCUAGCAAGGGUUACUAAUCAACAUUUGGCAAGUUUUGAUGUUUUUGGUAGCUAUUUGAUCAUUGAAACAAGCCAAGAAUGAGGGGGAAUUUUGUGAAGUCCAUGGCAAUGCAAGUUAAAGCUCAAAUACAUGAAGAAUCCAAGCUUUGGAGCACUUCAUAGCCCUUUGCCAAGCCAAUCAAAGAUGCAAGGAAGAAAACCAAAGGAAGAAAUCCAACAAUCAGCAUUUUGGCAUGGCUAUGUGAAAUUUCGCACACCAUGCGAAACCACAAGAGGCAGCCAAAGAAUUUCGCAUGGUAUGCGAAAUCUUCUUGUGCACUGACUCUGUUAGAUUUUUAUCUUCAGAUAUUUUGUGUAAUUUCCUAGUUUCUCCUUGUAACCAACUUAGAUAUUUUCUUUUAUAUCUUUUUUUAUAUUUUUUAGGUAACAUCAUAUAUAAGAGGAGAGACAUAAGGAGGAUAUGGAUGUUUUUCAUAGAACACUUGUAAAUUUUUGGUAGUAAGAAAUAUACAAAGCUUUUUGCUCUGCCUUACCUUCUCAAGGGAUGAGUGGCUAGGUUUUCUUGGAGUGAGGGAAGCUAGGUGAAGGACCUGAAUGCAAAGGUGGGAGUUUUCCUUACUUUAAAUGAAAGUAGUUGUUAAACAUUAAUGGUUUUUAUUUUAAGGUUUAGCUUUAAAUCCCUGAAAAACACCUUGAAUGGCCAAUACUUGGUAAGCUUUUUAGAUUCUAUGGAUGCUUAUUGCUAGAUCCAUGGAUGUCUAUUAGUUAUCAUUUACGAGCCAUUGGAAGGUGAUUCAAGGUGAGGGUCUUUAGUGUUUGAAGCCAUUAAUGGGAAGCAAUUACCAUUUUUUCAUGAAUCCUUUGGAUCAAAUCUUAAUUGCUAAAUAUAAAACCGGUUUCGAGAGAUAACCACCAUCCUUUAUGUUAUUAUCCCCAACGCGAGGAGAAGAUCCGAAAUCUUCCUUUUUAUCUAAGGAACCCGAUCCUAGUGACCUAAAGCUCCAAGAUACCUUUUCUUUGUAGUUAACUUCAUUUAUUGUUUUUGCUUAACUUAAAAUCAAUCUUUGCAACCACAAUUCCAUUUUCUUUAAAAGCUAAUUUUUAUAAGGAAAAACACCAUUUUAUUUCCUUCACUAAGUCAACUGUACGAUGAAAACCCAUCCCUGUGGACGAUCCUAGAGCCACUAUACUAUGUUAGCUAUGCUACCCUAGUGUGAGGUGAUUUAGGUUUUAUAAAUUUUUUUGAUAACACCCAUCUGAGCCAGAAUCAAAUGGCACGACUGAACCAGGGACGAAUCAAAUGACGCCGCUACCAAGGAUGGUGCCAAAGUACAUUGACAUGACUUUUGGUGAACACUUGUGAUCUUCACCACAAGUUUGGUGAUUUUUCUUUUACUAAUUUUUUUUAUUUUAGCUUAUCUUUUAUUUAGUUUUUAGUUAACCUUAAAUUUUUCCUAGAAUUGUAUUUCUUUUGUUUUCUUUGUUUUUGUUUCAGUGAUCUUUAGUUGUGCAUGCCCUAUUGGAUAAGAGAUAUUGAGGGAAUACUUGUGAAGAUUGAAACUCCUCGAGAAACUGAGUUAGAAGUGUGCUUGAACAUCAUGGAUGUUCCACCUGAAGACCAGAAUAGCCAACAUGGUUAAGAGGAUAAUUUCAACACAUACCGAUCCAUGAGGAACCGCAUACAUCCACCUUGUAUGAGUGCACCGUCAGGCAUAAUGCCUCCCACUGAGCAGCUAGUAAUCUGACCUCACAUUGUGCCACUCCUACCUACUUUCCAUGGGAUGGAGAGUGAGAAUCCCUACUCGCAUAUUAAGGAAUUCGAGGAGGUUUGUAAUACAUUCCAAGAAGGAGGAGCUUCAAUUGACUUGAUGAGGCUCAAGCUAUUUCCUUUCACUUUGAAGGAUAAGGCCAAGAUUUGGCUUAAUUCUUUAAGGCCAAGAAGUAUCCAAACUUGGAUUGAUUUGUAAGCCGAGUUUCUUAAGAAGUUCUUCCCUACCCAUAGGACCAAUGGUUUGAAAAGGCAAAAUUUGAACUUCUCAGUUAAAGAGAAUGAGAAAUUCUAUGAGUGUUGGGAGAGCUACAUGGAAGCUAUUAACGUUUGUCCUCACCAUGGCUUUGACACAUGGCUCUUAGUGAGCUAUUUUUACAAUGGUAUGUCUUCUUCAAUGAAGCAACUCCUAGAAACUAUGUGUGGAGGAGACUUCAUGAGUAAGAAUCCGGAGGAAGCCAUGGACUUUUUGAGUUAUGUGGCUGAAGUUUCAAGAGGAUGGGAUGAACCAAAUGCUAGAGAGGUGGGAAGAAUGAAGUCUCAACCUAAUGCUAAGGGUGAGAUGUAUGUUUUGAAUGAAGACAUUGACAUGAAAGCAAAGGUUGCAGCUAUGGCAAGGAGAUUGGAAGAGCUAGAAAUGAAGAACAUACAAAAAGUGCAAGCCAUUUCUGAGACAUCAAUGAAAGCUAUGCCUUGUUCCAUUUGUCAAUCUUAUAAGCACCUAGUGGAGGAGUGUCCUACAAUUCCAGCAGUGAGAGAGAUGUUUGGUGAUCAAGCAAAUGUUAUUGAUCAAUUCAAGCCUAAUAACAAUGCUUCAUAUGGCAACACCUACAAUUCAAAUUGGAGGAACCAUUCAAAUUUCUCUUGGAAACGAAAGCCACCUCAAUACACACAACCUACUCAAGCACCUUAGCAAUCCUCGAAUCUUGAACAAGCUAUUGUGAACCUUAGCAAGGUUGUGGGAGACUUUGUGGGAGAUCAGAAGUCCAUCAAUGCUCAACUGAAUCGGAGAAUUGACAGUGUGGAGAGUACAUUGAACAAAAGGAUGGAUGAGAUGUAAAAUGAUCUGUCUCAAAAGAUAGACAAUGUCCAAUACGUAAUCUCAAGGCUUACCAACCUCAACACAGUGUAAGAGAAAGGAAAGUUUCCUUCUCAACCUCAUCAAAAUCCUAAGGGUAUCCAUGAAGUAGAGGCUCAAGAGGGAGAAUCUUCAAAGGUGAGGGAAGUCAAAGUAGUUAUCACCUUGAAGAGUGGUAAAGAGGUUGAUCAACCCACAUCCAAGCCAAAGCAUAAUGAAGAGAGUGUAGCAGAAAAAGAAAAGAGAGGAAAAUAAAGGAAUUAGAAUAGAGAAAAAUACAAAGAAAGAUGACCAUGAGUCUAGUGUGGAUGAAGAGCCCGAGAGGAUGGUGAUCAAGGAAGAUAUGAUGAAGAAACACAUGCCUCCACCUUUCCCCUAAGCUUUGCAUGACAAAAAAAGAACCAAUAAUACAUCAGAAAAUUUUGAAGUAUUGAGGCAAGUGAAGGUCAAUAUCCCUUUGCUAGACAUGAUCAAACAAGUGUCGACAUAUGAAAAAUUCUUGAAGGACUUGUGCACUGUAAAGAGAGGGUUGAAUGUGAACAAGAAAGCUUUAUUGACCGAGCAAGUGAGUUCCAUCAUACAGUGCAAGUCCUAGUGAAGUACAAAGAUCCGGGUUGCCGUACCAUCUCAGUGAGUAUUGGAAGGACUUGUGUGGAGAAAGCUUUGUUGGACUUGGGAGCAAGUGUGAAUUUGCUAUCCUACUCUGUCUAUAAGCAGUUGGGAUUUGGAGAGUUGAAGCCAAUAUCCAUCACUCUAUCUCUAGCGGAUAGAUCAAUGAAGAUUCCAAGAGGGAUGAUCGAAGAUGUCCUGGUUCAAGUUAACAAAUUCUACUAUCCAGUAGAUUUUGUUGUUCUUGAUAUGGAUCCGGUUGUCAAAUGAACUAAUUAUGUUCCUAUCAUACUUGGAAGACCCUUCCUAGCUACAUCAAAUGCAAUCAUCAAUUGUAGGAAUGGAGUCAUGCAACUCACAUUUGUCAACAUGACAUUAGAGCUCAACAUCUUCCAUUUGUACAAGAAGCAUAUCCAUCAGGAGGAAAAAGAAGGUCUAGAGGAAGUGUGAAUGAUUGACACUUUAGUGGAAGAGCAUUGUGAUCGAGAAUGCAAAAAGAUUUAGUUGAGAAUUUUGGGGAUCUUGAUGAAAGGUUACUUGAACCCUCAGAUUUGCUUGCUACCCUACUCCAUUGGAAGAGAAGAGAAGAAAUUCUACCCUUAUUCAAUGAGGAGGAGACGCAAAGAGCUGCAAAGGAGAAACCCCCAAAACUUAUUCUUAAGCCACUACCCACAGAGUUGAAGUAUGUAUACUUGGAAGAAGACAAGAAGUGCCCUAUUGUUAUAUCUUCAACUCUUACCAUUCAUCAGGAGGAUUGUCUACUUGAAGUCCUUAGAAGAUGUAAGAAGACAAUAAGGUGGCUAAUUUCUUAUUUGAAAGGGAUCAGCCCUUUAGUCUGCACCCAUCAUAUUUACAUGGAGGAUGAAGCUAAGCUAAUUCAUCAACCUCAGAGAAGGUUGAACCCUCACAUGCAAGAGGUGGUUCGAGCUGAAGUUCUGAAGCUACUUCAGACCAGUAUUAUUUACCCCAUAUCAAAUAGCCCAUGGGUGAGUCCUACUCAAGUUGCGCCAAAGAAGUCUGGGAUCAUGGUGGUGCAAAAUGAUAAGGGAGAAGAUGUCUCUACACGCCUCACUACAGGUUGGAGGGUGUGUAUCAAUUACAGGAGGUUGAAUGCAGUGAUAAGAAAGGACCAUUUCUCAUUGCCCUUUAUUGAUCAGGUGCUUGAGAGGGUCUCUGGGCUUUUUUUUUUAUUGUUUCUUGGAUGGCUACUCCGGGUACUUUCAGAUAGAAAUUGAUGUUGAAAACCAAGAUAAGACCAUUUUCACAUGCCCAUUUGGAACCUAUGCAUAAAGGAGAAUGCCUUUCGGCUUAUGCAAUGCACCCGCAACUUUCCAAAGAUGCAUGUUAAGCAUUUUCAGUGAUAUGGUGGAGCGUAUUAUGGAAGUCUUUAUGGAUGAUAUCACCAUUUAUGGAAGUGCAUUUGAUGAAUGCUUGGUCAACUUAGAAGCUGUUCUGAACCGAUACAUUGAGAAAGACUUAGUGCUUAACUGGGAGAAGUGCCAUUUCAUGGUACACCAAGGGAUUGUCCUUGGGCACAUUAUCUCCAAGCAAGGCAUUGAAGUUGACAAAGCAAAGGUUGAACUCAUUGUUAAGUUGCCAUCCUCAACAAAUGUCAAAGGAGUAAGGCAAUUCUUUGGCCAUGUCGGGUUCUAUAGGAGGUUUAUCAAGGAUUUCUCUAAGCUUGCAAGGCCUCUUUGUGAAAUAUUGGUGAAUGAUGUUAAAUUCAUAUGGGAUGAUGGAUUUGAAAGGAGUUUUGAAGAAUUGAAGCUAUUUUUGACAACCGUACCAAUAGUGAGGGCUCCCAACUGGCAACUGCCCUUUGAAGUAAUGUGUGAUGUCAAUGAUUUUGCUAUAGGAUUUUUUCUUGGGCAAAGAGAAAAUGGAAAACCUUAUGUGAUCUACUAUGCGAGGAAGGCAUUGAAUGAGGCACAAAGAAACUACACAACCACCGAGAAAGAAUUGUUAGCUGUAGUUUUUGCCUUGGAUAAGUUUCGCGCUUACUUGGUGGGGUCCUUCAUCAUGGUUUUUACUGAUCACUUUGCUUUGAAGUAUCUGUUGACUAAGCAAGAUGCUAAAGCAAGGCUGAUUAGAUGGAUUCUCUUACUUCAAGAGUUCAAUCUCCAUAUCAAAGAUAAGAAAGGAGUGGAGAAUGUGGUAGCAGACCACAUUUCAAGGCUAGCUAUCGCACAUAAUUCCCAUGCUUUGCCCAUUAAUGACGAUUUUCUAGAGGGGUCUCUCAUGUUGGUGGAAGUUGUCCCUUGGUACGCUCACAUUGCUAACUACCUGGUCACGGGAAAAGUUCCAAGUGAGUGGAAAGCACAAGAUAAGAAGCACUUCUUUGCAAAAAUUCAUGCCUACUAUUGGGAAGAGCCAUUUCUAUUCAAGUAUUGUAUGGAUCAGAUAAUAAGGAAGUGCGUUCCUGAAGAAGAGCAACAGGGGAUCCUUAGUCAUUACCAUGAAAAUGCAUGUGGAGGCCACUUUGCUUAUCAAAAGACAGCCAUGAGGGUGUUGCAAUCGGGUUUCUGUUGGCCAUCACUUUUCAAAGAUGCCCACACCAUGUGCAAGAGUUGUGAUCGAUGCCAGAGGCUUGGGAAGUUGACACGCAGGAACAUGAUGCCUUUGAACCCCACUUUAAUAGUUGAUAUUUUUUAUGUUUGGGGCACUAACUUCAUGGGACCUUUCCCUAUGUCUUUUGGCUACUCUUACAUCUUGGUAGGAGUAGAUUAUGUUUCUAAGUGGGUUGAGGCAGUCCCAUGCAAACACAAUGACCAUAGAGUGGUUCUCAAGUUUCUUAAAGAGAAUAUCUUCUCAAGAUUUGGGGUGCCCAAAGCCAUAAUUAGUGAUGGGGGUACUCAUUUUUGCAACAAGCCUUUUGAAACUCUCCUAGCCAAGUAUGGGGUGAAGCAUAAGGUAGCUACACCUUACCACCCUCAAACUCAUGGACAAGUUGAGUUAGCAAACAGGGAGAUUAAAAACAUAUUGAUGAAGGUGGUGAACACAAACAGAAAAGAUUGGUCAGUCAAGCUUCUUAAUUCACUAUGGGCAUAUAGAACAACUUACAAGACCAUUCUCGGGAUGUCUCCUUAUCGCCUAGUUUAUGGCAAAGCAUGCCAUCUCCCUGUGGAAUUGGAAUACAAAGCUUGGUGGGCAAUCAAGAAGCUCAACAUGGAUUUGAGCAGAGCUGGGUUGAAGAGGUUCUUAGACCUUAAUGAGAUGGAGAAAUUGAGAAAUGAUGCCUACAUCAAUUCAAAAAUUGCAAAAGAAAAAUUGAAGAGGUGGCAUGAUCAGUUGAUUUCCCGCAAGGAUUUUCAAAAUGGACAAAGAGUCUUACUUUAUGACUCUAAACUCCACAUCUUUCCGGGCAAGCUGAAAUCAAGGUGGAUAGGUCAUUUUACCAUUCACCAAGUGCAUUCAAAUGGAGUAGUGGAACUACUCAACUCCAACAAUAUCGAGAACUUCAAAGUGAAUGGCCACCGUCUCAAGCCCUUUGUGGAGUCUUUUUCUCACAACAAGGAGAAAUUCAUCCUCCUUGAUCCACAUCAAGCUUAACAAGACCAAUUUUCUUGAUGGACUUAGUCUUUCUAAAGACUAUCGAGUCCAUAACUUUUUGUUUUAUUUUUUAUUUGAGAUUUUUUCGGUAUUGUUACUUGUUUUGUUUUUUAUUUUUCGUUUUAAUUUUAUUUGGUUUGAUUUAACUUAGGUUUUUGAUGAUCAAUUACAGGGGGGAUUUCAAAUAGAGGAAAAACCAAGAUAAUUCGCACACCCUACGAAAAUUUCGCAAGGCAUGCGAAAUUUAUGGCUUAUUUUGCAUGGGGUGAAAAUUUUCGUACAUCUUACGAACCAAUUUCGAACACUUUGCGAAAAUAAACCAACCCUGCGAAAUCAUUUCGAUUACUCUACGAAAUUUUCGUAGAGCAUGCGAAAAAUUUAGCACACCAAACACCAUUUCGCAUACUAUGCAAAAACCUAAGGGGUCUGCGAAACCAUUUCGCACCUCCAAAUCCAUUUCGCACAUUGUGCGAAAACCAAGAGGCGCUGUGCGAAAAUGAAAAGUCGCCCUGUCAUCCCUUUUUAAACCCCUCGAGCCCUAAAAUCUCCAUUUCGCAAGCACCCCUGUCCUUGCGAAUCCCUCAUUUUCCUCUACUACCUUGCAACCUCGUCCCUUUCCAUUUGAUAUUGUGCCCCGCGCACAUCUCAUUUCAGAGACUCGCACUCCGCGCCCCCUCAAAGCAUGGACUCGAGACCCACCUUCCAUUUCCGACGUGGCACGGACCCAAGGAGCCCUUUCUGCCCCUUCACUAAGACACACACCAAGGCAGAAAGCCUCCUUUGCUCAAGUGCCUAGUGAUUCUCCAUCUUAGGCCUCAGAGGCCUCGGAGGCCCCGUGGAUUCCACCUUCCGAGGGUAGAGCAGCCAUUGGUCCUUCCUCUUCUACUCCUUAGCGUAGAUACGAGACGAGGAGACCACCUACUACACAAGGGGCGACUACUUCGAGCCUUGAGAAUUCAGUACGAUGCCUUCCUGCCAAGAGGGUCAAGACUUCAGGUCCAAGUGAGUCAUCCAGAGCUUCAUAGCCUAAGCCUCCUGUAGAUUCCAAGGUUCCUACUGACAUAUCACCGGAGUCUAUUAUCAGAAGCCCGAUGCUCAUAGCACCGCCCAUUGAGGGCAACUCAGAUUAUAGAGCGAGAUCUUUCCACUUGGAGCUAUAUUUUGAUCAGGAGGCCAUACGACAGCAGCCUGAGCUCCGAGACUCUUAUGGCUUACUGCAGAGGUACCAUCUUGAGGAACUUAUGACUCCUCGUGAGUUUUUUUAUCCCAGAGUAGCACUAAACUUUUACCAGUCCAUGACUACUCGUGGCGUCCCGAGUCCUACCACGAUUCACUUCACCAUUGAUAGACGUCAUGGUAUCCUCAAGGCCAGACAUAUUACAGAGGCUCUACAAAUUCCUUUCGAGCUAGAGGAUCCAUCUGUUUUUCGCUAAUGGUCCCCAGUAUCUCAGAGGGACAUGGUCCGUAUUUUAUCUAGGGGAACAUCUACAGAUUCGAUCUUUCUACGGAAGGAGCUUCGACCUGGGAUGCUCCUCUUAGAUGUGGUGCUAUGCUCCAACCUCUUUCCCUUACAACAUUCGGUACAUAGGUGAUGAGCUAUUUUGGACGCUUUAUUCCGUAUAUCAGAGGGCUUCUACUUUGGCCCGCACCACUUGAUCAUGGUCUCCCUCAUCCACUUUGAGGAGAAGGUUCAUAGGAAGAAGCUUCAGAGGGUGGACACCAUUCCAUUACUAUUCCUGAGGUUACUUUGCCAGGUCUUGGAGUACAUGGGCUUUCCUACUGAGCCUCGGCUCGAGCUUUGCCGCCUUUGUCGAGAGUGAUCCACUCUCGACAAAUGGAAUUAGUUGGCGGGCUAUUCUGCACCUCCAGGAGCCCCUCCCAUGGUAGCACCUCCAAUGUCCCCACAGGCAAAGUAGGGCGAGCUCCCGGCAAAGACUGUACCACCAAUGCCCACACUUGAGGCUAUUUCUGCUGCUCUGCCUAUGACUCCUACUGUUCCACCAGUUGGUCCUUUUACAUCCGAGCCUUCCAUCACCAUCUCGGCUUCGGAGUUUCGCGCCCUUGUGCAUACCUUUCAGACACUCACCACCACACAUACUCCUCUCUUCUAGCAAAUGGUUGAGAUGUGUGCCCAUCAGGACCGGAAGACUACUAUACUCUGCCAAAUUCAGCAGCACCUAAGACUUUUGCCUCAACCUCAACCUAACCAUCCCAUAUCAUCAGAGCCUCUAGCUCCAACUGAGGAUACUAUUCCACCUGAGAACACUACCACAGUAGAGGUCCGGUUUCCACCACCUUAAGAGGCCACCACAGCUACAUCAGAGGAUGUGUCAUCUCCACUUGAGGCUCCCACUACUUGAUCAUAGGACAUAUCUUUAUCUUAUUGUAUUUACAUAUUAUAUUACUAGAGAUUUGUCCUUGUUUUGAUACUUUAUAUUCUGGGAUUGGAUGUAUUGCCUGAUGAUAUCUCAAUUGUACUUUCUCAUAUUAAUAUAUAGACAUCAAUUUUUUUUAGUAUACUUAGCAUUUUUCUAUUUCCUCUACUCAUUACUCUUUUGUUUUUUUUUACUCAUGUGGUUUCUCUUAUACAACUCAGACUCCAUUUCACUCAGGAGGUACCACUUCCUCCCUUUAUUUUCAAUUGCUCUUGAAAUAUUGAGUGCAAUGUUGAUCUUGGUUGGGGGGAGAGUUGAGGAAGGAAGUUUUGUUAAUAAUGCUAGGUUAAUUUGUUAAUUUAGUUACUUUCUGCUUAAUUUUAAAAGUUUUCACUCUACUUUCCAUGGUUAUUAAGGAAAAAUUCUCAAAAUGAAAUGGGAGAAAUCGAAUUCUUGCAUUUUUACUUGAAUCUUAGAAUUUGUAUCAUGCUUAUUAAAGUUGAUGAAUUAUUGAAACUCCUAUUGAAUUCAACCUUAUUUUUUCCACUUUAAUCUUACCACACACGGUGCACAUUAGGUUCCAGUUAUAAGAUAAAAAACUAUCUCACCCCCUAAACUUAGAAAAAUUUACACUUGGUACCUUUGACAUCGUUUUAAUAGUGUUGGGACACCUUAUAAAAGGCCAAUGAGCCUUUAAAAAAAAAAAAAAAAAAAAAAAGAGAAAGAACAAAGUAUUGCACUUGCCUUGAAACCUGAGCAAGAUCCGAGGGGUAUACAGUGAAAGUCUUUAAAACCUGGUGCCCUAAGCCUUGAUUGGUUGGGAGUCACCGACCUCAAUGCUCGUUAUAAGGGUGAAUAGGUGGAGUUUAACAUAUUGUAGGUGCUUGGGUAUUGAAUUUCAAUCUCAAAAGUCCGGGAAAAAAUCUAAGGAGUUAGUGGUCAAAAGAUCCUUAAAGCUUGAUGCCCUAAACCUUGAUUGGUUGAGAGUCAUUGAUGGAUCCCCGCUACAUGGACAUUUUAGAAAACAAUACCUUUAGCAUUGCACGCCUACAAUGAAAAAAAAAUGUGAAAUAAAAGAGGUGCGUUCUUAGCCUAUUGGAGGUUGGUCAGUUUGCUAAAGUUUGAGAAAUCUAGGUUGGGGGGAGAGAAUAGUCCGACAUACUAUAAUAAAAAACUAAUAACCUUAACACUUAGAUUUUUGUGGAAGAGUAAGGAUUGGACCUUUAGGGGUGGAAAUUCUUUUGAUGCUUAAAUUUGCAUAAUGCCUACUCUUUAUAAAUUAUGAUUAGGCAAGAGAUUUGAUGACUCUUGUUCAAAGUUGGGUUUUUCCUCUUUGAUGUUCCAUGAGAGAGUAUAAUCCUCAUCAUGCCACUUGAAAUCUUUUUGGAGUGAUUAACAUGAUUUUGUAAAUUAUUUUACUGUCUAUUUUUCUUUAUCUCUCUUUUAUUGCUAAUGGACUAGCAAUAUGUCAGUUGGGGGGAGUGAUUACUACUCAAAAAGUACUCUUUUAUAGCUUGAAACUAACUGUUUUAAACACUUUUGAGUAGGUGUUAAUACAUUUUAACUCAAUUGGCACAUUAAGGAACCUAACAAGGGUUACUAAUAAGUUUUUGGCAAGUUUUGGUGUUUUUGGUAGCUAUUUGAUCAUUGAAACAAGCCAAGAAUGAGGGAGAAUUUUGUGAAGUCCAUAGCAAUGCAAGUUAAAGCUCAAAUACAUGAAGAAUCCAAGCUUUGAAGCACUUCAUAGCCCUUUGCGAAGCCAAUCAGAGAUGCAAGGAAGAAAACCAGAGGAAAAAAUCCAACAACCAGCAUUUUCGCAUGGCUGUGCGAAAUUUUGCACACCAUGCGAAACCACAAGAAGUAGCCAAAGAAUUUUGCACACCAUGCGAAAUUUCGCAUGGUAUACGAAAUCUUCCUAUGCACCAACUCCGUUAUAUUUUUAUCUUCAGAUAUUUUGUGUAAUUUCCUAGUUUCUCCUUGUAACCAACCUAGAUAUUUUCUUUUAUAUCUUUUUUUUAUAUUUUUUAGGUAACAUCAUAUAUAGGGGGAGAGACAUAAGGAGGAUAUGGAUGUUUUUCAUAAAACACUUUUAAUUUUCUGGUAGUAAGAAAUAUACAAAGUUUUUUGCUCUGCCUUACCUUCUCAUUUUGUUUUCACCUAUCUUUCUAGCCAAACAACCUCUGAGAAUGAUUUCUCAGGGGAUGAGUAGUUAGGUUUUACGUUUCUUGGAGUGAGAGAAGCUAGGUGAAAGACCCAAAUGCUAAGGUGGGAGUUGUCCUUGCUUUAAAUGAAAGUAGUUGUUAAAUAUUAAUGGUUUUUAUUUUAAGGUUUAGCUUUAAAUCCCUUAAAAACACCUUGAAUGGCCAAUACUUGGUAAGCUUUUCGGAUUCUAUGGAUGCUUAUUGCUAGAUCCAUGGAUGUCAUUAGUUAUCAUUUAUGAGCCAUUGGAAGGUGGUUCAAGAUGAGAGUCUUUAGUGUUUGAAGCCAUUAAUGGGAAACAAUUACCAUUUUUUCAUGAAUCCUUUGGAUAAAAUCUUAAUUGCUAAAUAUAAAACUGGUUCGGGAGAUAACCAUCCUUUAUGUUAUUAUGCCCAAUGCAAGGAGAAGAUUUCGAAUCUUCUCAUUUGUCUAAGGAACCCGAUCCUAGUGACCUAAAGCUCCUAGAGACCUUUUCUUUGUAGUUAACUUCAUUUAUUGUUUUUGCUUAACUUAAAAUCAAUCUUUGCAACCACAAUUCCAUUUUCUUUAAAAGCUAAUUUUUAUAAGGAAAAGCACCAUUUUAUUUCCUUCACUAAGUCAACUGUAUGAUGAAAACCCAUCCCUGUGGACGAUCUUAGAGCCACUAUACUAUGUUAUCUAUGCUAUCCUAGUGUGAGGUGAUUUAGGUUUUAUAAAUUUUGUUGAUAACACCCGUCUGAGCCAGAAUCAAAUGGAACCACUGAACCAGGGACAAAUCAACAGCCUAUAUGGGAGGGACACAAGUUUAAUUGAUUUGCAUUUCAGCGUUAUAGAUAAGUAUGUUUUGGAAGAUUUGUUCUGGAAAUACUGCACCAAGUACGAUUCUUUUUCUCUUGAGUGAGUCCAUUUGCAUGCCAAUUAACGAGUUGAAAAGUAGGAGCACCUACCUCGUGCUCAUGGAACCGAAUGUCAGUGAAGUGGGGCUCCUUUUAGCCUCUUGUGUUUCUGUUCCAACCAAGGCGGCGUAGGGAAAAACAACAAUAUGUCUGUGCUAAAUAUCAACGCAUGAUAGAUGUUUUUUUUUUUUUUUUUGGUAUGUCAAGGCUAACGAAUGAAAUGCAUUAGCUUGUUUUGUGACUAUAACUGCAAAUGUCCAAAUUGGAGUAUCUCCAUUUCUCACUUCGGAUGGUUAACUUUAUAAACAAGAUAUAGGAAACAUGUGAACAUCUUGAGGAACAAUUCAAAUUAUUCAUUAGAAGUCCUGGGUUAAGUUCCAAGAUUUAAAUCAGACCCUUCUAGCAGCUUCAAGGGUACUUAGCAACCUAUAACAUAUUAAUGAAGAUUUAGGAUUUAGACUCCGGAAUACAAAUAAAUAUGUAUCUCAUGCUUUGACUAGCUUCCCUACAUAUGCAUAAAAUGGAGAUGACCCAAAAAAAAUAGCAGAAUCUAGCUUCCCUACAUAUGCACAAAAUGGAGAUGACCCAAAAAAUAGCAUAAUCGCCUUAGUUUCUGUGGUUAAGGUGAUUCUCCGCUUAAUAUCCACAUUGACUCAUUAUGCAAAAUCAACUGAGCUAAUUUUAUUUAUUUAUUUAAUGUCAAAUAGGAACUCCUAAUUAACUGAUUACUGUCGAAAAGUGCUAUUUUGUAGACCUAAUUAUAAGGGUUUUAAGCACCUUUGAGUAGUAAUCAUAUUCAUUUAACCUAAUUAAUUCAUUAAGCUCCUUAGUAAUUAGUUCUAACCAUUUUUAGUGGCAAGUUUACAUGUUUUUCAUCAGCUUAUGAACCAAUUCAAGCAUGCCAAUUGAUGGAGGAGCUACUUGGGCGAGUUAAGCAAGGAUUUUGGACGUUUACAGGCUUGAAUUUCAAGUGGAAACACGAGCACAAGCAAUGGGAACACCAUUUCGCAAGGGGAGGCAAUUCACCUUGCCAAAUGACCAAUUUCGCAAGGGGAUUUUCCUCAUGGUGCAAAAUUUGGUCAUUUCGCACCAUGAAGAAACCACCUUGCAAAAUUUCGCAAGGUGGAUUUAGGCACCUUGCGAAAUGCCAAAUUUCACAAGGUGGCUUUUCACCUUGCGAAAUUUGGACCUUUCAUCUUCCCCCCUUGCGAAAUGCCUUUGAAAUCCCCUGUUUUGAGACGCUGUUGAUGAUAUUCCACUGCCGGUUCUCCAAGAUAUUUUGCUUGACUUUUAGCUUUAUAAAUACCUAUUUUACCCUUGUAAUCAACCAAUGAAAAGGUUGCUUUUGUAAUAGCUCUUGUAAUUUAGCUUUUUAUUGUCUUUAAAUAGAGGUGAAGAGCCUCAGACACGAUCAUCUUGUAACCUGUAACUUUAUAAGUUAUAAGAGCACUUUUGUUCAUACGCUUCUUUUCUCUUUUCUUUCUCAUUUUCUUAGUAGCCAAACAUCCUUGGAGGAUGAAAUCCCCAAGGAUGAGAGGCUAAAACCUUUUAGUUUCUUGAAGUAAUGGAUGCCAUGUGAAGCUCCCGUGUCAGGAUGGAGAUUUCCAAGCCAUAAAUGUAAGUAGCUGAGCGUCAUAAAUGUUUUCAUUCAAAGUAAAGCUUUUAAUCCCUCUGACUUGCUUUGAAUGGCCAAUACUUGAUAACCUUUUGGUCUCAAUGGAUUCUUAUUGUUAGAUCCACUGACGUUCAUUAGUUAUCUCCUACGAGCCAUUGUAUUGCAAGUCGAGGAGAUGACCUAUACCAAUAAAAGAGCAUUUAUGAGGUUCAACUACCCUUUUUGUAAGUUUUCAAGGACUAAAACUCAGUUGUUAAACUCAUACCGGUUCGAGAAGUAAGCAUCACCUUAGUUGCUUCCCCAACUCGAGGUGAAAAGUCCCAAAAUCUCCAUUUUUACACAGUGAGUUAAGCAUGGCUAUCCAAAGCUUUAAGAAACUUCUUUUUCCAUCUUUUAACCUAUUUUCAUGUUAGUUUAGUUUACAACACCUUCAUCUUUUUAUGUUUUCAUCUUAACCUAAUUUUUAUUAAGAAAAGUUCACUCCAUCCUCCGAACUUCACCAGUUAAAGUAAAAACCCUUCCCAGUGUUCGAUCCUAGAGCCACUAUGCUAUAGUAGCUUUGCUACUUUAGUGUAAGGACCUUAGGUAUAAAUUUUGUUGAUACCCUUACAUGCCAAGCUACCAAGAGUCGGGUUAUCAUUAACCUAACCAUUGGCCUGUGUAAAUUGAUUUCACAUGCACAAUGUUGUAGUAGAAGUCCAUAUUUUGAAUUUUAUUUUUGUAAAGGUAAGGAAAAUGAAGCAUUGUGUAAUUAUAAAAAUAACUUCAUUGGAAUUCACAAGGUUCACCCAAAAUGGAGCUACAUCUGUAUUCUAUCCUACAGUAGACUAUAUAGAUUGUACAAUAGUAAAUUGCAAAUACAAUUAAUAAGUCUUGUGCUUCCUUACUAAUAAUCCUUUGACAUGAACAUUGCAGCACUAAGGUCCUCUUGGGAAGACACCUUGCACCCAUGAGAGCACUAAGAGGAAGCAAGGCAGAGUCAUGGGUGCAAUGUCAUGACUUGUUGUUGCACCAAGAGAGGCUUGGUGAUGCCAUGGUGUUGCAGUAGCAAGAAUGUUGCCUUGGCAGGGACACGAUCUAGGGAUAGAUGCCAAGAAAGGCUUAGCACUCACAUGAGUUGCACAAAGAUGAAUGUAAUAGAGCAUCAGAGAGACGUCUUGGCAAGUAAAUGAAUGGAUCCAAGAGACAACAACAUGAGGAGUUUCAAAUGGAUAAGGAAUGACUCAAAGACAUUUGAAAGCUACAAGUUGGAUUCUAAUUACGAUUGCAAUUUGAGUUUGAGUAGGAGUUUAGAUUUUGAUUGUAAUUGUAGUAUGAGUUGGACUAGGAUUGCUUAUCCUUAGUCAAUAUAGGAGCGGUUCGUGUCACCCUAUGAAAAGAGUUUGAGUAGGGACUAGGAUUGCUUACUCCUAGUCAAAUAUGGAGUAGGUGGUGCCACACCUAUAAAAAAAAGGGACAACAUGAGAGAGAGAGAGAGAGAGAAAGAGAGAGUGAAUUCACUAAAGAUAUUGUGGGAGUUUUGCUUUGUUACGUCUUGUAUUAUUACUUAGAAUAGGAAUAAAAUACAAGUUGGGGCUAGAGCCCCAUAAUUAAUCUCGUGUGCCUUUGUGGUUAUUCUUUAUUUGUCAUCUCGUGUGGAUUGGAUUAGGUUGACUUAGAGGGCUUCUAAGCACCACCUUUGUGGGUUAUUAUUUAUUUUCCAUCUCUUGUGGAUUAGAUUAGGUUGACUUAGAGGGCUUCUGAGCACCACCUUUGUGGGUUAUUAUUUAUUUUCCAUCUAUUGUGGAUUAGAUUAGGUUGACUUAGAGGGCUUUUAAGCACCACAUUUGUGGGUUAUUCUUUAUUUUCCAUAUCGUGUGGGUUGGAUUAGGUUGACAAGGAGAAAAAUUAUGUGGGAAAUUUGUGUUGGGACACUUACCAUAACCAAGUAAAAUCUACCAAGUCCUUUGUAAUAUCUUCAACAAAUAUUUUAGACUAGUUCUUUCAGUUAGUGUAAAGGAGGAAGAAGUGGUAUUGAUUCUAGAAAUAGGGUGUGUGUAUUUGAACUACAAUCCUUAUGAUCCUUAGGUCUCUAAACCUUCGUGAUGGGCUCCCUGACAUUUCAUAGGUUGUGCUACACAUGCGUUUGAAAUUUAGAGUGCGUUUGACAGUGAUUCCGGGAAGUGUUUUUGGCCUUUCUUACACUUGAAAAUUUUUAUUUUUCAAGUAUUAGAAAUGCUACAAACACUUUUGAAAAUUACUGUCAAACACACUCUUAGGAGCGCACAUAUAUAGUAGAAAACUAGAAAUUGUGGUUUUUUUAGGAUUUACUGUAAUGUCAUUAGGAGGGUAGUAAGUUGAAAUUGAGUAUGAACAAAUAUUUCUUUCUUUGGGAUGUUCUUCUAGUAGGUGCUGAUGAAACUGUUCUUUCUACUGCCAAUGUCACAUAUCAGCCAGAAAUUGAAAAUUUCAGUCAAGGUGUCCUCUGUUUUAGUGGUGAGGAAAGCUAGAAAUUUUAAGGUGAAGUUUUGUUAAAAACCUUAAGUAGCUGGGAUAUCAGGCCUGUUUUGCUUGAAAAAAAAAGUUGCAAGAUAACUCAUAUGCCAAACAGGUUCUGAUAUUGUGAAUCUAUCGGCAGACAUCAGUAAUCUCAUCUUCUGAGAUGGAUGUUGGGGGUGCAUGUGGUGGUGGAGGGGCAAGGUUUCAUUUGGUUUAUUUUGUUGAUGGAUAUUGUCUAGCCACCUGCGCCAAGUUUGAGGGGUGGUGGGUUGUGAUGACCCUACAAUUACUAUUAAUUUCUUCAUCUUUUACCGAUUAAAGUGUCCGAACAGUCGAAGUUACCCUUAUGCAUGUCAACUUGAUCACUUACCUCUUCAAUGGAGUUUAUGCUGGUUCAUUUAGGAACUGAUUUUUAUUGUUAUGUAUUAUAUGCUGAUGUUUAGGUCUCUCCAUCAUCACUAUAUACAAAAAUUCUAGGUUGAUACUAUAGGUUGAGAUUUAUUUUUUAAAUAAAAAAUAAUAAAAAUAAAAAUUAUGGUGAUGUUUAGUUGUUUUAUGGAAAAUUUUAACAAGUAAAAGUUAUUUUUGGGCAAGUUUUCAAACAAAAAGAAAAGUAAAAGUUGUUUUGACAAAAACAUAUAGAAAAAAAAAUCAUAGAAAAUAAAUAAUUUCCCCAUAUUCUAACUUUUUUGAAUUUUUCUCAAUGGGCAAAGGAAUAUCAAAUCAAGUUUGAGUAGGAUUUCUUAAUUUUUAAAAUAACUUACAAUUAAAAAAUUUUGGUGUUUUCAUUUUUGGACAAUUUUUUAUUAAGCAAAUGGACUCUGAGUCAUGCAAGAGAUAUGGUUCAUUAACCGGUCGAACAAUUUUUUUAAAUUAAUUUAAAAGUCAAAUACAUAAUCAAUUUCACAAAAUUUAUAAACAAAAAUAGGUUUAGAGAAGAUCUACACAUAAUUUUACUUUUCUAAUUUUAUUUUAUUUUAUUUUUUGUUGGAAAAUAGUCUUCAAAUCAUGUAAGAUUUAAUAGGUUAAAUUUGUUAACAAUAAAUUUUAAAUUAUAAAAUAUAAUCUGGAACUCAAAAAUCAAUUCAAGUAAUGCUAAAAAAAAAUCAAAUUUGGUAUAGAAUGACUUUGUAAAUUUUUUUACAAAACAAAUGAAUUUUAAAUCAAGUGAGAUUUAAUGCAUUAGAUUUUUAUCAAAUAUAGUAAUUUUAAAAAUAAAUUUGGAACUCAACAAUAGACACAAUAAAUACCAAAAAAUAAUGAACCAAAAUUGGUUUGGAAUAACUCCACAACCUUUUUUUUUUUUUUUUGGUGCACACGAAUUUUCUUACUAGGUAUAUUGCUUUCAAAUUGAGAAAGAUUUACCAUUUAGAUUUUUUUUUAAUGAGUUUAAUGGUAUUUUAAAAUAAUUCAAAAUUUAAAAAAUUGACUAAUUAAUAUUAUAAAUUGAUAAACCAAGACUAUUUCAAAAUGCAUUGGGGGCUAAGGGGGUUGAAAAUAGGGACAAUGGGAUGGGUUUGGGACAUGACACUCAUAUCUCAUUUCCAUUCCAAUUACACAGUUAUCUCCCAUCCUUAUCCCAAACUUGUGUUGGAGCAAGUUGAUUUGUUCCCAUCUUUGUUGACGAAAUGACUAAUAACCUCAUCCCCUCCUUAUCUUAGAUGUACAUUUUGUCAAAUUUGAUCAGGUAUGAUUGAUCCAAGCCCUAACCCUAAUUGGUAAUGAGUGAAUACUACACCUAAUUGCAUUCUUCUUUCAUUGCAAAAUAAUGAGAUUAUAAUAAUCUAGCAAAUAAGAAAAAAUAGUAUGGAAGUUCAAAUUAACACCAUAACUAUCAAUAAUUUUAAGCUUAUAGAUGACUUAAAUGAUUAAAAACUAAUGCAAAAUCCUAAAAAAAAUAAAAAUCAUAUAAAGAAUUCACAAGAGAACAGAAUGAACAAAAACCAAAUAUGAACAUGGGUCAACAUUAGUUAUGGAUUUGGAUUCCUUUCAAGGCCAAUCUUUGAACCAAGACUUCAUCAAAUCAACUACUUCAAAGGCUUUUGUGUUCUUCUUGGGUUGUGCUCUCAAACAAAGACUUCGAGGUGAUGUUCUAGAUGAUUGAAUUACACAUAUUUAGGGUGGAGAGAUUGGAGAAGCUUGAAGAUGCCAACGAUGGGUACAAUUGAGUGGUCAAUAAGAACAAUGUAGCCUAUGACUAGUUUGAUGUCAUGGUACAAGAGUUUUAGGCAUUGAGGUUAAAGCAAGAGCAACAUGGAAUUGAUUUCGGAGUCUUUCAGUUAGUGUAAAGGAGGAAGAAGUGGUGUUGAUUCUAGAAAUAGGGUUUUAAGUGGUGCGUGAUUACUACUCAAAAAGUGCUAUUUGAUAGCCUUUAAUUAAUCCUUUUUAACACUUUUGAGUAGUAGUUUAGGCCUUUUAACUCAAUUGGCAUGUUAAGGAUCCUUUAAAGCAAUUUUGAUCACUUUGUGCAAGUUUUGGUGUUUUUGUUAGUAUUUUGAUCACCAAAGCAAGUCAAGAAUGAGGAGAACUAUGAGGAAUCAUGGGCAAAGCUUAGAAUUCAAUUGCCAAGAGUGAAUCCGGAUUGCAAGGAGAAAAAGCAAAGAGAAUCUGUCAUGAAGCCUAUUCUUGAUGACAGUCGUAGCAGCCACUUUUGGAGCACUUUCUGAAGUCCAAAUGAUGCAAGCUAUAUACCAUUUCAAAGAUCAGGAAGUCAACAAUCCAAUGCUUCAAACGGUGCGCGAUUCGGAGUUGAAACGAAGAAGUUGCAGCCAUUACAAGCCAGUCACUCUAAAGUGUUGCGGAAUCAGCCUUUUGUUGCGAGAAUUUCGCAGCACUUUUGUACAGUAAGGUGUUUCUCCUUCUGACGAUGCACGAACCAUGCCGCGAGAGGGAAGCUAGGAACUUCAAGAUGGAAGCCAACUUUGCAGCCUGGUGAAGAUAGCUUGGUCUUGCGAAAUAAUUUCGCAGCCCUCUUGGGUGUCUGCGAAAUUUCGCAGGCACCACUUUUUUCCUGCGAAAUGGCUCCGGAAGCCUCCCGAAGCUUGCUACCGACAUUGGGAGAUAUUUUCCAUUAGAUUUUUGUUGUCUAAAUUCCAAAAUACUCCUUGUAAACCACCAAUUACAUGAUUCCUUAGUUUUUAAGUUAGUAAAAAGACCAAAUAUCUAUGUAAUAAUUAGUUUUAUAUUAGUUUGCUAUAAAUACCUCUCGGGAGCAUGUUCUCAGAGAGGAGUUCCUUCUGUAACCAUUUUGGUAAGCAAGUAAAGUCUUUUCUUUCUACUGCCUUACCUUCUCACUUUGUAUUUUCAUUUUAUUUCUAAGUUAUGAAUUCUCUGAGGAGCUUUCCCCAGAGAAUGAGUAACUAAACCUCCAAUUCCUUGGAGCUAAGGUUGCCGGGGAAGGUUCCAAGUGCAAGAAUGCAAAGCUCUGUGGUUUUAGCUAGUAAUGAAGAGGAAGUGAAAUCCUUUAGUGAUUUCAAUGUUUUUAGUUAACUUAAAACACCUUGGAGUCACCUGGGCCAACACUUGGUAAGGCAAGUGAUUUCCAACCGUGGAAAUGCACUAGUUUACCCCUUGCGAGCCUCUGGUAGGUGACUUCAAGGUAGGAUUUUCUGGAAUUACCAACACUUGGUAAGCUUUUGGACUCCUAGGAGACAUCCAUUAGUUAUCUCUUGCGAGUUUGUGAAGGGGAAUCCAAGGUUAAAGAUCACCUUGAAUGGUAAGUGCUCGUGAGAGGCAUGAACCAUUGCAAGUUGUAUCAGUGAGAGAAUUAAAGUGAAAUCUAAUUGAAGGAGUCUCUGUACAUCACCGGUUAGAGAAUUGACUAUAAGUUGAAUCUCUAAUGCGAGGAAAUGAACCAUCUGACCGGAGCUAUGUCUUUUGCAUGAGGAACCACCCCAGUGAACCUAAAUCUCCAAGGAAUGCUUUUCUUCCUAAAUUAUUCCAAACUUCUGUUAAGUUAGUUAGUUUAAGUCUAAACCUUUACCAAUCAAACUUUGUGUUUUAUUUCUUAAGCUAACCGUGAAAUGAAACAAAACCAAUUCACUUGGAAUUGGUAUCCUUGAUUGCUUGCAAAUCAUUCCCAGUGAACGAUCCUUAGAGCCACUAUACUAUAGUAGCUUUGUAUUUGCUACCCUAGUGUAUGGUGUUAUAGGUAUAAAUUUUGUUGAUCACUUCCUCAAUCAAGGAACACCAGCUGAACACAAAUCAGCUGAGACACCAAUUGGGCAUGAGUCAAAUGGCGCCGUUGCCGGGGAAUGAGUGUCAAGAUCAUUGUGAUACCAUUUUUGAGCACUUGUGAUUUUCAUCACAAGUUGGUAAAGUUUCUUUCACUUUACUAAUUUUCAUUCUCUCUUUGUUUAUUUACAAUCUAAGUUUAUCUUUUUAAAAUUUAGUCUAGUUUAAUUUUGCUAUUGUAGCCUUGUUUCUCUUGUUGUCCUCUGUUCUUGUUGUCCUCUGUUUUCAUUUUAGUUGCAGCUGAAUACUAGUUGUGUAUGCCAAAGUGGAUACGAGACAUUGGAGGUAGGCUUAUUAAGUGUGAUACACCUCAGAGAGGAGAAUUGGAAGUAAUCUUGAAUAUCAUGGAGGCUGCACCUGAAGAUCAGCAUAGUCACCAAGGUCGUCAAGACAAUCUCAAUGAAUUCAGAUCAAUGAGGGACCGUAUGCAUCCACCUCGUAUGAGUGCACCAUCAUGUAUAGUGCCCCCUACAGAGCAACUAGUGAUCAGACCAUAUCUUGUUCCACUUCUACCAACUUUCCAUGGGAUGGAAAGUGAGAAUCCGUAUGCACACAUCAAGGAAUUUGAAGAUGUUUGUAAUACAUUCCAAGAGGGAGGAGCUUCAAUUGAUUUGAUGAGGCUUAAGUUAUUUCCUUUUAAUUUAAAGGAUAAGGCCAAAAUUUGGCUUAAUUCUUUAAGGCCAAGGAGUAUCCGCUCUUGGACUGAUUUACAAGCUGAAUUCCUCAAGAAAUUUUUUCCUACUCAUAGAACAAAUGGCUUGAAAAGGCAAAUUUCAAACUUCUCAGCUAAAGAGAAUGAGAAAUUCUAUGAGUGUUGGGAAAGAUACAUGGAAGCUAUAAAUGCUUGUCCUCACCAUGGCUUUGAUACUUGGCUACUGGUGAGUUAUUUUUAUGAUGGUAUGUCCUCCUCAAUGAAGCAACUCCUCGAGAAAAUGUGUGGAGAAGAUUUCAUGAGCAAAAAUCCAGAGGAAGCUAUGGAUUUCUUGAGCUAUGUAGCUGAUGUUUCAAGGGGAUGGGAUGAACCAACUAAAGGAGAAGUGGGAAAGAUGAAGUCUCAGUUGAAUGCUUACAAUGCAAAGGCUGGGAUGUAUACUUUAAAAGAGGAUGAUGACAUGAAAGCAAAGUUGGCAGCUAUGACAAGAAGAUUGGAGGAGCUGGAGCUGAAAAGAAUGCAUGAAGUGCAAGCUGUUGCUGAAGCACCAGUGCAAGUGAAGUUGUGUCCCAAUUGUCAAUCGUUUGAACAUUUGGUAGAGGAAUGCCCUGCAAUUUCAGCUGAAAGGGAAAUGUAUAGAGAUCAAGCAAAUGUUGUUGGACAAUUCAGGCCCAAUAACAAUGCUCCUUAUGGAAAUACCUACAAUUCAAGUUGGAGGAAUCAUCCAAAUUUUUCAUGGAAGGCCAGAGCAACUCAAUACCAACAGCCGGAUCCACCAUCUCAACAAUCUUCAAGUAUUGAACAAAUAAUAGCUAAUCUCAGCAAGGUAGUGGGAGAUUUUGUGGGAAAGCAAGAAGCCACCAAUGCUCGAGUGGAUCAAAGAAUGGACAGAGUGGAUCAAAGAAUGGACAGAAUGGAGAGUAUGUUGAACAAAAGAAUGGAUGGAAUGCAAAAUGAUAUGAAUCAAAAAUUUGAUAACAUCCAAUAUUCAAUUUCAAGGCUUACAAAUUUGAAUACACUGCAAGAAAAGGGAAGAUUUCCUUCUCAACCUAACCAAAAUCCCAAAGGUGUCCAUGAAGUGGAAAGCCAUGAGGGAGAAUCAUCACAGGUGAAAGAUGUGAAAGCUUUGAUCACUCUAAGGAGUGGUAAGAAAAUUGAGCAGCCAACACCCAAGCCACAUGUUGAGAAAGAAGAAGAGAUGAAGAAAGGGAAGGAAAUGGAAGAUAAAGGCAGUGAGAUCAGUGAAGAAAAGAAGGACUCUGAUGCAACAAUGAAAGUAAUUCCAGAGAAGGAGCUUCUGAAGGAAGAAAUGCUGAAGAAAUCAACUUUUCCACCUUUUCCUCAAGCAUUACAGGGGAAAAAGGGGGUUAGAAAUGCAGCUGAAAUCCUAGAAGUAUUGAGGCAAGUGAAAGUUAAUAUUCCACUGCUGGAUAUGAUCAAACAAGUUCCAACGUAUGCAAAAUUCCUAAAGGACUUGUGUACUAUCAAAAGAGGGUUGACUGUAAACAAGAAAGCCUUCUUGACUGAGCAAGUAAGUGCAAUCUUACAGUGUAAGUCUCCUUUGAAGUACAAAGACCCUGGAAGUCCUACCAUUUCAGUCAUGAUUGGAGGAAAGGUAGUGGAGAAAGCCUUGCUAGACUUGGGAGCAAGUGUGAAUUUGCUUCCAUAUUCUGUCUACAAGCAACUGGGACUUGGAGAGUUGAAGCCAACAGCAAUCACUUUGUCUCUGGCAGAUAGAUCAGUGAAAAUUCCAAGAGGGGUAAUUGAGGAUGUAUUGGUUCAAGUAGAUAAUUUCUACUAUCCUGUAGAUUUUGUUGUUCUUGAUACAGAUCCUACUGUAAAGGAAGCUAAUUUAGUUCCUAUCAUCCUUGGAAGGCCAUUUCUUGCAACUUCAAAUGCAAUCAUCAACUGUAGAAAUGGGCUUAUGCAACUCACUUUUGGUAACAUGACACUGGAUCUAAAUAUUUUCUAUAUGUCUAAAAAGCAAAUCACUCCAGAAGAAGAAGAGGGUCCAGAAGAGCUAUGUAUUAUUGAUACUUUGGUGGAGGAGCACUGCAAUCAACAUAUGCAAGAUAAGUUGAAUGAAAGUUUUGUGGAUAUUGAGGAAGGUUUUUCUGAAUCUCCUAAUGGGCUUGCUACUCUACAAAGUUGGAGAAAGAUAGAAGGAAUUCUACCUUUGUUCAAUGAAGAAGAGGAGGCAGCUGUUGAAAAAGAAAUUCCAAAACUCAAUCUGAAGCCUUUACCUAUGGAGCUGAAAUAUACAUAUCUUGAAGAAAAUAAUCAAUGUCCUGUCGUAAUAUCUUCAUCUCAAACCAAGUCUCAAGUGAAGGAUGCAAGCUUCAAAUGGGAUCCGGGCAAACUGAAUCAGGAAGGGCAAAAAGUUUUGAUGUAUGACACAAGACUCCAUAUCUUUCCUGGGAAGCUCAAGUCAAGGUGGAUUGGUCCAUUUGUUAUUCACCGAGUAUAUUCCAAUGGAGUGGUGGACUUAUUGAAUUCCAAUGGCAAGGACAGCUUUAGAGUCAAUGGAUAUCGUCUUAAGCCGUUCAUGGAGUCAUUCAAAUCAGAAAAGGAGGCAAUCAACCUCCUUGAACCUCAAAAAGCCUAAGUGAAAUGGGUUUGCUGGACGUGGUUUUACCACAGUCCAAAAAUUUUUGUAAAUUUUGUAAAUUUUCAAGUUGUUUCCAUGCUUUUAAUCUUAGUUUUUGAUUUUAAAUCAUGUUUUUAGGUGUGUUUUAAUCGUUUUAUAUGAUCCCAGGCGGAAGAAAUUUCAAGGGGAUUGAAAAGAAAAAAAUCGGGUCGAAAUUGGAGCCGAAACAGAGCAAAAACAGGGGAAAAACAGAGCUCUGCGAAAUUUCGCAGGGUGAAGGAAACUUCUGCGAAAUUGGCAUUUUGCUGCCAAACCAUUCCGCAGCACUGUAGAAGCCUCUGCGAGUGUAUUUCGCAAUUGCGAAAGUGGAUUUGGCACACGAGUGCCACUUCGCAGCACAGUGACAUCAAUUUCGCAGCUGCGAAACUCACUGCGAAGUUGCUGCGAAAAUGGCAAGUUGCUGCGAAAUUGGCGUUUUGUUGCGAAACGUAAUCUGACCCCUGGGCUUCCGUUUUUCCUAUUUAUACCUGUCAAAAGUGCUGCGAAAAAGGUUUCAAAAAUUAGAGCACCAUUCUCGCAGCCCUUUCAUCUUCUUCGCCAAGCCACGCCGUCCGUUUCUCCGGUCGUCUUCUCCGUUUAGCAGCGCCGGCCAAAGAUCGAUAGCCCAAAAAUGGCACGAACGCGAGGGGCAAAGUCUUCAUCCCCUUCGAACCGCAAAAGGAGUCUGCGAAAGGAGCCAAGUUCAGGCUCUGUUCCAGAACCUGCUCCAAAGCCUUCGCCGUCGAGACCACAACCUUCUCCAGUGAAGCCGGCGCCACCAAAGCCGCCGGCAAGGCGAUAUUUAACCAGGUCAGGUGGUCAGCCAUUGAAGAAGAAAGCCAGAGUUGAGAGCUCUGAACCAAUCGAUUUGACUGAGCAAUCCCCUGAGAAAUCACCAAAUCCUUCACCGGUACAAAUUCCAGUGCCAUCACCGGUUCCCUCGCCAAUUCCCUCACCAGAAGCAACUCCAAUUCCAUCGCCGGUACCAUCUCCGGCACCCCAAGAAAAAGCUCAGGAGCCUCAAGCGCCAAUUCCAGAGCCCCAAAUUGCAGCUGAAGCACCUCUGGAAGAAGUGAUCCGAAGGCCAAUGCUGCCUCAGCCCCCAAUCGAAGGAAACCUGGAUUGCCGAACUCGGGCAUUCCAUUCUGAGCUUUGCUUCGAUUUAACAGCAUUCAGAGUGAGGCCAGAGCUUGCCCAAUCCUUCCAACUGCUGAGGAGAUAUCAUAUGGAGCAUCUGCUAGCUCCAAGGGAUUUUUUCUAUCCCCGGGUAGUCACGGAUUUCUACCAAACCAUGACAACCAAAGAAGUAAGAAAUCCAACUCUGAUUCAUUUCAUAAUUGAUGGAAGGCAUGGUAUUUUGGGAGCAAGACAUAUUGCUGAAGCCCUGCAAAUUCCUUUUGAGCCAACUCAAUUCGACAAUUUUAAAGCUUGGACAAAUCCUACUGAGUUAGAGAUGGUUAGCACACUAACCAGAGGAGCUGCAAAUCGAUCGCAUUUGUUGAGGGGGGAGCUACCUCCAGUUAUGUUUUUGAUUGAUGCCUUUUUGAGGCAUAAUAUCUAUCCCCUGCAGCAUUGGACCCAAAGAAGGGGAAUUCUCCUAGAAGCCUUGUACAAAAUGUCUGAAGGAUUCUUCUUUGGGCCUCAUCAUCUGAUCAUGGCAGCCCUUCUAUACUUUGAGGAGAAGGUUCACAAGAAGAAGCUUCAAAGAGCAGAUUGCAUUCCACUCCUCUUCCCAAGGCUGCUAUGCCAAGUUUUGGAGCAUCUCGGAUACCCCUCUGAGCCUCAGCAGGAAAGAAAGAGAAUAUGCCGUGAGCCUUUUACCCUUGAUAAAUGGAAUAAUAUGACGGCCUACAAAAUUGAUCAGCCUGGGCAGCCUCAGCCAGCAGCAAGGAGAGUCUCCCCAAGACAUAUACCUGAAGGUAUAACACUUGCUACUCCUGCCAUCCCUCGAGCUCCACCAGCUGCACCUGCUCCAUCACAGCCAUCCACAUCAGCUGAGCCGAGGAUGGCCAUCCCUAUAUCCGAAUAUCGAGAGCUGUGCCGUGCAUUGGAGACUCUUACAGCUUCUCAGAGCAAUCUUGCUCAGGAGUUGGCAGCCAUUAAAGCAUGCCAGGAGCAGAUGUUAGCCUCUCAGACUCAACAAGCUGCCAUCCUAAGGCAGCUUCAAGUCCAUUUCGAUCUGCCACAAGCUGUAGAGCCCUCUAUUCCUACUCCACCAGAGCCACACUCUCAGCCUUCAGAGUCUCAUCCUCCAGAACCCGAAGCACCAGCUGAUCCACCUACUGAGGAGGCAGAUCCUUCUGCCUAGCACCAUCACCCCCCUCAUCAGACAUUAUAUAUAUAUUUGCUGUUUAUGUUUUUAUGCAUGUUUGUUUUGUUUUAGUUGAAAAGAAAUCCCAGUAUUUUGGUACUAUAUAUGGGAUUCCUUGUGUUACUUGUCUUUAGUAUUGUAAUCACAUGAACUCAAAGUAAUACAAGUUGACUAUUUCUUGUUAAAAGUUAGCAUUAAAGUUUCCUUAUUUCCUUUUCUCACAUAUUCUAUUCUUUUUGAAACAUGUGGUUUUCCCCAAUCAAUAUUCGAAUUUGAUAUCAGCAUGGAGGUACCACUUCCUCCCUUUUAUUACAGUCACUCAAAUCACAUUGAGGACAAUGCUCAGUUCGGUUGGGGGGUAUGAGGAAGGAAGUAUUCUAAACCUUUUUGGUAUUGCAAUUAUAUUGGUUAAUUAGUUGUAGAUUUUACUUUUUACUAGUGUUACUCUAUUCUCCAUGAAUUUUGAGGAAAAAUUUUCAAAUUAAACCAAGAGAAAUUGAACUGUUGUUUUUCACUUGACUUAGAGUAUGGAUUAUGCUUACUAAAGUGGUUCAAUUGUUGAAACUUCUACUGAAAUUGAAUUGAGUUCUUCCACUUUAAGCUAUCCACACACUGUGCACAUUAGUUUCCGAUUAUAAGAUGAAAAGCUAUUUCCCUCUUGACUUAGUAUAUUUUUGGGACUUGGUAUAUUUGACCUCAUUUGAUAAAAAUUGAAACACCCUGCAAAAGGCCAAUGAGCCUUUGAAAUAAAGAAAGUUGUUUGCUUGCCUUGAAACCCGAGCAAGGUCUGAGGGGUAUAUGGUGAAAAUCUUUAAAGCCUGGUGCCCUAAGCCUUAAUUGGUUGGGAGUCACCGACCUCAAUGCUCGUUACAAGGGUGAAUAGGUAGAGUUAGCAUAUGGUAGAUGCUUGGGUAUUAGAAAUUCAUUCUUAAAAGUCCGGGGAAAAAUCCGAGGAGUUAGUGGUUGAAAGAUCCUUAAAACUUGGUGCCCUAAACCUUAAUUGGUUGGGAGUCAUCGAUGGACCCCCAUUACAUGGACAAGUCAGAAAGAGUACCCCAUAAAGCUACCUUAAAAAAAAAAAAAAAAAAAAAAAAAAAAAAAAAGAUGAAAGUGUGUUCUUUUCUUAUUGAUUUUGGUCAGUUUGCUAAAGUGUUGAAAAGAGAUAGGUUGGGGGGUGAGAUUAGUAGCAUAUUAUUCUCGGAACCUAAGGAACCAAUACACAUAGAUUUUUGUGGAAGAUUGAAGUUUAGUUCUUAGAAAAUGAAAUGAUUUUAAAACUUCAGUUUGCAUAAUGCACUCCCUUGAUUGACAGUGUUUAGCAUAGGUGUUAUGACUCUUGUUGAGAUUUGGGUUUGUAUUUCUUUAAUGAUUCAUGUGAGAAAUAGAUCAUCAUGCCACUUGAGAAUUAUUUUCCUUUUAGCAUGAUGUUGUAAAUUUUAGAUUAGUUUGCUAUUUAUUUUUUAUUUUCUCUCCUAUAUUGCUAAGGGACUAGCAAUAUGUCGGUUGGGGGGAGUGAUUACUACUCAAAAAGUGCUAUUUGAUAGCCUUUAAUUAAUCCUUUUUAACACUUUUGAGUAGUAGUUUAGGCCUUUUAACUCAAUUGGCAUGUUAAGGAUCCUUUAAAGCAAUUUUGAUCACUUUGUGCAAGUUUUGGUGUUUUUGUUAGUAUUUUGAUCACCAAAGCAAGUCAAGAAUGAGGAGAACUAUGAGGAAUCAUGGGCAAAGCUUAGAAUUCAAUUGCCAAGAGUGAAUCCGGAUUGCAAGGAGAAAAAGCAAAGAGAAUCUGUCAUGAAGCCUAUUCUUGAUGACAGUCGUAGCAGCCACUUUUGGAGCACUUUCUGAAGUCCAAAUGAUGCAAGCUAUAUACCAUUUCAAAGCUCAGGAAGUCAACAAUCCAAUGCUUCAAACGGUGCGCGAUUCGGAGUUGAAACGAAGAAGUUGCAGCCAUUACAAGCCAGUCACUCUAAAGUGUUGCGGAAUCAGCCUUUUGUUGCGAGAAUUUCGCAGCACUUUUGUACAGUAAGGUGUUUCUCCUUCUGACGAUGCACGAACCAUGCCGCGAGAGGGAAGCUAGGAACUUCAAGAUGGAAGCCAACUUUGCAGCCUGGUGAAGAUAGCUUGGUCUUGCGAAAUAAUUUCGCAGCCCUCUUGGGUGUCUGCGAAAUUUCGCAGGCACCACUUUUUUCCUGCGAAAUGGCUCCGGAAGCCUCCCGAAGCUUGCUACCGACAUUGGGAGAUAUUUUCCAUUAGAUUUUUGUUGUCUAAAUUCCAAAAUACUCCUUGUAAACCACCAAUUACAUGAUUCCUUAGUUUUUAAGUUAGUAAAAAGACCAAAUAUCUAUGUAAUAAUUAGUUUUAUAUUAGUUUGCUAUAAAUACCUCUCGGGAGCAUGUUCUCAGAGAGGAGUUCCUUCUGUAACCAUUUUGGUAAGCAAGUAAAGUCUUUUCUUUCUACUGCCUUACCUUCUCACUUUGUAUUUUCAUUUUAUUUCUAAGUUAUGAAUUCUCUGAGGAGCUUUCCCCAGAGAAUGAGUAACUAAACCUCCAAUUCCUUGGAGCUAAGGUUGCCGGGGAAGGUUCCAAGUGCAAGAAUGCAAAGCUCUGUGGUUUUAGCUAGUAAUGAAGAGGAAGUGAAAUCCUUUAGUGAUUUCAAUGUUUUUAGUUAACUUAAAACACCUUGGAGUCACCUGGGCCAACACUUGGUAAGGCAAGUGAUUUCCAACCGUGGAAAUGCACUAGUUUACCCCUUGCGAGCCUCUGGUAGGUGACUUCAAGGUAGGAUUUUCUGGAAUUACCAACACUUGGUAAGCUUUUGGACUCCUAGGAGACAUCCAUUAGUUAUCUCUUGCGAGUUUGUGAAGGGGAAUCCAAGGUUAAAGAUCACCUUGAAUGGUAAGUGCUCGUGAGAGGCAUGAACCAUUGCAAGUUGUAUCAGUGAGAGAAUUAAAGUGAAAUCUAAUUGAAGGAGUCUCUGUACAUCACCGGUUAGAGAAUUGACUAUAAGUUGAAUCUCUAAUGCGAGGAAAUGAACCAUCUGACCGGAGCUAUGUCUUUUGCAUGAGGAACCACCCCAGUGAACCUAAAUCUCCAAGGAAUGCUUUUCUUCCUAAAUUAUUCCAAACUUCUGUUAAGUUAGUUAGUUUAAGUCUAAACCUUUACCAAUCAAACUUUGUGUUUUAUUCCUUAAGCUAACCGUGAAAUGAAACAAAACCAAUUCACUUGGAAUUGGUAUCCUUGAUUGCUUGCAAAUCAUUCCCAGUGAACGAUCCUUAGAGCCACUAUACUAUAGUAGCUUUGUAUUUGCUACCCUAGUGUAUGGUGUUAUAGGUAUAAAUUUUGUUGAUCACUUCCUCAAUCAAGGAACACCAGCUGAACACAAAUCAGCUGAGACACCAAUUGGGCAUGAGUCAGUGCGUUAGAGGAUCAAGAAGAAGAAAAAGAAGGAACUGUUGGAAUUAGUAUGAGUGUGAAGAGAAAAGUAUAUAAAUAAGGGGAAGUAAAAGCAAAGUUCAAAAAGCUAUAUUUUUUUAUUGUUGGUGUAUGGUUGCAUGAUUAUCCCUAUAAAUAAUAGGAGUUUUUUGGUAUUCUACUAGUAGUUGAAGCAUAAUUUCAUAAAUUAAUAUUUAGAGCGGGGUGGGGUGAGUUGUGACAAAAUUCAUACCCGUCCCAAACCUUGGUUCAGAUUUUUAAAAUAUUCUCAAACUUAUCAUAUACCCAACUUUUAUAUUUCAUACUUGUCCUAAUAGAGGCACGUUAGGCCGGGUUACUUGAGUAACCUACAUAAUUGUCAUCCCUAGUUGAAAUACACUUUUUGGCAGUGGCCACCAACUGAGCUAGAAGCUUGAUUGAUUGACCUACAAGAUUAGUUCUCAUCAUUUUAAAAAAAGUUCUGGCUUUGGUUGUGAGUGCAAUUGAAUCUAAACUGGCAUUUGCUUAAUGCAUCUACUUCAAUCCUAAACUUCUUACUUCUUAAGCCUCAAUUGUUGUUAGGAUUUUGGAAAACCCAUUUCCUUAAAUUGUAAAUUUAAGAUAAAAUAAAAUAAAAGUGAGACAUUUCUUGAUUGAAUAUUGUUAAAGGUCCCUUGGCAUUAAGACUUGGUUGAAGCCUUGGAAGAUUAGUGGAACUCUCAACAUGUGUUUGAAUCUUGAGGAGAGUGGAUGUAAGCCAAAAUUUUGUCAAACCAUUAUACAAAUUGAGUUUGAAUCCUCAUUUCUUGAUUUCUUAUUUAUUUGCUUUUUCUUAUUAUUACUUGAAUUGUCAUUUGCAUUCAUUAAUGUUAAAAUUGGUUAUAAUUAACCAACACUAAUUCUCUUUCCCCUUCCCUUUCUUGGGUGUAAACCUAGGUUGGAUUAACUAGAUAAAUCUAUUAAGAUGGUAAAAGAAUAAUUAUUCUUAACAUACAUAAGAUCAUCUUCAAUCAAAUGACUCAUUGGCUAAUAUGUUGAAUUUGCUUAUUACUUGCAACUCAAAAUUGUGUUCUAGUUGUGUCAAGUCCCCAGUGUAUGGACAUUAAAUUUGUAGUACGUGAUGAGUAAUUAGAUGGUCCAACUCCAAGAAAGUGAUUGAAAAGUAGUUCAAGAAAGGUGCAAAAGGGAAUUGUUUUGGUAUUUUCGUUUUUAUUCUUGAAGGUGGCAGAGCUAAAAUUUGAGAAAUCAAGCAAAACAUACUGAAAUUACAUUGAAAGAAAGAAGAUGGGAGUUAAUGUCUUGCAGUACAUGAUAAGGACUUCAUGCAUGUAGUGUGACCCAUGUCUUGGACUGAUGCCAACUCACGGUUACACUUAUACCCUUGGUUCUCUCUUUACUACCUUGGCUAACCUAGAUCAGGCUAUGAGAUAGGCUCCUCACCACACCAUUACUUGCCCAUUAAUUAGAGACAUUUUCAAGCAAUGAGGUAACAUGGUGACACCAAGAGGGUCUAUUCCUCGCCCGGAACAAGUCUAGACUUGGUCUCAAAAAAAUGGAGAAAAAUGAGGUGUCGUUAUGUAGAAAUACAACAACCAUGCCUUCCUCAUUACUUAGAUUCAGAAUGUGAAGGUGAAAUUGAGAAACAGAAACUCUUGAAACCAAAAUGAAAAUUGAUACUUUUACGAAGAAUUACAACAACAUUAGAGGAAGACUACAUUCUUCCUCUUUAUUCCUACAUUUCUACACUACUUCUACUCCACUCCAUAUUUCUACAUACAUCUUUAAUCAGUCUUCCCUCCUUUAUAUAGAGCCAUCUUCACACAAAUUUCGCAAGGUAGAAAAGAGGAAUGAAACUUGGAGCAAGGUUCGACUACUGGUUGUAGCUUGUCAAGGCUGGAAGUGAACUUUUCUUGGCUUUCUGGGCAUGGGUAGUAACUUGUGGGUUCCUGUUUGGCAUAAAAAUGGCUAGAACAUGUGGCACUAUCUUGUUGGAUGAUGUGUCAAGCAUGUGGCAGCCAUCUAGUGGCGAUUAUGUCAAUUUUGGGAUGGAGAGUUGGCAUCCAAUUGCAAAGAAAUAUGACGUCUACCAACAUGCAAUGUAAACCUAUGUAGAUCAUAUGAAGAUAGAGAGGAAAAAUAUAGAAAUGGAUAUAUACCUAGAACUAGCUUUUUAUUAAAUGAAACGGAGAGACAACAAUGAAGGAAAAUAAAAUUUUUUGGCUUAUAUCAAAGAGUUCACAUUGUGUUACCCUAGGUUUUCUUAAAACUUACUUUUAUGAUAACAAAAAAGAAAAAACCAUUAUUGUUUAAUCCUUUGUUUUAAACGCAUGUAAGGUGUAAUUAAGUUAGUUCAAUGCAUUAAUUUAAGAAACUUGACCUAUCAAAAGUACAAAAUUAGAUGAAAUCCAUUUCAAUGGUUAAAAUGAUCAAAAUCAAACUUUUUCUAAGUAUUUUUUAAAAGCAUCAAUAGUGAAAGACAAUUUUAUAUUUAGUCGGAGUUUGGACAAAACUGAAAAACACACAAAAUCCAAGCGACCAUCUCUAGCUUGGAUGGUCGCUUGAUCCCACCUAGAGAUGUGCAUGAGUAAAAGGAUUUGAAAAUGGAAAUUGACUAUGUAGUCGAUCAAUUAACUUUGCAACAUCAUAUGCAAUCCUAAUUGCUAGUCAUCUAAUCAAUUAGGUAGUCAAUCAACAGGCCAAAAAUAUGUUUAUAAUGACUAUUUUGUACAAAAACCACCUGUAUAGUUAAAUAUAAUGCAUUUCAUUUAUAAAUCUUCUAAUUCUUGAAUAACGAUCCUAUCAUCCUUUGAAAGUUUUUAUUACACUUUUUUUACUUUUGUUCUAAAACUUACACAUCACCCUUAAUUGUACCAUGAGAACCUAGCUAUUUUUUAUUUUUUUUUUUGUAAUUCAUCAAAGUUAGCUUUUGUAUUCAUUGUUGUAUUAUUUUUAGUAUAACUUAGAAAGCUAGUGUUUUCAAGUGAGUAAAAUUAACUUGUAAAUAUUGUAAAGAUUCAUCGACAUGUAUCUUAAACUAAGUGUACAAGUUAAAACAUUUGCUAGUAGAUUUUCUCAAAAUUUAGAAUAGAGCUUGAGACUAUUGAAAUAGGUGGGGUUGCACCAAACCACAUCACAUCGUUGUUUGCACCUUUUUUCACUCUCUUUUACUUAGUUGCUCUAUAUUUGUUGUCUAGUAAUAUCCUAUAGGCUUGAUGGGUUAGGGAGCAUCCCUUUGUGAAAAAAUUUUAUUCAAUCCUUAGUUGUAUCACGCAUAUAUAAAAUGCCUCAUUGUUUUAAUGGUAUUCAGUCGUGGCAUCACAGAUAUGGGCAUCUAAAUUUUAAAAGUUUGAAACUUUUAUCUAAAGAAAAUAUGGUGCUUUGCCUUUUUGUAAAGCAUGUUGAUGAAAUCCAUGAGAAUUGUGUACUUGGGAAGCAACACCGAGAUGACUUUUUUUUUUUUUUUAUAAUAUUGUUUGUCCAAAUUCCCUACAAAUUAGGCCACCAGAUGUUCAUAAUUCUCCCUUCUUGAAUUUGAAAACUCGGACAAUUGGACAAUGCGACACCUAAGUCCGGUUUCUAAAUGCUAAAGUGAAAGGGUAGGUAUGGACCAUUGAAAUGUGAUCACAACUUUUCUCUGUAGCCAUGUUGUCUCUUUUUUCUUUUGCAUGAUUUUCUUACCUUAACAGAAUCAUAGACUUGUUUAGUCUCUAAAUGGGAUUAAUUUCAUCCAGCUUUAAGCUACUAUAUUAUAUCUAGGUGGAGGACUUUUAAGAGUGCAACCGACAUAGAGCACAUGGAAGUGGGUAUAUGGGACAUGAAAUUUCUUCUUAUAAAGAUUGCAUGAUUUUUAUAUUAGAGUUGUUGAGGCGCUAUGUAUUUAGCUUGUUUUGCAGUUAAAUUAAUUGGAUAAGUAGACAUUGGCGUUUCUAAAUCUACUGUGAAGUGCUUCAUGUACGUGUGAAGUAUUAGAAAUUUCUUUCUUGGCAACUUGUUUUUCUUUGCGGUCUACUGAUAGGUUUGACUAAAAUUAUAUUCCCUGUCAUGCUAAUUAAUUUUCACGUGCAUGCUCAAAAGAAAAGUAUGACCUUAGUGCACCAAAAUCACUUUGAUUAAUUUGUGAUAGGUUUUUGUGCAUCAUGACAUUAGCCUUAUUCAUUUAGAUAAUGUUUAGUUUUUAGAAAGUAUUAAGAAAAGGAAAAUAAAUAUUAAGAAAAAUAUUCUUAUAUUUGAUUGUAUUAUGAAAAAUAUCAUAAAAAAAUCAAAUAUAAUUUAAAUUAAUUAAUAAUUUAUACAUUUUCAAAUUAUUUAAUCUUUAUAUUGAAGAUAUAAUAUAAAUGAAAUGAGUUUUAAGUAUUAUAUAAAAGUGAUUUAUUGAUCUUACAUAUAUAUAUUUCUUUUUUUUUUCCUUCUAUUUUUUCUCUUUAUUUUAUUUUCCUUAUGUUUUCCUCAACAUUUUCCGGAACCAAACAUAGCCUUAGGAAAUCCACAAUUACCUUCAACUGAGUAGAUUCUGUUGUUUUAGCAAUGUUAGGCUGCUAACUUGUGUUGGUACGAACCUAUUAAGCCUAAAGAUGUAAUUAGUUAGGAUAUUCUUUUCCCUCUAGUCUUGUAGCUCCACGUGUACAGUUGGUUAGGACCUCAUUGUAUAUAAUGCUUGCCCUGUUAUUGUAGAAGACAACAAAGAUAAAUAAUAUUAACAUUUUUCCUCUCAUCUCUCUCUGUUUCCCUCUGUUUUCAUCUCCUCUCUCAUCUUGGUAUCAGAGCCUCCAUGGCUUCUUUCAAAGAAACCUCCGAAUCACCUUCUGCUAGCAUUGUUAAUGUGCAAAACCCAUUAUCUCAAUCAAACAACCUUCCUUCACCAGUAGCCACACCCUCUUUUUCUUUCUCGUCUAUGAAUCAACCUCUCACAGUGAAGCUGGAUAAUGGGAACUACCUCAUAUGGAAGAAUUAGCUUCUAAAUGUCAUCAUUGCUAACGGACUCGAUGAUUUCAUUGACGGAUCUCGACCCUGCCCUCCUCGAUUUCUCGAUCUGCAACAACAAACCCUCAAUCCAGAGUACUCAGCUUGGCAGAGAUACAAUCGACUUCUGAUGAGUUGGCUGUACGCAUCCUUGUCCAAAGAUAUAAUGGCUCAGAUUGUUGGGUAUUCAACAGCUAUGGAGAUUUGGAAUGCCCUUAAUCAGAUUUACUCUGCCUCUUCUAUGGCGCGGUUUACUGAGCUUCGCACCAAGCUUCAAACGCUCAAGAAAGAUGGACUCUCAGUUGGUGAAUAUAUUCAAAGGCUCAAAUCCAUUUGCAAUAGUCUUGCAGCAAUAGGAGAACCAGUUUCUGAGAAAGACCAUCUUAUCUAUUUGUUCAAUGGAUUAGAUUGUGAGUAUUAUUCUUUUGUUACCUCCAUUCAAAAUCGAUCUGACCAACCAACUAUUGACAAAAUCCAUAGCCUAUUGCUUAGCUAUGACUUCCGGCUUGAACAACAAAACUCUGUUUCUCUCCAUUCUGCCCAAGUCCAUAUGGCUCAUCUGAACAAGAAACCUUAUAAAUCAACUCCUCAACCUACAUUCAAUCAUAUUCACAUUCAACCUAGAUACUCUUCUCCACCUUUUAAGCCAACCACUAGUCAAUAUCAACCCAACAUUUUGGGCAAACCACAACCACAACCAUGACAGCCUCAACCUCAAUGGAAACCACAUUUUUCAAUCUAAAAUCAAAAGCCUCAGCGCCAAAUUUGUGGUAAAUUUGGACACACUGCUCUUAUUUGCUUCCAUCACACAAAUUUGAACUAUUCACCCCAACCUUCUCCUAAAUCUUUCAAUACUGUUCUCACCACAAAUUCCCAGCUCCCUAAUCCUCCAAAAUUUUCUUACCCUACAAUGGCUCAUCCUGCUGCUACGCAUAACACGGUUCCCGAUACAAAUUGGUACAUGGACUCAGGUGCUACACAUCACUUUACUCUGGACAUCAACGUGCUUGACACUGUGACACCAUUUAGUGGUUCAGAACAGGUGACAGUUGGGAAUGGUAAGCAACUCUGUAUCUCACAUCUUGGUACUGCAAAACUACCAUCUUCGUAUUCUCCUCCUGUUCUACAUCAGGUAUAUCACACUCCAAAAAUUUCAAAUAAUCUUAUUAGUGUUAAAAAAUUGUGUUCUGAUAAUAAAGUUUUUGUUGAAUUUUAUGCCACUCAUUUUCUUGUCAAGGAUCAGGUUUCGAAGAGAGUUCUCCUUUAGGGUCAACUUGAUAAUGGCUUAUACAAAGUUCAGUCGUCAUGCUCUCCUUCUGCUGUUUCCUUUCCUCCUCAAGUUUUCAUAGCCAACAUCAAGUAUCCAAAUCUGUGGCACAAGAGACUAGGCCACCCAGCUUUAUCUGUUGUUAAUCAAAUCUUGGAUUCUUGUAACAUUGCUCGAACACAGAAAAUUUGUUUUAAUUUUUUAAAUUCUUGUCAAUUAGCAAAGAGCCACAGGCUUCCUUUUUCUCUGUCUCCAUCCAUUGCAGAAAAACCUUUUGAGUUAAUUCAUACAGACCUAUGGGGUCUUUCGCUCGUUCGCUCUAUUUCUGGUGCUCUUUAUUUUUUACUUUUCAUUGAUGAUCAUACUCGUUUUACUUGGUUUUAUUUGCUCAAAACAAAAGAUGAAGCAUAUCCUACUUUUCUCAAGUUUCAAGCUCUCAUUGAAAAUCAAUUUAAUACCAAGAUUAAGGCUGUCCAAUCUGAUUGGGGAGGUGAGUUUCGAUCUCUCUCCAUACCGUUUUCAAAUAUGGGCAUUGUCUAUUGUUUAUCGUGUCCAUACACCUCACAACAGAAUGGGCGAGUUGAGCGAAAAAAUCGCCAUGCGAUUGUCCUUUCUUGCUUGCUCUAUGCCCUUAUCUUAUUGGCCUUAUGCCUUUCAAACUGCCACUUACCUUAUUAAUCGUCUCUCUACCCCUGUGCUGCAUCAUCAAUCCUCUUACUUCGCACUCUAUCACAAACUCCCAACUUAUACUCAUCUUAAGGUCUUUGGUUCCUCUUGUUUUCCGUAUUUGCACCCUUAUAAUACCCAUAAACUCCAAUACAGGUCACUAGAGUGUGCUUUUCUUGGUUACAGUUCACACCACAAAGGUUAUCUAUGUCUUGACAUUCAUUCUAGCAGGGUGUAUAUUUCUCGCCAUGUGAUUUUUAAUGAAGAUUCUUUUCCAUUCAAGAAUUUGAAAUCUUCUCUCUCUCAGUCUAUUUCUUCUUCCUCUUCUUUAUAAGUUCCUCUGUUCAUUCUCUUGCCUCCCCUUUCCCCAUCUCCUCUUAUUUCUUCAUCUAUACCUCAUUCUUUUCCCUCUUCUUCUUCUACCUCUAGUACUUGUUCCCCUCUCGUUGCUCCUACCUCUCUUCCUUCCUCUUCACACUCUGUGUCUCCAUCUAUUCCACCUCCUUCUCCACCUUCUCCGAGUGUGGACCUGCUUGCACCUUGUGUGAAUACAAAUUUACAUACUUCUUCUCGCACUCACAAUAUUCAUCCUAUGGUGACUAGAUCUAAGGUUUGUAUCUAUAAACCUAAGUUGUUGUUGAGUGUCUCCAUAGGUUCUCUCACUAAGCCUACUUCCUUUCUUCAAGCUAUUAAAGAUCCUUCAUGGAAGCAAUCCAUGGAAUUCGAGUUUGCUACCCUUCAACACAACAAGACCUGGCAUUUGGUUCCUUCACCUUCCUCAGGCGAAGUAAUCGGUUGUAAAUGGGUCUAUAAGCUAAAGCUUCAGCCUGAUGGCUAAAUUGAGAGAUACAGCCUGCUUAGUAGCUAAGGGUAUCAUCAAAUUGAAGUAUGGACUACUUCGAAACAUUCAGCCUGAUNNNNNNNNNNNNNNNNNNNNNNNNNNNNNNNNNNNNNNNNNNNNNNNNNNNNNNNNNNNNNNNNNNNNNNNNNNNNNNNNNNNNNNNNNNNNNNNNNNNNAGCUUCAGCCUGAUGGCUAAAUUGAGAGAUACAAGGCCUGCUUAGUAGCUAAGGGUUAUCAUCAAAUUGAAGGUAUUGACUACUUCGAAACAUUCAGCCUGAUUGUCAAGCUUUCUACUAUCUGUAUUGUGCUCAGUCUUACUUUUUCCCAGAAUUGGUGUAUUAGACAGCUGGAUGUUCAUAAUGCCUUCUUACAUGGUGACUUAGCUAAAGACGUUUUCAUGGAACAACUGCCUGGAUUUGUUGAUCCUCUCUAUCCUACUCAUGUCUGCAAGUUGGAUAAGUCUCUCUACUGUCUUAAAUAGUCACCUCGGGCUUGGUAUACUAAGCUGAGUACUUCUCGCUACACUUGGGAUUUGUUACUUCUAAGAAUGACUCUUCCUUAUUUAUUUGUCAUUCGUCUCAUGGGUUACUUCUUGUUCUUGUCUAUGUGGAUGAUAUAAUCGUCAUUGGGAGCCACUCUCCUCAGGUUACUCACCUUAUCCAACAGUUGCAUCAUUAGCUUUCUUUAAAGGAUCUUGGUCCUUUACAUUAUUUUCUGGGCUUGGAGGUUCAUCACACCCCUACUGGUAUUCACCUCAGCCAAGCAAAGUAUAUCACUGAUCUCCUUACCCGGGCGGCUAUGUUGGAUGCCAAGCCAUGUCCCACUCCUAUGUCCUCCAACACAUAUCUCUCUUUUCAUGAUGGAGUGGCUCUUGAAAAUGGUUCAGAUUAUCGAAGUUUUGUUGGUGCCCUUUAGUAUUGUACCAUGACACGCCCAGAUAUAGCUUUUGCAAUAAAUAAAGUGUGUCAAUUCAUGCACCAUCCCUCUAAUGUUCACUGGCAGGCUAUAAAACGUAUUCUCCGGUACUUAAAGGGCACAUCUCAUUUUGGUCUCUUCCUACAGCCUUCCUAUGACUUCAACAUCACUUGCUAUACAAAUGCCGACUGGGCUUCCUGUCCUGAUGACAAGUGUAGCACCAGUGGCUACUGCCUCUUUCUUGCCUCUAAUCUGGUUUCUUGGUCAUCUUCCAAACAAAAAGUGGUCUCCCGCUCCAGCGCCGAAUCAGAGUACCGAGGGGUAGCAAAUGGGGCUGCUGAAAUUGCUUGGACUGAAUCUCUUCUUUGUGAACUUUCCAUUACUCCCCCUCCCCUCAUUCUCUGUGACAAUAUCAGUGCCACGUACUUAGCUGCCAAUCCUAUUUUGCAUGCCCGCACCAAACAUGUGGAAAUCGACUAUCACUUUGUCACGGAACGUGUUCUUCAAUGCUCUCUUUUUGUCCAGUUUACACCUUCUGAUGAUCAACUUGCUGAUUGCAUGACCAAGCCUCUCUCCACCCAACGUUUCAUCACUCUACGCUCCAAGCUCACUGUUCUCACUAGACCAAUGAGCUUGAGGGGGGAUGUUAAGCCUAAAGAUGUAAUUAGUUAGGAUAUUCUUUUCCCUCUAGUCUUGUAGCUCCACGUGUACAGUUGGUUAGGACCUCAUUGUAUAUAAUGCCUGCCCUGUUAUUGUAGAAGACAACAGAGAUAAAUAAUAUUAACAUUUUUCCUCUCAUCUCUCUCUCUGUUUCCCUCUGUUUUCAUCUCCUCUCUCAUCUGAACCAAAUGAUCCAUGUUAACCUUGGCUUGGUUUGAUUUGGCUCUAUCUUAGAGAGCUCAAGGAUCACGUCAACUCUGGUUUCUACUAUUCAGGUCCAUUCCCAUAUGAACUGGUUCAAAUUUGAGAAAAUGGUAACAGACCUUUAGUGAUGUUGGUUUGGAGCCAGUUGCCAAACCCGCCCUGAGCUUUACCACUAAUGUCAAGGGAGAAAGCCAUUUGAACAAAAACAAUAGCUUCAAGGGACUGAAUCGUGGAUGAAAUCUGAUCCACAUUUCUUCUCAUUUUGGAAACAAAUGAGAACUUAACUAAGAAGAUUCUACGGCCUCAUAGUGCUUUUCCUGAUCUAAGGUUGGUUCGUUUCCCAAACUGUGAGAUGCACGUGCCAGACUUCAGAACUCUCACGCUCAGGAGUGUAUCCACGUGGUGGACAUAAGAUGGUGGCUUAAGAUCUGGUGUCGGUGGCUUUACUUUACUAGGAGAGUAGUGUGUCUUCAUCUCAUUCACUGCCGGAGGGUGGCGUAAGCAGUGACGCUAAGGUGGGGCACAGUCAAUAUCAUUUGCAUUUGACCAUUAUAGUUUUCUCCCGGCUUUAAAGUAACCUUAUCGUGAUAAAGGAUUACUAGCACUAGUUCAGAUGAUAGUCAUGUUAAAUUCGGACCAUGUUUGUGUCACAUUAUCAGCAACCAUGUGUUUAUGGUUCAUGCUUUCUGCAACUAAAAUUGAUAUAUAACCAGGUGAACUUCAAUCUAAAUUCUGAAAGUACUCAUGUGAUAGAUGGUGCCCGUCUGCAGAGUCCAUCAAUUGAAAAAUGGAGUGAGUGUAUCUAUAAGAGGGAAGGCUUGGAAAAUGUUCAGUUUUCUGGGAAUUCAACAAGGAUCUAAAAUAGAUUGUUUUCUUUGCUGAUUUCAAUGGUUGAAAUUUGAGAAGAUUGUGUCCACAUAACACAACUAUUACUGGUCCUUCUGUUGCAAUUUAUCCUCUAAAGCUCUAGCAUGUCUUCCAAUUCCCACUUCCCUGUUACUCCAGGAAAGCUAUUUCUGUCAUUGUGAAGAAGAAAAGAGAAUGUACAUAUCGAUGCUUUUAAGUGACUGGAGCAUUUAUAUCAGGUGGUCUGCAGCCAUAUAUGCCACUUUGUGAAGAUUGGAACAGUCAAUCACUAGGCUAUAUAUUAGUGUGGCCCAGCCACUUUAAUCAAGGACAAGUCUUCAUACUUAAAGUCAAAUUCUGCCUUUAGUCUCAUUAUAAAUUUCUGUUUAAAUAUUAAGCAAACAUUUGUUUAAUGCGAUUAAGACAGUACUAACUCAAUACCUGUUCUAUUUUUGGAUGCAAAUGCUUGAUGGUUUCAUCAUUGGAUGGGAUAAAGGUGCAUUCAUGAUUAGGAAUACUAGUAGUUAUAUUUUAAUUCUCUUUUUUCUCAAUGAGACUUGUUGGCACAAUUUUGCUGUUGAGAAACCUACCUCUCCAUGGAAAAUAAGUUGUGAUUGAUAGUACUGGAUAUAUUCAAGAAAUCUAAAUAUAGAUAGCACAAAAUAUUAUCGACAUAAAUAGCAUUAACAGCGUACGUAUGUCUCAGUGCUCAUCAGCUAUAAGCAUGGGGCAAACACUUACUAUGAGCAACUUACGUCAAAAUUCCAGAAUAGGACAUAGAAGUGACAGAUAUAGAACAUUGCAUAUGAGUCACAAGAAAGGAAAUUACGGGUGCAUAGCAGCUCUUAUUUUACAUACUACUACUCAUACUGAUCAAAGUCACUCAGUUGGGAUGGGUGGGAGUAGGAGGUUUGUGGGGUGGCUUGUGCGGAGGAGUUGGCAGCUUCUUUCCAGGACCUGGUUGCUUCUCUGCUGGAGUUGAAGGAGGCUUAAUCUUCCGAGGUGGCUUGUAUGAGUCUUCAGCAUUCUCAGCUGGAGGGUGACCAGGGUUGUGACCAUAAUGUGGUGGCUUCUCUCCCUUAGGUGGUUUGCCAACUGGGGUUGGUGGCUUGUAUGAGUCUUCAGCAUUCUCAGCAGGAGGGUGACCAGGGUUGUGACCAUAAUGUGGUGGCUUCUCUCCCUUAGGUGGUUUGCCAACUGGGGUUGGUGGCUUGUGUUCUGGGAGUGGCUUCUCCCCCUUGGGAGGUUUUUCCAAUGGGGUUGGUUUGUGUUCAGGAGGUGGCUUCUCCACUGGAGGCUUGUGUUCAGGAGGUGGCUUCUCCACCGGAGGCUUGUGUUCAGGUGGUGGCUUCUCCACCGGAGGCUUAUGCUCUGGUGGUGGCUUCUCGAAUGGGGGAUGCUUAGGAUAAUCAGCAAGUGAGGGGGCGGUGAGAACCACCAGGCCAAGCAACACCACUAGCAAAUAUGUAGGAGACAUCUUUGGGUUUGGGCUCAGAUGGUGCAAAACUAGGAGAAUUGGCUAGCCUUUUAUAGCGGAUCGUACCCAAUAAUGAAAUGACACGUGUCAUUAUGACCCAUGUGUAAUGGGGUCGAUUUGGGUCCUACAGUGUUGAAAACUUCGACAUCCACUUUUGGCCUUUUGCUUUCUCUACAGCCGCCUUGCUUUUUCCCUCUUUCCUUUUGUUUUCCUCCUGCCCCAUUCUAUCAACUAAACACAAUUAUGUAGUUGUUUAAUUCUUAAAUGAGAUAUUAUCCGUCAAUCGUAUUAUAUUUUAUCAAGAGAGAACGGAGUGCAAUGUGGCUGUAAUUUUAUCGUUUAGUUUUAUCUCUUGGACCACUGCAUUUUUGUUAAGAGGUGCAAUAAUACACGUCUUUAUCUGCCAUUCAAUAUUUACAGUAAAGAGAGGGCACAAAACUCUUCACUUCGCACCAUAAUUAUUUUGUUUUCUGGACACCCCGGGGCCCUUUGGUUGGUUUGGGGGUCAGAAAGUGAACAUCAUAGGGGGUUUUUCCCUUAUGUGCAUUUGUAUCUGAUGGCUUUAACUCGCCUUGUUACUACAAAGAAACUGUCACAGAUAGGAACUUAUUCCAGGCUGAGUAUCUCCUCAUAGACCCUAUAAAAGAAGACAAGUCAUAAUGAACAUCUAACCUUUGUUCAAUUUGAUUCAAUGCCCCCAUUGUGUCCAUCUCACAAAUCUGAAUUAUUAUAUCCAUUGAAUACAUAAAUUAAUGAAGAAAAUAUGAAACCCAAGAUACAUCUCUGCACAACCUCAACCCUGGUUGCUAUGUUUCCCUUCUAUUCACAUGAUUUGAUGCUAAUUGCCAAACUUGCAACAAGCCCUGAGUUUGACACCUAGUAUCGAUGGGCGAAUUUAAAGUCUCCUCCAAACAUAUAUUCCACAGCUUGAAGCUCACAGAAGAUGUUACAGGCAGGGAAAAACCUUCAGAGUUCGCUACCAAAGAUAAUUAUUAAGGAGAUAUCACAAAGAGAAUUCCAAGGGGUCUGAAUCAAAGACAAAUUGGUCGUUCGUGGGGGUUCUUACUUUCUUUUGGGUAUAACUCACUGAGGGCACUGUCUUUGUUAUUUGCAUUUCACAUUUAGAGUUCUGUUCUGGAAACAUAUAAAAGGAGCAUCAUUUUGUUCUUGGGUAACCCAUAGUCGUGAGUGGGUCCAUUUGCAUGCUACUUAGUUGAAAAGUUGGACCAUUUGCUCCGACGCCUACCUCCCGGAUUCCAUGCUCGGAUAAAACAAGAAUAAAAAAAAUAUUUAUAAUUUACAAAUGGGGGAAAGAAAAAAAUGUCAACAACAAACCAGGAAAAAAGAGUAGUAAAAUUCAUGUCACAUGCUAGUGAGAGAAGGGGUUGUUACACUCACUCGAAGUUCUUUCCAAAAUAUCGCAUGGUAUUUUAUUUUAUGUGUCAGCGCAGUUGUGAAUGGAACGUGCAAAAGUCCAAAUUGGCGUUUUUCCUUUUCCCGUGUAGGAUGGCGACCUUUAAUAAAUAUUUAAAACAAAAAACGAAAAAAAGGAGGGAAAAGGGAUCAGAAAAGAUAAAACAAUGUGUACAAGAGCUCAAUUAGUUUGCAAAUUACUGUUUGGAUUUUGAUAGUAUUUUAUUUGUCCAUCUAUAUUUGAUGGAAAAGAGAAUUUAAGAUAUUUCUGAAACAAAAGCAUUAGUGUAAAACUAAAUUAAGGUAUAAUUAAGUUAGUUCAAUGCAUUAAUUUAAGAAACUUGAUCUAUCCAAAGUACAAAAUUAGAUGAAAUCCAUUUCAAUGGUUAAAAUGAUCAAAAUCAAACUUUUUCUAAGUAUUUUUUAAAAGCAUCAAUAUUAAAAGACAAUUUUAUAUUUAGUCGGAGUUUGGACAAAACCAAAAAGCACACAAAAUCCAAGCGACCAUCUCUAGCUUGGAUAGUCACUUGAUCCCACCUAGAGAUGUGCAUGAGUAAAAGGAUUUGAAAAUGGAAAUUGACUAAAUAUUUAGUUGAUCAAUUAAAUUUGCAAUGUCAUAUGCAAUCCUAAUAGCUAGUCAUCUAAUCAAUUAGGUAGUCAAUCAAGUGUUUGUAAUGACUAUUUUGUACAAAAAACCACAUGUAUAGUUAAAUAUAAUGCAUUUCAUUUAUAAAUCUUCUAAUUCUUGAAUAACGAUCCUAUCAUCCUUUGAAAAUUUUUAUUACACCUUUUUUACUUUUGUUCUAAAACUUACAUAUCACCCUUAAUUGUACCAUGAGAACCUAGCUAUUUUUUUUUUUUUUGUAAUUCAUCAAAGUUAGCUUUUGUAUUCAUUGUUGUAUUAUUUUUAGUAUAACUUAGAAAGCUAGUGUUUUCAAGUGAGUAAAAUUAACUUGUAAAUAUUGUAAAGAUUCAUUGAUAUGUAUCUUAAACUAAGUGUACAAAUUAAAACAUUUGCUAGUAGAUUUUCUCAAAAUUUAGAAUAGAGCUUGAGGCUAUUGAAAUAGGUGGGGUUACACCAAACCACAUCACAUCGUUGUUUGCACCUUUUUUCACUCUCUUUUACUUAGUUUCUCUAUAUUUGUUGUCUAGUAAUAUCCUAUAGGCUUGAUGGGUUAGGGAGCAUCCCUUUGUGAAAAAAUUUCAUUCAAUUCUUAGUUGUAUUACGCAUAUAUAAAAUGCCUCAUUGUUUUAAUGGUAUUCAGUCGUGGCAUCACAGAUAUGGGCAUCUAAAUUUUAAAAGUUUGAAACUUUUGUAAAGCAUGUUGAUAAAAUCCAUGAGAGUUGUGUACUUGGGAAGCAACAUCGAGGUGACUUUAUUUUUUUUUCCUUUUAUAAUGCCACACCUAAGUCCGGUUUCUAAAUGCUAAAGUGAAAGGGUAGGUAUGGACCAUUGAAAUGUGAUCACAACUUUUGGCCUUUUCCUUUCUCUGCAGCCAUGUUGUCUCUUUUUUCUUUUGCAUGAUUUUCUUACCAAAACAGAAUCAUAGACUUGUUUAGUCUCUAAGCUACUAUAUUAUAUCUCGGUGGACUUUUAAGAGUGCAACCGACAUAGAGCACAUGCAAGUGGGCAUAUGGGACAUGAAAUUUCUUCUUACAAAGAUUGCAUGAUUUUUAUAUUAGAGUUGUUCACGUGCAAUGUAUUUAGCUUGUUUUGCAGUUAAAUUAAUUGGAUAAGUAAACAUUGGCAUUUCUAAAUCGACUGUGAAGUGCUUCAUGUACGUGUAAAGUAUUAGAAAUUUCUUUCUUGGCAACUUGUUUUUUCCUUGCCAUCUACUGGUAGGUUUGACUAAAAUUAUAUUCCCUGUCAUGCUAAUUAAUUUUCAUGUGCAUGCUCAAAAGAAGAGUAUGACCUUAGUGCACCAAAAUCACUUUGAUUAAUUUGUGAUAGGUUUUUUUGCAUCAUUUAGAUAAUGUUUAGUUCUAAGAAAAAUUUAUAUAAAAAUGGUUUAUUUAUCUUACAUAUAUAUAUAUAUAUAUAUAUUUUUUUUUUUUUCAUUUUUUUUUCUUCUAUUUUAUUUAUUUAUUUUAUUUUCCUUAUGUUUUCCUCACAUUUUCCGGAACUAAACAUAGUCUUACGAAAUCAACAAUUGCCUUCAACUGAGUAGAUUCUGUUGUUUUAGCAAUGUUAGGCUGCUAACUUGUGGUGGUACGAACCAAAUGACCCAUGUUAAUCUUGGCUUGGUUUGAUUUGGCUCUAUCUCAGAGAGCUAAAGGAUCACGUCAACUCUGGUUUCUACUAUUCAGGUCCAUUCCCAGAUGAACUGGUUCAAAUUUGAGAAAAUGGUAACAGACCUUUAGUGAUGUUGGUUUGGAGCCAGUUGCCAAACCCGCCCUGAGCUUUACCACUAAUGUCAAGGGAGAAAGCCAUUUGAACAAAAACAAUAGCUUCAAGAGACUGAAUCGUGGAUGAAAUCUGAUCCACAUUUCUUCUCAUUUUGGGAAAAAAUGAGAACUUAACUACAAAGAUUCUACUGCCUCAUUCAUAGUGCUUUUCCUGAUCCAAGGUUGGUUCGUUUCCCAAAUUGUGAGGUGCACGUGCCACUCUCACGCUCAGGAGUGUAUCCACGUGGUGGACAUCAGAUGGUGGCUUAAUAUCUGGUGUCGGUGGCUUUACUUUACUAGGAGAGUAGUGUGUCUUCAUCUCAUUCACUGCCGGAGGGUGGCGUAAGCAGUGACGCUAAGGUGGGGCACAGUCAAUAUCAUUUGCAUUUGACCAUUAUAGUUUUCUCCCGGCUUGAAAGUAACCUUAUCGUGAUAAAGGAUUACUAGCACUAGUUCAGAUGACCGUCAUGUUAAUUCGGACCAUGUUUGUGUCACAUUAUCAGCAACCAUGUGUUUAUGGUUCAUGCUAUCUGCAACUAAACUUGAUAUAUAACCAGGUGAACUUCAAUCAAAAUUCUGGAAGUACUCUUGUGAUAGAUGGUGCCUGUCUGCAGAGUCCAUCAAUUGAAAAAUGGAGUGAGUGUAUCUAUAAGAGGGAAGGCUUGGCAAAUGUUCAGUUUUCUGGGAAUUCAACAAGGAUCUAAAAUAGAUUGUUUUCUUUGCCGACUUCAAUGGUUGAAAUUUGAGAAGAUUGUGUCCACAUAUCACAACUAUUACUGGUCCUUCUGUUGCAAUUUAUCCUGUAAGGCUCUAACAUGUCUUCCAAUUCCCACUUCCCUGUUACUCCAGGAAAGCUAUUUCUGUCAUUGUGAAGAAGAAAAGAGAAUGUACAUAUCGAUGCUUUUAAGUGACUGGAGCAUUCAUAUCAGGUGGUCUGCAGCCAUAUAUGCCACUUUGUGAAGGUUGGAACAGUCAAUCACUAGGCUAUAUAUUGGUGUGGCCCAGCCACUUCAAUCAAGGACAAGUCUUCAUACUUAAAGUCAAAUUCUGCCUUUAGUCUCAUUAUAAAUUGCUGUUUAAAUAUUAAGCAAACUUUUGUUUAAUGCGAUUAAGACAGUACUAACUCAAUACUUGUUCUAUUUUUGGAUGCAAAUGCUUGAUGGUUUCAUCAUUGGAUGGGAUAAAGGUGCAUUCAUGAUUAUGAAUACUUGUAGUUAUAUUUUCAUUCUCUUUUUUCUCAAUGAGACUUGUUGGCACAAUGUUGCUGUUCAGAAACCUACCUCUCCAUGGAAAAUAAGUUGCGAUUGAUAGUACUGGAUAUGUUCAAGAAAGCUAAAUAUAGAUAGCACAAAAUAUUAUCGAUAUAAAUAGCAUUAACAGCGUACGUAUGUCUCAAUGCUCAUCAGCUAUAAGCAUGGGACAAACACUUACUAUGAGCAACUUACGUCAAAAUUCCAGAAUAGGACAUAGAAGUGACAGAUCUAUAUAUAUAGAACACUGCAUAUGAGUCACAAGAAAGGAAAUUACGGGUGCAUAGCAGCUCUUAUUUUACAUACUACUACUCAUACUGAUCAAAGUCACUCAGUUGGGAUGGGUGGGAGUAGGAGGUUUGUGGGGUGGCUUGUGCGGAGGAGUUGGCAGCUUCUUUCCAGGACCUGGUUGCUUCUCUGCUGGAGUUGAAGGAGGCUUAAUCUUCCGAGGUGGCUUGUAUGAGUCUUCAGCAUUCUCAGCUGGAGGGUGACCAGGGUUGUGACCAUAAUGUGGUGGCUUCUCUCCCUUAGGUGGUUUGCCAACUGGGGUUGGUGGCUUGUAUGAGUCUUCAGCAUUCUCAGCAGGAGGGUGACCAGGGUUGUGACCAUAAUGUGGUGGCUUCUCUCCCUUAGGUGGUUUGCCAACUGGGGUUGGUGGCUUGUGUUCUGGGAGUGGCUUCUCCCCCUUGGGAGGUUUUUCCAAUGGGGUUGGUUUGUGUUCAGGAGGUGGCUUCUCCACUGGAGGCUUGUGUUCAGGAGGUGGCUUCUCCACCGGUGGCUUGUGUUCAGGAGGUGGCUUCUCCACCGGAGGCUUAUGCUCUGGUGGUGGCUUCUCCACCGGAGGCUUAUGCUCUGGUGGUGGCUUCUUGAAUGGGGGAUGCUGAGGGUAAUCAGCAAGUGAGGGGGCGGUGAGAACCACCAGGCCAAGCAACACCACUAGCAAAUAUGUAGGAGACAUCUUUGGGUUUGGGCUCAGAUGGUGCAAAACUAGGAGAAUUGGCUAGCCUUUUAUAGCGGAUCGUACUCAAUAAUGAAAUGACACGUGUCAUUAUGACCCAUGUGUAAUGGGGUCGAUUUGGGUCCUACAGUGUUGAAAACUUCGACAUCCAGUUUUGGCCUUUUGCUUUCUCUACAGCCGCCUUGCUUUUUCCCUCUUUCCUUUUGUUUUCCUCCUGCCCCAUUCUAUCAACUAAACACAAUUAUGUAGUUGUUUAAUUCUUAAAUGAGAUAUUAUCGGUCAAUCGUAUUAUAUUUUAUCAAGAGAGAACGGAGUGCAAUGCAGCUGUAAUUUUAUCGUUUACUUUUAUCUCUUGGACCACUGCAUUUUUGUUAAGAGGUGCAAUAAUACACGUCUUUAUCUGCCAUUCAAUGUUUACAGUAAAGAGAGGGCACAAAACUCUUCACUGCUCUGCAUGUGUCCCAAAAAUGCGAUUGGACAAAUUAUGAUUUGCAUGCUAAAAAGAGGCAAAUGAGGUUAAUUCGCACCAUAAUUAUUUGGUUUUCUGGACACCAUAAAAAGAUGUUAUACAGGCAGGGAAAAACCUUCAGAGUUAGCUACCAAAGAUAAUUAUCAAGCAGAUAUCACCAAGAGAAUUCCAUAGAGUCUGAAUCAAAGACAGAUUGCUCGCUCGUGGGGGUUCUUACUUUCUUUUGGGUAUAACUCACUGAGGUCACUGUCUUUUUUAUUUGCAUUUCACAGUUAGAGUUCUGCUCUGGAAGGUUUGUUCUGGAAACAUAUAAAAGGAGCAUCAUUUUGUUCUUGGGUAACCCAUAGUCGUGAGUGGGUCCAUUUGCAUGCUACUUAGUUGAAAAGUUGGACAAUUUGCUCCGACGCCUACCUCCUGGAUUCCAUGCUCGGUAAAACAAGAAUAAAAAAAAAUAUAUAAUUUACAAAUGGGGGAAAGAAAAAAUGUCGGAAAAAAUAGUAAAAUUCAUGUCACAUGCUAGUGAGAGAAGGGGUUGUUACACUCACUCGAAGUUCUUUUCAAAAUAUCGAAUGGUAUUUUACUUUAUGUGUCAGCGCAGUUGUGAAUGGAACGUGCAAAAGUCCAAAUUGGCGUUUUUAUUUUUCCCAUGUAGGAUGGUGACCUUUAAUAAAUAUUUAAAACAAAAGACGAAAAAAAAAAGGAGGGAAAAGGGAUCACAAAAGAUAAAAUAAUGUUUACAAAAGCUCAAUUAGUUUGCAAAUUACUGUUUGGAUUUUGAUAGUAUUUUAUUUGUCGUUCUAUAUUUGAUGUAAAAGAGAAUUUAAGAUAUUUCCGAAGCAAAAGCAUUAGUUUGCUCUGUGAUGUCCCACAUCGAAUAGGGGAGAAAGUUUCUGGCGCUAUAUAUGUAGAGGCUCCUCUUAACCAAGUAGAUGCGUUUUAAAACCAUGAGGGCCCCCUUAGGUCCAAAGCGGACAAUAUCUACAUGAUUGGGUGUAAGUCAUUACAAAUGGUAUCAGAGCCGAUCCCCGACCCCGGUGUGGGGGUUUGUUUGGCCCUGUAAGGGGUGUUUGUCUGUUUGACCCCACAAUCCCAUGGGACACAACGAGGACGUUGUGUCUGCAUGGGGGGGCGUUUGUGAUGUCCCACAUCGGAUAGGGGAGAAAGUUCCUAGUGCUAUAUAUGUAGAUGUUUCUCUUAACCAAGUAGAUGCAUUUUAAAAUUGUGAGGGCCUCUUUGGGCCCAAAGCGGACAAUAUCUACAUGGUUGAGUGUAAGUCAUUACAUGCUCCAUGUCAAUUUCAGCAUUUCUCAUAUGUUUCACACAUACACAGAAGAGCAUCGUUUUUUAAAGCAUGCAUUUAUGUUGGAUUAAUUUGGAUUUUGUGGGAACUGGGGCAAGGAUCACAUGGAAGAGAGGUUGACUUUUUUCAGUACUUCAAUGGUUGAAAUAUGUGAAGGCUUGAUUGAUACUAAAGCUUGAAAUUGCGACUCUGUCAUUUGUAAAAAAAUAUGACAGCUUCCAUGCUCUCGUUUGGUUGCAUUGUCCGGUCGAGAGGUGCAAAAAGCAUUCUCUCUCUUCUAAUAGUCUUUUCGUUUAAAUCAAGGGAUUUGCCUUCCCGGUCGAGGUCCAAUAGAGGGUAACGGUCACCUACUAAACAUUAAAUGCUCCAACAACUAGUGAACUGAUCGACCCCAGCUCGACUAGUUGAGGUUACUUUUUGGUUUUCUUGUCUCCCGAGGUUAGAAACCUAUAAAUAGAGAGCUUCACUUCAUUUAUGAGUAAGAGAACACCUAAAUUUAUUUGUUUACCUACUUGUUUUUGCCAUAAAAGCUCUCAUUUCUUUUCUUGGUGUAUUAAAUCUCCAUUUGCAUAUCCUUUAGUGCACCUUUGUGAUUCAUUCUAGCCUUGAGUUGUAUUUAAGCCUUUGUUGAGCUAGGUUGAGAGUUUCAUACUUGUUUAUUGAGUGUUAAAGCCUUCAAGUGAGUUAAAACUUGAAGAGAUUGUGUAAGAGCCCAUUGGAGUCGGAAUCCAAGUGUAAAGGUGAUUAAAAGCUUGGUUGAAGCUUCAAGUUAGUGGAACUCUCACUCGGUUAUGAGCUUGAGAAGAGUGGACAUAGACAAGGCAGUGUCGAACCACUAUAAAAUCUGAGUUUGAUUUCUCUAACCUUAUCUCUUUAUAUUUGCUUCUCUUGUGCUUAAAUUUUUUGUGUUUAAAAAGAAUUUUUAAAAACUCAAUUCACCCCCUUCUUGGGAGUUUUUCUCUUUUAAGAUCAGCUUUUAUUUUCUCAAUUGGUAUCAGAACUAUGCCUCUUGUUUAAGACUUAAUCGUCUAAGAGGAAAUGGCUAAUCCAUCAAGUUCAUCUCACAUUGAAAGUUUUGCAACCAAUAGACUUCUUUUUUUUUUUUUGCGGGAACUGAUUAUCCCUAUUGGAAAACUAAAAUGACUUGGUUUUUACAAUCAAUUGAUUUAGAUGUAUGAGAUGCCAUUGAAGAUGACCUAACUUUUCCUUCAAAACUAGUUGAUGGAGUCAUGGUUCCAAAACCUAAGCAAGAAUGGGAUGAGCGUGAUUGAAGAAAUUUUCAAUUAAAUGCUAAAGUCGUUUAUACUUUGCAAUGCUCUAUGGACAGAAAUGAAUAUAAUAGAAUAUGUCAAUGCAAAUCGGUUAAAGAAAUUUGGAGAUUGCUUGAAAUAACUCAUAAAGGAACAAAUCAAGUUAAAGAGUCAAAAAUCAAUUUACUUGUUCAUAGAUAUGAAUUGUUUUUUAUGAAAGAUAAUGAAACUAUUGUUAAGAUGAUCACUAGGUUCACCAACAUUGUUAAUGGUCUUAAAGCCUUGGGAAAGACCUACAAGGAAUCCGAAAACGUGAUGAAGAUCUUGAGGUCACUUCCAUCAAAGUGGCAUACCAAGGUCACCGCAAUUUAAGAAGCAAAAGACUUGAUCAAGCUACCUUUGGAGGAGUUCAUAGGGUCAUUGAUGACAUAUGAAAUCAAUUUGGCAAAGAAGUAACAAAAAGGUGAAGACAAAAAGAAGAAGAACAUAACUCUCAAAGCUACAACUAAGGAAGAAGAAGUUGAAGAAGAAAAACAAAUUGAAGAAGAUGAAGAUUUAGCCCUCAUCACAAGAAAGUUCAACAAAUUCAUGAGGGGUGAAAGGUUUAGAAGAAGAAGGUUCACUUCUAGAAGAGACUUUUCUAAAAAGGAAUCUUCAUCUAAUGGUGACAAAAAGAGAUGGGAAGAGAAAAGAGACUUGGUGUGUUUCAAGUGCAAGAAACCGGGACACAUUAAAUAUGAUUGUCCUCUCUACAAAAGUGAAGUCAAGAGGAAAAAGAAUAAGGCAAUGAUGGCCACUUAGAGUGAAAGUGAAGAUGAAUCAUCCGAAGAAGAAAAUGAGAAAGAAGUGGCAAACAUGUGUUUCAUGGCAAUAGAUGAACUUGAUGAGGUAAAAUCUAACCUUAGUGAUUAAGAUAUACAUGAUGCAUUUGAAGAAUUGUAUGAGGAUUUUUAAAAACUUAGUUUGAAAAAUAUUUCUCUUAAAAAGAAAGUUCAACAACUUGACAAAGAACUUAGAGAAGUAAAAGAAAAAUUUUCAAAUGUUAAAGUUUCUAAAACUCAUCUUGAAAAAGAAAAUGAGAUUCUAAGAAAGAAAAAUGAAUAGUUGAACUCCUCUCUUUCAAUCUUUUCUUCUAGACAAAAAUCUUUUGAAAUGAUUCUAACUAGCUAAAAAUGUGUUUUUGACAAACAAGGGUUAAGAUUUAAAUCUUCAAAAAAUCAAAAGUAUUUUAAAAACUAUUUUGUAAAGGAAUCCACAAGUGCAAGUCCUUCCACUACUUGCAACUUUUGUGGAAGAGAAUGGCACAUUAGUAGUACGCCCUUUAAGAAAUGGUUCUCAAAAGAAUUUAAAUGCAAAAACUAAAAAAGAUUUGGAUUGAGAAAUCCAAGGUCACUAACCCUCAAGGACCCAAAAAGAUAUAGGUACCUAAAUCAACUUGAGUUUUAUGUUGUAAGGUUCAAAGAAUGAUAAGUGGUUCUUAGAUAAUGGUUGCUCAAGACACAUGACCGGAGAUGAAUCCAAGUUUGCUUUUCUUAAAAAGAAAAAUGGAGGAUAUGUUACCUUUGGAGACAAUGCAAAAGAAAGGAUGAUUGGUCAAGGCAACAUUGGUAAUGGCACAUCCUCUCUCAUUGAAAGUGUUUUAUUAGUAGAUGGUUUCAAACAUAACCUUUUAAGCAUUAGUCAAUUUUGCGACAAAGGUUUUUAAGUGAUUUUUUAAGCAUCUCAUUGCAUCAUCAAGGAUAUUCAAAAUGAUAAAACCAUUUUCAUGGGCCAUAGAUGUGAUAAUGUUUAUGCUAUAAAUAUUUCAAAAUAUGAUGGCCAUGAUAGAUGUUUUUCAAGCAUGCAUGAUCAAAGUUGGUUGUGCCAUAGGAGAUUGAGACAUGCUAACAUAGACCUCAUUUCCCAACUCAACAAAGAUGAACUUGUUAGAGGCCUUCCCAAAAUAAUUUUUUAAAAAGAUAAAGUUUGUGAAGCUUGUCAAGUGGGAAAGUAAAUCAAAAACUCUUUUAAAAACAAAAACUUCAUUUCCACAUCUAGGCCACUUGAGUUGUUGCAUAUGGAUUUAUUUGGUCCCUCUAGGACACCAAGUCUUAGAGGAAAUUCUUAUGCAUAUGCUAUUGUGGACGACUUCUCUAGAUACACAUGAGUCUUGUUUUUUAGUCAAAAGAAUAAAGUUUUUUAUGAGUUUUCAAAGUUUUGCAAUAAGAUUCAAAAUGAAAAAGGUUUUUCAAUUACUUAUAUAAGAAGUGAUCAUGGGAGAGAAUUCGAAAAUAUUGAUUUUGAAGAGUAUUGCAAUGAGCAUGGAAUUGACCACAAUUUUUUGGCUCUUAGAACUCCUCAACAAAAUGGGGUAGUUGAAAGGAAAAAUAGAACUCUUCAAAAAAUGACAAGAACCAUACUAAAUGAAAACAACUUACCAAAAUAUUUUUAGGCCAAAACGGUUAACACUUCUUGUUAUGUUUUAAAUAGAGUAUUAUUGAGGCUCAUACUUAAGAAAACUCCCUAUGAGCUUUGGAAAAACAAAAAACCCAACAUUAGUUAUUCCAAAGUCUUUGGAUGCAAUAUUUUAUAAUAAACACCAAAGACAAUCUUGGAAAAUUUGAUGCAAAAUUGGAUGUUGGAAUUUUCCUUGGUUACUCAACUUCAAGUAAAGCUUUUCGAGUUUUAACAAAAGAACCAUGGUUGUAGAGGAGUCCAUCCAUGUUAUUUUUUAUGAAUCUCCAAGAAAGAGAGAGGAUUGAUGAUGAUUUAGGUUUGAAGACCUCUAUAGGAAGAUUGCAAAUCGAAGAUAGAAGACAACAAGAAGAAAAUGGAGAGAAUCCAAAGAAAGAAGGAUCACCAUUGGCACUACCCCCUCAUCAACAAGCGCAAGGUGAAUCAAGUCAAGAGCUUCCUAAAGAAUGGAAGUUUGUCAUCAAUCACCCACAAGAUCAAAUUAUAGGCAAUCCAUCUAGUGGGGUAAGAACUAGAUCCUCUCUUAGAAAUAUUUGCAAUAAUCUAGCUUUUAUCUCUCAAAUUGAGCCUAAAAAUAUAAAUGAUGUUUUAGAUGAUGAAAAUUGGAUAAUUGCAAUGCAAGAAGAGUUAAAUCCAUUUGAAAGAAGUGGAGUAUGGGAAUUAGUACCAAGACCUUCAAAUCAAAGUGUUAUUGGAACUAGAUGGAUCUUUAGAAAUAAAAUGGAUGAAAAUAGCAUAAUUGUUAGAAAUAAAGCAAGAUUGGUAGCCCAAGGUUUUAAUCAAGAAGAAAUGAUAGAUUAUGAAGAAACCUUUGCCCCCGUAGCUAGGUUGGAAGCCAUUAGGAUGCUACUUGCCUUUGCAUGUUUUAAAGACUUUGUUUUAUAUCAAAUGGAUGUGAAAAGUGCUUUUUUAAAUGGUUUUAUAAAUGAAGAAGUAUAUGUUGAACAACCACCCGGUUUUCAAAGUUUCAACUUUCCUAACCAUGUUUUUAAACUUAAAAAGACACUUUAUGGUUUGAAACAAGCACCUAGAUCAUGGUAUGAAAAAUUGAGUAAAUUUCUUUUGAAAAAAAUGUUUUAAAAUGGGAAAAAUUGACACAACUCUUUUUAUAAAAACCAAAGAAAAUGAUAUGCUCUUAGUUCAAAUAUAUAUUGAUGAUAUCAUUUUUGGUGCUACUAAUGUCUCUCUUUAUGAAGAAUUUUCUAAGUGCAUGCAUAGUGAGUUUGAAAUGAGCAUGAUAGGAGAACUCAACUUCUUCCUUGGACUUCAAAUCAAGCAACUAAAGGAAUGAACCUUCAUCAAUCAAGCAAAGUAUAUAAGAGAUCUUCUCAAAAGGUUCAACAUGGAAGAAGCCAAAACAAUGAAGACUCUAAUGAGCUCAUCCAUUAAGCUUGAUAAGGAUGAGAAAGGUAAAUCCAUUGACUCUAUUAUGUAUAGAGGCAUGAUAGGUUCUUUGCUCUAUUUGACCACUAGUAGACCUUACAUUAUGUAUAGUGUGUGUUUGUGUACUAGAUUUCAAUCUUGUCUUAAAAAAUCUCACUUAAGUGUCGUGAAAAGAAUCCUCAAAUAUUUGAAAGGGACAAUGGACAUAGGCUUAUGGUAUCCUAAGAGUGAUAACUUUGAAUUAAUUGGUUUUUUGGAUGCUGAUUUUGUCAGUUGUAGGGUUGAAAAAUAAAACACUAGUGGCACUUUUCAUUUCUUAAGACACUUACUUGUCUCAUGGCAUAAUAAGAAGCAAAAUUUGGUAGCUUUGUCAACAGCAGAAGCUAAAUACAUAGCAACUGGUUUAUGUUGUGCACAAAUCCUUUGGAUGAAAUAAACACUUAGUGAUUUUGAUUUAUCUUUUGAGCAUAUUCCUAUUAAAUGUGAUAAUAGUAGUGCCAUAAGUAUAUCAAAAAAUCUCGUGCAACACUCUAGGACUAAGCAUAUAGAGAUUAGACAUAAUUUUCUUAGAUAUCAUACACAAAAGGAUGAUAUAACACUUGAAUUUGUAAGCAUAAAAGACCAACUUGCCGAUAUCUUUACAAAACCUCUAAGAACAUUUUGUUGAUAUUAGAGGACAAUUAGGAGUGAUUUCUUUAUGAUCUAAUGUGAUGAAUUCUUGAUGAAUAUACUUUUUGAUUGCAUGAAUUUCAUGUCAUAUAUGCAUCAUAUAGAAAUAUACUUAGAUAAUGGUCAAAUUUCGACCAAAAAUCAAAAUUCCCAUGGCAUUAGGCAUAAAAAUUUUGGAAUUUCAACUGAAAAUGGUAGGAGGAGGAUCACAAAAUGAGAAAGUAUGCAAAAAUUGAAAAAUCAAAACGUUGACCAAGCGGUCAAUCGGACUAGACCGAUCGACUAGUUUGUCGAGAUUUAGGAUUUUUAAGAGACUCCAACGCUUCAAUUUUUGCACCGUUCUCCUCUAUUUCUUCACGGUUUCUCUGAUUUUGUCUUUUAGAGACUAAUUUGAGUGCGUUUUGGAUCAAUUGAAGCAUUUUGGAUUGGAUUUUAGGAAGAUUGAAAGUUAAGGUUUCGGAUUUGGGUCGCCUUCUCUUCCUCUCGCGUGUCACAAUCAGCUUUAGCAUUGUUCUCUUUCCAUUUUCACACACCUAGGGUUUCAGUUGUGAGCAUCUCUCUCUCUUUACCAACCACUACUCCCUUGCUUCUUCCAUAUGGCUCCUAGGCGAGAGUCCGCUACUUCUAGGGCACAAGGCAAGCACCCAACUGAGUCGUCUCAGUCAAAGGCACGUCGAAAAGUGAGAUUUGACAUUGCCUUGUUCAGUUCCAUGGAGGACUACCAACUAUACAAGCAACACUUUGCUUAGAGACGAGUAGUUCCCAAGAGAAAUAUUAAUUUUCCUCAACUUCAGCAUUUCGAAUUUAAGGGUCUAUUUACUAGGAUGGUUGGUUGUCUAUUGUCACAAUUUCGGAGCCGGUUUUCCUGACCUUAGUGCGAGUUUUUUACUCGAGGGCGACUUAUGGCAUGGGUGGCAUGAUCAUUUCUACUGUUGGAGGAGUUGAGAUCUGUCUGGACCCAGAGAGCAUCUGCCAUAUUUUCGAUAUUGCUCUGGUUGGACUCAAAGUAUACAAGUCCAAAAUGUGGCCCAUUGUGCCAGGAUUUGAGCUUAGAGAGGUCAUUCAGAGGAUUUGUGAACUUCCAGACGCCCAGGAGAUGGGCAAACCAUUGCCACACAGUUUGACGGUCAUCAACAGGGUGCUACACCAUAUAUUGUGCUCUAUCUUUCUACCACGAAGUGGACAUUGAGAUGAGGUCUCUUAUUAUGAGGCAUUCCUUAUUGACUCCAUUCUAACGGAGAGACGAAUUCAUCUACUAUGUCAUCAUUCACUAAGCCUCCUCACAGUGACAUACCACCUCAUCAGGCACCUCUUGCUCCUGACCAUGCUCCAUUGAUGGAUUUAUUUACUCAUAUUAGCUCUCUAGGCACUCGCAUGAAGGAGUUUGUUGUAGUUAGUGAUACAUGGUUCUACUCCAUAGAGGAUCGCAUGGAUCAGUAUCAGACUGGCUUCACGUCACAGUUUGAGUAUCUCCAAUAGAGGAUUGAGCAUAUUGAGGAUCACUUGAGCAUGAGAAGAUGAUGGCUUUUCUAUGCUCUGUGUUUCCACCUCCACCUCGUCAACCUUGAUUUCUUAGAGACCCAUUGUUUUCAUUUUGUAAUGUUGCCAAAAGGGGGAGAUAUUUAGGAUCUAGGACUCUAUAGGAGACUUACAUGCAUAUCAUUUUCAUAUCAUUGUUUGGAUCGUACAUAUUGGAUAGUGAUACUUUUUACUUAUAUAUGAUAUGCCUAUAUGUUUCAUGUCUUACAUUGUUUCUUAUUGCAAAUUAUCUCUAACAUGUCUUGAUUAUCUUUUUUUUAACUUCAUAAAUUUUGAUUGUUAACCCAUGAUUGGUUUGAGGGGAAGAUUCUUCUUCUCCUAGAUAACCAAGGUUUGUCAUCAUAAAAAAAUUGGAGAUUGUUAGCCCAAGGGUUCUCCUAAUCAUGUUUUGAUGAUAACAAACCAUGCUUAAGUUACUAAUUGGUUUGAAUUAUAAAGAAUUUCAAGUGUUAAUUUGAAAAUUCAUCAAAGAACCUAAUGGAUGCAAGAUCAAGAUUUUUGGAAGACCUUUAAUCAUAAGAAACAUAUGUAAGAUGAAUGCAUGGGUGCACUUAAGAUUUGCAUAUCAUUUCAUGCAUAUUUGGAAAACACGGUUUAUGCUUUAAAGUUACAUUUCCAUCAAAAUUUGAGAUCCAUCAAAUGAACCUUAGGAAAAAUGUUUUAAAAUUGGCAUAUAAUUUUACCUAAAGACCUUGCCUAAGUGUUAGAAGCAAAAGGACAAAAAAAAUAUAGGUUUUCUGGUCAAAAAUGGUGAACCAGUCAAGGCAUUGUCUAAAUCAGCUCAAUCGGCCAAGGUACCGGUCGAUCGGUUUCCCUUUCCCUGUCGAGAUCUAGUCAAGAGGUACAAAAAUCACAAUCUCUGUCUCUUUCUCUCUUUGUCUAUCUUCCAGUAGUCUUUCCUUCCCGGUCGAGGGAUUUGCCUUCCCGAUUGAGGUCCGAUUGAGAGUAAUAGUCACUUGCCAAAUAUUAAAUGCUCCAACAGUUAGUGAACUGGUCGACCCCCACCUUGCCCAGUUGAGGUUACUUUUUGGUUUUCUUGGCUCCCGAUGUUAGAAACCUAUAAAUAGAGAGUUCCACUUCAUUUAUGAGCAAGAGAACACUUGCAUUUAUUUGUUUACCUACUUGUUCUUGCCUUAAAAGCUCUCAUUUCUUUUCUUGGUGCAUUAAAUCUCCAUUUUGAUAUCCUUUAGUGCACCUUUGUGAUUCAUCUUAGCCUUGAGUUGUAUUUGAGCCCUUUUUUUAGCUAGGUUGAGAGUUUCAUACUUGUUAAUUGAGUGUUAAAGCCUUCAAGUGAGUUGAAACUUGUAGAGAUUAUGUGAGAGUCGAUUGGAGCCGAAAUCCAAGUGUAAAGGUGAUUAGAAGCUUGGUUGAAGCUUCAAGUUAGUGGAAUCCUCACUCAAUUAGGAGCUUGAGGAGAGUGGACGUAGCCAAGGAAGUGUCGAACCACUAUAAAAUUUGAGUUUGAUUUCUCUAACAUUGUCUCUUUAUAUUUGUUUAUCUUGUGCUUAAAUUUAUUGUGUUUAAAAAGAAUUUUUAAAUACCCAAUUCACCCCCCUCUUGGGUGUUUUUCUCUUUUAAAAUUAGCCUUUAUUUUCUCACAAACUAUUGUAGUAUAGUGGUUUUUAGGUGUCAUCCAUUAGGAUGAAUUGUUCUCGGUAAUUAAGGCGUGAAUGAGAGGAGAAUUAAUGAUUGUGAUUAAGUAAAAUUGAUUUGAAAAUUCAUGGUGAAAAAUCAAUUUAACAAUGGUUUCUAAUUGAGAAAAACAAUGAAAUGUGAAAUAAAAUAAAAUUAAUAGGAAAUGAAAUUCUCGAAGUUAGAAUUUUCUAAAAAACAAAUUCCAUGGUGAAUGGAUGUUGAGAUCUAAUUUUCAUCAAGUUAGAUUGAAAACCGAAAUUUUCAUAUAAACUGAUUUUUUAUUUAGUUUUAGGUCUAGAUUUAAUUUCCCUUAAAAUUAGGUUAUUUAAUCCAAGAAAUCAAUUCAAAUCAUAUAUUCAAUUCAUCUUAAAUUAUCUUCCAAUUAUUCACACAAUGCAACUAUUCAAUCUCAUCAAAUCUAGCUUUUAAGAAUUUAAUGAAUCUACCUAGUUUGCAUUGUAAUAGUCAUCCAUGACAAUUUGAAGAGAAAAAUAAUUCAAUUAAUCAAUCACUUGGAUCAAAUUACCUUUGCAAUUAAAGUUCAUUUCUCUAAUUCACCACAGAUUUUGUCUCUAGAUCCUCCUUUCUCAAAGAAAAAUGAGAUUUAGCCACACAUGAUUGGAGAUUUGGUCUCAUAAGGCAUGUUUAGCUAGUGAUAAAAUGAGAGAAAAUAAAGAAAAAUAGAGAAUUCGAUUAAGAAAGAAAAUCUAAAAAAUUCUACAAUUAGAAAUGUCCAAAAAGCUUUUUCAUGAGAAAAUCAAGUUUCUAUUUAUAGGCCAAGGUCAAGUGGACACUUGACAUCAUCUAAGAGGUCUUCCGGAAGCUUCUUCAUCAAGAAAUCUGGAGUUUAAUAAUAAAAUGGUCAUUUCACAAGAGCUCAAACAAUUUCGCAUGAUUAUGUGAAAUAAAAAAUGCAACAACAGCAAUUUACAUCUUCUUGGAGCAUUUCGCAUGACUGUGUGAAAUUUUCACAUGAUCAUGUGGAAUCGACUUGACAACUCUCAUUUAGCCUACAACAUAAUUCCACCUUUUGGUCCAUUUUUCAUAGUCAUGCGAAAUGGAAAUAUUUGAUUUUUAAGUUUUCUUUUGUCAUUUCUUUCAUUUCCUUCUCUUGAUUCCACUUCAACUACCUCCGAAUCCUGGUCCAAACCAAUUGCAUUACUUCUUUCAUUAUGCAUUUGGAUCAUCAUCAACAUUAUUUGUUCUCUUCAAUUUGAUUCAUCUCUUUUGUCACCAAUUUAUCAAAAUCAUACCUUGAAAUGACUCCAAAACUUCAUAAAACUUGUUAGUAACUCUUGCAAGGGCAACAACAUAUUAAUUAAGUGUUUUAGGCAUAGUUACUACUCAAAAGAUGCGAAACUCAUGAUAAUUAUUAUAUAAAAUAUGCUCUUUUUGAGUAGUAAUCAACUUUCUUGCAUAAGCAGACCUUUUAGGGUGGAGUACUAAAGACCAAUAUGCUUGUCCUUGUUGUAAUAAAGAAACUUGCUCUUAUUGAUUGCACCAUGGGAGAAAAUUUUGCUACAUGAGUUAUCAUCAAUUUCUUCCCACCAAUCAUAGAUUUAGACGUGACAAGAGGCCUCUUAAUGGCAAGGAGGAACUGACACUCACACUUAUACAAUUAUCGGGCAUUGAUGUGUUGCAACAAUUAGAAUAACUUACACCAAUUAUGUUGGGGAAGUCACAAAAGGCAAACAUGAAAACUAAAAGGAAAAAAGAAAAAUGUUACAUAUCACCACAACUGGAAAGAAAAAAGUAUUUACUUUCAUUUGCCAUAUUGGAAAGCACUUAUUUUACAUCAUAAUAAUUUAGACAUAAUGCAUAUUGAGAAAAAUGUGUGACAAUAUAAUUGAGACAUUGUUCAGUAUUGACGAAGAAACAAGGACAACCUAAAUAGUCAUCUCGAUUUACAAGCUCUAACUAUUAGAAAUGAGAUUCACCCAAUAGAAAGCAGGACCAAAUUUAUUUUGCUUGCAACAUGCUACUCACUCACCCCAAAUGAGAUUAAGGAAUUUUGCAAGUUUUUGAAAUCAAUAAAGGUCCCCAAUGGCUAUUCUUUCAAUAUCUCUCGUUAUGUGCAACUCAAUGAAAGGAAGAUAUAUGAGCUCAAAUUGUAUGAUUGUCAUGUCCUAAUGCAACAACUUCUCUCACUUGUAGUUCGUGGAGUUCUACAUAAGAAUGUUUGUGGAGUUAUCAUAGAAUUGCGUAAUUUUUUCAAGCAAUUGUGCUCAAAGGUGUUAGAAACAAAUCACUUACACCAACUUGAGAACAAUAUUAUUGUCAUACUAUGUAAAAUGGAGCAAAUAUUUCUUCCAUCAUUCUUUGAUAUUAUGGUGCAUUUACUUGUGCAUCUAGUAAGGCAAAGGUUGCAAGACUUGUGCAAUAUUGUUGGAUGUACCUAAUUGAACGAUAUUGUUAUAAUUUCAUAUGAAUCAUUUAAUUUUAUUUUAUAUUAUGUUCAGUUCAUUAACAUGUACAUUGGUCUACAUAUGGAUGAUGAUAGGUACCUAAGCACUUUAAAGUCAUAUGUGCGUAAUAGAACUUUUCUAGAAGGUUCUAUUGUAGAAAGGUACCUUGCAAAAGAAUGUACAACAUUUUAUUCUAGGUACUUGAAUGAUGUGGAAAUAAAGUAUAAUCACAAUGAUAGAAACUUUGUUGGUUUCAACACUAGAGGAGAUGAAAGGGGUUAUCUUUAAACAUAUUGGACAUGCAUUGGGAAAGCCCAUAUUUCAUUAACUUAGUUCAAAAGAGUGGUCACAAGCACAUUUAUAUGUGUUGACAAAUUGCGAAGAUGUCAUACCAUUCAUUGAGUAAAAAAUUUAUUUGAAUUUUAAUUAAAGCUCUAGUUUAUAUCCUUAAUCAAUGUUUUUUAAAUUCACAAGGAGCACAAGCAAACCAUCAAGGCUAGACCACAUAUACGUGUUUGAGACGUAGAUUUAAUUCAUAACAAGGAAUUUAUCAAGUGGUUUGAAAGACAUGUAAGUAUAUUCCUUAUUAUAAGGGAUUUAUUUCACAUUAUGUUUAUAUUGAAUCCAAACCUAUUAUUGAAUUGUAGGUUGAACAAUUACAUAAUGAAGGUCAUAUAUCUGAACACCUUCUCACAUUAUCAUGUGUUCCAAAUUCAUUAGUUACAUGCUUCAAAUGAUAUAUUGUCAAUGGAUUUAGAUCCCACAUUAAAGAACGUGAUAAAAAAGUUUUUAAAAAAAGACUCAGAAUAAUGGAAUUGUUGUAGUUGCAAAAACGUCAAGCUUUACAAGUGCAUGUGAUAUGAGUCCAAUUAUUAGUGAUGCUCUCUACUAUGGUGUUCUAACUAAAGUUGUUGAGUUACAUUAUCUUGGUGAAAAUAAGGUUGUUUUAUUCGAGUUUGAUUGGUGGGAUGUUACAAAUAUUGGAAAAUUGAUAAAAGAUGAUGAGUACAAUUACACAUUUGUUAACUUUGCAUGAAUUCUAACCACGAACGAACGAUUUGUACUUGCAUCUCCAGCAAAGUAAGUGUUCUAUGUGAAGAAUGCGAAUGAAUCAGAUUGGCAUACUAUCAUGGAGAUGCAACCUCAAGACCUCUAUAAGAUGAACGGGAUAGGAUCCAAUGGUGAUUUUGAACCAUUUCAACAAAGUGAACUACAUGAUCACUAAUAUAUCUCAGAUUUAGUUGAUGAAGAUAUAAUCAAGUGGAACAAAAGUGAUGUUUUAGGACUAAUCAUCCUAAAAAAUAUUGUAGUUUCUUAAAAAAAAAAUGAAAAUGAAGAAGAUAAUUGAACCUUUGUCAUACUUUAAAAAGCAACUAUGCAUUGUUCAUUUUGUAUGUUUUGGUUUUCUUCAUUUAAUUUCCUGAUUUUUGUGAUUCAAUGUCAUAUUAUUGAUCUUGAAAUAUUUUUCUAAUUUUUCAUUCUACGAUGGUUUCAACAAGGAUGACAUCAAGUCAAAAAAGGAAAUGUGGUCCCACACACAAUAUUGCAUUACAGGGAUUAAGGUCAGGGAAGAAGGUAAAAGUUGCAUUUAAUGAGUACAAUCAAUUGGUUAAACAGAAAAAUGGAAAACACUUAUCGAGCUACAUAGGGACACUUGUAUCUAACCAACACAAUGUACCUCUCCAAGCUAGUGAUUGGAAAAAUGUUCCAAAUGAUGCAAAAGAGAAAGUAUGGCCUUUGUUUUGGUAUGUUGUAUUUCUCACUAUAUGAUGUCAUUUCACUGUUAUUCUAUUUUGUGACUAACGUUUGAAUCAUAUGUAAGAAAAAUUUGAAGUAGAUAAAGACUGAAAAGAUUACAUGUUGGGUAUAGCCUCAAAUAAAUAUAGAAGCUAUAAAAAUAUGAUGAAUGCAAAAUACUAUGACCCUUGGCAUAAGGAUGCAUGAGGAGAGGUUAAUACAUAAAUCACCAUUUGUCUCUGAUGUUGAUUGGAAGUGGCUUGUCUCUGAUGCAUAAACCAAAUCCCCCACUGAAUGUUUGAUAUUUGAUAGCAGGAAAAACACACCCGCAGCUAUACACCUCCAUCAUUCAGAUAAUUAUAGUGGGGGAGAUGAUUCAUGGUUGCCCUUAUACCCUUUAUUUGCACCAUCUAUUGAGAUUCUUUAUCAUGGCCAGGUUUUACUGCAGCAAUAAGAUAUGGUGGCAACAAUUUUAUCUAUAGGUGCGGUUCCAGACCGCCUCCAUAGGUGCGGUUCCUGACUGCCUCCAUAGGUGCCUCUUCUUGUAAUGUUUGUUCUGGGAAUUACACUUGAAAGCCUUAUCGUGAUAAGGGAUUACAAACACUAGUUCAGAGGACAGCCAUGUUAAACUUCCACUAUGUUUGUGUCACAUUAUCAGCAGCCUAGUGUUUAUUGGUCAUGCUAUCUGCAACUAAUAUAACCCGGUGAACUUCAAUCUAAAUUCUGAAAGUACUCAUGUGACAGAUGGUGCCUUUCAGCAGAUAUCAUCAAUUUAAAAGUAGUGUGUGUGCCUAUAGGUGGGAAGGCCUUGGCAAAUGUUCAGUAUUCCGGUAAUUCAAGAAGGAUAUAUCUAAAAUAGAUUUUCUUCUUGCCCAUUUCAAUAGUUAAAAUUUGAGAAGAUUGUGUCCACAUCACACAAAUAUUAUUGGUCCUUCUGUUGCAAUUUACCUCUGAACAUGUCUUCCAAUUCCCACGGUCCUGUUACUCCAGGAAAACUAUUUCGGUCAUAUUGAAAAAAAAAAUAUUAAAGAAGGUACACAUGCUUUUAAGUGGACUGGGGCAUUCAUAUCAGGUGGUCUGUAUCCACAUAUGCCACUUCGUGAAAGGUGGAACAGCCUAAUCACUAGGCUAUUUAGUGUGGCCCAGCCACGUUAAUCAAGCACAAGUCUUCAUACUUAAAGUCAAAUGGUGUCUUUAGUCUCAUUACACAUCGCUAUUUGAAGAUUAACUCAUCACUAGUGUAAUGCGAUUAAGACAGUCCUAACUCAAUAUUUGUUCUAGUUUUGGAUGCAAAUGCUUGCUGGUUUCAUCAUUGGAUGGGAUAAAGGUGCAAUCAGGACUAUGAAUACGUGCAGUAAUACUUCAUUCUCUUUUUUCUCAAUGAGACUUCUUGGCACAAUUUUGCUGCUCAGCAACCUACCUUUCCAUGGAAAAUCAGUUGUGACUGAUAGUAAUGGAUAUAUUCUAGAAAGCUAAACAUAGAUAGCAUUCAAUAUUAUCGAUAUAACAUUAACAGCGUAUGUCUCAAUGCUCAUCAGCUACAAGCAAUGGACAAACACUUUGAGUAACUCACAGCAGUCAAAAUUCCUAAACAGGACAGACGUGACAGAUCUAUAUAUAGAACACUGCAUAUGAGUCACAGGAAAAGAUAAUACGGGUACAUAGAAGCUCUUAUUUUACAUAUUACUCAUACUGAUCAAAGUCGCUCAGUUGGGAUGGAUGGGAGAAGGAGGUUUGAGGGGUGGCUUGUGCGGGGAAGUUGGCAGCUUCUUUCCGGGAGCUGGUUGCUUCUUUGCUGGAGUUGAAGGAGGCUUAAUCUUCCGAGGUGGCUUGUAUGAGUCUUCAGCAUUCUCAGCAGGAGGGUGACCAGGGUUGUGACCAUAAUGUGGUGGCUUCUCUCCCUUAGGUGGUUUGCCAACUGGGGUUGGUGGCUUGUUUUCUGGGAGUGGCUUCUCUCCCUUGGGUGGUUUGCCAACUGGGGUUGGUGGCUUGUGUUCUGGGAGUGGCUUCUCCCCCUUGGGAGGUUUUUCGAAUGGGGUGGGUUUGUGUCCUGGUGGUGGCUUCUCUCCCUUGGGAGGUUUACCAAUUGGGGUCGGUGGCUUGUGUUCUGGGAGGGGCUUCUCUCCCUGGGGAGGUUUAGUGGGUGGCUUGUGUUCUGGAGGUGGCUUCUCCACCGGAGGCUUAUGCUCUGGUGGUGGCUUCUCGAAGGGGGGAUGCUCAGGGUAAUCACCAAGUGAGGGGGUGGUGAGAACCACCAUGCCAAGCAACAACACUAGCAAGUAUGUAGUAGACAUCUUUGGGUUUGGACUCAGACAGUGCAAAACUACGAGAAAUCGCUAGCCCUUUAUAGCGGCUCGGACCUAAUACUGACAUAAUAUAAAAUAAAUAUUAUAUUUUAUCAAGAGAGAACAGAGUGUAAUUUUAUCAUUAAUACCGAUCGAGGCCAAAGAAAGAAGACCCAUAAUCCAUUUCCCACAAGCAUACACAAUGCAGCUGUAAUUUUAUCAUUUACUUUUAUCCCUUGGACCACUGCAUUUUUGUUGAGAGACACAAUAACACAUUUUUAUCUGUCAUUCAACAUUUACAGUAAAGAGAGGGCACAAAACGCAAUUAGAUAAAUUAUGUUUUGCCUGCUAAAAAGAGGCAAAUAACUUUAUUUGCAACAUAAUUAUUUUGGUUUCUAGUGACCCCGGGGCCUUUCGGUUGGUUUGGGAUCGGAAAAUGAACAUCAUAGGGGGGGUUGUGCCCUUAUGGGCAUAUAUAUCUGAUAGCUUCAACUGGCCUUGUUCCUAGAAAGAAAUUGCCAAAGAUAUAAACUUAUUCCAGGCUGAAAGUAGAUGAGAGUCAUAAUGAACAUCAACCUUUGUUCAGUUUGAUUCAAUGCCCCCAUAGUGUUCAUUUCACAGAUCUGAAUGAUUAUAUCCGUUGAAUACAUAAAUUAAUGAAGACAAAUAUGAAACCCAAGAUACAUCUCUGCAUAACAACCCCAACCCUGGUUGCUAUGUUUCCCUUCUUCUAUUCACAUGAGGAUACUGGUUAUAAUUGUCAAACUUGCAACAAGCCCUUUGACACCUAACGUCAAUGGACGAAUUAAAAGUCUCCUUCAAACGUCUAUUUCACAGCAUGAAGCUUAUAAAGGAUGCUGACAACCUUCAGAGUUAGCGACAAAAGAUAAUUAUCAAGGAGAGAUAGUUCCAUGAGAAUUCCAAGGAGUCUGAAUCAAAGACAAAUUGCUCACUCAAGGGUUCUUAUUUUCUUUUAGGUACAAAUCUCUUGAGUGUUGUUAAAGAAACACGUCACUGUCAUUUUGAUUUGCAUUUAACAUUUCACUUUUGUUCUGGAAGGUUUGUUCCGGAAACAUAUCAAAUGAGCAUCAUUUUCUUCUUCGGUGACACAUGGUCGCGAGUACGUGGGUCCAUUUUCAUGCCACUUAGUUGAAAAGUUGGAAAGAAAAAACAUGCCAACAAGAAGAUAGUGAGAGAAGGGGCACUUCAAGCCUUUAACAUGAACAAACAGUAAAUAAAAGAUGUUUCUCCACUCAUAAAAGUGUGUUAGAUAGCAAUAUAACGAAUCACAUCCAAAAUCUUUACUAGGCUCAAACAUAAAGAAGACUCAUUUUUAAGAAAAGAUAAAAAUGGCAUUGUCUGAUAGUAUCCAAUACACGAGAUGGCACUUAAUUUGUACAAGAUCUGUCAAUGCUGACGCACAUUUUCUGAUUAAAAAAAAACUGAUCAGUCAAAAGCAAUGAAGAGAAGUGAUGACAAUGAAUGAUGCUUCCAAUAUUUUCACCCCUUAUAGUGUUCUUCAUGAUUCAGAUAUAUAAUUGGAAAUAGAACAACCCUAUGCCAUACAUUCGUCUAAGUAUGGUGUCUAAUUUUUUGUGUCAGCGGUUGCGAAUGGAGCGUGCAAAAGUCCAAAUUGGCGUCUCUCCAUUUCCACAUAGGAAGGUGACCUUUAUUGACAAAUACCCAAUAUUUGUAGACAUUCCUUAAAUAUCAUAACUUCUUGUUGAUUUGAAAAUCAUUUUUCAACUACCAUGUUUUAAUAAAUAUUUUUUAAAAUGUAUUUUUAUCAAAGUCCACCAUGAUGGAUAAUAUUCACCAUGCAAUAAUUAAUAAAGUACAAACUAAGCGAAAUGAAAAGCAUUUUCUUUGCUUUGAGUUGAUUUUGGUUGCAUUGAGUUGAUUUUGGUUUCAUGGUUUUUUCAACUCUUAUUUUGAUUGGAAGAUGUCAAGAAAAGAAAACAUAAAGAAAAAUUAAAAGGGAAAAAAGAAGAAAAAUAAAAAAAAAUAGAUUUAAAAGUUAAUAAAUUAUUUUUUAUAUUUAUUUUAAUUCAUUUCACUUAUUUUUCUUUUACUAUAUAAAAUUUAAAUAAUUUAAAUUUUAUAAUUAAUUUAAUUACAUUUCAUUUUCUUCUAUAUUUAAAUAUUGGAAAAAUAUUUUACUUAAUAUUUUUUUCUUUAAUUUCUUUGGCAUUUUGGGAACCAAACUUAGCCUUUAAAAUAAAAAACAAAAAAAAAAUGAAAAUAAGGAGGGAAAAGUGAGAAAAGAUAAAAACAAUAUGUAAAGGAUUUGAAAAGUAUUAGUUUGUAAUUACUAUUUGGAUUUCAAUAGUAUUUUAUUUGUCUUUCUAUAUUUCAUGUAAGAGAGAAUUUAAGAUAUUCCCCAAGGCAAAGCAUUAGUUACCUGCAAUCAGUGGUGAUAAGGCUCCAAGCCAAUUUUGGGCCCCAUAUCUUAAGACAGUACAAUUUCCAUUUCAACAUUUCUGAUUUCUCAGAUGUUUCACAUACCACAGAAGAACAUUGUUUGUGAAAAUAUGCAUUUAUGUUGGAUUUUGUAUGCUGUGGGGACUGGGGCAAGGAUCAUAUGGAAGAGUGGUUGACUUUUUCUGUACUUUAACGGUUGAAAUAGGAUAAGCACGGGCAUUUGUGAGGCUUAAUUGAUUUUGAAGCCUGAAAUUGCGUUUCUGUCAUUUUGUCAAAAAAAUGGCAGAUUCCAUACUCAUAUGUUUGGCCUGUGGCCAUGUACAGAUGCCAUUUAGUGACCAGUUUGUAACUGUCAAUCGUUGCGUUUUGACUCUGCCUCAACAACAUCUGCCAUUGACGGGUUUUCAUACUUGCAAAUCAAAUAGUCUUUCGUCCCAUCAGGAAUUUCGGUUUAAAUAUUAUUAAGCAUACGUUUGGCUGACAAUCAUUAUCCAGUUCAUGAUUUGGUUUCUUACCCUUAAUCAAUGGUUUCUAAGUGAAUAUAUGUAGAAGGAAAUCCGAAGUGUAGACAGUAGUAUCGAUAACUCUCAAUAUUCUCUAUAUAAUAGAAUAAACAGCGUCAUAGUGAUCGUCGCCUACAAGCAAGGUACAAAUACCAAAACGAGUGACUCACAUAGACAUCUCCCAACAAGAUGUAGUAGUGACUGACACAUGGACACAAUUAACUCGUAGAAAAGGAUAAGACCAUUGCACAGCAGCUCUUAUUUUACAUACUACUUAUGCUAACCAAAGUCAAUUAGUUGGGAUGGGUGGGAGAUGGAGGUUUGUGCGGUGGCUUGUGGGGCGGAGUUGAUGGCUUCUUUCCAGGAGCUUCUGGCUUUUUCAUCGGAGCUGAAGGAGGCUCAAUCUUAUGAGGCGGCUUGUAUGAGUCUUCUUUACUCUCGACAGGAGGGUGGCCAGGGUUGUGAUCAUAAUGUGGUGGCUUCUCUCCCUUAGGUGGCUUGCCAACUGGGGUUGGUGGCUUGUGUUCAGGAAGUGGUUUCUCUCCCAUGGGAGGUUUAGCAAUUGGGGUUGGUGGCUUGUGUUCUGGGAGUGGCUUCUCUCCCUUGGGAGGUUUAGUAGGUGACUUGUGUUCUGGAGGUGGCUUCUCCACCGGAGGCUUGUGCUCCGGUGGUGGCUUCUUGGUUGGAGGGGGCUUGGGGUAAUCAGCAAGAGAUGGGGUGGUGAGAACCACCAGUCCAAGGAACAACACUAGCAAGUAUGUGGGAGACAUUUUUGAGUUUGGGCUGAUCAGAUGAUGCAAAACUAAAGCAUUACGUGACCUUUUAUAGCAUGUAGCUCCCAAUACCCACUAAGUAUUGUGGGGUCCAUUUGUGCCCUACGGGGUUGAAAACUUAGACAAUUGGGCAAGGACCCACCUGACUAUGGAGGACUAGUGAGGUGUGAUCAUAGCUUUAGGAUUUUUCUUCCUCUGCAGCCGUCGUGCCGUUGGCAUGAUUUUCUUAAUCUUAAAUAAAGGCAUAGUUAUAGAGUUGUUUAAUCUCUAAAUGGGAUUUUAUAUAUAUCUUCAGAUAGCCAUUAAUAUAUUUGAUGAAGAAAGAAAGACAAGUGCAUACAACAUGUAUACGACUAGCUUUCAUGGAGUUCAUUUAUGAUCAGUUUUCCUGUACAUGUAAACCAGGAUCAUAUAUAUGUUUCUGUUCCACAACUAUUUUGGAAUCUUGUUUAUCAGUUUUUAUCAUUAUAAUGUCACAUAGGCUGCCAACUUGGGCGCUAAAAGAACCAGUUGGGCUAGUUCGUUUCAGAAUUUCAAUGUGGAUUCAGGAAUUGUUUUGUAAGAUAUGCGAAAUAGUAGAGGGAUGAAUAGUGUUUCAUUAAUAAAAGUGUCCUGUAAAUUAGAAGGUGUCAUAGAAACUAUAAUCAAUAAAUAACUUUUUUUCCCCACGGGUGGUGUUUCUUGUGGGGAUCAGUGACUGGUUUAGGUUCACCCAAAAUGAGUUCAGACUAAAAUUGGUUUGAGUCAAUGCCGUGUCUCUUUUUUCCAGAAAUCAACUAUUUUAUGCAUUGAAUAAAUCAUACAAAGAAAAUAUGAACGCCCGCAAAACCUAAACCCUGGUUGCUAACUUUCUAUGUUUCAGUUCUAUUCACGCAAGAAUAUUAGUUUAAGUUUGGGAAAAAUGGCAACUUACCUAGUGAUUACUUGGUUUUGGUUUGCGACUAUUUACGCAACCAACCAUGAGUUUGACUUUAACGUCAUGGGUUGAAGCCUCCUACAGGAAGGGAGAAAGCUCCACAGCUAGCUCCAAAAGAGAAUUAUCACAUUGAUAGCUCCAGAGAUUCCCAAGGGGACUGAAUCAAAGACAAGUUCCUCACUUUUUCUUCUUUUGAGGCCAAAUAUGAACCAAGGAUCACACAACCUCAUUCAACUUCAUAAGUUUGAUUUCAUGCAGUUGAACACUGGGUGAAGGCCAUGACAAGAAUUGAUUCAAAAAUUCUAUCACUCUUUUAAGUAAUGGAAGAUUAUUAUCUCUGAUUGGCAUCACAACAGCACAUGCUCCUAGAUCUUUCUAGACACUCCAUGCAAUGAAAGCACAAUGGAUCUUGUAACGAUAGAAACUAAGCCAUGCUACAGUACUAGAUGAUGAGGUAAAACUAGUAGACACGGGUGGCAGCCUAUAUGGGAGGGACACAAGUCUAAUUGAUUUGCAUUUCAGCAUUAUAGAUAGGUAUGUUUUGGAAGAUUUGUUCUGGAAAUACCGCACCAAGUAGGAUUCUUUUUCUCUUUAGUGGGUCCACUUGCAUGCCAAUUAACGAGUUGAAAAGUAUGAGCACCUACCUCGUGCUCGUGGAACCGAAGGUCAGUGAAGUGGGGCUCCUUUUGGCCUCGUGUAAACUUGAUUCAGAAGUGAAGUUAAUAGUCUUCCAUUCAGAUGGAUACAUGGGAAUUUUUCUCUUUUAUUUAUUUAUUUAUUUUUUUUUUGUGUGUGUAUGUCAAAGGAUAAUGAAUGAAGCGCGUUAGCUUGUUUUCUGACUGGAACCGCAGAUGUCCAAAUUGGAGUUCCUUCAUUUCUUACUUAGGAUUGUUACAUGUAUAAACAAGGUAUAAGAAAUAUGCCAACGUGUCUUGAGGAGUUAUUGAUUAGAAAUAACAAGUCACCCGACUGUAGAGUUCCAAGAUUUGAAUCUUCAGACCCUAUAGCAGCCUCUGGGGUACGUGGCAUCCUAUAGCAUAUUAAUGAAGGCUUUUUCGAUUUAGACUUCACAAUACCAAUUAAUAUGUAUGCACAAAAUGGAGAUGACCCCAAAAAAAACAGAAUCGCCAUAGUUUAUGAGGUUAAGGUGAUUCUCCACUUAAUAUCUACAUUAGCUAAUUAUGUAAAUCAAAUGAACUUCUAUUUUUCCUUUUUUUUUUUGGUUUAUGUCAAAUAGUAGCCCAUAAUUAACCCAACCAUUAGCCUGUUUGAAUUGAUUUCACAUGCACAAUGUUGUAGUAGUUCAUAUUUUGAAUUUUAUUUUUACAAAGGUAGUUAAGGAAAAUGAAGUAUAAUAAUUAUAAAAGCAGACUAUAUACACUACAAUAAUUGUUAGAAUGGUAUCUCAAAUUCUAAUUUAAAAUAUUAUUUUUUGUAAAAGAAAUAUUAUAUAGAAUAUUUCCUAAUUUUAUAAAUGAUUAUAAUUAGAUCUUUAUAAAAUAAGGAAAGUUGGUAAGAAUAUCUUUAUAAAUAUUUUAGGUCAUGAGAGAAAGAAAUGGGAUAAAAAUGUGAUGAAGAGGUGAAAUAAGAGAGUUGAUUAGGAUAUAGAUGUGAAGAAGAAAGGGAUUCAAUAUAUAUAUAUCUUUCAAUUACCACAUUAAAACCCUGUGAACCUUUUAUAUGGUUUACUUUAUUUUUAUAUUCCUCCUUUAAUAUAUUUACAUUAAUGCUUCCAUUGGCACAACAAUAACGAAUUACAAAUACAAGCAACAAGUCCCAUGUUUUAUUACCAAAAGCAGGUAAAAUCCACCUAAUAUAUUACAAUAUAUUCAUCCAAUAUUUUAGACCAAUUCUUCACCAUAAAUAUCAUAAUGUGGCUUUUGUUCUUUCUUAAAUUUAAAUUGAAUUGUCUUAUAUCAAUUUGUUUGUGAUUUUUUCAUUAACUUCACUUUCAUUUGGUUAUCUUUGGUUUUUGAAAAGUAUUAAGGAAUUAAUUAACAAAAUAAUGUUAAGAAAAAUAAUUUUCUCUCUUUUGAUUUUGAUUUUGUAGUAGAAAAAUAUAAUUAAAAUUAUUUAAAAAGUAUGUAAUUUUAAAUUAUUUAAUAUUUAGAUAAAAAAAAUAAGUCUAAUGAGUUUAAAAUAACAUAUAAAAAUAAUUUAUUUAUUUUAAAUUUAUUUUUUAUUUUCCAUUAUGUUCUCUUUCUCUUUUACUUUUUCAUAUUUUUUCUUACGAAGAAUCAAACACAACCUCAUAUUAUAUGUCAAGUGUUUGUCUAUAUUUGAGCAAUGUUAGAUACGGCCAUGGAUUCAUCAAACUAAACUGAUUUUAAUAGAUACUUCACAAAUUGAUUUAUACACUAAAUCAUUGGAUAGCAAUGAUGCAUUGGAAUUAAACGUAGGAUGAAGCUCGAAGAACACUGUUUGUGUAACAACAUAUUUAUGAAAUUAUGCAAAGGAUGAGCUUCGGGGUAGUAGUACAAGGUCAUUAAUGGAGAGCCGUGUUAAACCUUGAUUGUGAUUGGAUUCCGUUAUCAGCAACAGCAACCUUGUUUGUAACCUUGAAAGUCAUUCUGUCCACAUCGAAACUCCAAUUUGACGUUUGUAAUUACCAUUCCUGGAGUGUUCCUUGAUUGAAAUUUAAAUAAUAAUUGCGGCCCACAAGGAAUAUUUUCGAUUCUGUGGGAAUUUGACAAGGUUUGUUAGAGAAGACUGGUGACAUGUUGACUUCAAUGGUUCAAAUAGGAGACGUAUGUGGAUUUGGGGGGUUUAAUUGAAACUGAGUCCCUAUGGCUUUUUAAUAUUUGCAUUGAGCAGUCUCCAUGUGACUUCCUAAUUCCCACCAACCCUCCUGUCCAUGCUGUGAAACUAAAUUGUAAUUUAUCAGCCUUUGUCAAUGGUUUCUAAAUUAAAGAUAUAGACCAUGCAUGUACUUUAAUAAAAGCAAAUCUAAAGUGUAGAUAGCAGCAAUGGUGACACCCAAUAUUCUCCAUAAAAUAGAAUUAGAAUAAGCAGUGUUACAUUGUUCAUGAUCACCUACAAGCAUACAAGAACUUCCAUGAAUAACUCAUAGCAAUUGCCAACAGGGCGUCGUAGAGACUCAUACAUAGAACACUAUCCACCCAGAGGAAAGGACAAGACCAGUGCGCUGCAGCUCUUAUUUUUCACAUGUAUACCACCACUCGUAAUAACCAAAUUCACUCAGUUGGGAUAGGUGGGAGAUGGUGGUUUGUGGGGUGGCUUGUGGGGAGGAGUUGGAGGAGGCUUUAUUUUCUGAGGCGGCUUGUAUGAGUGUGCAGGAGGAUGCCCGGGAGUGUGACCAUAAUGUGGUGGCUUCUCUCCCGUAGGUGGUUUGCCAAAUGGGCUUGGUGGCUUCUCUCCCUUAGGAGGUUUACCAAUUGGGGUUGGUGGCUUGUGUUCUGGGAGUGGUUUCUCUCCCUUGGUAGGUUUGCCAAUUGGGGUUGGCGGCUUAUGUUCUGGGAGUGGCUUCUCUCCCUUGGGAGGUUUGCUAAUUGGGGUUGGCGGCUUAUGUUCUGGGGGCGGCUUCUCUCCCUUGGGAGGUUUGCCAAUUGGAGUUGGCGGCUUAUGUUCUGGGAGUGGCUUUUCUCCCUUGGGAGGCUUGCCAAUUGGGGUUGGCGGCUUAUGUUCUGGGGGUGGCUUCUCUCCUUUAGGAGGUUUGCCAAUUGGAGUCGGCGGCUUAUGUUCUGGAAGUGGCUUUUUUCCCUUGGGAGGUUUGCCAAUUGGGGUUGGCGGCUUAUGUUCUGGGGGUGGCUUCUCUCCCUUGGGAGGUUUGCCAAUUGGAGUCGGCGGCUUAUGUUCUGGGAGUGGCUUCUCUCCCUUGGGAGGUUUUGUUGGUGGCUUGUGUUCUGGAGAUGGCUUCUCCCCUGGAGGCUUGUGCUCCGGAGGUGGCUUCUGAAAUGGCGGGGGCUUGGGGUAAUGAGCAAGAGAUGGAGUACUGGUGAGAACCACCAUUCCAAGCAACAAUACUAGCAAGCAUGUGGGAGACAUCUUUGAGUAGUUG